Molecule: long non-coding RNA, 271676 nt
Filed under: Brachypodium distachyon (stiff brome)
Lineage: Eukaryota; Viridiplantae; Streptophyta; Magnoliopsida; Poales; Poaceae
Source: RNAcentral
UCGUCACUGAUGAUGUUGGAGAAAAAACACAGAUUCAAUUCCGAUACAAACACACAGAUACAAAUCAGACCCAGGCCGUGUGGCUCCAACAACAAGAAUCAAUCAAAACUAUAGAAAACAUUUCAGAUCUAAGCACUAAGACCAGUUCGGAGUAAGUGUGCUUGAACACCUUUGGAUCUAGAAAAAAAAAGAAUAAAAGAAGAGAGGAGUUGCAGCCGCCCUCCUCUCCAUGCCAGCGGCGGCGCGGACUGGACAUGGAGGUGAAGCCAGCGAGUUGCAGCCGCCCUCCCACCUGCAAGUGGCGUUGUCCUUCUCUCCUCGCUCGUCUGCAACGGAGUUAAGAGAGGGAGGGUGUGUGAGAGGGAGAGAGAACUCACCAGGAUCCGCGGCGCCAGGACCAAGAAACGCCGGAUCCAGAGGCGGCGGGGCCGAGCGCAGCCAGACCCAGCCCCAUUCGGCCAUGGCACAAGAGGAGGGGAGACCUCGGGAGCGCCAUAGCAGCAGCCACGCGCGUCGGCGGAGUCGGGGGUGGGGGCCUUGUCGGCGAAGUCCACCUGCCGCGGGGAGUAGGGAGGAGGGCGGCGGCCGAGUGCGCCGAGGAGCUAAGGAGGAGGGCGGCGGCGUGGAUCUGCAGAGGGCAGAGGAUGAGGGAGGCCGCUGGGAGCAGAGAGAGAAAAGGGAGAGAGGCCCACGUUUGGAAAAAGAGAGCAGAUAAGAGAGAGGCUCACGUGUUGGAAUAAGAGAGGAAGGGGAUCAGGCUGUUCGAUGGGUUGUGACAAGAAAACGAGCGGCCGAGCGAGAUAUACGUCACCGAUCCAUGGCACACCAGCUCCACCCAUCGUACGCAAGCACACGUAUUCCGUGUUUUUCAAUUCCAUGGCGAGCGAGAUACAAAACCGGUGGCGGACUGGCGGGUAGUACUACGAACCGGCCACUGGUGCUGAGCUAGAGUUUUCCAAAAUUCCUCUCCAGCACCAGUGGCGGACUCUACUGAACUAUCCGCCACUGGUGCUGAUUUUUGAAAAUGGUAUUAAAUUCAUAUUAUAUUUUAUGAGUAUUAAAAAAUUACAAAACCUGUACUUUUGAAUGUAUACCAAGGAUACUUAUUUGAAAGUGAAGUUUAAACUAUAAAUUGAAAAACUUUGUACACUAAUUUGGAUAAUUAUGUGUGAUUAUGUGUGGCUUUUGUGUACUAAAAAAUCUAUCAAAUUCAUUUUUACUCAGAAUCUUCCCAAAUUUGGUUUGGACACUUCCCUAAUGAUAAGAAACGCACAUACAAAAAUUCAAGUUCAAACUAAAAAUUCAAGUCACAUUUGGUUGAUUGGGUUAGAUGGUUUCAGAGAGUUCUACCUCGAUGGCCCCAAAAUGAAGAAUUUUUGUGGUCAAUUUGGAGUUUUGUCUUCAAAAAUUAUAUGUAAGCUUCUUGUUGUAUACUAAGUUUCCAUGCAAAAAUUCAGAUCAUUUUGAGCAAAAUUGAAUUUUCUAGCAAUUAAUAACUUGAAUAUGAACAACAUAAUCAUAUAAAUGGUUGUUGAUAAUUUUUUAUUUAGGUUUCAAACUUCGAAUGGGACAAGAUAUUAUCAAUUUACACUCAAAAGGACAGGUGGUUUAAUUUUUUGAAAAACACAGAAUAUAAUAUGAAUUUAAAACCCCAUCCAAAAUUACUACCAAUUGCGGGUUCCUUGUGCGGACCGGCCACUAGUGCUGUUUUGUGAUAUUGGUAAUCCUUUGUUGAGUAGCAGUGGCUGUUUUGAACUCAGAACGACCACUGAAGGUGGGGCGUUACCAGUGGCGGUUUUGAACUUAGAACAGCCACUGGUAACCAUUGGGGGAAUCCCCAUUGAACCCCAGUGGUCGUGGACGGGCACCGCCACCGGUGGUGGAGCACCGGUGGCAGUGGUUUUCUUGUCACCAUCUUCACCGCCACUGGUGCUAGAUCACCAGUGGCUGUGGCUGGCCACCGCCACCAGUGGAGCACCAGUGGCCGUGAUUUUCUUGCCCCGCUCGAACAGCCACUAAAGGUCAUGCGCCAAAGCCACAUUCUGGCGUAGUGUAUGUUUGUAUGUGACCUACAUUUUUCUAAGUGGGUGUGUUGCACUAUGUGUGUAUGAGUUUGGUUUCGGAGCCGGAGUGUCACAUACAUUUUUCUAAGUCCUUGUGUUGGAAUAUGUGUAUGAAUUUGGUUACGAUUGAACUCGUAAUGAGCUAGGACCGAUGUGACUUUUUCUAGGCGAUGGAGUGUGACAUGUACAUUUUGUCUAAGUGGGUGUGUUAGGACAUAUGAUGAAUUUGGUUAUACAUGGACUUGUAAUCGACACGGGUGGGUUAACCACAUGUGAGCUUUUCUAGGAGGCGAAGUGUGACAUACAUUUUUCUAAGUGAGUGUGUUGAAUUAUGUGUAUAUGAGUUUGGUUACACUUGGACUCGUAGUCAACUCAGGUGAUGGGGUUGACUCCAUGUGAGAUUUUAUGUGAGUUGGAGUGUGACAUACAUUAUGUUAGUCUGUGUGUUGUAAUAUGUGUAUGAGUUCGGUUUCAAUUUGACUCUCUUAAUAGGUAGGGAACCCCAUUUGACAUUUUUUUGGGAGUCGUGGAGCUAGUGUGGCGAACAAUUUUCUAAGUGGGUAUGUUGAAAUAUGUGUACGUAUGAGUUUGGUUACAGUUGGAAACCUAGUUUUUUUAGUUGGGAAACCCCAUUUUCCAUUCAAAACAGAACGGAAAAAAAAUAGCUGUUCUCACGCUUAUAGAGAGACAGCAGAAGAGAAAGUUUGAAGCGGAUCCGGCCACUGGCAGGAAACCUAGUGUGUUUCAGCGGCCGAAACACUAUGGGGGCCAAAACCUGCUGUCACCCAAGUUCAGUUCAUCUAGCCCUAUCCAGUUAACCAUAGCGAAGUAUCGAAUCAACAUUUCUCCUUACAGAGCCACAAGGGAGCCGGAUAGCAAAAUGCCCAAACCUAGUAAUAUGUAAAGUCAUGGUGCAUGGGAUAAAUAAUCAUCAAACUCCCCUAACCAAAUAGAUCGAGGUUUGAGGAUCAGUAGUUUUCUGGACGCCAUUGCUCUUUGUUAAUUCGAUGGGUCGUCGUCGCGCCAAAAUCGGAGCAAGGUUUGUUGUUCCGAGAUUGGCUUGCGAGUACGUCCUUGGGCAGAUUGGAUCCGGGACCAGGAGCGCUAGCGCGGCUCGCAGGCCAAGAAGGAAGCACGCAAUGAGAGCUGGACAAAUGGUCCAGCUACGCGCUGCGCGUGUGACUUGGGCUUAGGCCUCAUGUGGUGGGUACCGCGGCCCAGGUGUGCGGGAGAAGCCUGAUCGAACUUCGAACAGACCAAAGAGACGUCCCGCUCAAAAAAAAAAACAAAGAGACGUUCCUCUAAAAAAAACAGACAUUGUCAGAGUUCGACCGAUGGAGAAAACAUCGUUAUCAUGUACCGAACCAACACGUUUUUUUCAAAUUACAUGCAUGUAUACAAUUUUCAAACUUGACAUGCAUCAGGGACGUUGCAUAUUACAAGAUGCAUAAUAAUUCUGUCUUUAAUUAGAACUCGUUCCAGAUGCAGAAAUUACACGCCCCUGCACCGUCUUUCUCAGCGUUCCAGACGGUGAUUGUACCCUAACCAGCAGUUGCUUGUCACCCAGGUAGCUGAUCUGGUAAGGUAAAAUCAAUUCCAAUGCAACGGAAUGUGAUUGAAUCUGAAUCUGUGACAUUUGUCUCGUUAAUGUUGGAUUGCUCUCUGCUCCGUCGGUUCAGCAUGGUUCAGCAUGGAUAACAAACUAGCUGUAUGUUACAAAAAAACUAGCUGUCACCUCACUAAAUAAAACUAGUACUUUGUUGGACGGAGGGAGUAACAAAGCUGCAAAUACAAGCAAACUAUAAUUGCACCUCAAAACUCACUAUUCGAAGAACACUACAAAUUAACUUCAGUUGGCACAAAAUUUACCUGAAGUGGAGUCGAUUCACUCCUACCACUAUUGUGAGCCACAGCGAUGGCACGAUGUCUUGCUAUAUUGUUUGAAUUGGAGAGAACUAAACGUAGCUAUGAUAUCCAAAAUCCAAUCUUGGUCUGUUCUAAGCCUUGGCACCAUAAUGCAUCAGUUUGCUCCAACGUCCUAAGAUUGGAUUCAAGGAGAAAAGAAUGGUACAGCGUACAUUGUGGCUUUGUUUCCUUCCUAUCUCAAGGUGCUCAUUUAUGCCGGGCCUCAUGUUGAUCAUGGCAACUGUGCUGCCAAAUGUGAUCCAUUACUUUCACAUGACUAGUGUGUUCAUCGAAUGGCGAAGUAAUGUGCUUCAUGUUGCAUGCUUUCUUUCUAAGACGAACUGAAAAAUGCUAUUCGUGUGAACCAAUGAACAUAGAAAAACUAGGCUUGUUGGCCACGCACCAAGAACAGCUCUAUGCAAGAGCAACAACAGUGAUAAAAUGUAUUCCCGUAUAAAAAGAACAAAGUAAUUGGGGCAAAUCAAUAUAAUGAAGAACAACUGAGUUCAGGCAAAAAUAGAAAAACUGGGAGGACAUCUCGCUGUAGAACGGAGGUGGGCUCUCCGAAUAUCAAAUCGAACAAGCGGCUCCGUACAAUUACAGAGUAAAAUAUACAGUCUCCGCUUCUCGACAGCUUAUAUAUAAACUGUAAGCUUAUAGGUCGGGUUUGUCCGACGUGUCACCUGACAGAUGGACCCGGUCUGUAAUGAAAAGUGUCAAAUUGUCUAAACACUUCAUUUCGGGCUUGUUGCUACAUCGUGACCGGAGGACUGUGGUUUUCCGGACAAAUUAGCAAAAGUAGAGGCUGCGUGAAAACAAUGCCCCGAAAUGUAUGGUUCUGCGAAAUUUACUCUAAUAAAUUAGUCGUCGUGAAACUACGCCGCUGCUUCUGUUUUGUUGUGGAAGGUAUGAGAAGUUAGUUCUCUUGGCAGCUAAGUAAAACACAAACGUGUCCUUCAACUUGGACCAGCCAUGUCCAUUUCUCAGUUUCCUCCCACAUCUUAAAAUUGGACAACGGGCGAGGGAAGCAUGGUUCCUUUUUAUCUCUAUGAUCGCCCCGUUCACCUUAGGGAUAGGGAUUGAUCACGAGGGAUGUGCCUUUGCGUGAUUCGCAUUUCUCAUGACUAGAUCAUACCCGCGGCUUGUUUUCUUUACGUCUUUUCUUGCCGAAUUGGAGCAUGAUAUUCGUAUACAGGGGCUUAUCCAAGGCCCGCCGGUCGAUUCCUUGGCGGCCUGGUUCAGCACGCUAGCUAAACGGUAAACAGUAGCAACGUUGGGCCCUUGGCGUUGGGCUUGGAGCAAAGAGGUACCAGCGAUCAUGUUGAUUAAAAUUAAUGUUUCUUCCCACAAAAACACCAUCCCAGCCCAAUACUGUUUGGGCCUCUCUCGGUCGAGUUUUUAGCCCAAUACAUGCAUUCAACCAAUAUAUACAUCCAGUUAAUUCAGCCCAUACCACAUUCAGUCCAACAAUGCAAUACAAUACACAGAGACAGAGCACAGUAGAUGAGACAUAGAACUCGAAUGGUCUUGGCAAAUAUAAAUUAGUGUACGUUGGUAGCAAGCCUUGCAAGGAUGGCUAGCCUAAGUAUGACGCUGCGCUUCUUAAUGAUCGAUCACAACAAAGCAUUUUGGCGCCUGCAUCUUGCAUGCACUACAUUCCUCCUGCAUAAUGUUGGCAUUAGUGUUAGUUGUGUAUCUGCACAAUAAUAAAUUUACAAAGCAUGAAGCUCGGGUGGACUAAGUGUAAAUGUAAAUAAAUCUCAUCACCAUAUGAGCUGACAGUAUAGUAAAUGAAAUAAUUAUUGACAGGCAGACAAACAAAAAUGACAAAAAACAUCUCUAAGCAUACUCAAUCCACAGACUAGACCGCCACACAUUGUGGAUAAAAAGUCCCUGGCCACAAGCUUCAAACUGCUACAAGUCAUCAAAGCCAGUUGGCGAUCCACGGUUUGAGAAGAGUAGACUAAGUACGGAGCCAAUGAGUGCGUGAAUAUAAAACCUGCAUAUUAGAGAAGAGUUCUUUCUGCUUAAAACCAUGUCAUUCUUGCAAAGCCAAAUUGCCAACAUAAAGCAGCCGCCCCAACCAUAAGAAGCGCACUCAAUCUUUUAUUACACCCCGUAACCAAGACCCAAACAUAUGAGAGACACCACGAAGGGAAAAAGAUUAGAAGUUAUUUAGACCAUUGACCACAUAGAACAUGUGACAUGACACCCAAAAAAAUGUGUACAGUAGUGUCAUCUUCAAUACAAAAACCACUUAGAACACUUAAAACUUCCAUUCCAAUUCCGCUUUAGCAGGUUGUCUUUAGUCAAGGUGACACCCCGUCGCAAGAACCAAAGGAUUUUUUUUGGAGGAAGCUUAAUUUUCCAAACCUCCUAUUUUUUUGCAAUCGGUACAUCCAGAAUGAACGAGCCUGGUACAUUGAUGUGACCCAAAAUACGCCAUUGAGAUGGAGAUUCAUGGAAACUCAUCUCGCCCAGGAAAAAGAUUCACAUUAACAAGACGAUUCAGGAGUUCAGUCCAAGCCACCAAUUUGUGUCGCCUGAAGGACAAGAAAGAAGCAAGAACAUGUGCCAAAGUGUCACGCUUAUUACGUACACUGAGAAAUAAAGACGGAUAUUGCUCUCCGAGAGAGCAACCUCUGAGCCAAGAAUACUCUCAAAAUCUCACUUUGGUAUCCGUCCUUGAUAGAGAAAGAACCGAAACGGAGAAAAUGCCGUUUGGCUAAUCAUGAUAGUUGUGCAGAAUGCUAAUUGGAUUUCUACAAGUCGGCAUCGUCCACUGCGCUUCCCUACUAUUCGUCCCUGGCCUGAGCUCUCUUGUGGCACUUACGAAAGCACAGCCAUGUUUUUUUUUCCGUGACCAAUGUCGUAGUGCCAACAGGAUGACCAUUCAGAAAUAUAUCGUAUACAACUUUGCAAGUAAGUUCAAAGUAACAUAUUUUCGCGAUCGAAACAGCUCACGGAAAAAUGUCCUCACACCAAGAACAACUCUAAACAAGAGCAACAAGAAUGAUAAAAUUUAAACUGCUGUAGAAAAAGAACUACUCAGGUCAAGCAAACAUAGGAGAACUCGAUGACACCUCGCUGUAAAACGGUACCGAUAAGGCUCUCCAAGUAGCAAACUGGAUAAAACGAAACAGCUUAGGAUAAAAAUGGACUGUACUGUACACUUACAAAUUAAAGCAAAAUAUACAAUCUCUUAGGAUCUCGACAACUUAUCUACGAACUGUAAACUGAUAGAUAAAUCCGUCGCGAUGAAACCCUCCCGCUGAUCAAAGUUCUUGUUUCUUUGGCUCCCAAGAUAUGAGAAGUUAGUUCCCUUCACAGGUAAUAAAAAUACAAAAUUCUCGUUCAACAUCGAUCAUCCUUGCCAUUUCUCAGUUUCCUCCCACAUCUUAAAAUUAGAGAACGAGGGUGAGCCGGUUAGAAGGACGGUUCCUUUUUAUCUCCAGUUUCCAUGUUCACCUUAGUAGGUGACUCGCAUUUCUCAUGACUAGAUCACACCUUUUUAUCUCCAGUUUCCUUGUUGCUUCUUUUUUCUUCUUUUUUUUAGGGGACCAUGUUGCUUCUUCUUGUUCUUCUGUUUGCGACGAGCCGAUCCAUUGUCCACCGAUCGAUUCCUUUGUCGGCCUGGCCCAGCAACAAGCUAGCUACUCAAUAAACGUAGCAGCAUGGGCCCAUAGUUGUUGGGCUUGGAACAAACAGCAAAUUCUGGCCCAGGAGCCUUCAAGCACUUGUGCUUGUCGAACUUUUCCUUUUUCGGUCCAGAAGGCAUCGGUUGAUUCAGAAAUCAGAAAAUAUUGUCCAUGUGUUAACCUUCGUGCAAAUUAAAAAAAAAAUCCCUAAAAGAAGCCCCGUGCGAGGAAGAAUCAAGUUGCACUGUAGCUGUGAUUCCUGAGCAUGUAUAUAUGCACGAAGCUGUACGUUAGAUCGGAUCUAAUGUCAUAUUGUCAACGGGCGAACGAUUACACUAGUACUUUCACCAAGAAAAUUCCAAAUCUGAAUCUCAACUCGAAUGAGUACUACAGGCCACGAGGCUUCUUGAUCCCUACUCCGUUCAGGUAAUUAAGUAGCUUGAGUAAUUAAUUGUCUGUCCAGCACCCUGUCAAAAAAAAGUAGGAACACAAUGGCCUUGUUUUCUUUCUUUUUGCUACUUUCAGAAAUCAGCCAAAAGCUGGUUUGUGUGCAAGCUAGCCUGAAUGGAUCAUUCGGAAAGUUUGUAUGUAUCCAAGAAAAACAUGGUUUAAUGCCAACAUAUCUAGUGAUCAUGUUCAAAAAAAAUAUGAACCAUUGCUGUGUGGUACGCAAAAAAAUAAAUAGACAUGUACGAUAAUCGAUAAGCAUUAUUAAAACAGUUUCCAUUUGCCAACAUUCAUGAUCAUAAGCAUAAUUAAGGUCCAUGUCCUGGUCCACAACAAUGUAGCACAAGCACAAAUUUAUAUCAAAGGAACAGGGGUGUCCCCAUGUUAAGAAUCUAUAAUUAGACAAUCUAGUGAAAGUAGGUGCACAAUUUGUUCCUUCUACACAAAUGGCCGGGAGGUAAAAGAGAACAAAGCUAGCCAUACAUAUUUUUUUUCCAGCAUGUCGCAAAAUCGGUGGUUCAAUCAUUAAUAUCUUCGCAUAUAUAUCUGCAUUUUUGUUUCACGUGCACGCCACGCCUCCUAAUCCUACUCUUAUUGUUCAAUGAUUAUACUAAUCCGGUAUAAUUAGUACCCCACAAGCUUUUGAUUUGGGGCAAAGCUAGUAGCUACAAGGCAAACCGAAACUGGAAAUCAUGACGUGCACAAGGUCGAGUACAAGUUAAAGAAAGAGCCAACAACUUGCUUGCAUCAACAAGCGAACGUACGUACGGCUCACAAAUUUCAACGUACUGUUAUGUCAUCCUGAAAUGGUUUGCAGAUUUUGGACGGAUAAUAUCAUCCUGUUAGAAAUAUAUAGAGUAUUGAUAUUUACUUCCUCCGUUUCUAAAUUUUUGUUGUUGUUUUAGUUCAAAUUUGUACUAAAACAACGACAAAAAUUUAGAAACAGAGCAAGUAUCAUUCAUGUGAGGAUACCAAAGAAUCUGAAGCCUCAUCAUGCAACGUGUCGUGUCAACGUUCUUGAUUUCCAAUUUCCAAAAUACAAGAUAUAUAGAUCGGUAAAAUGCUAAAAUUGUUCAGAAUGAAGAAGCUUCAUAACAACUUGAUCACAAAGAAGAAGAUUUGUUUUUACAAAUCACUGUAUUUACAUCCUUAUCAUCGUUCUCAGGCAUGAGAAACCUACUGAUCCGUUAGCUGUUCAUGGGAUACAUGUGUGCAUUGAAUCGUUGAUGCAUCAUCAUAUUGUCAGCAAUAAAAUGGGAAAAAUUCAUCUAUAGGAAAAAGGCCUUUGGAUGCUUGAAGAGACACAUCCUUGAAGUGAUUGGAUCGAAAACCUUGGCUCAGCUUCUUAUAUUUUCCUUUAGUUUGCUAAUAAUUUUUCUUUGCCAUGCACAUCGAUUUCUUUUCUUUUUAAUUAAGCAUGCAUAUCCCCAUGGAUAUUGAUCAUCGAGAGACUCCCCUAGAUACAACCUAAUAAGAGAUCGCACCAAGAUUUCACAAACUAUUGUUUUUCUUCUUUUGUCUAUAUAUCCUUGUUAGAUGCUGAAACAACUUUUGCUUAUUGUGGUUGCUAUGAUCAACUCUAACCAUAUAUAUUUUAGUACAAGGAAGCAACAUUCUUUAGUACAAUGACAAUGCUGACACGGGUUUCUCUGUUUACAAGAAACACACGUCAGCAAUGACAAGUGCAACUCAAAUAUUACUUCUUCCGUCCCGAAUUAACUGACAUGGAUUAUACAAAUUCGGGACGGAGGGAGUAUUACUUUAGAGCCUGUACUGGUCAAAUAUUUUUACCUUUGCUUUAGCCAUCAACAUAGAAAAUGUACCAGCAUCGAAGUACUAAUUAUAAAAACACAAUGUUUAAGGUACUCCUGUGUCAGAAGGAACGAACAGAAAGUAAUAAACCAAUCUACAACAACGUGAUCACAAAGAUAGGACACGUGCCUGGAUUUGUCUUAUACCUAAAAUGGACACGGACAGGGACGCAUCACCAUGCCGUCUCGAUCUAAAGGGUAGUAAACAAACACUUCUUCUUCUCAUGCGACUUGGACUAAACAUAACCAAGUUGUCCAUCACGUCUAUAGUAUCAGGACUGUGGAUUAAUAAAUAUUAGCAAAAAGCUCCGUGCGUUGCUACGGAAGAAAAUAAAUUGAAAAACAUGCUAGCUUAAGUUUUUAAAAGUGGUGUCUUUUGCACGUAACUACGUAUUGAGAGCAACUCUAGCAGUUACCGAAAUUUCUGAUGAAAAAACGUUAAUUCAGUCUACCGAAAACGUCUUUUCCGAUAUAAUUUCAUAUUUUAUAAUUUUUAGCCCAUAUGAAAAUUAUGUUAGCCCCGACGAGAUGCUGCUCUCCCUUCGCUCCAUCACGCAUCUAUGCGAUGCCAUGCCACAUAUAUUGGGCCUGUUUCAACCAUCAUCGAUUGGUCAAAUGAUCAAGUCCAAUCGGGUCAAAAAAAUAGAUCCAGGAAAAUGGUAAAACUAAAAUCAUAUACGGAGGGAAAUUAAAUCAAUAAAUUUUUCAGAGCAGAUCCAUGUCCUAAUUAUAUUUAGAAAGCAUGGUUUGCAUGUACCAUCAAUUAGGCCAAGAUUUCAGCAAAAAUAAAGAAAAAAUAGAGAAAAGCGUUGGUAGUAGCAACGUAGAACGCCCGCUCGGGAGCAGCUGCUGCUGCGCCGUCACUGGAGGAAGGCGCCCGCGCUACCGCCAUGCCCAUCUCCACCCUCGCGCAUCGGAUCUGCGGCUGCGACGCGCCGACGACCAACUAAGGAGGCGCCCGAUCGACCCGCCGAGGAGUGGGCGCCGCGGAGGAUCUUGACGACGCAGGCCGGACGAAGGAGCGACACUGUUGUCUUCCCCACGCGGAUCCUCGUCACUGGGAUCUGGCCGUCAACGGGACCCGGGCGCUUCGCAACUGGCAACGUGUCGUCCUACGCCUCCACCUAGUCGUCGAACGCCACCCGGCCUCUCCCGAUCUUCUGCAGCACUACCGUCGCGCCUCCGUCUUCAGACUGCAGCGCCGCUGCCGAGCUCCGCCUACCUCGCUCGUGGCUCGCCCCGCCUCUGCCAGAACACACUGUCGAUCUCCUCCACAGACUACAGCCACCCGUCCAGAUAGAUGAAGAGGGAAGGGGGCAGGGGCUCAGCGUCCUUGGUCCAGAUCGGGAGCACUGGAGGAGCGAAGAGGGCAUGGGGCGCUGGGCCGCCAGAUGCCCAGAUCGAGUCUCCUCGGGACUCGGGAGGAGGAGACGGGGCAGGGGAUGAGGAGACGGGAGUGGCCGCGCGGGCCAGAUCGGUAGUAGAGAGACCAGAGAAGGACUGGAGAGAGGGCGGCGCGGCGGGGGAGAGUAGUGGCGGCGGUGGCAUGGAGAACGAGCGAGGAUGGCGAUGAAGGGAGGAGUCGGACUUCAUGGAGGAGGCGGAUCGAGCGGUGCGAGGAAGAAGAGUUCAGGGGGGAUGAAUCGAGGGGAUAGGUGCGAGAGGGAAGGGGACAAGGGUCGGGCCACGUGCCCGCAUGAGAGGGAAGGGAGGAGUCGGACUUCGUGGAGGCGGAUCGAGCGGUGCGAGGAAGAAGAGUUUGGGGGGGAUGAAUCGAGGGGAUAGGUGCAAGAGGGAAGGGGGUAGGGGUCGGGCCGCGUGCCCCCGUGCCCGCGUGAGAGGGUCGUGCAGAAAGUAUCGAGGACGUACGUCGGUGGUUAAAAUCAAUCGGAUAAAAAAACGCUUCGGGAUUAAAAGUGGUGACAGCAGUGGCAAACUGGUAAUUUUGGUCUAGCAGGUGUUGUGCCAGUGCGUUGCUACGGGUCAACAAAAUCACAAACUAUUUAUUUUUAUUUUCCAUGUAGCCAACUCAUGGCGCCGUCGAGGUCGGCAUGUGGGUGUGGUGGCGUCGGUUGUAAGACGGGGUAGUAGAGAAAUCGUGAAAAAACUGGAGGAAAAGAAAAUAACAGACAAUGACAUAUUGGUUGUAAUUUUAACGAAGUUAACUUACGGUGACGACGACCGUACCAUCACCGCCAACUCCAAUUUAAUAGAUACGAAGAGAACUGUCAACUAACCAGUGGAGUACUCACCUAGCAGCAAUUUAAUUGUGUGGGGAGCAGCAUGUGGGUAAGUAUACUUACGUAGCAUAUCUAAUCCAACGGCCACAGCCUAAAGCAGAGUCUCUCUGUAGAAAGACCACUUUCAACUUGACGAGCAAUAACAUUUGAACAAAAAAUUUGCCCAACCUUCGACCAGACUCUCAUCACAGAUAUGGAAACGUGGAACAUGUAUAUAUGGAGGAAGAAACGUCAUUUUUGGGGGGAGUUGUAGCUUUGCGUGAGAGCGCUCGAUUGGCGCCAAAAAAGAUGAGCCGAACGUUCCAACGCUGAGAGGCUGGGUUUGUUUGAGUGCCAAUGAAUGCCGCUUUUGGAAUCUUGCUUGUGUGCACCGCUCAGGCUAAAGCACAAAGAACCUAUUUUGCCUACGUGCCUUGGUGGCUGGUGUAUAUCUCUAGCCCACGCUAGUCAUCUUCAGAGAAGAAAAGAUUGUAGUACCUUUCUUUAACAAAACAGAGUAAUUAAAGAAAAACAGAGUCAAAGCAUUCUAACUCAUGGCAGUGUAUGGUAUCAUGGUGUAGCAUGAGAGAAACAAAAUGCUACAUAAGUAGUACUACUUUUUCCGUCCAACAAAAUAUGUCUCAACUUUGUCAUAAUUUAGAUGUACGUAGACCUGACUUAGUGUAUAAAUGCAUUCAAAUUUAAUUAAAGUUAAGACAUACUUUGUUGGAAGGAAGAAUAGUAAAUUUCACUAUUUCAGUUGAAUGAAGUUGGGAGCAGAAAUGAGUUGCACAGUGGCGCGGGUAACCAAAGAACGGUGAUAACCCUCCUUGAGUUCCUAAAACGUUGUUCAAAGCUCUUUAGUGAAGGUUCAAGGUUGUGCAAAUUUUUAGGACAAAAACGAUGACGACUUGUGUCAUCGUCAUGGGUUGAUGAAACGGUUGCACGGGUAAUCAAAGAACGGUGGUCUUGUCGUUACAUGUAUGAGAGUUUUUAAUGUCUUGUUUAAAGUCUUUUGGAGACGACUCAAUCCUAUGUAAAUUUUCUAGUCCUUGCUCAUUAAUAUCAAAUAUGUUUAGUAAAAAAAAGCUGGAUCCUUAAAAAAGAAAACUCCCACAUUAGUUAUUUUCCGUCAACAUGCGAAUAACGAGGUCUCAAGCACUGAAUAACGCGUGGAUGUAAAAUAAAAAAAAUAGACAUGCGAAGAUAAAUUAGCAGCUCCCGAAGUCCAAAAAUUCAAAAUCUGGAUCUCUAGAUAUAAACAAGAAUAAUACGUGUCAGCAACAGACUGGCAAAUUCUCUCGCUAAUUAAUUGUGGAGAGUUGGUCCCUGCUGAGAGACCCCAAACCAGAAAAGGAAAAGAUCAAUUAAUCUAGCUAGGUGAGCAGCAAAGCAAUUACAAUACCAGCAGCUAGCUGACAGCAAGCAGGACCAGCAAGCAAGCAAGCAAGCCUUGCUGGCUCAGCACUCAGCAGGCAGCUGGGGCCUCGCCGCUGUGGGGACUAAAAUGUCUGCAAGGUUCCAAAAGAAAAGAAGUUGAUAUACGCUUGAUUUAGCUGGGGGGAGCUCUUUUGGUUUGUUGUAUUCAUCGGCAUUUGGCAUUUUAGUACUGCAUCUUGUCCUUGUGUAUAAAUAUGUUUUGAUUAGGCUGUCUCGUGCCAUAAUAAAGGAACACAAAAGGAAAAACUGAGUUGCCACUGUGGACCUCAUUUUUCCUUCAGAAUACCCAAUCAGCCCUUGAACCGUAUGACUACGAAGGAUGAACAAAAUCCGUACUUCUCCAGUAGCCAAUAGUGAAAAAGAGUUUGUUUAACAGGGUAAUAGAGUCAUUUCCACUAGUCAACGGUGGUCAUUGUUGGAACAAAAAAUUGACUGCGUGACACCAAUUCUGAACAAAUUUCAGUUUCAGAGUUUCUUCUCAGUCAGAAUUUUUUGGUCAGCGUGUUCUCUCGAUCUAUGCUACGGUUAAAAUUGGAAACUUCCAAUUCCCGAAGAGAGAAAUUAAUUCUAGUUCCAAUUUGUGGGCUCCUCACCAACCUCUCUCAUGACUCAUGAGGCUAGAGCCUCCAGCAUAUGCUCUUCCUGCAACCCCUCCCUCUCUCGCUCCCCCCUUCUCUCUCUCUGCACCAUGAAUAAUUUCGCCUCACUCUCUUCUGUCUAGAUUUCUGCGCCUUUGCCAAUUGGUGGGCGGCCCACCUCGGUGCUCGUGCUCCCGGCGCCCACUCUGGUGGCGGACAGCAUCGAAGCUUGAUAGUGUUGCCGAGGUUUUGAGAGGCGAAAGAUUGGGUUUUUGGUUGGGUUUUCCUGGUUCUGGGAAUCGCCCUCUCGGUUAAUCUCUCUUGCGGGGGAGUCUUUGGGUCUGGUUGGAGCAAGGAGUUGCUAGCCCAACUCUGCCGAAUCCCCGCUCCUUGGCUCCGAUUUGGAGAUUUCUUGCUGCGGUUCUUCUUCCUCCCAUUUUCGGUUCUUGCCGUGAACAGAGAGGGGGGGAGUUCGCUCUAGGGAUUUGAAGUGGCAUUCUGAUUUGGAUGAUUCUUCUCCCUUUUCUUGGCCCUUCUUCAAAGGUUGCCGUUUGCACAAGGCCAAGGCGACGCUCGUAGAUUUGAGAGAGAUCGGGGAUUCUGGAGUUCAGUCUGGGAAGUUGAAAGCUUGCUUUUUUUUUACUGUUACAAAGAUCGAUUUCGGUCAUUUGGGGAAAUCCUGGUGUGAGCUUUUGAGGCUGAAGGGAGCUAAUGGCGUCGAUAUCAGAUAGCGAGACGACCAACCAUGGGAGCAUGUGGGAGUUGGAUCAGGAUCUUGAUGAGCCCAUGGAUGAGGAGGCUAGCCGGCUGAAGAACAUGUACAGAGAGAAGGUUUGCAUAUGAAUAGUUAUCCUUGCUUGCUGAAUUUUAUAGUAUUUCUGUCUACUUUCCUAAGCAAUGAGUAUCUCAUCUGUCUUUUUGUAUCUAUCUGAAACAAAGUUGAGUGCCACUAUUUUAAUAUAGAUAGAAUCUGGAAAUAUAUGAGUGGUGAUCUUAUUCUUAGUAUAAAUACUGUUUUGCUCUAUAUCUCUGGCAUGUUCUUGUCUUUCUGAAACUCAUAUGUCCCUUCUUUUUGUUUGCAGAAGUUUUCUUCAGUUUUGUUACUGCGGCUUGCAUUUCAGAGCCUUGGUGUAGUCUUUGGUGACUUAGGUACAUCACCAUUGUAUGUUUUCUUCAAUAUCUUUCCGCAUGGGGUCGACAAUGAUGAGGAUGUUAUCGGAGCUCUUUCGUUGAUCAUUUACACCCUCACGCUCAUUCCUCUGAUGAAGUAUGUUUUUGUAGUAUUGCGGGCAAAUGAUAAUGGUCAAGGUGAGAUGUUACAUCCUUGCAAGUUUACCAAAUUUGUUGCUUUUUAAUGAGUUUUUUUUUGGUAUUUGCAAGAAUAUCGGUCCAAUUGUCAAAAAAGACUGAUUUUGGCAUUUGCAGAUGUAUUUAGUAGGAUUGUAUUUGACAGUGUUGUUAGAAUGUUAGUAAGAGUUUAGUACGGGCAAUUUCAAAUGCUCUGUAUUUUAUUAUUUUGUUAGGUUGGCGCUGGCAGUAUCUUGCAUGGUCACACCAGCAAUACUGGUGAUGUAGUUUUUCAACAGGGUUACAUGAUUCAACGUUGUAGGGCUUUAGUCUUGGCAAAUGCAAAUUUUCUGCAAUUUUACCAUUUGAUUUGAUUGACUCUGGUAGAAUCUCGCUACAUGGCAACAUUCAAGUGAUACAAUUCGAUCAAUUGGAUUUGAAUAUUAGAUGCCACAAUCGCUAGAUAGUACUCUAUUAAUCAUGAAUAUCUGUAGAGGGUGAAGUCAAAAGUGGAUUUAUUUUGUGCUCAGGCAAGAGUUAUUUAACUAUCCUUAGAUCCCAUAGUUUGUUUGCACAAUUUCAGCUAACUACUUUAUCAUUAUUUACAGGUGGAACCUUUGCCCUUUAUUCUCUACUUUGCCGGCAUGCGAAGGUCAGCACUAUACCCAACCAACAUAAGACCGAUGAAGAACUAACAACAUAUAGCCGACAGACUUAUGAGGAGAAUUCACUUGCAGCAAAAGUAAAGGGAUGGCUAGAGAGGCAUGCAUAUACAAAGAACUGUCUUCUUAUUCUCGUUCUCAUUGGUACCUGUACUGCCAUUGGAGAUGGGAUCCUUACUCCUGCUAUAUCAGGUAUUCAGCUACAUAGGUUUGUAAGUAAAACCAAUGCAAUUUAGAUCGUAACUUGUAUGUUUGUGUUCUGCAGUUCUCUCUGCAACAGGUGGGAUCAGAGUUCAGAAUCCAAAGAUGAGUACAGGUAAUUCUGCUCUUUUGUAUGGUUUAUCUUUGGGGCUGGUGUUGUGUGAAGAAUUCUUAAGUGGAGUUAGUAUACAAGAAUGUGAGCUUGACCAUAAUGAAAGAAAGAAAUCGGUGUCUGACUGUCUGUUAUAUAUCCAAAACAGUGCAUAUACAAAAAAUUUUAUCUCUGGUAGCUGGGCUGCACCGACCAUUUUUCUUGUGAUCUAGUUAGGUUCUUUAAGCAUGUUGUUCUAGUAUUGUCAUAAAAUCUUUUGAUAUUUGUUUUCUUACAUAUCCAACAGAUGUGGUUGUAGUUGUUGCGGUGAUCAUAUUAAUAGGCUUAUUCAGCAUGCAACACUACGGUACAGAUAAAGUUGGAUGGCUCUUUGCACCGUUAGUGCUCCUUUGGUUUAUUCUAAUUGGGAGUGUUGGGGCAUUCAACAUACACAAGUACAACAGUUCAGUUCUGAAGGCAUAUAACCCAGUCUAUAUCUACCGGUUUCUCCAGCGAGGAAAGUCGAUCUCGACCUCCCUUGGAGGAGUCAUGCUUAGCAUCACAGGUCAUUGGCAACUCUCUUGUAAAUUCCAUUGAUUGAUGUCAUUUUGCGUUGAUCAUAUGGUGCAGCAGAAUUACUUAUAUGACUUUUCUUUUCAGGGACCGAAGCAUUAUUUGCUGAUCUAUGUCAUUUUCCUGUAUUAGCUAUUCAGGUAUUGAACAUGAACACAUUCAGUUAAUCGAUUAUGAUCGAUACAUUUGCUUUGAUAUUAAUAUUAUCUAUGCGCAGAUUGCUUUCACUGUAGUGGUGUUUCCUUGCCUUCUCCUGGCGUACACUGGGCAGGCUGCUUAUAUUAUUGCCAACAAGGACCAUGUAGCCGAUGCCUUCUAUCGCUCCAUUCCAGGUCCAAAAACAAAAAAUGCUGUCUUACAAGAUUAUAUCAAUGCAUCAUGCCCACUAUGUGCAAAUUGGCAUAGUGCUUUACUAGUGCUGUAUGCACUAUGAUAUACUCAUGGUAACAUGUUUGAUCACUCACUGCAGAUGCCAUAUACUGGCCAGCCUUCAUUAUUGCAACUCUUGCAGCAAUAGUUGCGAGCCAAGCCACCAUAUCUGCAACUUACUCAAUUAUAAAGCAGGCUCUUGCGCUGGGCUGUUUUCCCCGUGUGAAUGUUGUACACACCUCAAAAAAGUUCCUUGGUCAGAUUUACAUCCCUGACAUCAAUUGGGUACUUAUGAUUCUUUGCAUUGCUGUGACCACUGGUUUCAAGAACCAAAGCCAGAUAGGAAAUGCAUACGGUAAGCUUUACAUUUCAAAAAUUCCUUGAGUCUACGAAUUCAUGAUUGAAUAGGGAGAAAUUGGUUUUGGUAUUUCUACUUUAUAUGCAACUGACUUAAAUUUGUAAGCUAAUUAAGUUUCACAUUGCUGCAAAAUAGAGGAUAGCUGUGGUACCUGUGGUUCAUUUCACCACUAACUACAGAGUCAGCAUUUUGUUAUCAAUAUUUUUGUACUUUAUGACAUAAUAUGACCCAGUGAGUCCGAUUCUAGAAUACCUGAACAGAAGAUAUAAUUCGCACAAGAACUAAUAGCUAGAGAAUACUAGAUGUACUUCUCUGUUUCUCCUCGUUACUAUUUGGGCCUUUGAACUUUUGUUUCUCCUCUGUUACAUCGGUAACCCCAACAUGGCGUGUCAUUUUUUGCCUUUCUAAUGAUGUGGGUCAUGGCCCUUUGGCCUAAAUGAUGUUACCUUUCUAAAAAGUGAACUAAGUCAGCAUCAUCUAGUGAGUAGUUAGCCAAAACAAAAAAACUGAAAGCGUUAAGGACACUUCGUAAAUUGACAACUAAAGUUCUAAAAGCAACUGCAACUGAACCUUCAUGAUGAACUCUGCAUUCCAUAUAUUACGCCCUACUUACUUGCAUGUGCAUGCUAUAUGAACAGGCACUGCAGUUGUGAUAGUUAUGCUGGUAACAACAUUCCUCAUGGUCCCAAUAAUGCUGCUGGUAUGGAAGAGCCACUGGAUCAUUGUUGUCACCUUCCUCGUGCUAUCGUUGAUGGUGGAGUUCCCAUACUUCACAGCCUGCAUUAACAAGGUAGACCAAGGUGGUUGGGUCCCACUUGUCGUUGCAAUCACUUUCUUCAUCAUCAUGUAUGUGUGGCAUUUCUGCACCGUAAAGCGGUAUGAAUUUGAGUUGCACAGCAAGGUCUCCAUGGCCUGGAUUCUCGGACUCGGGCCGAGCCUUGGCCUUGUUAGGGUCCCUGGGAUCGGCUUUGUUUACACCGAGCUGGCAAGUGGUGUUCCGCAUAUCUUCUCCCAUUUCAUCACCAACCUCCCUGCCAUCCACUCAGUUGUCGUCUUCGUGUGUGUAAAGUAUCUUCCAGUGUACACUGUCCCAGUCGAAGAGCGGUUUGUCAUGAAGAGGAUUGGGCCAAAGAAUUUCCACAUGUUUCGUUGUGUCACGAGGUAUGGGUACAAGGACGUCCACAAGAAAAAUGACGACUUUGAGAAGAUGCUUCUUGACAGGCUCAUGGUCUUUGUCAGACUGGAGAGCAUGAUGGAUGGCUAUUCUGAUUCUGAGGACUUCACCAUGACGGAGCACAAAACUGAGAGAUCCACCAAUGCAUUGCAGCUGACUGAAAAGGCUGGGAGCAACACAAUGUGUUCCGCUGCUGACCUGAGCUACUCUUCACAGGAUUCCAUUGUACCGGCCAAGUCACCCCUCACGGGGAACAGCUUGACAGGGUACUCGAUCCAGACAUUCGACGAUGAACUGGAGUUCCUGAACAGCUGCAAGGAUGCGGGCGUUGUGCACAUCCUCGGCAACACCAUCGUCCGAGCGCGGAGGGAUUCAGGGAUUAUCAAGAAGAUUGUUGUGGAUCAUCUAUAUGCCUUCCUUAGGAAGGUAUGCAGAGAGCACAGUGUGAUAUUCAAUGUUCCCCAUGAAAGCCUUCUCAAUGUAGGCCAGAUAUACUAUAUAUGAGACCAUCUUUUUGUUUCCUUAUGUUCGAAGUGAGCAGUUAACUGUGUAGGGCCGCUGAAAGUUGUACUGAUCAGCUCUGGAGUUAGCUUUGUUCGUCAUUUUGUUCUCGUCACAAACCAUUUAUUUUGCAGAUGGCAUGCUCUACAUAAUCUUCUUAAAUUGACGUAUUAGACAGAAAAAAGUUGUUGCAAAAUCCGAAUGCUCGUUUACCAUCCAUAUACAUUAUGCCAUAGAAUAGGCCUGGAAAAAAAGUAAUGUCCUGAAUCAUCAGGAAGAAAACCAGAAAAAACAUGAAAAACAAAAUUCUGACAGAUCCACAAAGCAGGAAAAAAUCCUGAGUCCAAGAGAGACAUGAAGAACUUUUGAGCAUCCAAGCGCCUCAUACUUAUUUCUUGCUAUCAGUUUCACUGACGAGGUUUGUUGUGUCAGCCGACAAAUUGCUGAUAAUAUUCAACCAAAGCUUCAAACCAACACAUUAAUUCACUACUCCCUCCGUUUCAAAUUAUGGGACGUUGUAUCUUUGUACUAAGUCAAAAUUUUCUAAACUUGAUUAAGGUUAUAGAAGAAUAUAUACUAACAUUUACAAUAUCUAAUAAGUAUACUAUAUAGGUAUAUAUCAUGAUGGAUUUAGUAAAACUAAUUUAAAGUUGUAGACAUUGGUAGAUUAUUCUAUAAGCUUAUUUGACAGGAAGUCAAACAUUAAGAAGUUAAACUUACGACAAAGCUAGACCAUUUUAUAAUUUUGAACAAAGUAAGUAGGUCUGUUAAAAAAAUAUGCAGGGACCUGACACCAACAGAUAUUCAUGUCGACAGCUGAUGAGGUUUGCAUCAAAAGGACGGUCUUUUUAGACCUACUAUCACAAACAGAACGAGAAGAGUCAAUCACACUUAAAAAAUUCCAGCCAAAUCACACCAGAAUGUUAACUAAGUACAAACUCUGUAGAUAUCUGUAAAAAAGCUAUGCCACUGCAAGACCUGAGACUAACAGAGACAUUCAUGUCAAAGCCUGAUGAAGUUUACAUCAAAAGGUAGCUCAGUUUACCUACUAUCAGAAACAAAAGACAGUUUAAAUAAGCACAAAUAGUCACUUUCACCAAUGUUCCAGCCAAAGCACCCCAGAAUGGUAACUAUAACAUACAAAUGCGCCGAGUCAACCACAUUAGGACACUAAUCGCACGGCUUGAUUCUCCCGCUUUCAUCAGCUACACUCAUACGUCUUGUCCACCGUUGUAAGGCGGCUCCUCCUCCUCCUCCUCCUCCUCCUCCUGCUGCUGCUCACCAUUGUAAGGGGGCUGCUGCUCCGGCUGCGGCCAAGCGAAAGCAGUUGGCAGCUGGUUUCCAUACAUUCCAAAGGGAAUGCCCAUUCCUGGGACCAUGGUCUGCAAGGUCACAGGUGGCAACACCGCGCCAUUCUCCUGCAUGACGUCCACCAGGAAAUCAAAGUCGUCAUUCCUGGAGACCACAGUGGCGAUAUCAUUUUUCUGCAGUGUAUUCCUAUUGUUCUCUCUGGUUUGGAGCCACGACCUCAGCGUCAGCUCCAGAAUGAACAUCUCGCAGGCCUUCGCGAAGACCGCUGGCGCCUCACCAGCGAUCAUCUGGACGUCCUCAUCAGCCUUCAUUAUCUUCUUGAUCCUCGCGAGGGGUAGGCUGUGGGUCUUGCAGUCGGUUAUCUGCUCGAUCUCAGUCUUUCGGUCGGCCCAGAAGGUCUGAAGCUGUUGCUGAACCUCCUGCUUCUGUUGGAGUGGAAGUUGCUGCUGUAGUGGGGCGGCCGCAUAAACGACUGGACCACCAUUGGAGCCUGCAGGAAAGGCAGUGCCUGCUGAUGGAGCUCCAGAUACCAUCACUACAUCCUCUACCUUUGUCUGUGAGUGUUGAUCCAUCGCCAAGAUGCACUUCAGUCUGAACCUGCUAUAGAACGUCAAAACUUGUCAUUUACAGGAGCUUACAUGCACAAUUCAGUUGAAUGAUGUUGGUAAUUUAACCAAGAGCUACAUAAAUUACAUAAAUUACAUUAAGCUAGGUAUCCUUCAAAAGUAGGUAAGCUCCAUUCUUUUUUCUAAUGAAAAGCAUGAAGAAAAUAUUGCAGCAAAAGAAACAAAUGUAUAAACAUGGCCAAUGAAAAAGCUGUGAAUUUGCCUUAGUAAGUAAACCUGAAAAUAGUAAUUUCAUAAUUAAAAAAUUAAAAAUAUUUCUGCAAGGUGUGGAAACCCUGCAGGCAGUUUUAUUAUGAGUCUAAUUUUAAGUUAUAUAUCUACUCUAACUUCGAAGGUAAAUCGACACCCACGCCCUUCCAAAAGAAAAAUCGAUACCCACAGACACAACUUGUGCUGGGGACGCCCAGGCUGCAAAUGUUACACCAAAAGUUGGCCAGAAUACACAAUUGGCCCAACAGAGCAGUUGCACAAUUCAUGGGACACAACUAUAUAACUUUCUUAAACAAAAGAAAAUAUUAGACACGUCACUUUCCUAAAAAAAACCUAGACACAACCAAUGUACUGAUAUCCACUCGCACCUGAGGUUUAUCCUCAAAGGUAUAGGUAAACACAUACUGAUUUUUAGCUCACUUCUGCUUAGAUAAAAUUCAAUCUACAAUUCUAAAGAAAAGAAAAACAUUUACAUGUACUUUUGUCUACAUGGAAAAUGCUUUCUACUGCCGCGGUGCUAGCUGGGUAACCAACAAAUAAAACCAAACAUGUGCCAACAUACUAUAGACUAUGAACAUUGGCUCUUCGUGAACCCACAUAAAAAUAAAAAUAAAAACUGCAGGGCCACAUGCCUAAAUUCACAUCUCAAAGCAAGGCAAAAAUACCCACAUUUCUGGUUCCAUCCAAACUCAAUUUGCUAGUGUUCUGACCUGGACCGCUGUGGUUUAAGUAGCACACGGCGAGACAACGGCGAUCGGCCGACCGACCAACCCGCGGGCGCCGAAAGAAUUGGAAACGAGACGCACGAGACAAUUACCUACCCAUCCAUAUCCAGCAUCUACACGGCCCCGAUCUCGCCCGAAUAACAGUAAAAACCACACAGCAUCUAGCAUCGCUCCACGCGCCCAAGCGGCGGCCGGAUGAAGGAACCGAUUAUCGGUAGCUCGGGGCAGAGCGCACGAUCAGGAAUCGGGAGGGAGGUCGAUGCUUACCAAGGUGGUCGGGGCGGCGGAGGACAGGGAUGGCGGCGGCGCCGGCGUGCGAUCGCCGAUGGAGCCCUAGCUAGGAAUUGCAGGUGGUGGCGACGGCCGGGAGAAGAGAGGAAGACCUAGGCUUGACCCCUGCUGGACUUGGGAUUGGGACCGAGCGCCUGGGAGACAUCUGGGCCCGGUGGCAUCGCGGCCUGUAAGCCCGCCAGCCGGCAGGUGGGCCCUGCGAGAUUUGGUGGGGCCUUUGGGACACACGUGCCCACCAAAAGCCAAGAACGAGGAACCAGGGAGGUUCUUCUCUUCGAGCUUUUUAUUUAUUUAUUAUUAUUAGCUGAAAGCGCUAUCCGUUGUUUAUAAUUGUUUUUUAAACAACGGGGUCGAAGCAUCCGAAUAAAAAAUUAUAGAAUAACUAGUACUAUGUUCAUGCGUUGCUACGGAAAAAAAAAUUAGUUAAACCAUCUUCCUACAUUUUUAUCUGCGGAGAGAUUCACACAUGACCGGAUGGCCCCUCCCCAAAAGAGGAUGCCAUUUAAACAUUAUUUGAUCAAAAUGUCUACAUUUUAGAAGGUAGAACGAACUGCAAAGUGCUCGAUUGGUGCAAAAAUUUACUUCAUAAUUUAUUGAUGUUGUGGUAUGAUGAUGUUACUGGAACUUCGUUAGGGUGACAAGCGCAGGUGCGACUCCUUGUUGGUUGCUGCUGCAAGGGUAGACUAUCACCGAAAAGAUUGGUAGCAGCUUUGCCACCAGUGCAAAUGGGAACCGUCCAGGAGCAAAAUCACACAAGGAGCACUCAGAAUCAAGACGCAUAUAUCAAGGAGUACGUAGAAGAUAACAGUUCGAACAAGCCAGAGCUUCUUCUACUUCUUUCUCUUGCCCCAAUCAAAUCAAACAGGCAAAUUAAGAUGCCAUGUCCCUUGGACGCAGCUCUCUCCACAUCCAUCCCUCCUCGCUAUCUAAAACCUGCAGACGAAAAUGGUGGUGGGCGCAGUAGCUCACGUGCGUCAGAGACGGACGGCGUGGUUUUCUUUCGGACGGACGACGGAAGCGAUCAGAUUGCGCAUGGGCUCGUGCUAUACACUGCUGCCGUGUGCGAGGAGCGAGGAGGAGGUGACGAUGGAGAAGAGAGAGAUGUUCGGAUCGGGGCGGGCUGUGUACCAGGUGGAGGUGUUCGGGGUGGAAGGAGGGCGAGGGGGUAGGAUCGGGCGGCCAUGAUGGUAUCGUUGUAAUUUUUAUGAAAAAAUCUACCGACGUCUGCCAUCACCACCGUUUGUAAUUUAAUCUAUCUAGCCCUUAUUUUUUUUAAUAACUUCGUUGUCGUCCGUCGGUUAGUUUUACAAUUGAACGCCAUAGUACAUCCAGCAAGGAGUAGGGGAACGCGGUCUAUUUCCUUCGUCCGCCGGGCAUCCAGAAAACGAGCGUCCUCUCUCCACCUCCGAAGUCCCUCUGCCGCCCCUCUACCGGCCCGGCAAUCGCAUCCUCGCCGCCCCGACCUCUUCCGUCCGUCCCGAUCUCCGUCGUCCGGCCUCGGUUCCAGCUUCACUGAUGUAGGUAGGGCUGGGCGAGAAAGGGUCCCCUCUUGCCUAUUAGUAAGCGGGCCUUCAAUUCCACCGGGGUCUUACGGUCUCAUAGAGGGGGGAGAACUACCUAACUAAAGAAGAAUAGUGCUCUUUAUAAAUAAGAGUAGGCGCGGAGAUUGAGCUUUUUGCGGGGAAACUUGCAAGUCAAGUUUGGGGGGAGGCGGGCGUCGACCCAACCUUAUGAGUAUUCGGACUAUAAUAGUUCUGAUGAACAGUCACUCACUUUUGACAGUUAUACGAUUCCAGAAGAUGAUCCAGAAUUGGGUCAAUCACGUUUAUUAGAAGUUGACCCUUCGAGACUUGGACUCGAGAAGGGUAAGACACCCGAAGGGACUUCGGUUUCUGGUUCGGAGACAGACAGUGACUUCGGUUUCAGGUUAGGAAACAGACAGUUUCGGCCUCAUAGGGAGCGCCCGGGUUCCGGUUCGGAGACAGACAGCUUCGGCCCGAUAGGGACUUCGCCAAUCAACAAGGAAAGCCUGUCAAGCAAGGAAGCCACCAAGCAAACCUUUAAUAAGCAUCUCUAGCGCAGUCACUUCUCUAUAAAAGUUAUUUUCCAACCACUGCUCCAGAAAACCCCUCUAGCGGCGGUCAAACAAUGGGGUUGGUGGCGGUGAUCACGCCCGCCAUCAACUCUGCGUCACUGGAGAUUUUGGCACCGGUGGCGGGUGAAAUACCCGCCACUGCUGCUCCGAGAUCACCAAUGGCGGGUAAAAUACCCGCCACCGAAGACACACAAACCGCCACUGUAAAUCCCUCCGGCACCAACCGAAAAGUGCGUGGAGCACAUCAGUGGCGGGCGAAGAACCCGCCACUGGACAUUUUCGAGUGGCGGUCUAUGGCCACCGCCACUAGAACCUUUUCCAGUGGCGGUAGUGUCUAACCGUCACUGCUAUGUGUUCAGUGGCGGUGGCUUUUAACCACCAUUGGUACUAUUUUUUUCUGAAAAUAAAUAAAUGAAUUCUUUAUAAAAAUAAAUAUUCCUAUAGCACAGAAAUAGCAGGAAUACAGCACAGCACAGAUAAUACCAGGAAUACAGCAGCACAAUAUACAACACCAAAGAAACAGAAAUAGCAGCAAAUAUAUUACAAAGUUUCACAUGAGUUAAACAUUCAAGUCACAUGCAUGUGUAUACAAAGUGUUUGAAAGAAUGAGCCAAAAAUAAAAGUAUUCCACACAAUUUAGCCACUUUUGGCGACAAUCCCGCCACCGUAGUAAUCCCCGCUCGAUUUGAGGACCUCCUUGUUGAGGAUUUCGCCGAUGUCCUUCUGGAUCUCGUACACGAGAAUUUUUGAGUUGUGCCCUAACUCGGCGUUGGCCAGAAACCAAUUUCUCACUUCUUCGAAGGUCUUCUUCCCCUUCGGCUGGAAGUCGUUGAUGAACUGCUGAAUAGUGUGUGCGCAGUAGUAACCGCAGUAGACGGAUCCUUCAGGCUGUUGCUCGCAGGGGAAGUUGAAAUUGUGCCUGAGGGGAGCGUCAGGAUUGCGGCUGAAGUCAGUCAUCCCGUACCAUUUCACCGCGUCGCGAUAGGUUGAGUCGAUGACAUAUUUGAUCGGCCCAAAGUCACAUUGUGGUUCAUUCUCCUUGCGUCUUAGUGGAUCAAGAUAUGUGACCCCUCUCAUAUCGAGGCAGAUGGCGAUUGUCAUCCGAUGGCCGCUGUUUCACAAAAAGACGCACAUUGUAUUAGCCAAAUAAUAUAACAAGCAAGUCUUCUGACGGAAAAACAUUUAUGUAUUCAGACGAAUUGAAAACAACUUACUGUAGAUGGUACAAUCAUUAUGAAAUGGCGGUCUCUGUGCUUCGAGAUGAAUUGAGUGAGGUAUUCAAUCGCCAACCUUCUACUUUCGGCCAUCCCAUAUUGCUUCACCCUAUAGACCUCCCUCGUGUAGUGUACACACCACAGUCUUAAUAUGGCGUUGUCGAGGCACUUGCGGUUGAAGAGGUGAAACAAGUCGAGGAAGUCAAUGCCGAAGGUAACGUCGUUUUCCUUCUGGAUUUCCCCCGUAUUGGAGUCGAAAAAGCCAUAAUACUUUGGCACUCGAACCCUGAUUUCCAGAUUCUGGAGGUCUGUGCCUGAUGAUGUCACAUUCAUGUAUUUAUCAUGGAGCUCUUGCAUCUCCCGUGGCAGGCGAUACAGGUCAUCCUGGGUCACCAUCGGUUGUCCGGGGUGGAACAACAAAAAUUGGGAGAAUCGCCUAUCCACGAAAUAAGACCCAUGAGGCAAUCUAUCUCCAACACGGGGGUGGGUGGGCAUCUUCAGAAUGUCUGGCUGCUCUUCCCUAAUCCCUUCUAUCUGUGGCACGGUCUUUGGUUGUCUUCCCGUAGAAGACGACUCUUUCGCCUCCUUGGAGGAGCCCUUGCUUGCCUUGCCGCCUGUCCCCCUUUUGUUUUUCCUGCGUCUCAGGAAAUCGGAACUGUCCGGUUUCUGGGGGACCUGCAUCCCAGCAGGGGCACUUGGACGGCUCUCCAACGGGGCCGAUUGUGCUGCGGCUCUCCGAGGGACGGGUCUUGGUGCGGAUGGCUUCGGGGCUUCGGGUUUGGGCGGCGAUGGAGGAUUUUCGCCUGCAUUGUCGUCGCUGCACUCCGCCGCAGGGGAGAAGUCUCGUUCCGUGGGCUCGUAGUCGAAAGGACCGGGUGAGGCGCCAAGCGGCGAUGGAGAUGUCAUGCGCCGGGCGGGAGGUGACGGACCGAGGCGGGGGGACGGAGAUGGAGACGGUUCCGUAGUGAGGACCACCAACCUCCUAGGCCAGAUGAGGUAGGAGUUGAUGCAAUCCCUUAGGGUCAUCGCCUCUUCGUGCGGAGGAUAAGGGACCGGUUCGUCCUCAAAGCCCCUGAGCACGGAGUCCACCUGCACCCUGACCAUGUCGUCACGUGGUGCACCACGGCCGUACGCGGCAUCAGCAACCCGCGCGUGCCCAGAGGGUUCCCCACCGUCGGCGUGUGUAGCCGGCAUUUGACGCCCUUCUGCGCAUGACAAACAUGGCAACAUCAUUAAUGGAUUGGAGCAUGAUAGUGGUAUUUCACAAUUUUUCUGAGCGCGCGAAGACACUUACCGUGAGGUUCUUGUCGAGUGGCCCAAGCGGGUCAAGCUGGCACUCGGUGCCGGAGCAUCAGGUGCUCUUAUUCUACAGCGGGGACGGAUCCGAUGCGGGUGGGGUUGGUUGGAUGGGCGCCUCCGGGAAAACACCGUGAUCGAUGAAGUUGUCGACGUCACGCUGGUCCCUUGCAAGCCGCAUGAACUUCCUGAGCUCCUCCCUCGCCAACACCCGGAUCUUCUCAUCUAGUUCCUCUGAGCUCUGUUCUUUGCUGGACGCCCUUCUGCAUUUGCGGGAACCUUGCUCUUUCGCCAUCUGCCUGCGAAAGGGCCCGGAAUCGACACCUCGCAUAUGGCCCCCGUGCUCAUUUCGUUGUAGAGCGUAGCUGAUGGCAUCAUCCCACUAUUGGUUGAUAGACGAGUGGGAGCCAUCCGACUCCCACUCUGCCAUUGCACCCUGUAUACAAAAAACAACAUGCUCGGUGUUAAUGUUAUAUGUGAGUAUAAGAAGCCCAACCGAUAAAAGAAGAUGUCAGGACGAGGCCUUACGAGUGCAGCCUCUUGCUUCUCUGACAUAGGCUCCAGGCCCGCCCACCGCGAAGCAAAGUUGGGACCCUCACAGAUUUGCGGUCAUGGACGACCACAUCCAUUUGCUGGAGCGCUCACCGCGAAGCAAAGUUGGGACCCUCGGCUGUAUACCGGCUUGGUCCAAUGCGGCGUCCUCCUUCGCCCACACCUUCUCCUUUCCGGGGCCUCCACGACUGCCGAGGCGGUGGUCGAAGGGCCUUUUCUCACGAAGUUCCUUGCACCAUUUUUGGCUGGCCUUGAAUUCAUCUAACCUGACCCACUCCUUGAACCUCUCCCAGUCCUCCUCUGAGAUCCCCUUCCAGUGCUUGUUCACCUCUGUCUUCCAGUCUUUGCCGAUGAGCUUCCGACAGUUAUAUUGCCACGUGCUCUGGCCCUUCCUCAUGAUUUGGUGCAUCCGCCACUCCAACCGUCUCCUGAUCUCAUCAUUGGCAGGCACGAACCACUAACUUCAAAUUUCAAAAAUUAUAAACCCUAACACUAAUUAACAGCAAGGGAGAGAGAGGCCAUACCGUCGCUGGAGUUGGGGCGGCGACAGCGGGGGUCGGGGCGACGGAGACGGUCGGGGUCGUGGACGGGGUUGGGGUGGCCGGGGCGGAGGGGGCGGGGGCGGGAGCGGCCGGGGCUGAGGGGGCCGGGGCGGAGGUGGCCGGCGCGGGGGCGGCCGGUGGAGGUGGCGGCGUCGAGGCGGCCCGGCGGGGGGCCUGCGGGACGAGGGGCUUCCCGCUCCUCGUCGUUCGCUGCGACCCCCCGGCCCCAGAUUUGUCGUUCUGUGACAUGGCGGCGGCGGGGAAGGGUGGCGGUGGCGGAAUUGGGCAGGGCUUUGCCUAGGGUUUCGGGGAUGAGCGCUGCUGGUCUGUGAGAAAGACGCGCGUCUCGGAUACAAAAAUUUCGCGAAGUCUCGCCCUGUAAUAUAUAUAGGAAGGGUCUCCAAUGGCGGGUAUUCCGCGGAUGCCGGCCACUGGAGACCCUUCCUAGGGUUACCGGUGCUGGAGACCACCGGUGGCGGGUAUCUCCGGAUACCCGCCAUUGGUGAACUACGAGUGGCGGGUAUGUGGAAACCCCGCCACUGGUAAUUUGAACAGGAGUGAGGGUUAACCACAUCCCUGUUCCACGCACCAGUGGCGGUGGUGUUGCAUAUACCCGCCACUAGUUAUUAUUUUGGCUCUAGUAUUAUAUUGUUAUUAUAUUUUGUGUCUCUCUGAAAAUUAUGGCACCUGUACUUUCAAGUGUAUAAUAAUUAUUUCUUGUCUCACUAAAGAUUUCAAUGCUAAAUACAUUGCUGAAAUUCAAAUACUUAUGCUUUUGUAGUGUUUACUAUGGUUAAAAAUUGUUAUAAAUUACAAAAUUGCUCAGAAUGGUCUGAUAUUUGGCAUGGAGGCUGCUCACACAACAAUAUGCCUGUAUAUGAAGUUUGGUGUCAAAAUUCCAAAUGAAGCACAUAAGAAUAACAUAUUGGGAUCAUCUAGGUAGAUAUCUCUGAUACCUUCUAAGCCAACAUCCAAAUGGUAACAUUAUAACAACUUUGGGCUUGAUUUUUUCCACGUGGCUUCAUUGGACUGAGAGGUGUUCUCAUGCUAAGUUUCAGCUCAUUUUGAUGAAAAUUGAAUUUUAUGGAAUUAAAUUAGCACCAAAGCCACACAUAAUCACAGAAAUUUGUAUGAAAUACUAUGAAUUAAUGUCUAAAACUUGUAUUGGGAACAAAGAAUAUUACUAUACACUUAAAAGUACAACUGCUAUAUUUUUUGGAAACGCAGAGAAUAUAAUAGGAUUAUAAUAGUGCAUUCUGAAAUCAUUACCAGUGGCGGGUUUCAUGAAAAUAACCGCCACUGGUGAUUUGGAGAAGAUGUGGGGAAUCCCAAGUCCUGUAGCACUCACCAGUGGCGGGUUUCAGUGAAAUCACCGCCACUGGUGGUUGCUUCCGGUGGCGGGUUUACCUGUAAUCACCGCCACUGGUACCCCUUGUGCGGCCUCGCUAGUUUACGAGCGAUUCGACCAGCAUAAAUAGCUUCCUCCCCUCCCUUUGCAGAUUCCAAAUAAAAUCAAAUGCCGCUCUCGCCUCUACUCCCGUUCGCCUGGCCUGUGGGCUCGGUACUCUCUGUGUGCACUGGUGGGCUCGGAUUAUAGCCCUGUGGGCCCGUGCUCUUCUAGCCUAGUAGGUAGUAGGCAGCUCCCAUGUUCUCGUCUGGCUGGGCUCGAACCUGAAACAGCCUAGUUGAUCGGGUGGGCUAAUUUUUUUUUUGCCUCCUUUUCUGGUAGCACGCAACAAUGGCGGGUUUCACGGAAAUCACCGCCACUGCUGUCCAUUCCAGUGGCAGUGUUCCUGGUAAUAAUCGCCACUGGUACCCUUCCAGUGGCGGUUUUCCUUGUAAUAACCGCCACUGGUGUCCUUCUGCGGGCUCCGUGCGAGGCGAGGUGGGAGUUUAGUCCCACCUCGCUAGUUUACGAGCGGUUCGACCAGCAUAUAAGGCUUUCCUCCCUUCUCUCAUCAGCUUCCGAUGAAUCCUCUCGCCUGUCUCCUGUGCUCCUCGCCUGGCCCGUGGGCCCGGUGCUUGUACUGUUCUUUGUGGGCUCGGAUAAGAGUCCCGUGGGCCCGGGUCCGCUCCGGCCUAGUAGGUAGUAGGCUGCUCCCGGGUUCGCCUGCCUGGGCCCGAACCUGAACAGCCUAGUUGACCCGGGUGGGCUUUAAAACUUUUUUUUUCUCCUUUAUAAUGAUGAAAGAAGCAAAUAAAAUAUGCAUUCACAGUAGAAAAUUAUUGCGAACAAAUUUACGGCAUUUGUUUUCAAAUUUGAACAAGUUAAAAGAUUCGAACCUCGUUAGAAUUUAAAUUAAAUUGAAAAUAAUCAACGAGCAUAAUUGAUCAAAAUUACACAAAUAGUGAACUAUUGGACAAUCUUGUCUUUCUUCUUUGGUGUCUUCUGUUUCCUCUUAUACGUUUGGACCUCAUCGUGGCUGCUUCUGGCGUAGUUUUUCGCUAUCGGGUCUUCUACGAAGAAGACUUGUUUGCAUAUGGAAGCAAACUUCCAUGGUUCAUGCAGUGCCAACAUUCUUUUGACGUUCACCUGAUGACGGGGAAUCUCUUUUGGCAGAAUCAUUGUUGUGAACCUAUGAUCUUCAUGCGUGACAUCGUGUGCCCUCUGAUGCGAAACAUGACGAUAGUUGUGAAGGUGUAGUCAAGCUCCCAGAUCUCUUCGACCACGCUGUAGUACGCUUCAGUCUGGCCUUCGCUGGCGGUCCCCGUCUCAGCUACGAGCACUAUACCGCUGUUUUGGUACGUACUCUUACGGUCUUGAGCCUUGGUGUAAUACGUAUACCCAUUCAUUGCGUACGACUGGCAUGUCACGACGUUGCGGUCGGGAAGCCGUGACAACUUCUGGACAAUCUUCUCAUCUUCAUUCGCCGCAGCCCUCAGAUACCAAAGAUCCUUGAGCCACAUGGCGAAUGUAGAAUUGUGUUUUCGCUGGAUCCAAUCAUCAUUACUGUUAGGGUUGAGGUUUCGAAGUUCUUCGAUGUGCAUGUCGAUGAACGGCUCGACCUCUGGCGUGAGUUGCAGCACCAUUGUGUGUGCUCUUAUAAAGUCGUCCGUUCUUUGGCGGGCAUGCACAUCAAGCUCCUUCCGGCCAAGACCACCUUCACCUUCUAGCUUCCCCUUAUGUCGUGAUUCGGGGACCCCUAUGGGUUUGCGGUCCGCCAACCAAUCAGUGCAGAACUGAACACACUCUUCUGCAUGAUAGCCUUCCAUGAUGCUUCGUUCGGGACGCCCUCUGUUAUGAACAUAUCGCUUCAGCACCCCGUUGUAUCGUUCGGGCGCAAACAUGUUGUGCAGGAACGAUGGCCCUAACAACAAGAUCUCAUCAGCGAUGUGGACCAUCAGAUGGACCAUAAUGUCAAAGAACGUUGGGGGAAAGAACAUCUCACAUUCGCACAAUAUCUGUAUCAUUGCAUCCCUCGGUUGCAGGCAACGGUCCACCGUGAUGGACUUCUGGCCGAUCGUGUCGAAGAAGUCACAUAGCUUCAUGAUCGUCUCUCUCACCCAUGGCUCCAUGCAGCCUUUUAUUGCAACCGGAAGUAGCUGCGUGAGAAUCACAUGGAAGUCAUGAGACUUCAUGCCAACCAGCUUAUGGCUCUUCAUGUCAACGAGUUUCUUGAUACUGGAUGAGUAGUUUGAUGGAACUUUGAUGCCAUGGAGACACUCGCACAUUCUAUGCAGCUCGGCUUUGCUCAGACUAUAACACGCAGGUUUGCAUCGCGUAUAUAUCGUGCGUUCACCAUUCUUGUUUUCCUGCGGCACCUCUUCCUCUAUCGGCCACAGCUUCUCCUUUAUCCCCAUCCACUGCAGGUCCUUCCGUGCCUUUGGUCCAUCUUUUGACUUGUCCGCGUGGUGCAUCAUCAAGCCCAACAGGCUGUCGCACACGUUCUUCUCGACAUGCAUGACGUCUAUGGUGUGACGGCUCUGUAAGAACCUCCAGUAAGGCAGGUCCCAGAACACGGACCUCCUCUUGUACGUAAGGCCGCCACCAUCUGGACCUGCAGCCGGCUGUGCUUUCCCGGCCACGACUUCGAGGUUCCUGACAAUUUCGUAUACUUCGUGUCCAGUCAGCUCCCUCGGUUUGUGCCGCCUCUCUGCCCUCCCGUUGAAGUUUUUCUUAUCAUCCCUCCACGGGUCCUUCAUCUCCAGCCACUUACGGUGUCCCAUGUACACAAUCUUUUUUGAUUCUGGCAGGAACAACCCGUCUGUCUCGUCCCCGCACUUUGUGCACGCUUUGUACCCAUGCGUUGACUGGCAUGAUGAAUUCCCGUUCGCCGGGUAGUCAUGCACACAUGUCAGGAGAGCUGCUCGAAGGGUGAAGUCCUCCUUAUGAGCGUCUCAAACCUUUCGACCCUUCUCCCAAAGCUCCUUGAGCUCAUCCUUCAGCAGUUCCAGAUACACGUUCAGAUCAGCUCCAGGCUGCUUAGGGCCCUGUAUGAGCAUUGAUAGGUGGAUGUACUUCCUCUUCAUGACAAGCCACGGGGGAGGUUGUAUAUGAACAGGAUCACCGGUCAUGUGCUGUGUUUGCUGCUCAAGUUUCCGAACGGAUUGAUCACGUCCGUACUCAUCUGAACCUAAUGUUCCUAGGCUCUACGCCGAACUCGGGGAAUUCGUCGUCCAGAGUCCUCCAUUGAUCCGCAUCUGCGGGGUGUCUGAGGACACCAUCAUCGUUGCGGUACACGCCCUCAGGAUCGAUAUCCGCCUGAGUCGCGUCGUGGUAGAUGAACCACCUGGUCUCCUUCUCGUUCUGGAACCAACGCUCCAGCCUAGUGCCACAGGGGAGAUACCAGACCGUCUUUGCCGCCGCACCACGCUUCAAUUCUUCCUCCUCGUCGCCGUCAGGAUUGGGGUCUUUCUUCCUGUAUCGGGCUGUUUUGCAUACUAGACAGUUGUGCAUGUCUUUGUAGUCGCCCUUAUAUAUGAUGCAGUUCAGCGGACAAGCAUGGUAUCUGAUGACCUCUAACCUGAGUGGGCAUGUAACUUUCUUUGCCUCGUACGUGCUCUUAGCCAACUUGUUGCCCGGAGGAAGUACCGUACGUAGGUAACUCAGAAUCUUCGUGAAUCCCGAGUCCACGAUGUUGUAUUUUGCCUUUAUACGCAAAAGUUCGAGCGUUACUUCUAGCAAACUCUUAUCCAUGCCGGCAUUUUCAUAUAACGGUGUCUCGGCAUCCUCCCUCAGCUUCUCUAACUUAUGGGAACCCUCUCAUCCUUGGGGUCAUCCAACUGAUUAUGCAGAUGCUGAUCGUCCAGCAUUUCAACCAUCCUACCGGUUGGAACGUCCUAUACUGGAUCCAGGCCACGGUAUGCUUCUUCACCAGGCUGGUCGUCAGACUCCAUGUUUUCCAUCUCAAUGCCGCCAUUGGCUUCAAUGCCAUCCUCCCCGUGAGAAGUCCACCUUGAAUAACCUGACACAAAUCUCCGCAUGAGCAAGUGCAUCUCCACAUCCUCUGCCUCGUACAGCUUGCUGUUCCGACAUCUCACACAGGGACAACACAUCUUAUCACCCCCUUUCCUAUGCAUAUCUUCCACACCGGCAUCGACAAAAGUCUUCAGCCGCUCUAUCCACUCAACACAUAACCUGUCCUCGUACAUCCAAGCACGGCCCAUCGAGCUACAACACAAUUUUUUUAAAAAAAUUAACAAAUCAGCUUGCUCGACAAAAAUAAAGAAUUUCGGCAUGACCUUUGCUUAAAAAAUAGCAUUUUGCACUACGAAAUUCGAUGCCUGCAUCAAAAAAAAAUUACCCCCACCCACAUCGGCACGACGGCCGGUAUCACAUCGCAUAAGAAAUACACGGCACGAAGGCCGGUGUCAACACACAUUUAAUAUGUUUGAACAUGCACGUACACCGGUCCCGAGGUUAAGCUUAACCCUAGGGCUAACCCCCAGGGGCUAAGCUCCCCCAUAAGCAGCUAUAUAGAGAGAGAGCCGCAGAGAGAGAGAGCUAGAAAGAGAGCUGCAGAGAGAGAGAGAGAGCUAGAGAGAGAGAGGGAGCUCAUCCGAGCAAAAUUAAAGCGCGCGAGAGAGGGAGGAUCAUCACUAGGGUGAGGGGGAGCUCCAGAGACAGCGGGGGCAGCCCGGGAGAGCCGCCGGAGAGAGAUCGGGGCCCGAUUUCCCGCCGGCGGCCAAGGCACCAUUAAUGGCCAUUUUACAAAAUUGGAGAAGAAUAGGAGGAGGAAGAAGGGAGAGGAAGAGGGAGGAGAAGGAGGGAGAGCUACCUUCCUGCCGCCGCCAUCAAAUUUUGACAAGGCUUCGCCGCCGGUGAGAAGCAGAGCCGCAGCUGGUUCCAGACAGACGCGCGAGCUCGAACAGCUUCGGGCUCGCACAGGGGUUAUAUACAGGGAGGUCUCCAGUGGCGGGCAAAUAGAAUAACCGCCACUGACGACCUCCAGUGGCGGGCGGAGAAGUAGACCGCCACUGGAAGAUCACCAGUGGCGGGUAAGUUUAGACCCGCCACUGGUGAUCUUCCACCAGUUCCCCAACUUUAGUCCCACCUCGCUAGUUUAGAGGAGUUUCGACCAGCAUAAAUAAGAUUCAGCCGUCCCACCUACCGGUGGUUACUACUCAGUGCUCAGUGCGUUCUCCGUUCCGGUUGAGUUCUAAACGAGUGAUUGGGCGGUGCUUAAGGGGUUCAGGGAAGGGCACUGAGACUGAGUAGUACCAUCAUGUAUCAGGUGGUCUACCAGUGGCGGGUAUUUUUUAUGGCCGCCACUGGUGGUUGUUAGGGUUUCCAUGGCCAUUACCAGUGGCGGUGACAAACACCGCCACUGGUGAUGGAUCACCAGUGGCGGUGACUUGUUUCGGGACAAUAUUCACCGCCACUGGUGGUGGGGCAGCAGUGGCGGUGAUUAUCACCGCCACUGGUGGCGCUCGUGGAUGCCUCGGGAGGCCUCCAGUGGCGGUGUGUUUUUUGGUCCGUUUUAACCGCCACUGGAGGGGGAUCACGGAUGGGGUUUUCUGUAGUAGUGCUUGCGUCACGUCUCCUAUCUUCUAUGUCAUCAUCAAUGGCCAUCCUUUUGGCAAUUCCACGGCAGCAACGGAGGAAUAUGACAAGGAUGUCCUCUCUCUCCGUAUAUUUUUGCCCGAGAGUGGAUUUGUUACUCUCGAGAGCACAUUGCAUGCCCCUAUCCUAGCUGCACAUUUCCGUGGAUCCGGACCGUCCUCCCACCCUUCUUCUAUCUCUCCAGCGUGCCCCACACUCCGUCCUCCCUUCUCUCCCAACGCCGACACCCCUGUUUCUCUGCAUGCGUCGCCUCUCUCUCUCCAUCCGUCACCGCCCCACCCCUCUCUCCUGCCUCCAUGCGCCGCCUGCCGUCUCCAUCCCAUGGCCAGGCACAUCGGGCAGUGGCAUCGCCCCUCCCCUCUCUCUCUACCCCAUGUGGCAACGACGUCUCCCCUCCCUCCCUCUCUCUCUCCUCCAUAUGGAAGCAACAGGAAUCUCUCUCUUCCAUAUGGCAGCGGCUUGGAUUCUCUCUCCUCGAUAUGGCAGCGGCAGCGAAAACAUGGUGGGCGCGUCGGGCGAGCGGUAUGGCGCAAGUGCGGCGGUGCAUGCCCCUGUGCUCUAAGCUCCUCCAUAUGUUGGGCACGAAUCUCCAAGUAAUCAAGGGUGGGGAUAGAUGGCGCAAAAAGCUCGGGAGUACGUACCUAAAUCUUUCCUUUUUGCCCUUGACAACAACGAGCUUUCUAUCAGUCUGCAAGAGGCUAUAUAUAUGCUGAAUCACCACCUUCAAGGUAUUACUCUUCAGCCCCACUAUCUGCACAUUCACUCUGUCACGUACGCUGGCGAGCUGCUUAAUUAUCUUCAGGCACGUUAGCACCGUUGAAGCCAAUGCUAUUUUUGUUAUCAACUCUGGGAAAAACUCACUACUACAAAAUACCCCUUCCGUGAACCCCCUCCAGUGGCGGUUAGAAUGGGCCCAAAAAAUCACCGUCACUGGUGGUCGUUCCGGGCAUCCAGGAACAGUACCAGUGGCGGUGGCAAAUCACCGCCAUUGGUUGACCACCAAUGGCGGUGAUUCCCAUUUCAAAAUAAUCACCGCCACUGGCGGUCAUUAGGACAGCCAUUGGUGACCUCUUAGAACAGCCACUGAUGACCCCCCACCUACCAGUGGCGGUUCUAAUCUCAAACCCGCCACUGGUGAUCCCCCGAGACAGGCGAAACUUGCAAAAAUCAUAACUAAUUCAAAACAAAUUGAAACGAUGUGAUUCUUUUUGCUUAAGUCCUCAUUUUUAUUGAUUAACACGUUGGAACAAUAAUAUCACAUGGUCUUUCUCAUAAAAAUAUGAUUUUCCAUUUUUUCAAUGCAAAAAAUAAAGUAUUUAGUGAAGCAAGUACAAUUUUUAUGGUUCAAAAUGACACCUAUACAAUUUUCACACAAACUAGAACAUAUUUAAAUGUCAGUGUCCAAAGGCUUUGAAUUUUCUAGCUAUAUUUAUACUUUUCCUCAUAUAGAUGAAUUUCCAGCGCUUUCCCAAAAGUAAUUCAAAUUUGAACUACAAGUGUGUGAUAGUUUGUUCCUAAAAAAUUCAGAAAAACAUUUUAAGCUACCCAAGUAAGAAUUAUGCAAGAUUCAUAUAGGGAGUUGAAAUAUUCAACAUUUUUCUAUGGAAACAUGUGCCGACAAUUUUCACCCCAUCUUGUGAAAAUUCAAAUAAUAUGAAAAAAUUGUCAAAAAAGUCAAUUCUUCGGCAUGGAGUCCUUCUAUGUGUACUAGUUGACAUGAAAAAUGAUAAACUUGUAUUUUGACAAAUGUUCAAAAAAAAUCCUUCACAAAAUGGACUAUCAAGUAUCAAUGUUUAUGAGUUUCAAGCCAAAUGACCAAAACUACGGCCAUUUCUAUGUCAUAGUUUGUGAGAAUGAAUCCAAUUUUUGCACAGAGGUGCGUCUUCGCCUGCCGAACAAUGUUGUCAAAGAGUUUAGAAAUUUUUAGUUUUAGAAAAUGUUGUUUUCAUUUUCUAAACACAAUAAGCGAGGUAUUUUGUGAAGCAAGUACUUUAAAUAUAUCUCAAAAUGGCGCCUAACCAAUUGUAACACAAAGUAGAGCAUAUGUGUAAACUUAUAAACCAAUUUAGUGACAUUAAAUACAUGUAUAUUAUACUGAAAAUGAAAAAAAUAUUUUUUUGUAAACUCAGUAGUGGCUGUUUUUUUUUUGCAAAACCCGCCACUGGUGCUACGGCAUGGCCCAGGAACAAAAUUACAUAAGUCACCUGUGGCGGUUUUAGGGUUGUACCCGCCACUGGUACUUUAUUUGAGCCCAACAAUUUAACUGGGCCGGCCCGGUUAGACCUAGGGUUUUCACGGAUGGUAUAAAAUACCCCAUCCCCACCCUCCCUUCUCUCCGGUCUCCCCCCGAUCUCCUUUCUCCCAUCCCCUCCCCGAUCUCUUCCACGAACAUGUGCUGCUCCCCUCCAUCCCUCCCCCUUCCCUCAUGAUCUCCUCCUCCUCCUCCUCCUCUCCUCUCCAAUCGACGCCCUCCUCCCGUCCUCCGCCACGAUUACGGCCGCGGCCCCUCAUCCCCGCACGACAAGGCCCCGCCUCCGCCCUUCACGACUGGCCCCGAGCAACCCCGGUGCCGGCAGAUCUGGCCGCCACGGCCCCGAGGACGGCGGAUCCGGCCCCGACGCCGCUGGAUCCGGCCCCGCCACCACGGUACGUCCUUCCCCUCUCUCCUUCUUUCUCGGUUCUCUCUGCGUUCUCACUCUCUUUCUCCUCUCCCGCAGAAGAGGAGGACGCCGCAGUGGAGAGCUUGCCGCCGGAUCUAGCCGUCCCCGGCCUCUCCACCGCCGGAUCGGACAUGCUGUAUGCUUUGAUGAUGUGUAUGCCCUCUGUAAUUUAUUUGGUUUCUCGAUUAAUCGAUGUGUAUGCUUUCUAUUCUCUGUAAUGCUCCAGAUUUCUUUGUUAGUAUGUAUGGAUUUGUGCCUGUGUAAUUUGAUCGACCAUCGUCGACGUUCUAGUGCAAUCCAGGCCCGUGUUUUUGUGUUCAUGGCAUUUGUUGUUGAUUUUAAUGAAGAAUUAUUUCUGUGCAAUCCAGGCUACACGGGUGCUUUUUGAAAAAAACUCCUGAAAUUCGUACCAGUGGUGGUCAUAUCUACCCACCAAUACUAGUGGUAAGCACCGGUGGUGGGUUACAGCACCGCCACUGGUGCUAAUAUCACCAGUGAUGCGUGGUUGGUGGCGGGUCUUUUACCCGCCACCAACAUUGAUUUUCAACCGCCACUAGUAGCUGUUUUUGUAGCAGUGACUCCUGCUACCUGAAUAAAUAUACCAUUCCUUUUCAGCAAGCAUGUUGACCACGACUCUACCUCUCAAAUCAAAUCCAUUUUCCCCAUCCGGCCGGCCAGCAGAACCUCAAUAACAGUACUGUCUAGGACACCCCUUGAGCCUCCCUAAUAAGGAUAGAUUCUCUGCUUAAACUUCAUCAUCGAUAAAUGAUAAAAUCAGGCAUAAACUCAAUUGCUUCAUGAUGAUGUUGGAAGACUCUAAUUAUUAACUCGGCUUUUCCUCCAUCCCUACUGACUAUAUGUCUCGGUGUCAUCCUUGAUCGUGCAUCCGCCGAAUUUCGCAACACUUACUACUAUUAUUGUGAACUUUUGGUGGACACAAGUGUCAGGGAAGGAUAGGGAAAAAAAACACUUUGUCUUAAUGAUGAUGACAUAGCAUCCGGGUAUAGUCUCAAGGAGGAAAAACUCGGCCCAUGGAGUAGAGGGUCUGCCAGGUCAUCUAUAUGGAGUCUGACUGCUACACCUGGGCGCCUCAUUGACUUGGAGUGCAAGAUAGGGAAACUCUACUACCCAAAAUACCACUUGAGAUAUGAUUCUAACCGAUUAAAUAAUCUAUUCCGUAUAAACCGACUCAGGGUCUUGUAACCUGAUACGUCCAAAACAUACUAUUCCUUUUUAAGUUUCCAUCUUUGUGUUCUAUUGCUUUUAUCGAUUUUCAUUAAAGCUUUGAGCUUAAAUGUAGUUAACAGUCAUUAGGAAGUUUCUUCUUUCUUUGUUUUGUUAAUUUCAGGUAUAUAACGCAAGAGGAGAGCCCCUAGAAAAUUAGGAGGAUCAUAUAUCGGAGUCCAAUGCAGUAUACAAAAUGAGGGAUCGACAAAGGCCCCCACGGAGGUCCCGGUCAGCCAAGGGUAGGUGCCCCGGGCCGAGGGCUGCUUGCCUGGGGCUUGGGAGACUGUUGCUUUUCGAUGUACUCUUCCAUAACACUUUGGGACCCCCUAAAAAUUCAUGCACAAGAAGAUGACGAGAACGAGGCAAAGCAGCACAGAAAGUAAAACUACCAGAAAUUAUGCUUCGAGAUGGUGUAAAUCAAGGGGAGACACGUACCGCCAGAAUUGCCUCUGGUGCUUCAUCAAUCACCCCCAAAUUGCAACUCUGUAUGAGUAGGGAGUAGUUCUCCUGUCACUACAAGUAAUACGCUGAUUUUACCCCCCGCCCCCUCCCAUUUUUGUCACUAAAUUGUCACUUUUUACAUUUAUGAUGUUUUCAUGAUGAAAAAUGGACGAUAAAAAACUGACCGUCACUAAUAAGGACACCUAAUGACCUUUUUGGAGAAAUGAUCAUAAACUGUUAUGAACGAUUAGGAUCGUUAUAAAUUUUAUGAUCAAUUUUUUGGUCGCUAGUCCACCCUGGACACAUAGGAUCCGAUGUGGCAACCUUAGUGAUGAAAUUAAAUGGCCGCAAACCAAAUUUGGCCCGGUCUAGGUUGUUUGUCCAUAUAUGUCGGCCAAGCCCAAAAAAUCAAUCCAUUUUAUCAGUCCUGUCUGGUCUUCUAAAUGGGCCAUGACCAUCAUUUUGGCCCACGUUUUGUGACCCAUUUGUUCAAUUACAACCAUUUUUAUUUACUUUUUCCCAAUUCAAGUCCAAUAUUAAUUGGGCCAAGGCCUUUUUAUAAUUUAUAGUCCAGUCUAUUACUAUUUUAAGUACAUUGCUCUUAUGUCGAAUAUUGUUUGGUCCGUUGGUCACUAUGUAAAGUAUAUUUUUGGCCCAUAUGUCCAAAGUUCAUUCUUUGGACAAUUUUGCUAACAAAGCAGCAAUCACAGGACAUCUCCCUGCAACCCUAGCCAUCAAGAGAAGACCUAGCCGUCCUUUGUUGAAGGAAAUUUCAUCUCCAGCGGUUCCCCUCGUCUCUGACUGCCGUUUCAGCGUUGAGAGACGGGGGGGACCACGGAUCAACGUCUGGCAUCAGUUUUGCAGUUUCCUGAUUAGGUUUGUGUGUUCUUCACAGUGGCAUCUUGACGGUGGAGAUGACGUUGUCUAGAAGAUUUAUGUGCUGGCUCCGUCCUUGUCCUGGCGUAGGCGUCGCGUCCUACUCCAUGGAGUCAGUGGUUCUCGCAACUCUUCUUUUGGUGUUUUUGGUUUUUUUCCUUGUCAAUUCAUCAACAGAGAAGCAGUUUCACAGCUUGCCUUGUAAGGGGUGUGUCCCCGGCCGUGGUGCGUUCGACGAUCUUAGGUUCCCAUUGUUUGAGGUGGGCGACUCAAGUGGCUUUUUAAAACCUAUAAGGUUAGUCCAGCUUGUGCAAGCAUGAUGUUCUGCAAUUCCGUUACCGGUUACACGGAGAAAUGUCAAGAUGCGGAAGAUAGAUCUAGAGAUGUUGAUCUCGGAAGACCAUGAUGGAGCUUUUAGUUCUAUAGUGGAUUUUUGUUCCUUAUGUUCGUUUAGCUUGUUUCGAUCUAUUGUACUUUCUUCUAUGAAUCAAUAAAGCCAGAAGGUUCUCAAAAAAAAAAAGCAGCAAUCACAGAGAAAAUCAACACUCACACAGGAAAACAACACAUGAUUAUAAACAAUUGCAGCAUUUAAUGCUUGUAAUUUCAGCACAUUACAUUUUAUUUUUACUUAAUAUAUCAGACUACAUGACAGAGAUACAACUCAAAGUAUAAGUAAACACUUGCAACGAAUAGAGGCAACAAUUGGCUCAAGAUUGGGAGUGACAACCUAAGAAAUUAAAAGACAUUACAGAGAGAAAAAACAAUAAACAUGAAACUAAGCCCCCGAGGGUCGAGUCGGCGCGAUUCGAGCAAGCUCGGGACUUCUUUUCUUGAUAAACAAAAUGAUUGUAAUCCCCGAGGGUUGAGUCGGCUUAUCUGAAAUGUCCCCAAGAAUCAAUCUGAUUUUACUCGUCUCUGUUUCUCAGAGUCAAAAUCACCUAUAUAGAUAGGGAAAAAAAAUCUAUCCGGCGCCCGCACAUCCAGCGCAUCCAGCGCCCGCGCGGCCGCACAUGAAGCUAUCCGGCGCCUUGCCCAACGGCUGCGUCUUCUUCGCCUUCGCUCACGACGCGGCUGACGGCGGCCGGUCGUCCGCGAGGAGCAACCGCGUUGUCCUCGUCCUCGUCAACCCCAUCACCGGCGCGGCCCAGAGCGUCGAGGUGUACACGCCCGAGAGCCUGUCUGGGUUGAUCCAUGCAUGGCCAAGGUGUUGUUUGUGGCCGUGAGUGUUGAUCCAUGGCCAAGGUGCACUUCGUCAGUAUGAACCGGCUUGCUGCAGAAUGUCAGAACUUGUCAUAUGUUGGUAAUUAAAUGGAGGUUACUUCAAUUACUCGAAGCUAUUGAUAUCUUCCAAAAGUAUGUAAACCCCAUUUUUAUCUAUGACAAGCAGGGGAAAAAAAUGUUAAACACACAAUUAAAAGAACUAACUUCCCUAAUAAUUUUUUUAAUUGUGGUUUUAACAUUUCUUUUUAUAUACCAGCUUCUCAUAAUAUCUUCCAAAGGGAAUUCCCAUUCCUAACCAUGGUCUGCAUGGUGGCAGGCGGAAACCUAGGGUCAUUCUCCUGCAUGAUGUCCACCAGGAAAUCAAACGUAUCAUUCCUGGAGACCAUAGCGGCGAUGUCAUUCUUCUGCAGCGUCCUCCUAUUGUCACUCCACGAUGGUAACUAGGUACGGUACAACAUACAAAUAAGCACAGUCAACCACAAUAAGACAUUAAUCGCCCGGCUUGAUGAUUAUUCCGCCUCAGCUACGCUCAUUCAUCUUGUCCACCACUGGAAGGCGGCUGUUGCUGCUCACCAUUGUAAGGCGGCUGAUGCUGCUGCUCACCGUUGUGAGGCGACUGCUGCUGCUGCGGCUGCGGCCACGCGAAAGGAACUGGUUGCUGGUUUCCACAGUACAUUUCAAAGGUGCCCAUUCCUGGGACCAUGGUCUGCAUGGUCCCAGUCGGCAACCCCGCACCAUUGUCCUGCAUGAUGUCCACAAGGAAAUCAAAGGCCUCGUUCCUGGAGACCGCAGCGGCGAUGUCAUUCUUCUGCAGCGUCCUCCUAUUAUUUUCUCUGGUUUGGAGCCACGAUCUCAGCGUCAGCUCCUGGAUGAAGAUCUCACACGCCUUAGCUAGGAGCCCAUGCGCCUCCCCCGCGAUCAUCUGGACAUUCUCCCCGCUAGCCUUCAUGAUCUUCUUGAUCCUCGCAAGGGGAAGGCUGUGGGUCUUGAAGUCGCUCAUGUGCUCGAUCUCAUCCAGCCGGUCGCUCCAGAAGGCCUGAAGCUGUUGCUGGUGCUGGUCCUCCUGCUGCAUUGGGAGGGCUGCAUAGACUGGACCACCAUAGGGUCCUACAUGAAAGACGGUACCUGCGGGAAAGACGACGCCUGCUGGCGCAGGUCCAGAUUCCGUCCCUGCCAAAUAUGCUACAGAUGUGUCGUUUGUGGCAUCCGCCUCUGUCCUUGGCUGCGAGUGUUGAUCCAUGGCCAAAAGAUACAUGCACUUAUGUCUUAACCUGGAACAUAACGGGAGAACUUGUCAUAUGUUGGUAAUUUAAACAGGGUUCCGUAAAACAUGAUGCUAAGUAUAUCUUUCAACGAGUAGAUAAACUCCUUAAUUUUUUUCUAUGAGAAGCACGAAGAAAAUAUUAAAACCACAAUUAAAAGAACUAACUUUCCUAAAAAACAGACACAAUUAACUUCCCUGAAAAUUCAAAUAACUAGACACAAUUACACAACUAAUGUAUUAUCAUAUCCAUUUGCACCUGGAGUAGUUAUAUGUAAAUACAUAUCAAUUUUUUUUUGCUUUUGCUUACACAUAAUUACAGCGUCCUCCUAUUUUUUUCUCUGGUUUGGAGCCAUGAUCUCAGCGUCAGCUCCUGGAUGAAGAUCUCACACGCCUUAGGUAGGACCCCAGGCGCCUCCCCCGCGAUCAUGUGGACAUUCUCCCCGCUAGCCUUCAUGAUCUUCUUGAUCCUCGCAAGGGGAAGGCUGUGGAUCUUAAAGUCGCUCAUGUGCUCGAUCUCAUCCAGCCGGUCGGUCCAGAAGGCCUGAAGCUGCUGCUGGUGCUGGUCCUCCUGUUUCACUGGGGUGGCCGCAUAGAUUGGACCACCACGGGGUCCUACAUGAAAGACGGUACCUGCAGGAAAGAUGACUCCUACUGGCGCAACUCCAUAUACUGUCCCUGCCACAUAUGCUACAGGUGUGUCGUUUGUGGCAUCCGCCUCUGUCCUUGGCUGCGAGUGUUGAUUCAUGGCCAAAAGAUGCACUUAUGUCCUUCGGGGUUGGCUCCUAUUUUUCUCUCUGGGUUGGAGCUACGAUCUCAGCGUCUCUAGGAUGAAGAUCUCACACCCCUUAAUUAGCCAAGACCCCAGGCACCUCCCUUGCGACCAUCAGGACUUCUCUGGGGCAGCCUUCAUGAUCUUCUUGAUCCGCGGCCUCGCGAGAGGAACGUUGUGGGUCUUGAACUCCGAUAUCUGCUCGAUCUCAGCCAUCCGGUCGGUCCAGAAGUCCUGAAGCUGUUGCCGGGGGGUUGGUCCUCCUGCUGGAGUGGGGUGGUCGCGAUUGGGACACCCUCGGAGCCUAUAGGGUGAGUAAAUUAUGGAUUAGCCAUACUACGUUGAGUAAAGAAAUUGUAUAUGUAUAUUUAUUUAGUUCGUUUUUGCUUAGAUUAAGGUUUACCCUUUCAAAGAAAAAUGUCCUCUUUCUGGAUUAUGCAAGACAUGGCUUGUGUCAUAUGCACAUUGGGUUAGCCAGGAUGUGUCAUUCCCACAUUGGAUUAGCCAGGAUGUGUUAUACACACAUUGGGCUAGCCAUUGUGUCCUACACACAUUGGGUUAGCCAUUGUGUCCUACACACAUUGGGUUAGCCAUGAUGUGUCAUACACACAUUGGGUUAGCCACACUGUGUCAUACAUAAAUUUCCUUUCCCACGCAGCCAUUUCAAGGUGAUGUAAAAGGGUCUAGGUAUUUGAAAAAGAUGUCGAUGUUGGUUCCUGGAGUCCAAAGAUCUAUCGUUCGUUUGAAGAAGAGAAAUGAGUUGAGAGAUCAAUUCUUCAUGCUUUAGGAAUUAGGAUGUAGCAUGCAGGUUCGAAUCAUAGUGUUGUAGCACACUAAAUAUAAAACUUCUGUUUGUCGAUCCGUGGCAAUGCAUGUGCAUUUUACUAGUAGAUACUAGUAAUUAAUAGAUAAUGGGAGAGACUAAUUGGCGGUCGACCGCCAAAACCUACCUCGGCAGCCUAAUCCCAAUGGUUUUUCUUUUGCUAUUUUUGGCAACUUCAUAUUUUUUUUGACUUUUUAUUUUAAAAUAGCUUUAAUUUUAUUUUAUUUUACUUUUCAUUUUUUGAUUUCGAGCUUUUAAUCUUUCAACCUUUUAUUUUAAAAAUUAAAUUUUACAUGAUUUUGACUUUUUAUUUUUUGUUGUCGGGCUUUUAAUCUUUGUGGUUUUUAUUUUUUGAGCUUUCUACUUUUUUCCUUUUCAUGAUAAAUUUGCAAAAAAAAAACUCACCUGGGUCUACCUCCCGGGCGGUGGCGGCCUUCGGGCGGCACAACAUCGUGCGCAGCCAGAUCUGGCACGGUGGAAGGGUCGGCGGGGGGAGGGGGCAGGUGCACCAUGGCCGUCGCGGCCGAGCGCGAGGGGGGGGGGGGGGGGGCGGCGCCGACGGCCCAGCGCGAGGGGCAGGAGGGGGCCGGCGCGUGUGAGACUAAGGAGCCGGGCGUGGGAACUGGGAGCGCGUCAGGAGUCUCUUAGACUCACUACUGCAAAACAGUGUAUAUGUGACGAGUCAUCAGUGACGGGCCUCUCGCACCAGUCACUGAUGACCCCGUAUCAGUGACGGGCGCAUAAAACCCGCCACUAAUGACCCCUCAUCAGUGGCGGGCGUACCACGCCCGUCACUGAUGAACCCUCACCAGUAACGGGCGGGAAAGCCCGUCACCAAUAUCCACGUCUGAAAAAUUGCAAAAUUCACCAAAACACACAUCAGUAGCGAGCUUUUCAUCUAGGCACGCCACUGAUGACUGUUCGAGGCCAGCUUUUUUAAUGGGCCGGCCCAGCAUUUUAGGGUUUGAGGGGGAGGUAUAAAAUACCCCCUCCCCCAGCUCUUCUCUCUCCCUCUAUUUCCUCCCUCAGCCCCGCCGUCACCCAACUCCCUCUGCUCUCCUCUAGAUCUCCCUCACUUCUCUCUCUUUUCUCCACUGCCAAGCAACCCUCUCCUCUCCCCCUUCUUCUCCACUCCCGAGCAACCCCCUCCUCUCCCCCUUAUCUUCUACACGAGCCGCUUCCUCUACUCCCCUAGGUCAGGCCGCGGGCAUCGAGGGCCACUCCGGCACCGCAGGUUUUCUCUCUCUCCCUUUGUUCUCUCGUUCCCUCUUGAUUUCUUCUCUCCCUCGAUCUCUUUAACUUGCAGAUCCCCGUCGGCGGCCCAUGGGGAUGAGAUGGCAGGGUGGCACCUCCUCCACCGCAGGAAUCGUCGUCACUACCCCGGCCACCGCCAGAUCCGGUGUCCCCGACCUCGUCUCCGCCACCGCCUCUGUGCAGGUACCCUCCCUCACUCUCUUUCUCUCACGCACUUUCUCCAUCUCUCGGUUGCUUUCUCUUUCUCUCCAUUGCAGAUCGAGCCCGUCGCCGGAGUUUGAGCUUCACUGCGGAGGAGGCCGUUUGUCACUAGAUCCGGCAUUUGCGCUGCCCUCUCCACGUCUGGUGUCUGCCGCCGCCAUGGAGACGGCAAGACGAUAGGAUUUGGGCUGCAAUGGGCUGCGAUGGGUUUGGUAGGUUUUUUUUUUUGUUUUUGCGAAAAGACAUCGGUGUCGGGUGGGUAUUUGUGACCGCCACUAAUGAUGGUAUCAUCACUAACGGUCGCUCACUGGCAGGAAGUUAGUGAUGGGCGGGGAUGCGAUUUCUUGACCGUUACUAAAGACCUUUUCUGUAGUAGUGACUCUCUUUUCAUCCGCCAGGAGUGGGAUGGGCGAUCGUUUGCCAAAGAGGAAUCUCCAAUAAGAAGUGGAAAUAAUUCUUUGGUCAUGCUUUCUUGGUUAAAGUUGAUAUCGCCAAAGAUUUUGGGAGGCUAGAAAUGGCACUUCCUCUAGCAAGGACUUCUACGUAAUUGGUUGCAUGCAUGGUCAUUUUAUUAAUUCAGGUCUGGAUCUGACUCGUUAAGGCAACCAUCCACUCAUGACGUGUCAAAGAAAACGGGUCCACUACAAAAAUUAUGUUGAUCCAUAUGACGUUCACAUAUCAUCACGGGCACACUCAGGAACGUCAUCGUGGUGUAUCUGUGACGUUUCCUAGGACAAACAAGAACGUCAUGAACCUCACGUCAUAUAUUGAGUCCAAAACUUUUCUCAUAUAAUUUAUGAGGAAAUUCCCUAAUUUGCCACGAGCCAUAGGUCCAAAGUCAUUGACAAAACGCCCCAUUUCGUCAUAGGCCAUGAGCUCAAAUGCAUCGGCCCAACCCAUGCCCAAAUGUUAGUGACAACUUUUUUGAUCCCUAGCUAUCUCAAGUCUCUCCACCCUCUCCCCCCGAUUCCUCCCAUUUUUUCCAACGGCGUUGCCUCCAAGCUCCUCUGCCGAUGACGUGUGUGUCCCCCAGCUCCAUCUCUCUCGAUUAAUUACAGCUAGCAAUCAGUUCCUCGGCCCGCAGGUGGAACAAAGCUCUCCCUGUCCCACCUGCUUUGUCCUGGCUGGGGUUUUUUGGACAGACGUGCGAGGAAUGGGGAAAGGAAUUAUUUUCCGAUAAAGGGAGCUUUUAUUAAACUUAAAAUUCGCAUGAAGAAGAUACGUACAACAAACAAGUUCGCACCGGCAAUAGGGAAGGAACUAGUUAGGGUGAUUCCACUGCGCCGGCCACCGGUUCUUAGGCGUCCGCGUAGGCAUCGGAAACGGACAGCUUUGGUGCGCUGCAGAUGAGAGGGAUGGGUGGCGCGCGGGCCCAGGGCGUUCGACGAUGGAGCCCUGCUGGGCCCGGUGCCGAGUCUGGGCCCGGUGGGCUGUCAGCCUGGCACUACUCCAUCUGGCAGGCGUUGUUUACUUGUUUUCGUACAAUCGCUCAAAAAAAGAAGCUUGUUUUCGUACAGCACUGCUGAAGCAUCGGAAUAAGAAAGUUGGCUAGCUGAGCCAACGUUUACCAUCACAUCUAUAUGAAUACUACGGAAACAAAUUUCUUGGUUAAAAGGGGCAUUAUGAAAGAGAGGGGAUUUUCUAUAUGGUCAGCAAGAUGUAUACAAUGAGAGGAAAUAAUUCUAUGGUCUUAGUUCCUGGAAUCAGCAUGGAUGUUAAAAUCAAUCUCGCGCCUAAGCUUUUUGAAAGGCUAGAGUGACACUUGUCUAACGACAAGCGCUUCUACGUAAAGGGCUGCAUGGUCAUUUAAUUAUUUUAGUUAUUUUUUGCGUCAUGUCGCCUAUCUUCUUUAACUUGUCGCUAUCAAUGGCCGCCCAUUUAGCAAAUUCCAUAGCUGUCGAGGAAUACGACGAUGAUACCCUCUCUCCUGGUAUCUUUUUGUCCUUGCCGCUAACUCCUGGAGGCUGCCGCCAUCCGAAGCGAGGAGGGCGUCCGCGUCACCGCUGGCUGCCCACCACCACUCGAUUUUGUCUCCUUAUGCUCAAGGACCAUGGGCUGGAGUAAUUCAGACGAUUGGGCGCAGUGCGUCGGAGCAGGGGGUCGGGUGGCGAGCCGGAUUAGGAGGAUGGGGCGGCACCGGAUUAAAAGGACAGGGCGACGGUGCCGCAGCAGAAGGGGUGCGUGUGAUCCAAGGAGAAACAGUAGAGCUUUUUUUGAUAAUUAUGAGGGCCACAAUGCUACUUUACGAAUCUACGGGAAACCAUGCAUGUGCUUUUCUACCUGUGUGAGGACAAGGGCGUGAUAGUGACGUACCACGGGAUGAGACAUACAAGACGCAAACUGUAAACUAAGAAAUUGUUAAGAUAUGGUAAAAAUAAUUAGUCCCUUUGAUGAAAUGUGUCCUAUAAAAAACUAGGAUCAGGACGUGUAAAAAGCAUUCUAAUCCAAAAGAAGUACAUGCCAGUCUCUAAAAAAGACUUGAUGAAGAUAAAUGGACGUAGAUGAAAAAAAAAAUCCUGCAAAAUCCAAAUGCUCGUUUAGUUAUUACCACCCAAUCACCCAUAUACAUAAGCCCGCAAAAGAUAAAGAUAAGUCUGAAAUCAUCAGGAAAGCCAGAAAAAACAUCAUGACAGAUGUACAAGAUCAGGAAAAAAAAUCCCUUAGUCCAACAUAGAUACCCUUGCGCAUCCAAGAUCCAAGCGCGCACUACUGCGUUACAAGAUGUAUUUAUUGAUAUCAGUGUCUCUGACGAGGUUCCAUUGCGUCACCCGACAACUGCGGAUAAUAUUCAACCAAAGAUUUAAACCAAUAAGUUAAUGGCGCUACACAAAACCCUGUAGUGGCAAUUCCAAUAGCCGUAGAAAAGACGAUGCCCCCUGCAAAGACGUGAGAGUCGGGGACUACCAAAGAUUAAUGUCGAAGACAGAUGAAGUUUCACAUCAAAAGGUAGUUCAGUUUAGACUUUAGACAAACAACCACAAACAAGCACAAACAUUCACUUUCGCCAAGUUCCAGCCAAAUCACCCCAUAACGGUAACUAGGUACGGUACAAGAUACAAAUAUGAAAUAAGCACAAUGUAGUCAACCACAACAGGACAUUAAUCGUGAGGCUUGAUUAUCCCCACCUCUCAGGUACCCUCAUUCAUCUUGUCCAUCACUGGAAGGCGGCGGCGGCUGCUGCUGCUGCUCACCAUUGUAAGGUGGCGGCUGAUGCUCCGGCUGCAGCCACGCGAAAGGAACUGGCUGCUGCUGGUUUCCAUAGUACAUUCCAAAGGUGCUCAUUCCCAGGACCGCGGUCUGUACGGUCGCAGACGGAAACCCCACGCCAUUGUCCUGCAUGACAUCCACCAGGAAAUCAAAGGUCUCAUUUCUGGAGACCGCAGCGCCGAUGUCGUUCUUUUGCAGCGUCCUCCUAUUGUUAUCUCUGGUUUCGAGCCAUGACCUCAGCGUCAGCUCCUGGAUGAAGAUCUCAGAGGCCUUAGCCAAGAGCCCAGGCGCCUCGCUGGCGAUCAUCCGAAUGUCCUCCCCGCUAGCCUUCAUGAUCUUCUUUAUCCUCGCGAGGGGAAGGCUGUGAGGCUUGAUCUCGCUCAUGUGCUCUAUCUCAGCCAGCGUUUCGGUCCAGAAGUCUUGCAGCUUUUGCUGGUGCUGGUCCUCCUGCUGGAGGGGAUGACGCACCUGCUGCAGCGGGGUUGCCGCAUAGACGACUGGACCGCCACUGGAGCCUGCAGCAAAGACUGUACCUGCCGGAAAGGCGGCCGCGCCUGCUGGCGCAGCUCCAGAUACCGUCCCAGGUGCCACAUAUGCUACAGGUGUACUGUUGACGUUUGUGGCAUCCGCCUCUGCCCAUGGCUGCGAGUGUCCAUCCAUGGCUAAGUCUGACCUUCUACAUAAUGGGAGAACUUGUGUCAUAUAUAUGUUGUUAAUUUAAACAGGGGUACACAUAAAACAUGAUACUAACUGCUAACUAACAAAAGUAGGUAAACUCCUUUUUUUUUUCUAUGAGAAGCACGAAGAAAAUGUUACGAUCACCCUAAAAGAAUUAACUUUCCUAAAUAAGAACUAAUGUGCCAACGGUUCCAUGCAUCUAAACUCAAUUGCUAGUGUAUUGCCUAAUCUGUCGCGUGGUUCCGUAUGAAAACACAAAAAUAGUUACGAGGCCACCUAACGCUGGCAGAUUUCUCGGCCCCUCCUUGCGUGUCAGCAAACGCUCCUGUAUCCUCCCUUGUCUGGUGCCCUUAAAUUUCAGGCUUAAUUUCUAAAAUGCCACUGUGCUACAGUCCCCCGAAGUCCCAAUUGGCAUCCUUGCGUGCCAGCAAACCAAGACUGCUGUCAUGGCCGCCGCGCCGCCCACCGGGGAUCGAGAUAGAAAGAGACAGAGGGGGAGGAAUAACCCCGUCCGGAUCUCGAUCUCAGCAGCGAUGGCACUCUCUCCAACCUCGAUCUCCCAACGAGAAGAUCAGGAUGCUAGCUAGGGUUUGGCUGCUGCCGCCGCCCCUAGUAAGUACUCAUGUGUUAGAGUUCACAGAGCGAGACAACGCCGAUCGAUCCAUCGAUCGACAUCUGAAUGAGCACGCGCGGCGAGACUUAACAGGGAUCUCGCAAAAGAACAUGGCGCCGACAGAAUCGGAGACGAUAACACAGCAGAAUUUCAGAAUUACCGACCUAUCUAUCUACACGCCCUUUCCUAGAUCUCGCACGAACAAUUAGUACACACUCCAAUUGAAGUACAACAUGUACAGAAGCUAGCAUAACACGGAUCUCGCAAAUAGAACAUGGCCGGCGCCGACAGAAUUGGAGACACGGCAAGACAACACAGCAGAAUUUGAGAAACGGCCUAUCUAUCUAUUGUUCUACACACGCCCUUUCCUAGAUCUCGCACGAACAAUAGUACAUAUACACAACACAGCAGCUAGCAUAAAUUGGAGGAGAUGCGAGAAUAGAUGCGAUGUUGAAGCUUACCGGGGCUUGGGCAGCGGAGAGAGACGGGACUGGAGCACCGGCCUGGAGAUGGAAUCCUAGGAGGAGGAAGAUGGCGACGGCAAGGAGAGGGACUGAUGAGGGAGACCUUGGCUUGACCCUUGUACUAUAUAUCCGCCCACUGAUGGACUGCGAUCCAGUGCCUGCCUACUGGACUGGGUGUCAGGCAGAAUGUCUGAACUGGGAGACUUUUUGUCCAUGCCUUCCUUAUUUGGGAUAUACUAUGUACUUCGAGGCCCAGUGGGCGGCGGGCCGGGGCCUGUGUGAGUGUGAUUCGGUGGGCGCUUUGGGACACACGUGCGACGGAAAGGGAAGGAACUAGCUAGGGUGAUUCUGUCUGACAGAGACAUUCUCGAGAGCAAUUUUUUAUCUGAAGACUCUAUAUAAUUUUUGUCAACUGACAAAAAAAAACUGCGGGGUCAGAGAGCACCACCCUAGCUAAAGCCCCAGCACCGAUUACCGCUAUAAAUAUCCUAUUAAGAUGUUCCUCUCCAUGAUCAAACAUUACUCAUUGACAGUAUGUGUAGUUCUCUGCAACGAAAUAUAACUUCUUCCUAUGUAACACCUCCAAAUGGACCUUUUUUUUUACUGUACACAUUAAAUAAAGUCGACAAGUCACAUAUUUUAGAAAGAAACCCCAGAAGACACAUAAUCAAAUUAAAAUGUUAAGAUAUCUUGUAAGUUGUAACAUGAAUUAUAUUAUGAUCUAAGAUGUUAUGACCAGUAAAAUAAAAAACGGGCAUUAUUUCACUGACUUUGCUGAGAUUGUUAGGAUGUACUCUUUGUUGGUAGGAGUAUAGAACAAGAAGUAAUUCUUUUGGUCUUAGUGCCCCGAAUCAGCAUACUUUCAUGGUUAAAAUUGAUCUGACUAAAUCUUUUGAUAGGCACUUCAUCAGACAAGAGCUCGUACGUAAAGGGUUGCAUGGCCAUUUCAUUAAUUUAGUCACUUGCGUCACGUCUCCUAUCUUCUCUGUCAUCAUCAAUGGCCACCUUUGGCGCGGAGACUUAAGCAGGUGAUUGCUGGAGCAUACGCGGCGCGGCAUAUGGAUCGCUUCUACGUAAAGGGUUGCAUGGUCAUUUCAUUAGUUUAGUUAUUGCUAGCGUCACUUCGUCUAUCUUGUAUGUCUUCAUCAAUGGCCACCCUUUUGGCAAAUUCCAGAAAAGUAGAGGAAUACGACAAGGAUGCCCUCUCGCUUGGCAUCUUUUGUCCUUGCCGUUAACUCCUGGAGGCUGCCUUUGUUCGCGGCGAGGAGGGCGUCGAAGGUGUCACCGCCGGCUGCCCACCAUGAGUCUAUCUAAUCCCCUUAUGCAGUUAUGCUCAAGGAUCGUGAGCUGGAGUAAUUGAGGCAAUGGGGCCGUGUGUCAGAGCAGGGGGUCGGGCGGCGAGCCGGAUUAGGAGGAUGAGGCGGCAAGGAAGGAGAAACAGUGGAGUUUGUCUUAACAAUUAUGAGGGCCAAAAUAUUUUUUACAAAUCUACAUGAAACCGUAUAUGCGUUUUUCUUCAUAUGUGACAAGGGUGCGGUAGUGACGUACCACGGGAUGAGACAUAUACAAAUGCAAACUGUAAACAAAGAUGUGGUUUAGAUAUGUUUUUAGUCCAUUUGAUGAAAACGUGUCCUAUAGAAAGCUAGGAUCAGGACGUGUAAAGCAUUCAUAUCCAAAAGAAGUACAUGCCCGCGGUCUCUAAAAAAGACUUGAAGAUACGUAGAUGAAAAAAGUUGCUGCAAAAUCCAAAUGCUCAUUUAGUUACCACCAAAUCGACCCUAUGCAUAGGACCAGAAAGAUAAAUAUAAGUACCAAAAAUCAUCAGGAAAAAACCAAAAAAUCAUGAAAAAACAUCGUGAUAGAUCCACAAGAUCAGGAAAAAUUCCCGAGUCCAACAGAGAUAUGAAGAACUUUCGAGCAGCCAAGCGCACUGCGUCAACAAGGUUCCAUUGUGUCAGCCGACAAUUGCAGAUAAUAUUCAACCAAAGAUUUAAAGCAACAAGUUAAUGGCUACACAAAACCCUGUAGUGAGAAUUCAAUAAAACUGUAGAAGAAAAAUACCCCUGCAAACACGCGAGAGUCUGAGACUAACAAAGAUUCAUCUCGAAGACCGAUGAAGUUACACAUCAAAAGGUAGUUCAGUUUAGACCAUCUCUACAACAAACAAAAUACAACAAACAAGCACAACUUUCACCGAAGUUCCAGCCAAAUCACCCCAUAAUGUAACUAGGUACGGUACAACAUACGGAUAACCACAGCCAACCACAAUAUAAGACAGUAAUAACCCGGCUUGAUUAUCCGCCUCAGCUCCGCUCAUUCAUCUUGUGCACCACUGGAAGGCGGCUCCUGCUCCUCAGCGUCGUUGUAAGGUGGCUGAUACUGCUCCUCACCAUUCUAAGGCGGUUGCUGUUGCUCCGUCUGCGGCCACACGAAAUGAACUGGCUGCAGGUAUCCAUAGUACAUUCCGAAGUUGCCCAUUCCCGGUACCGUGGUCUGCAUGGUCCUAGUCGGCAACCCCACGCCAUUGUCCUGCAUGACGUCCACAAGGAAAUCAAAUGCCUCAUUCCGGGAGACCGCAGCGGCGAUGUCAUUCUUCUGCAGCGUCCUCCUAUUAUUUUCUCUGGUUUGGAGCCACGAUCUCAGCGUCAGCUCCUGGAUGAAGAUCUCACACGCCUUAGCUAGGAGCCCAUGCGCCUCCCCCGCGAUCAUCUGGACAUUCUCCCCGCUAGCCUUCAUGAUCUUCUUGAUCCUCGCAAGGGGAAGGCUGUGGGUCUUGAAGUCGCUCAUGUGCUCGAUCUCAUCCAGCCGGUCGCUCCAGAAGGCCUGAAGCUGUUGCUGGUGCUGGUCCUCCUGCUGCAUUGGGAGGGCUGCAUAGACUGGACCACCAUAGGGUCCUACAUGAAAGACGGUACUUGCGGGAAAGACGACGCCUGCUGGCGCAGGUCCAGAUUCCGUCCCUGCCACAUAUGCUACAGAUGUGUCGUUUGUGGCAUCCGCCUCUGUCCUUGGCUGCGAGUGUUGAUCCAUGGCCAAAAGAUACAUGCACUUAUGUCUUAACCUGGAACAUAACGGGAGAACUUGUCAUAUGUUGGUAAUUUAAACAGGGGUUCCGUAAAACAUGAUGCUAAGUAUAUCUUUCAACAGUAGAUAAGCUCCUUAAAAAAAUUUUAUGAGAAGCACGAAGAAAAUAUUAAAACCACAAUUAAAAGAACUAACUUUCCUAAAAAACAGACACAAUUAACUUCCCUGAAAAUUCAAAUAACUAGACACAAUUACACAACUAAUGUAUUAUCAUAUCCAUUUGCACCUGGAGUAGUUACAUGUAAAUACAUAUCAAUUUUUUUUUGCUUUUGCUUACACAUAAUUACAAUUUCAAAGAAAAAGAAAACAUGUUUGUACUUUUGUCUACAUGGAAACUGCAAUCUACUCGUGCCGAGCAAACAAUCCCCAUAAAACAAGGAAGUAAACAUAUAUACCGGAGUAUAGACUACGAAUAUGGGCUAUAGACUACGAACAUGGGCUCUCUUGUGAACCCACGCGGAAAUGGAAGAAAAAUAACCAUGGUAUACGCGGCCAGAGGAUAGCCCCUCCUAGAUUUGCAUCUAAAGAACAAAUCUUACAGCAAAUUAAAAUACCCCACGACCUUUUCAUCUAAACUCGAUUGCUAGUGUUCUCUAAUCUGUCGUGGUUUCCUAAAUAAGAACUAAUGUGCUAACGGUUCCAUGCAUCGAAACUCAAUUAUUGCUAGUGUAUGUAUUGCCUAAUCUGUCGUGUGGUUCCGUAUGAAAAAACAAAAAUAGUCACGAGACCUAACGCUGGCAGAUUUCUCGGCCCCGGCCCUCCUUUCGUGCCAGCAAACGCACCUGUAUCCUCCUUUUUGUCUGGUGCCCUUAUAUUUCUAGCUUAACAUAAUUAUUUCUAAAUGUCACUGUGCUACUAUACCGAAGUCCCAAACCAAGACUGGUGACAUGGCCGCCCCCCAGCAGCGAGAGAGAAAGAGACAGAGGGGGAGGAACAACCCCGGCCGGAUCUCGAUCUCAGCGGCGAUGGCGCCCUCUCUCCUCAACCUCUCCUGCUAGGAAGAACCUAGUAUAAACUAACGAAUCCAUUGUUAGAGUUCACACUUCACAGAUCGAUAACAUGUAAAAGGGCACGAGCAAGCGCAGCCGACGCGGCGAGACAAACGCCGAUCCAUCGAUCGACAUCUGAAACAUGGCGAGACAGCACGGAUCUAGCAAAAAAUCAUGGCACCGACAGAAUCGGAGAUGACAAAACAGCAGAAUUGGAGAACUGGCCCUAUCUAUCUACAUGCCUCUUCCUAGAUCUCGCACAAAUAAUACUACUCCGUACUACAUACAUACCAAGACAGCAGCUAGCAUAAAUUGGAGGUGAUGCGAGAUGAGGCCUGAGGGUGGAGGUUGUUGAUUCUUACCAAACCAGGGGCCGGGCGCUGGAGAUGGAACCCUAGGAGGAAGAUGGCGACGGCGAGGAGAGGGACUGAUGAGGGAGACCUCGGCUUGGCCCCUAUAUAUUUGCCUACUGCUGGACUGGGAUCCAGUGCCUACUGGACUGGGAGUCAGUGUCUGAACUGAAAGACUUUUUGUCUAUGCCUUAUUUGGGAUAUACUAUGUCGAUCGAGGCCCAGUGGGCGGCGGGGCCUGUGAGUGAUAUUCGGUGGGCGCUUUGGGACACACGUGCGACGAAAAGGGAAGGACAGGGAAGGAACCAGGGUGAUUCUGUCUGACAGACAUUCUUGAGAGCAUUUUUUUUAAUCUGAAAACGCUAUUUGGUGAACUGAAAAAAUCUACGGGAGAGAGGACCCUUAAAGCCCCAACAACGAACACUGAUAUAAAUAUCCUCCGAAGAUGUUCUUCUUGAUGGCCAAACCUUACUCGUUUCGUUGUCAUUUUGACAGUAGUUCUCUGAAAGGAAAUAUAACUUGUACACUAUAUUUAAUGUGCUCUUCUUUGCUACGUAAGACCUCCAAACGGACCAUUUUUUACUGUACAAAUUAAGAAAGUCGACAAGUCACAUUUCUUAGAAAAAAAACUCCACAAGACAUAAUCAAAAUUAAAAAUGUUAAGAUAUCUUGUAAGUUGUAAAAUGAACUGUAAUCUAAGAUGUUAUGACCAGUCAAAUACAAAACGUGCAUUAUUUGACUGGAUUUGCUAAGAUUGUUAGGAUGUACUCUUUGUCCGUAGGAGUAUAGAACAAGAAGAAAUAAUUCUGUGUGUCUUAGUUUCCCUGAAUCAGCAUGCUUUCAUGGUUAAAAUUGGUCUGGCUAAAGCUUUUGAUAGGCUAGAAUGACACUUCAUCACACGUAAAGGGUUGCAUGGCCAUUUAAUUUCAUUAAUUUAGUCGCUUGCGUCACGUCUCCUAUCUUCUAUGUCAUCGUCAAUGGCCAGCCUUUUGGCAAAUUCCACGGCAGCAACGGAGGAAUAUGACAAGAAUGUCCUCUCUCUCCGUAUAUUUUUGCCCGACAGUGGAUUUGUUACUCCCGAGAGCACAUUGCAUGCCCCUAUCAUAGCCGCACAUUUCCAUGGCAUCCUCCCACCCUUCUUCUAUCUUCUCUGUCAUCAUCAAUAGCCAGCCUUCUGGCUAAUUCCACGGCCAGCAACAGAGGAAUAUGACAUGGAUGUCCUCUCUCUCCGUAUAUUUUUGUCCUUGACAAGAACGAGCUUUCUAUCAAUCUGCAAGAGGCUAUAUCUAUGCUGAAUCACCACCUUCAAGGUAUUACUCUUCAGCCCCACUGUCUGCACAUUCACUUUCUCACGUACGCUGGCGAUCGAGCUGCUUAAUUAUCUGCAGGCAUGUUACCACCGUUGAAGCCAAUGCUAUUUUUGUUAUCAACUUAACUUUUUUUUCAAUCUGGGAAAACUCCUGCUACCUGAAUAAAUCUACCAUUCCUUUUCAGCAAGCAUGUUGACCACGACUCUACCUCUCAAAUCAAAUCCAUUUUUCCCAUCCGGCCGGCCAGCAGAACCUCAAUAACAGUACUCUAUCUCGGACAUCCCUUGAUCCUCCCUAAUAAGGAUAGAUUCUCUGCUUAAACUUCAUCAUCGAUACGAUAAAUGAUAAAAUCAGGCAUAAACUCAAUUAUAUUGCUUCAUGAUGAUGUUGGAAGACUCACGCUUAUUAACUCGGCUUUUCCUCCAUCCCUAUUGACUAUAUGCCUCGGUGUCAUCCUUGAUCGUGCAUCCGCCGAAUUUCGUAACACUUGAUGGAAAUAUGAGCAAUUUACCACAAGAUUUAAUAGAUAAAAACAGUAAAUAAAACAUGUGUAAUAUUGCAACCAUGAAUAAUUCGGCACAAGAAUUGAUCAACAUAAAUAGUGGGUAAAACAUGACUAGACCAAACACAGUAGUCAUGCAAGCAUAUGAACAAAACACAUCUAAAUCAAGAACUAAACAUACGAAUUGCAGCAUGAUAUCAAGUAUGGGAAAUAAUGACACGUGCGGUGCAGAGGCGGAACCGCUCGUGUUCCCGUUGCUAGACAUGUUGAUGUCGAGGAUGUCUUCAACCUCCGGGAAGAAGUCGUCGUCGGGGAAGGAGUCGUCGGAGUCCAGUGCGUUCGCGGCGAAGAGGAAGAAGACAGUAGUCGCGCGUAGCGCUCCCCAAAAACCUUAUUGCCCUUCUCUCGUACAGGACUCGUAGAGGCGGGGUUCCGGAGGCCUACUAUCCCGACCUGCGGUGCACGCCACGAGACGAGAUGGGGAAGAACGGAGCGGCAGUGCAAUGCUCUGGAACGAGAGGAGGCAGGAAUGCUGUUUCGGUGUGCUUUCUGGAGAGGAGCAGGCAACAGAGGGAGGCAAAACGAAGAGGACAAAUUCGUUUCAGCUUCUGUGCAACCAUUCAGAUUAUUUUCCAUUCACGCGUGUACAGGACUCGAAGAGGCGGGGUUCCGGAGGCCUACUAUCCCGACCUGCGGUGCACGCCGCCAGACGAGAUGGGGAAGAACGGAGCGGCAGUGCAAUGCUCUGGAACGAGAGGAGGUAGGAGUGUUGUUUCGGUGUGCUUUCUGGAGAGAAGCGGGCAACAGAGGGAGGCGAAACGAAGAGGACAAAUUCGUUUCAGCUUCUGUGCAACCGUUCAGAUUAUUUUCCAUUCAUGCGUGGCAAAAAGAUAGAGAAGCUCUCGGCUCGAGGCAUUCCCGCAACCCGCGGCGCGUGCGCGUCGUGACAAGACGAGGCGGGGGGCGGAGGAGCGCGUAGAAGCUCUCUUCUUCUCAUGCUCACACAACAGGUGGAAGAGCCCCCCCCUUAUAAGGUGGUGCAAACUCUCUUCAACUAGCAAUGUGGGACUAAACUUUUGUCCCACCUCUUGCCAUGCAUGAAUGGGCCGAAUGGGCCUUUGGGAUUUUCAGGAAUUUAUUGGACUAUAAAUUAAAUAGUGGGCUGGGCCACAUAAAUUCCAACAACACUUACUACUAUUAUUGUGAACUUUUGGUGGACACAAGUGUCAGGGAAGGAUAGGAAAAAAAACACUUUGUCUUAAUGAUGAUGACAUAGCAUCCGGGUAUAGUCUCAAGGAGGAAAAACUCGGCCCAAGGAGUAGAGGGUCUGCCAGGUCAUCUAUAUGGAGUCUGACUGCUACACCUGGGCGCCUCAUUGACUUGGAGUGCAAGAUAGGGAAACUCUACUACCCAAAAUACCACUUGAGAUAUGAUUCUAACCGAUUAAAUAAUCUAUUCCGUAUAAACCGACUCAGGCUCUUGUAAUCUGAUACGUCGAAAACAUACUAUUCCUUUUUAAGUUUCCAUCUUUGUGUUCUAUUGCUUUUUAUCGAUUUUCAUUAAAGCUUUGAGCUUAAAUGUAGUUAACAGCCAUUAGGAAGUUUCUUCUUUCUUUGUUUUGUUAAUUUCAGAUAUAUAACGCGAGAGGAGAGCCCCUAGAAAAUUAGGAGGAUCAUAUAUCGGAGUCCAAUGCAGUAUACAAAAGGAGGGAUCGACAAAGGCCCCCACGGAGGUCCCAGUCGGCCAAGGGUAGGCACCCUGGGCCCAGGGCUGCUUGCCUGGGGCUUGGGAGACUCUGCUCUUUUCGAUGUACUCUUUCAUACUCCCUCCGUUCCAAAACACAAAUCAUAAAGAUUUGUGCACUUGGACCAAGGCAGCUCUCAUUUCUAGUGCUUGACCACUCAUAUUGGAUUAAUAAUAAAUGGAUGUGAGUAGUUAUUUGCCGGGUGCGGGUACCAAGAGAAAAUAAGGUGUGUUUUGGAACAAAUGAGAAAAACCUAUAUGAGUUGUGUUUUGGAUAGGAGGGAGUAACACUUUGGGACCCCCUGAAAAUUCAGACACAAGAAGAUAUCGAUUACGAGGCAAAGCAGCACAGAAAGUAAAACUACCAGAAAUUAUGCUGCGAGAUCACUGCUUCGGAAAAGGUUAGCAGCAGCGGUCCGAAUUACACACCGGUGGCGGUAACCCGGACCGCCACUAAGCCUGCGCCACGGUAAUACCCGCCACCGGUGCUAGCCAGCACCGGUGGCGGUUUGCACAACCGCCGCUGGUAAUCCGUAGGGAGGUUAAGAAAGUGCACCGGUGACCGUGGGAAGAACUGCCACUGUUCUUUUCCGGUUUAAAAAAAAUAUUUUUUAUAUUAGAACAUUCCUGUAACAGCAAUAUAUCACAUCACAGCAAUAGAUAACAGCAUGAUAGAUAACAGCAAUAUAUAUGAGAAAAUCACACAUCCAUGAUAGAUAACAGCAUCCGUUCACAAAACUUAUUACAAAAACACAGAUAUUCAAUAUUUAACAUUGUCCAUCAAAGUUUCAAUACAUCGGCACAACCCCGCCUUCAUAAAAAUCACCGUUCUCCUUCAGGACCUCUUUGUUGAGAAUGGUGGCUAUCUUCCUCUGAAUAUCGAACACAAGAACAGCUGGGUUGUGUUCAUAUUCUGAUUCCGUCUUGAAGUAAUCCACCAUCUGCUGGUAGGUCGUCUUUGUCUUGGGCUUGAAAUUGGUGACCCAAUUGCGGAUGAUGUACGCGUAGUAGUAUCCACAGAAGACCGUACCUUGCGGCUGUUGUAUACAUGCGAAGUUUCUGUGAUAGGUUAUUUUCUUCCAGCCGUAACUUGGCAACUCAUAGUCAGUCACUGCCUUUUUCCACGCCUCUUCGAAGAGUGUUCCGACGGUUUAGAAGUCGCGCGGCUCAUAGCCUUACUUCCGGCGGAGUGGAUCAAGAUACGUCACCGACCCUUCUUCGAAAGAGAAGGCCACCACCACCCAAUGUUCGUUGUUUACAAAAAGAACACACAUUUAUAACCGAAAUGAGAACAACUUAGUGGAACGAGAAAGAAAGCAAUGGUCUUGAGAACAACUUACUCUAAAUGGUAGAGUGUAAGAACAUAACGGCGUUGCUUGUGCAUUGCGAAGAACUUAGCCAAGUAUGAGCCUUCUCUCUCGAACCCCGUUUCCAUUCCUCUAGACCGAUGGUUGCUUUGCUGAAUAAGAGAGGAUCGGCGAUGGCAACGUGUGGUUCUUUCAGGCGGAAGGACUCCCUAGUGAAGUAUACACACCAGAGUCUUAACAUGUUGUUGUCUAAGUACUUCUGGUUGAAGACGUGAAACAAGUCAAGGAAGUCCACGCCGAAGGUAAGUUCCUUCGUCUGCAGGUCCCCCGUUUCGGCAUUGUAGAAGCCAUAAUACUCUGGCACCUUCACAUUCAUCUGUUGGCCAUGUUGUGUAGAAUUAGCUGAUGCUGCCAUGUAGUAGCCAUGUAGCUCUUGCAUCUCUUGCGGCAGGCUCCUUAGGUCCUUAAGGCUGACCAUCGGUUGUCCAGGGUAGAACAUCAGCACUUUAUCGAAUUUCCUGGCCACGAAGUAGGCUCCGCCGACUAAAUCACAAGCUAUAGGGGGGCUUCAUAUUCAAAAUAUCUAGCCGGUUUUCCCAAUUCCCUUCGAUUAUUGGCGGAUUGCUGGGUUGCUCGCCCGUUGAGUCCAACUCUUUACUCUUCGAGUCACUGGAUCUCUUGCUGAUUUUGGACCCCUGUUAUUGGUGCGCCGGCGUUUCAAAACCUCGGCCUCCUCUUGAUCCUUGAAGGUCUGGGAGACCUGCUUGCCAGACGUGUACUCCAGCGCGCCCGCCACAGAUUUCCGUGGCACGGGUGCAGGUCGUGGUGGUUGUGAGGGUUGGCUGUCUUUACGGUGGGGCGGCGAUGGAUUAGGCAGCAGCACAUGAGCCGGUGCAGCGUCAUCAUCGCUGCAGUCUUGCGUUGGUCCGAAAUCGAAGCCUCCUUGCCCCGACGUUGGUGAAUCCGGACGUGCUGGCUUAUUGGGGGAUGGGCCAAGGGGCGAUGGAGAGGGAAGUCAUCGAGCGGAAGCCGGUGGAGACGCUCCGGGACACGACAAAGAGGGAGAAGGUUGGGUAGCGAGGGCAACCAACCUCCUGGGCCACUGGAUGUACGUGCCCCGGCAUUGCCCUAGAGUCACUGAUUCCUCCUCUAGAGGAUAAGGGACCGGCGUCUUGUCAAAUUCCGGGAGCACGGAGUCCACCUGCACCCUGACAUGAUCCGGGGCCAUGGGCGUGUUGUGCACGACCGGCAUUCUUCGCAUCAGCAGACCACGUGCGCCUAAGGGAUUCCCGGUGGAUGGCAUCAAUAUCCGGCACUUAAUACUCUUCUGUGCGUGACAAACAAAUUAACAUACGUACGUUAGUGUUAUGGUGUGAAGAAUGACGUAAUUGAGUGUAUAUAUACUAUGGUACCAGUAAGGAGCUUACCAGGAUGUUAUCAGAUGGGCCAUCAGGGUCAUCCGAAGUUCGGUGCCGGAGCCAGCACUGCUCUUAUAAGGUGGCGGCGAAGGAUUCGGAGUCGACUGAUGAACAUGCGGAGUCAUAGGCCUCGGUGUCACGCCCCGGUUGCCCUAAUAUGUAGCAACGAACUCCUCCAUAGUCUGGCCAGAGUCCCUUGCUUUUUUCAAGCAAGCGAAAAACUCCUCCCUCGCCGCCCUUUUCGCCACCUCUACAAUUUCUUCGUGCUUCUCAGCCUUUCUUUUACGGCUCCGGGCUUCUUUCUCUUGAGGAAAGACUUUGCGGCAAAGGGCCCCGGUUCCUAAGGCUCGAAUAUGGGCCCCGUGCUUAUUUCUUCCUAGAGCAUAGCUUAGUGGUGAAUCCCACUGUGCACGGAGCUCGUCGUGGGAGCCUUCCGACUCGAACUCGGCGACCUUGUCCUGAAAUAAGACAAAGUCGGUGUCAAUUUAUAAGUGAGUGUGUUAGAAGCUAAACUGAAAAGGAAGUGGCGGUUGAGGCCUUACGAUUAAAACUUUCUGGUCAUCGCGGAUAGGCUUCAGGCCUGCCCACUGUUCUUUUGUCAUGGUACUCCGCACAAAGGUUGUGAACCGGUCAUGACGGAGCAUUGUUGGGACAGGAGGGACUAUCCCUCUUGCCGCAAGCUUGGCGUCCUCCUUCUCCCACACCGGCUUCUUUCCCUCGAUACCACGACUACCAAGGCGGUGGUUAAAUUUCCUCUUGGCACGUAGCGCCGCGUACCACUCUUGGGUUGCUUUGAAAUUUUGAUCCUUUUCCUUCUCCUUGAACUCCUCCCAUUCCUCCUCUGUGAUCCUCGGCCAUUUCUUAUGAAUCACCAUCUUCCAAUCUUCGUUCAAAAAAGCACUGGCCAUGGUACCCCAAUUGCUGUGACCCCUACGCAUUGUGGUCUUCAUCGCUCCGAAUACUUCUUCACGGAGCACGGGAUCAGGCACCUCGAACCUCUCCCAUCCCUUGGCGUAACAAUCUUGCUUUACGCUCUCCGGCACCUCGGUCCAUCUUUGAUUGAUGUUCGUGAACUCGCGAACGAUUGCAUUGCAAGUGUUGGCGAAACACGACGCGGCCCUCUUUGGUGAUUUGGGUUCCCCCACGUCGUCAGUCCUGGUGACGAUGAAUUUCUCCUUCGUCGGCUUGUUAGACCCACGCGGCGCCUUCUUCUUCUUCUUCUUAGAAGUAGCCUGCGACGUGGUAGCCUCAGAGCCUGCAUUGAAGCCUGAAGGAUCACCGCCGCCGUGUUCAGGCUCGUCGUCUUGGCUAUGUGCUAUUGGUGUGCCCGACGAUGAAGAACCCUGAGGGGAGUCCUCAGGGUGUUCUCCAUCGCGACCCUGAGCUUCCUAUACAAUGCCCUUACAUGGAUUACUUUAAAAAUUUGAAAAAUUCGACAUGACCCGUAAUGUAAAUCUAGAAAAAUUCGGCAUGACCCGUGCUAUAAAGCUAGCGAAUUGGUCUACCCGACAAUGAUACCUGCAUAAAAAUUACCCACCCACAUAUACCCCCUCGGCGCGAUGGCCACCCCCCUAAAUUUCAACGGCCUCGGCACGAUGGCCGGGCCCACAUCAUGCAUAUGCCACAAAAUGCAUAUUUAAGACAUUUGAUAUUUGCUACUCAAGGAUAUUUGCUCAAGGAUAUUUAAGACAAAAUGCAUACCUAAGACGAAAUGCAUAGUCUAUUAAUAUAUAAUUAUAUGACAUAGAUUCAUAUUCAUUAUAUUCCUAGUCAAGGAUAUUUGCUCAUGGAUAUGAUUUUGAUCACAUUAGUCACAUAUUUGCUACUCAAGGAUAUUUGCUUGACACUUUACCCAUCGCCAAAGCAAGGAAAAAAAAUCCUAACCCUAGAACAUGGAUCACUAAACCCUAGAACAGUAAACUUAAAAAAACAAUCCUAACCCUAGCACUGACCUUGUCGCCGGCAGGCUCUCCCUCGACGCCGGCGGCCGGGGACCCCGGCGGUUUGUCGUCGCGGGGGAGCUUGGUCUCCAGAUUUUGGACCUCGUCCACAAAAUCCGGCGGGCCCGAAUCAGCCGUGCGGCGGGGCGGCAGGUUUGCCGUGGCUGACGCCGUGGAGAAGCCACGGCAGCGGCCCGUGCCGCGUGUGCGCACCAUGGCGGCAGCGGCGGUGGCGGCGGCUCGGGGACAGCGGGUCGGGGAGGAGAAGGCCGGGGAAAAGGAACGGGGUCGGGGAGGAGAAGGAACGGCUUCGGGUCGGGGUCGGCGACGCGGGUGGGGGAGGGGAACGGCGGCGGCGGCGAGUCGGCGGCGGGGCAGGGCUUCGCCCGCGUUAGUGUUCGAUGUGCCGCUGCUGGUCUGUGAGACGCGCGGGCGAAUGGUUCGAAAUUUCGCUAAGUCCAGUCGCUAUCUAUUGGCCAAGGGGAUUUUUGCACCAGCACUCGUGGCGGUUCACCAAGUAAAAUAGCCACCGGUGCUAAGCACCCGUGGCCGGUUGGUGCUUUGGACCGCCACCCGUGCUUCUCAGUGGCUAUAGCACUGGAGCGAGCACUGGUGACGGUCUAUUUGCAAAACCGGCCACUUGUGCUGCAGUGGCCGGUUUUGCAAAUAGACUGUCACCAGUGCUCGCCACCAGUGCUCCUCAGUGCCUAUAGCAAUGGAGCGAGCACUGGUGACGGUCUAUUUGCAAAACCGGCCACUGGUGCUCCACCUGUGCUCCUGCAUCUAGCACUAGUGGCGGUUUGACCGCAAAACCGCCACUGAUACUAAUUUCUGAAUCAAGUUUUAAAUUCAUAUUAAAUUAUGUGUACAUCCAAAAAUUAAAGAACCUGUCCUUUUGAGUGUAAACUACUAAUAUCAUGUCCCAUGCAAAGUUUCAAACCUAAAUACAGAAAUAUCAUCAACCAUUUAUAUGAUUAUGUUGUUCAUAUUAAAGUUAUUAAUUGCUAUAAAAUUGAAUUUUGCUCAAAAUGACCUGAAAUUUUGCAUGGAACAUUUCUAUCAAUAAACAAUCUUACAUAUAAAUUGUGGUCCAAAAAUUUAAAAGGAUGCACUUUGGUUCUUCAUUUUUUUCACAUUGCUUCUUCAUUUUGGAACCAUCUAGGUAAAUCUCUCAGAAACCAUCCAACCCCAUGAACAAAAUGUGACAUGUUUUUUUUGAUUGAACUUGAAUUUUUUUUAUGGGUGUUCUAUAGCAAUAGGGAAGUGUCCACACCAAAUUUGACAAUGUUUUGAGAAAAAUUGAAUUUUAUAGAAUUUUUAUAGCACAAAAGCCACACAUAAUGACACUUAACCAUAGAAAUUAGGGUAUAUAACAUUUGAAUUUAUGCUUCAAAACUUUAUUGAGAAUAAACACUCUUAUUAUACACAUAAAAGAACAGGUGGUGUAUUUAUUUAAAACCCAGAGAAUAUAUUAUGAAUUUAAUAGCUUAUUGGAAAUUCGUCACCAAUGGCGGUUUUUGUCGUGAGAACCGCCACUGAUAUGCGGUACACAAACUUAGGUUCUCCAAUGCUCCUGCGUAUCAUACUAGUGGCCGGUUUCUUUGCGAGCACCGCCACUAGUGCUCCAUGCUAGUGGCGGUUCCCAGCGUAGUCACCGUCACUUGUGCUCCUGCGCGUGAGGCGAAGUUUUGCGCCAACACUAGUGGCGGUUUGCUGCGUUUUAACGGCCACUAGUGCUUCAUGCUAGUGGCGGUUCGUGCGUUUUCACCGCCACUAGUGCUCCUCAGAGCGAGCUUUCGCGCAGUGGGUUGGGAGUUUUAGUCCCACCUCGCUAGUUUACAGAGAAUCUGACCAGCAUAAAUAGCCUUCUCCACCUGCACUCUCACUUCCGAAUCACAUCUCUUCCUGGCCGGUGGGCCCGGUUGUCCUCUCUUCCUGGCCUGUGGGCCCGGUUGUCGUUCCGAAACUUGGUGGGCUCGAUAAAAGCCCUGUGGGCCCGGUCAAACCUGCCCUAGUAGGUAGUAGGCAAUUCCCUGGUUCGCCGGGCUCGGCCCGAACCCGAAAAGCUGUGUUGACUGGGUGGGCUAAUUUUUUUCCAUGAAAUUUGAUAAAGUUAUUUUGAAAUUCAGAACAUAUCUAAGACAUUUGAUUUGAAAUUUGAACAAGUUAUUUAAUACAACUGAUUUCAAAUUUGAUCAAGUUUCUUCAAAUUCAGAACAUAUUUAAGACAUUUUAUUUGAAAUUUGAACAAGUUAUUUAAAACAUUAUGAUUUCAAAUUUGAACAAGUUAUUUCAAAUUCAGAACAUAUUUUUUAUUUCAAAUUUGAACAAGUAAUUAUUUAAUACAGUUGAUUUGAAAUUUGAACAAGUUGUUUAAUACAAUUGAUUUCAAAAAUCGAUCAAGUUACUUCAAAAUCAGAACAUAUUUAAAACAUUUUAUUUGAAAUUUGAACAAGUUAUUUCAAAUUCAGAACAUAUUUAAGACUUUUGGUUUCAAAUUUGACAUGAUACAAGUUACAAUUUUCAUUCAAAAGCAUCGUGAAACAUCAACUACGAAAAGAUACACAAAUAUUUAACUAUUCCACAAUCUUGUCCUUCAUCUUCUUUCUAGUCUUCUCCUUCCUCUUAUAUGUUAGGGUCUCUCUAUGGCCGCUUCUAGCGUAUGCCUCCUCUCUUGCCUCAGGUCUUGACUUCUUCCUUGUCUGAAUUGUCCGUUAUGCUUCUUCUUCUUCUUGGUUUGACGUUGGAUCAGGAAAACCUUCAUAGUCUUGUUGUGAAGUAACUCCGUCGACGCCAACUAUGCUUCUUUUCCCUCUCCUUACGACAACACGGUUCUUGCUUGUCGGGUCGUCGAUGAACAAAACUUGUUUGCAUUUUGAAACAAACUGCCAUGGUUCCCAUCUUGCCGGGAUUUUCUUCACGUCCACUUUAUGACGAGGAACCUCACGAGGCAGGGUCAUUGUUGUGAAUCUAUGAUCUUCUUUUCUGACAUCACGUGCCCAUCUAACACGGAACAUGGGGAUGGUGGUGAAGGUGUAGUCAAGCUCCCAGAUCUCUUUAAUCACGCCAUAGUACGCUUCUGUAGUGCCUUAGUUUUCAGAACUAGUCUCAGCAACCAGUACUAUACCGCUAUUUUGGUAACUGCUCUUACGAUCUUGAUCCUUGGUGUAGUACGUAUACCUGUUCAUUACGUACGACUGGUAAGUCACUAUGCAGCCGUCGGGUAGGCGCGAGAACUUUUGAGCGGUCCUUUCUUCUUCAUUUGCCGCCACCCUGGCAUAGCAAAAACUCUUGAGCCACAUGGCGAAUGUUGCAUUGUGGGUCUUGUGUAUCCAAUCAGCACUCCUGUUAGGGUACCGGUUUUCAAGUUCUUCCAUAUGCAUGUCGAUGAAAGGCUGGACCUCGUACAUAUGUUGCAGCACCAUUGUAUGUGUUCUCAUAUAGUCGUCCUCUCUCCCCAAUGAAUACACAUCUAGAACCUUCCGGCCAAGCCCACCUUCACCUUCUAGUUUGACCUUAUGUCGUGAUUCGGGUACUCCUAUGGGUUUGUGAUCCGCCAACCAAUCAGUGGCGUACUCCACACACUCUUCUACAUGGUAGCCUUGCAUGAUGCUACCUUCCGGAUGCCCUCUGAUACGAACAUACCGCUUCAGCACCGCGUUGUAUCGUUCGGGCCCAUACAUGUUGUGCAGAAAGGAGGGCCCUAGUAGGAUUAUCUCGUCGGUGAUAUGGACCAUCAGAUGUACCAUGAUAUCAAAGAAUGUUGGAGGGAAGAACAUCUCACAUUCACACAAAAUUUAUAUCAUUGAAUCCUUCAGCUGGAGGCAGCGUUCCACCGUGAUGGACUUUUGCCCGAUUGUGUCAAAGAAGUCACAAAGCUUCAUGACCGUCUCUCUGAUCCAUGGCUCCAUGGCACCUCUUAUUGCAACUGGAAGUAACUGCGUGAUAAUCACGUGGCAGUCAUGAGACUUCAUGCCAACAAGCUUGUGACUCUUCAUGUCAACGAGUCUCUUGAUGAUGGACGAGUAGUUGGAUGGAACUUUUAUGCUGUGGAGACACUGGCACAUUCUGUGUAACUCGGCUUUGCUCAAGGUGUAACACACAGGUUUACAUCGUGUCGUUAUCGUGACUUCACCAUUGUGGUCUUCCGGUGACUCUUCCUCUACCGCCCACAGCUUCUUCCUUAUGCCCAAGAACUCCAGGUCCUUCCGUGCCUUUGGCCCAUCUUUUGUCUUGUCUGCAUUGUUCAUUAGCAAGCCCAACAAGGUGUCGCACACGUUCUUCUCGACGUGCAUGACAUCUAUGGUGUGACGGCUUUGUAAGAAUUUCCAGUAAGGCAGGUCCCAAAACACCGACCUUCUUUUCCACACAGGUCCAUCGCCAUCCUUCUCUUUCGCUUGCGGAUUUGCUUUCCCGGCAACAACUUCCAAGUUCCUAAAAAUUUCAUAGAUUUUGCGCUCAGUCUUUUCCCUGGGCUUCGGGCGAGGCUCUGUCCUCCCAUUGAAGUUUUUCUUGUCCUUCCUCCAUGGGUCAUCGCGUUGCAACCACUUUCGGUGUCCCAUGUACACAAUCUUCCGUGAAACUGGCAGCCUCUGUGAGUUCGUUUCAUCCCGCACUUUGUACACGCUUUGUACCCAUGUGUGCGUUGGCAAGAUGCGUUCCCGUUCGCAGGGUAGUCAUGCACACAUGUCAGCAGAGCUGCCCAAAGGGUGAACUCCUCCUUCUUGUGAGCGUCCCAAACCUUUCGGCCCGUACUCCAAAGUUCCGCAAGUUCAUCUUUCAGUAGCUCCAGAUACACGUUCAGAUCAGCUCCCGGUUGCUUAGGGCCUUGUAUGAGCAUGGAUAGGUGGAUGUACUUCCUCUUCAUGAUAAGCCACGGAGGAAGGUUGUAUAUGAACAGGAUCGCCGGCCAUGUGCUGUGUUUGCUGCUCAUGUUUCCGAACGGAUUAAUUCCGCCCGUACUCAUCCCGAACCUGAUGUUCCUGGGCUCUGCGCCGAAGUCUGGAAACUUCUUGUCCAGGGUCCUCCAUCGAGCCACAUCGGCGGGGUGUCUAAGUACACCAUCGUCGAUACGGUACACCCCAUCAAGAUCGAUAUCCUUAUGAGUCGAGUCGUGGAAGAUGAACAAUCUGGCCUCCUUCUCGUUUUGAAACCAACGCUCCAGCCGCCUACCACACGGGAGGUACCAUACCGUCUUCGCUGCUGGACCACAAGUCACUUCUUCCUUUGGGAGGCCCUCAGGAUUGGGGUCUUUCUUCCUGUACCAGGAUGUUUCGCAUACUGGACAGCUGUGCAUGUCUUUGUAGUCACCCUUGUAUAUGAUGCAGUCCAACGGACAAACAUGGUAUCUGACAACCUCUAACCCGAGGGGACAUGCAACCUUCUUCGCUUCGUACGUGCUCUUAUGCAACAUGUUGCCCGCGGGAAGAACUGUAGAAAGGUAACUCAAAAUAUCCGUGAAUCCCGAGUCCACGAUGUUAUAUUUUGCCUUCAUUCGGAGAAGUUCGAGCGUUACUUCCAGCACACUUUUGUCCGGCCCUGCAUUUCCAUAAAAUGGUGUCUCUGCGUCCUCCCUCAGCUUUUGGAAUUUACGGGACACUAUCUCAUCGUCAACGUCAUCUAACUGUUUACGCAGGUGCACAUCAUCUAGCAUUUCGGCCACCCUGCCUUGCGGAACUUCUUGAUCUUCGCCACGGCAUGGUUCGUCAGGUGGAUCAUCAUGCUCCAUGUUCUCCAUUUCUGGGUCGCUUUCAACUUCAAUGGCAUCCUCGCCGUGACAAGUCCAACGUGAAUAACCCAACAAAAAACCGUGUAGGGGCAAGUGCAACUCCACAUUGCUUGGCAGAAGCAUCAUUGUGUUACGACAAUUGCUACAUGGACAACAUGUCAUGCCGUCCCCUUUUCUCAGCAUAUGUUCCGUGCCGACAUCAGUGAAGUCUUUCAGUUUUCUUAUCCACUCUUCGCAAUUUCUUGUCUCAUCGUACAUCCAAGCACGGCUCAUCGAGCUAAAACACGAUAAACAAACAUAAAUCAAGUUACAUAUAGUAUCACACAAAAUUUCGGCAUGACCUUUGCUAUAAAAUUUACAAAUUUUGCAAAAAAAUUGUCAAAUAAACACCCACCCACACCCACAUGUGAACACAAAUGGCACGAUGGCCGCGGAACAUGCACAUUCAACUCAUAUUUUAUUGAGAGAGAGCUUAAUUAAUCACAGAGAGAGGGGAGCAGAGAGAGAAAGGGGACCAGAGAGACAGAGGGGAGGUGGCGCACGCAGCAACCAGAGAGACGAUAGAGGGGAGGGAGAAACGGAGCUAGGGGAAGAGUGGGGGCCUCCCAAGCAAGGGGGCCGGCCGGGAUAGCUCCUGGAGAGAGAUCGAGCUCUCCCGGCCGCCGGCGCCAUUUCAGCCACAUCGAGGAAGAAGAGAAGAGAGGAAGGAGCUAGAGGAAAGGAGAGGGAGAGGAGGAGGAAGGAGAGGGAAAGGGAGCAACCUUCCAACCUCCAGUGCCAUGGAAUUUUGGCAGAGCUUCGCCGUCGCCUGUGUUGAGGAGCCGCAGCUGGUCCAGAGACGCGCGAGCUGAGGAAGAUAAGGCCACAGUGACUUUGCUUUAUAGAUAACUUACCAGUGGCGGUUCAAAAGAAUCAGCCCGCCACUGGUAACCGGGAUGGGAAUCUCUGAGGAGCACUAGUGGCGGUUAACUGAUGCGGCCACUGGUACUAGGAGCACUAGUGGCGGUGAAAGCCGCAUGAGUGCUGGCACUACCACUAGUGCUCCACUAACAGCGGCGGUGGAAGCUAACCGCCACUGGUACUCGUUUCAGAUUCUUCCAGCUAAAGCACCGGUGGCGGUGCUGCUCGUGCGAGUGCUUUCACCGCCACCGGUGCUCCACUAGCAGUGGCGGUGGUUGCUCAUCACCACUGGUAUUCGUUUUGGAUUCCUCCAACGACGUCCAGUGGCGGUGAAUUUUUUGGACCAGCUGUACCGCCACUGGAGCUCGUGCGCCAGUAACCCAUUAUGGCGUAGUGGUCACUAACGACACCUAAUGACCUUUUUGGAGAAAUGGUCAUAAACUGUUAUGAACGAUUAGGAUCGUUAUAAAUUUUAUGAUCAAUUUUUUGGUUGCUAGUCCACCCUAGACACAUAGGAUCCGAUGUGGCAACCUUAGUGACGAAAUUAAAUGGCCGUAAACCAAAUUUGGCCCGGUCUAGGUUGUUUGUCCAUAUAUGUGGGCCAAGCCCAAAAAAUCAUUCUAUUUUAUCAGUCCACUCUGGUCUGCUAAAUGGGCCAUGACCAUCAUUUUGGCCCACGUUUUAUGACCCAUUUGUUCAAUUCCAACCAUUUUUAUUUACUUUUUCCCAAUUCAAGUCCAAUAUUAAUUUGGCCAAGGCCUUUUUAUAAUUUAUAGUCCAGUCUAUUACUAUUUUAAUAAAUAUACUGCUCUUAUGUCGAAUAUUGUUUGGUUCGUUGGUUUCUAAGCAAAGUAUAUUUUUGGCCCAUAUGUCCAAAGUUCAUUCUUUGGACAAUUUUGCUAACAAAGCAGCAAUCACUGAGAAAAUCAACACUCACACAGGAAAACAACACAUGAUUAUAAACAUUUGCAGCAUUUCAUGCUUGUAACUUCAGCACAUUACAUUUUAUUUCAACUUAAUAUAUCAGACUACAUGAAAGAGAUACAACUCAAAGUAUAAUUAAUUAAACACUUGCAAAGAGUAGAGGCAACACUUGGCUCAAGAUAGGCAGCGACAACCUAAGAAAAUAAAAGACAAUGCAGAGAGAAAAAACUAUAAACAUGAAACUAAGCCCCCGAGGGUCAAGUCGGCGCGAUUCGAGCUAGCUCGGGGCUUCUUUUCUUGAUAAACAAAAUGAUUGUAACCCCCGAGGGUUGAGUCGGCUUAUCUGAAAUGGCCCCAAGAAUCAAUCUGAUUUUACUCGUCUCUAUUUCUCAGAGUCAAAUCACCUAUAUAGAUAGGAAAAAAAAUCUUUGCACACAUGAAACUUCAUCAGGUUGCGAGAAAUAUCGAAUAAAUUGAUAUGUAUCUGUUGUGAUUGUUACUCAUCUAUGUGACUCGUGGCAAUUUUCGCACUUUUGGCUAUGUCUUGUGACAAGCUUUAUACUUUUUCUCUUUGUGCCAUGCUGUAAUAUAUAGUUGUGCUUUGACACUCUGCAGCAAGUCUGCAUUUUUCUGUGCCUCUUGGAUUAACCACAAUGUGUCAUACACACACAAUGGAUUAACCACAAUGUGUCAUACAUACACAAUGGAUUAACCACAAUGUGUCGUACACAUUUUUUUUUACGAAAUGUUGUACACAUAGUAGCUAGCCGAUAGUUGGAGAUAAUAAUCAACAACUAACACUUAAACCAGCAAAUUAAUGGCUACACAAAACCCUGUAACGACAAUUCACUAUAUCUGAAAAAUUCCCCUAAAAAAAUUGUAUUCUGUGAAAAAUAAUAAAAAUGAUGCCACUGCAAUAUCUGGGACUUAAAUAGACAUUCAUCUCACAGGCUAAUAAAGUUUACAUCAAAAGGUAGUUCAGGUUUAGACCUACUGUUACAUACAUAAUACAGCAAAUAAGCACAAAAUAGUCACUUUCAGAAAAGUUCCAGCCAAAUUACCCUAAUUAAAAUAUUUAACUAGGUACAGCAACAAAAGAGCAGUAGAUCACACUAGGUACACUCAUCUCAUCGCCAGGGCUUGAUUCUCCCGCUUUCAACUUUGCUCAAUUUCUCUUGUCCACCAUUCUAAGGUGGCUGCUGCUGCUGCUCCGGCUGCGGCCAAGUGAAAGGGAAUGUCUAUCCCCGGCCGGGACAAUAGUCUGCAUGGUCGCUGGUGACAACCCAAUACCACUUUCCUGCAUGAGAUGUCCACCAAGAAAUCAAAUUAAGGCGUCAUUACUGCAGACUGCAGCGACGAUGUCAUUCUUCUGCAGUGUUCUACUUUUUUUUUUGGAACAUGCAGUGUUCUCCUACUGUUCUUUGGUUUGGAGCAACGAGGCUCGGCCUGGACGCCCGAGCUGAGCUUUUGGGCUCGGGCUUGGCCCGCAUAUCCCCAAAGCCCGAGCCGACCAUGCGAAAUGGGCGACGCCCGAGCUGAGCUUUUGGGCUCGGGCUCGGCCCGCAUAUCCCCAAAGCCCGAGCCGACCAUGCGAAAUGGGCCUGUUUUUAAUUUCGCGUCAAGCCCAGCUCGGCUUGGGAUGCUCGCAAGAGUCUGAAAAAGAAUCAGCCUGGUCCUUUUCCCAACGGUGGCCCAGCCCAGUGCGCACCCCGCACUCCUCCUCUGCCCGAAUCCGCCGCCGCCGCACAGCGCGCAGACGCGCACCCACCUCGCGCCGCCCUCCGCCGCUCGCAUCCCUCUGCUCGCCCGAUGAAGAAGGAUGGCGAAGCCGCCGCCACAGAUCGAGCUCCGCCGCCGCCUCCGCACAUCCAGCGCCCGCGCGGCCGCACAUGAAGCUAUCCGGCGCCUUGCCCAACGGCUGCGUCUUCUUCGCCUGCGCCCCCACGAUGCGGCUGACGGCGGCCGGUCGUCCGCGAGGAGCAACCGCGUUGUCCUCGUCCUCGUCAACCCCGUCACCGGCGCGGCCCAGAGCGUCGAGGUGUACACGCCCGAGAGCCUGUAUGGGUUGAUCCAUGGCCAAGGUGUUGUUUGUGGCCGUGAGUGUUGAUCCAUGGCCAAGGUGCACUUCUUCAGUAUGAACCGGCUUGCUGCAGAAUGUCAGAACUUGUCAUAUGUUGGUAAUUAAAUGGAGGUUACUUAAAUUACUCGAAGCUAUUGAUAUCUUCCAAAAGUAUGUAAACUCCAUUUUUAUCAAUGAGAAGCAGGGAAAAAAAUGUUAAACACACAAUUAAAAGAACUAACUUCUCAUUCUCCUGCAUGAUGUCCAUCAGGAAAUCAAAAGUAUCAUUCCUCGAGACCGUAGCCGCGAUGUCAUUCUUCUGCAGCGUCCUCCUAUUGUGAUUCCAUGAUGGUAACUAGGUACGGUACAACAUACAAAUAAGCUCAGUCAACCACAAUAAGACAUUAAUCGCCCGGCUUGAUGAUUAUUCCGCCUCAGCUACGCUCAUUCAUCUUGUCCACCACUAGAAGGCGGCUGUUGCUGCUCACCAUUGUAAGGCAGCUGAUGCUGCUGCUCACCGUUGUGAGGCGACUGCUGCUGCUCCGGCUGCGGCCACGCGAAAGGAACUGGUUGCUGGUUAGGUUUUCAUAGUACAUUCCGAAGGUGCCCAUUCCCGGGAUCAUGGUCUGCAUGGUCCCAGUCGGCAACCCCACGCCAUUGUCCUGCAUGAUGUCCACAAGGAAAUCAAAGGCCUCGUUCCUGGAGACCGCAGCGGCGAUGUCAUUCUUUUGCAGCGUCCUCCUAUUUUUUUCUCUGGUUUGGAGCCACGAUCUCAGCGUCAGCUCUUGGAUGAAGAUCUCACACGCCUUAGUUAGGACCCCAGGCGCCUCCCCCGCGAUCACCUGGACAUUCUCCCCGCUAGCCUUCAUGAUCUUCUUGAUCCUCUCAAGGGGAAGGCUGUGGAUCUUAAAGUCGCUCAUGUGCUCGAUCUCAUCCAGCCGGUCGGUCCAGAAGGCCUGAAGUCGCUGCUAGUGCUGGUCCUCCUGUUGCACUGGGGUGGCAGCGUAGAUUGGACCACCAUGGGGUCCUACAUGAAAGACGGUACCUGCAGGAAAGACGACGCCUACUGGCGCAACUCCAGAUACCGUCCUGCCACAUAUGCUACAGGUGUGUCGUUUGUGGCAUCCGCCUCUGUCACUUGGCUGCGAGUGUUGAUUCAUGGCCAAAAGAUGCACUUAUGUCCUUGGGGGUUGGCUCCUAUUUUUCUCUCUGGUUUGGAGCUACGAUCUCAGCGGUCUCUAGGAUGAAGAUCUCCCACGCCUUAAUUAGCCAAGACCUCAGGCACCUCGCGACCAUCAGGAGGACUUCUCUGUGGCAGCCUUCAUGAUCUUCUUGAUCCGCGGCCUCGCGAGAGGAAGGCUGUGGGUCUUGAACUCCGAUAUCUGCUCGAUCUCAGCCAUCCGGUUGAUCCAGAAGUCCUGAAGCUGUUGCCGGGGUUGGUCCUUCUGCUGGAGUGGGGUGGUCGCGAUUGGGACACCCUUGGAGCCUAUAGGGUGAGUAAAUUAUGGAUUAGCCAUACUAGGUUGAGUAAAGAAAUUGUAUAUGUAUUUAUUUUUUAGUUCGUUUUUGCUUAGAUCAAGGUUUACCCUUUGAAAGAAAAAAUGUCUUCUUUCUGGAUUAUGCAAGACACGGCUUGUGUCAUUCCCACAUUGGGUUAGCCAGGAUGUGUCAUUCCCACAUUGGGUUAGCCAUUGUGUCAGACACACAUUGGGUUAUCCCUGUGUCAGACACACAUUGGGUUAGCCACACUGUGUCAUACAGACAUUGCCUUUAGCACAAAUUGAUGCAAGACACGGCCACGCAGGACCUACAUCGACCAAGUCAUGUACGCUCAAAUUGGAAGCACUGUAUAAUUUCCCACAUGUACAUGUCAAGAUAAAAACAAUGGAAUGAAGGUGUAAUUUCAUUUCCCACGCAGCCGUUUCAAAGGAGAUGUAAAAGGGUCUAGGUAUUUGAAAAGAAAAACUGCGAAGCCUCCUCCGCGUGCGCAUCACCGGCCGCCUCGCGAACUUCAACAUAAAACGAGUAAACAAGCAAAAACACACCCGAUUACAAAACAGUCAACAUAAAACCCUAACCCCCAUGAUUGAACAAGCAGAUCAGCACAGCUUAGCAUAAUAUACAGCAACGGUCAUUACUCGUACAACUGUGCAUGAGAGAGCAUAACCCCCAUGAUUGUACAACGGUCAUUACUAAACCUCGUUCCUCGUAGUCCCGAACUCGUCGAUGUAGUCAGCGUGUCCGUCCUGGUCCUGGGUGUUGGUGUCAUCGAGGCCCAAGGGGAGCUGGACCUCGGCGAGCACGAGAUAGUUGGGUGCCUGGAGCAGCAUCUUCUGCAAUUUGAGCAUGUGGGAGACGACGAGGUCGUAGAGGAACGUCGCAUUAUUCUUCCAGAUCCUGAAUUCCUCAUUGAUCAGCCGCCGCUGACCCCCAACAGUUGGCUCAGCGUCGCCGUCCCCCUGUCCAUGGUAGGCUUAGGGUUUGGUUUGGGGGGACUACGGGAGCGCAGGGGGAAUUGGAAGACGGGAAUUGGCAAGCUGUGCGGAGGCCACACUUCUCGAUCAGAAGUAUAAGGUAGUACUGUAAGUUGUACUUCUCAGGUAUUUUUAUUAUGAUCGAACCAAUGCAAGGCACAAAAUUGUCUCAUCGCAAAAGAUAUAAGAAAAUCCACGGUUACCACGGAAUGAAUGUUGAGGAAUCAAUAUAUGUCCAACACACAUAGGACAAAGAAAUAAGUCCAGAAGCAUGCAUACACGUAUUGAAAGCGUCGAGUCUCCAAUCUCGUCCGAAACUAGAUUAUGUACCGCGCUGCAAAGGAGUGAUUAACGAAAAGAACUUUUGUCGUUCAGUUGGAACGCAAGGAAUUUCCAUCGAACCAAAUAUUGCCGGCCAACAGUUGAUUGGGCCACGUGUGGUGAAAUAUUUUAGGGCCAAGCCCACAAAUAAUGCCUCCUUCUUUCCCUCGCUCCCCAAAAUCCUUUGAGCGCCCUCACGAGACAGGACACCACACACGCCGGAUCCCUAUCCUUUAUCGGGCCAGCCCACGAAUAACCCUAAGCCCGCUUGGUGCCAGCCCAACUACAUGCCGAAAGCGACACAAUCGCGCCACAACCUCUCUUUUUUAUCUCUGAAAAUCUUGUCUUCCAUUGGCUCUCCAGCCUAGUUUUUAAAACCAGAUCGGUGAUCGAAUCGGCGAGGCUCUCGAUUCAGGUUUUUCCGGUCGAACCGUCGGUUCACGGGUUGAACCUGUAUGGUUUUUUAGAUACAAAAUAAUAUAUAUAUAUAUAUAUAUAUAUAUAUAUGUGUGUGUGUGUGUGUGUGUGUGUUUUUUAAUAAACAGAUCUUUCUUUUAGAAUCUCCCGUAACUUUAUUCAAACUCGAAAACCAUUACAGGUAUAGACACAAGAAACUACAAAGUAACCCCUAUGACUAAGAAUUACAAUGAAAUUUUUCGAAAACAUAUUCUCCGUGGCAUCAAUUUUUGCAACACGAAAUACUCGACAGACUUCAACAAAAGAACUGCAAUUAGACUGGAGCGACAACAUCGCCACUUGUACCCCUGCACGAACUUGAUUACCUUCAAAGGUUUCAGAAAGCCCCUUGAGUCGCCCAUCUAAAAAGAUGAGAAGCCGUGAGCGUUGACGUAGUUAGGUCGGGGAUGAUCCCCUAGAGGUGCAGGUCGUCGAACCACAUGAUUUUCACGAAAACGCCAGAGAAAGACUCCAAAGUCACAAAAGAUCAGACCAACAAAAGCAUCAUGACACACUGACAAAAACUCAUAAAAUCCGUAUGAAUAGAUCUGCGAGGACAUAAACUCAAAAUCCGCUUGAUCGGACACAUCGAAUCCACGGUGAGUAAAACUCUUUGGCCUCGUGGCACUGCGCAUUAAGACACCGCCACAGCAGAGGAAGAACCAGAAUACCUUUAUUCUCGACGCAUCGCACCCUCCGCUGUUAAUAAACAGAUAAAAUCCUUUAAAAGAAAGGCCUUGUACUCCUCCCCCAGCCCACCAUGAGAGCCCAUCCAAGGGCCACAGCCCACCUUUCCUUCCUUAUCCUCUCGCUAGAGCCCAGGCCUGCGCGACGGGUCGGCCUCGGCCAGGGCCCAGGAACGACGGGAGAUACCGCCCAUCGAUCCCUCCUCGCGCGAGCGCCGCCACCCCUCCCUCCUUCUCUCCACUCUCCAAGCAGAAAGCAAAAAGGAGACAGAAAAGAAUACCACCCUAAAGUGCCGGAAUUUACGAGGAUGCCACUUUAUCUCGUCUCCUCCUCUCCCGCCGCCGCCAAGCUCGCCGCCGGCGCCCGGGCGUCCCUUCACGGCCGCCACCUCGUCCGCGCCCCCCACGGCCCGGUACUCUCUCGUCUGGCCGCUCUUCUCCGGUUUUCUAGUCAAGCUCUCUUUCUCGGUUGGCUGCUUGGUGAGCGUAGCACGUUCGGUUUUGGUUUUGGUUUCCUGCAGAGCCGCCGCGUCUCCUUGUCGUCGGAGGCAGCCGCGGGGCGUGCGGCGGGUCCAGCCAUGGCGGCGGCGCAGCCUGGCGCGUCGACGGCACCGCAAGCGAACUCCAGCGGUGAGUGUCUCUGCGCUCCUUUGGUUUGGUUUAGGGGAUUUUUAAGUGUAAAAGAUUGGGCUUUUAUUAUUUUGUGAAGUUGCGACAGGAGUAAAGUGUUCCUACUUCAACCUCCAAGCAAUUUUACUUCCAUGAUGUUGGUCUGAGUUGAUUUUGCAUAAGUUUUUGUAGUACGCAGGAGUUGAUUAAUCACUUAAACCCUCUCAAAACCCGGACUAAUGUGGAUGUGUCGGGAAAGGAUAAGUAGCAGUUUAUACCAUCACAAUAGCUAGGAGUCUGACGGAAAAAAAAGCUAGGCAACUUAUUCCCAGGUUUUUUAAGAGUGGGUUGUUGAUUCUUGACGGUUGUGCAAUUUAUGAAAAUUUUCCUUCCGGAGCUAAGAGAACUUGGCAAUUAGAUAUGUGUUUUGUUGAUAAAAGCCACAUGACCUUACAGCCUAAUUGUUGCCUGGAAAAAGGCUGCUUCAAUUGUCAUGUUCCAAUCGGUUGUUUAGUAUAUGGAUAUACUUGAUUUGUUGAUAUGUGCUAAUUGAGUAAUCUUGUUAGGGUUCAUUUGUUUGAACAAUUAUUCGAGUAACAUGGGUCCAUUGUACAUUUAUGCCCGAGAAUUUCAUAUUCUCUUCAUUUACUUUAUCUUCUUCAUAUCUUCAUUUACUUUAUCUUCUUCGUAACUUACGGACAUGUUUUAAGCAAUGAACUGAUGAAAGUUCCAACAGCAACAGGAGUCAAGCAAGCACUGAUAUCAUUGUCGGAUAAAACAGACUUGGCCCAUCUUGGAAACGGUCUUCAAAGCUUGGGGUAAUAAUGUAGCGCUUUCAUCUUGUGGGAUGUUAGCGCCAGAUUGUGUUAGUCUUGCUGUAUUUAUAGCUUGUCCAUGGAUCACCAUCAUGAAUUAUGUGCCACAUCGAUGCCUACUUCUUGAAGUGCUAAUUUAUCACAUAUAGUGCAUUUUCUCAAAGUUAGGAAUUGCUCGCCGUAGGCAUCUUAUUAACUAGUUUUUCUCACCUAGCUGGGUGUAUUUUAUAUGCUGAUAGUUUGGUCAGGGUUUGGAUUUGGUGAAAUAUUUAUCAAGCUUAGUUUUGUACAGGAAGAAAUAUUAUUCAGCUUAGAUUUUCCUAUGUUGUUGUUUUUCCUCCAUUCUAGCUAUGAACGAUCUUAUGAAGAGUUUGCUCCUGUAGGUUUUCCAUCAUAUCCACUGGUGGUACUGCAUCAAGUCUGGAAGCAGCUGGAGUGACUGUUACAAAAGUUGAACAGAUUACACAUUUUCCUGAAAUGGUAAAACCUAAUUCUUAUGUUUACGUGCCGCAGCAUUUCUUGAUAUAUUUUUCAAGCAUUGUGUAUCAUAGUCAGUAAAGUAUUCCUGAAUCAAGUUUGCCGGAAGUUUUGUAAGAUUGCAAUUCAUUAAGUGUUUCCAUGUGCAUUGCCCAUUCAUAUAAAAAAUGGCAUGCUCUGUUGGUGUAAGAAUCAAGUUUGCCCACCAUAUAAGGUGUAAGAACCAUUCUGCAAAUUUCUUCUGUUCCAUAUCUCCUGAAACCUCAUAAUAGUUAUUUUAACUUUGAAUGAUAGAUGGAUGAGACCUUCUGUUCUGCCUCUGUCUGACCACUUAAUGGUAUUGCAUAUUGAGUGUAAAUCUUUAUUGGCAUCUCCAUUUAAUUUCUGUUUUCGUGAUUUCAGCUUGAUGGAAGAGUAAAGACACUGCACCCCAGUAUACAUGGUGGUAUUCUUGCCCGAAGAGACCAGGAACAUCAUCUGAAAGCAUUGAACGAGCAUGGCAUUGGUGAGUUUGUUAGUCCAUUUGUAUUAUCUUCUUGUAACUAACCAUCGUAAAAAAAUUCGAGGUGUCAUGCUAGCAGAUAACAAUCGUUGUCACCCUAUGAGAUAACAAUCGUAUUGUCAGCUUACUUGGACAUUUGUUUGGGCACAGGGACAUUUGAUGUGGUUGUGGUGAACUUGUAUCCAUUCUAUAAUAAGGUUACCUCCGGUGCAAUUUCUUUUGAGGAUGGUAUCGAAAAUAUUGAUAUCGGUGGGCCUACAUUGAUCCGGGCUGCAGCGAAGGUAACCUACAACUGUUGUUUGGACUUAUAUACUCAUCAUUUAUCAAGGCUUGUUGCAGUUUUGCAAACUAAUUUCGAUAUUGAGUUUAGUAAACAUAUCUAAUACUUGAUAUCUAUUAUAAUGUGCUUACCAUUAGUUUAUACUAGGUGAUUCCCCGCGCCUUGCCGUGGAUAAUUUUAUAUGCACGUCUGAAUAUGAUUUUAGAAACAAAUGAUAAUAAUAUGAUUUAAUGUAAAAUAAAUACGAAUAUUGUAGGACAAAACGAUUUUAUCAUUCAUAACACCUAUGCAACAAAACAAUAGGUGUAAUUUUGAUGUGCAUGAACAUUAACAAUUUCGAAGAAACCGAAAAGUGAAGUUUCGUCAACCUGAAUUUGCAGAUCUUAGUAAAAUUGACAUAUGUAUCAUGAAAAUAUGUGUGUUUGCUGAAAUAUUUAUAUGCAACGUGAAGAUGAAAAAUCUUAGGUAUCAAAAUAUUAAAUUCAAAUGGACCACCAAAAUGGAUUCCUGGUGUAUAAUAACACAUGAUGUGGAUGGUGAUGUAGAGCCUUUGAAUGCCCAUAAUGUGCAUGAUGUGGAUGAUGAUGUGGACACCUUGCAUGUCAAGCUUGCAAAUAUUAAUUGUAGUUAAUGGGGAUCAACUUUAUAGGUUAUAUAGAUUUGUGGAAUUUAUGUAGUACUUUAGUUGGAGCCUGUACACUUUUGGUUGAUUGCUGUCUUUGUUAUACCUGACAGAAUCAUAAGGAUGUUCUUGUCGUUGUGGAUCAUAAUGAUUACCCUGCUCUAUUGGAAUAUCUACAAGGAAAGCAACAUGACCAGCAGUUCCGUAAGAUGCUGGCAUGGAAAGCUUUCCAGCAUGUUGCUUCUUACGAUUCAGCCGUCUCAGAAUGGUUGUGGAAGCAGUCAAACAAAGGUAUCACUCUACUUUUGGUGCAUGAUCUGAUGCUUACUUAAUAGUUUUGCCAACAAAUUUUCAGAUAUCACAUUGUCAUGUUCUAAUUUAUGUAGGAGAUAUAUUUCCCCCAAGCCUUACUGUGCCCCUUUCGCUAAACUCUACACUUCGUUAUGGUGAAAACCCUCAUCAAAAGGCUGCUUUUUAUGUUGACAAGAGUCUUUCUGUAUUUAAUGCUGGCGGUAUUGCAACAGCAAUUCAGCACCAUGGAAAGGUGAGAAGAUAAUGCUUUUUUUCAGUUCUUCAACUAAAUGCUGCACAAAUUGUUGGUUUCUGUGACCUGAGUAUUUGAUUUACUCUUAUUUCUGGAUGUUUCUUCUUUUUUGUUGCUAAACGCCACAAAUUGUUGGAACUUAGGCUCCCUUUGUUUAGGUGGAAUAGAGCAAGUCAGGACACACUUCAUACAACUUGUUUCUGAGUAUUGCCUAGUCAUGCUGCUCAGUGCUCACAAACACAGAUGUUUCUUCAUGGUUUUUUACAAAUGUUAUCCUUCCUCUUUGCAGGAAAUGUCAUAUAACAACUACUUGGACGCCGAUGCUGCAUGGAACUGUGUGUCAGAGUUUGAGAAUCCUACUUGUGUUGUGGUCAAGCACACGAAUCCGUGUGGUGUUGCGUCCCGGGCGGAUGUUCUUGAGGCCUACAGGUUGGCUGUAAAGGCAGAUCCUGUGAGUGCAUUUGGUGGGAUUGUCGCCUUCAACACCACAAUCGAUGAGGUAUCCACUAAACUCUGAACAUACUUAUGUUUUGCAAGUUCGUUUUCUUUUCCUACUUCUGUCGCUGGCUAUGCCACAUUUAAGCAUUUGUUAUUGCCAAAUUCCCGAUUAGUCAUGAGGUGGAGAAUGGCAAAUAAUCAUUUUCCCCCUGUGUAGGAUCUCGCCAGGGAAAUUCGCGAGUUUAGAAGUCCUACAGACGGCGAGACGCGGAUGUUCUAUGAGAUUGUGGUUGCACCUGGGUACACGGAGAAGGGCCUCGAGGUCCUGAAAGGGAAAUCGAAGACGCUGAGGAUACUAGAGGCGAAGAGAAGCGGGAAAGGGAUGCUGUCGCUCAGACAGGUCGGCGGCGGCUGGCUAGCUCAGGAGUCGGACGAUCUAACGCCUGAAGACAUCGCCUUCACAAAGGUUUCCGAGAGGGCUCCGACCGACAGCGAGCUCUCGGACGCCAAGUUCGCCUGGCUCUGCGUGAAGCACGUCAAGAGCAACUCCAUUGUGAUCGCCAAGGUUAGUAGUGCUUUUCUCACGUUGUGCCAGGGAAAAGAAUUAUCACCAGCGAAUUGUAGUUUGCACCAACAAAAUUUGGUUCCUUGAAUUGAAUUUUAACAUGUUAUUGGCCACCAUUGAUGAUUUUUCAUGAGUGCAGAACAACUGCAUGCUGGGCAUGGGUAGCGGGCAGCCAAACAGGGUGGACAGCCUGAGGAUCGCCUUCAGGAAAGCAGGGGAAGAGGCCAAGGGCGCUGCCCUAGCUAGCGACGCCUUCUUCCCAUUCGGUGAGAAGAAAAGAAGGAUCGUCCUAAGGGUUCUAUUUUCCUUUCUCCGUGCUUGUCGAUCUCAAUCUGACCUGUGAAAUUUUGCAAACAGCCUGGAAGGACGCUGUGGAGGAGGCGUGCGAGAAGGGCAUCGGCGUGAUCGCAGAGCCCGGCGGCAGCAUGAGGGACAAGGACGCCGUCGACUGCUGCGACAAGUACGGCGUCGCCCUCCUCUUCACCGGCGUCCGACACUUCAGGCACUGAAACCUGAAAGAGAGAACUAACCAAUUGGUCGACACUCGCGCCCACCAUUAUUGGAUCAGUAUGGUGGCUAGAAGAACAUGUCUGAGCUUUUUCUGUUUGCAAUAAAACGCACGCAAGCAGGGUUGAUCAUCUUGUCUCUGCACCAAGAGCUAAAGCCCAGCUGCCCCAGCAGAAACAACAACGAUAAUGUGCCAUUGAAAGCAGCUAGAAGCUCGCUCACAGUGUAAACCAACUGUUUGAGAGAAUCUCAAUGUACGGUAACAUGUCUGAGCUUUUGUGUUGUUGGUGUGCGAUCUCUGGUCUUUUUAGUUUGCAAUAAAACGCACGCUGGUGUCCAUCGUUGUCUUGCACGAAGAGCUGGAGCCCAAGUAGAAAUUAAGAACAACGAUGAUGUUGCCAUUGGGAAGCAAAGCUUGCGUUAUACGUACAGGCAUGAUUAUGCUUACAUUACACGGGUGACUAUCGUCACGCUUUUAUUACAUCGAGUGGGAUGCGUGGUGGUUAAGGUGUAUCUAGGGGCUUGUACCGCCGGCGUCGAUGACCGGCCGGGCCGGCCGACAGACGGCGGUGGGCGGCCGGAGCUUGUACCGCCUGCGGGCCGGGGGGGUAGGGGUUCUAGCAGGCCUUCUGGCAGGUGCAGACCCUCCAGUGGCAGUAGCCGGCGGUCCAGCCGCCGUUGUACUCGCGGACGCAGUCGCUGGUGCAGUGCUUGUCCGAGACGCACGGGAAGGAGUGGUGCUGGCUCUUCCCCGUGCACAGCCGCGCCUCCACCACGCCCCCAUGCUUGUCAUCUGAAAGUAACCACAUGUCACGAGUCAAAUUUUAUACUCCAUUAGCUGCUGCAAUAGGCUUGAACAUUUGAGUGUUUGUUGCGAGUACUGAUGUGGCGAUUGAGCUUACAGGAAGAAAGCAAUAGCAGCAGCAGCAGCGCCGCGCACACGGCCACCUUGGGCUUGACCAACUCCAUCUUGUUUCUCUUCUCGAUCUGGGCAGCUAAGUUUGAUCAGGCCUGUAUAUAUGUUGUUUGUGCUCGUGGUGAAGAAGGGAAUGGGAAUGGGAAUCAUGAAUCAUCCCAUGCGUAUCUGCUUACUUAUAGGAAUGUUUUGGGCUAGAGCAGCACCAAGAGCCGGCCGGGUGCAGUAGUACACGUGGCAAUCUGCAUGCGUAGCUUGUGACAGCCGUGCAGUGGCCGGGGCUGAGAUCAGGUCGUGUCCAUCCGCUAGCUCUUGCCUUCGUAUCACAAGACGAGUAAAAACCUUAACUAAAACAACGACAACAAUUUAGAAUCGAACUAAGACACGUACUCUUUUCGUCUAACAUGUCUUGGGUUUGUGAAAAUUUGAAUGUAUCUAGAUAUGACUUAAUGUAUAGAAUAUAUAUGCAUUCAAAUUUGAUUAAAAUUGAGAUAUUUUUUGUGUUUUUUCAAAACAGACAUCUUUUGUUGGAUGAUGAGAGUAUUAAUGUUCGCUUGCGCGGUCAAUAAAUUCUGCAUGUGAAAUUCUACUGAGAUCAUAAGACGAGAUCUCACAGGCAAUUAAGGUAGCCGCUUGUACCCCCGGACCGGCCGACAGGCAGCACCAUGCAUCGUCGAGACCUUUCAAAGGGCAUGCAUGCGCUGCCGCCGAUGCAUGGUCGGAGACACGAGUCCACGACAGGUCCUGCUGGGUCUAUUCAAAGGUAGCCCCACUCCUGCCCAUAUCCCCCUACCUGGGGUAACCUGGCAUGCAUGCACCCAUGGAUCCAAAAGCGAGCGAAUAUUUGCGCUGCAUGCAUCGUGGCAUCCCGUGCCACGUGUACCCGUGGUCGCCACGUGUCCUAGACAGCUUUCCACGUACACUCGGACGAUUCUAGUCGAUAUCCACGGGCCAGGGCGCCCGGCGCGUUUGUGUAUAAAAGCUGCCGGCCGGCUGGGGGAAUAUAGCACCUUAAUUAUAACGCCACGGUAAGAGCUAGCCAUCGGUCCUUCGUUACUACUCCUCGAUCCAGCUAUUAUAUUAGCCCUUAACACUCGCUCUCAGUAGCUAAGUCGUUAAUUAAGCAAGCCAUGUGGACGAAGAAGAAUGUGGCCCUCGUGCUGAUGCUCCUGAUCAUCCUCGCCGCACGUACGUAUAUACAUACAUGCAUGCAUAUGCCUGAUCGAAGAAGCAGUCAAGGAGUACUCCAUCCGUUUCAUAAUUUUUGUCGAAAUAUUACAUGUAUCUAAAUGUUAUUUUUAAUAAAUACAUUUAGUUUUGGCAAAUUUGAGACAAGAACUAUGAAACGAAGAGAGUACAUUCAUAUUACUUUCUCCGUCCAACAAAGAGUUUGUCAAAAUUUGAAUGUAUCUAAACAUGACUUAGUGUAUAGAUGUAUUUAAAUUUAGUCAAACUUAGCUAAUUUUGACAGCUUUAAGUAUAUUAUUAUUAGCACAUGCAUGCAUAUAUACGGCCGGUCAUUAAGUUAUUUUGACCGACGGCUUUUGUUGUGUGUUGGGGAAUAUAUGCAGAGGAGGAGGGUGGUUCGAACGUGGCGGAGGCGAAGAUCUGCCGCAAGAGGAGCGCGGGGUACCACGGGAUGUGCAUGUCGGACCGCAACUGCGCGCAGGUGUGCCAGGCCGAAGGAUGGGGCGGCGGCAACUGCGACGGCGCGGUCCGCCGCUGCAAGUGCUCCAGGGAAUGCUAGCUACUUCUUAAUUCUCUAUCGUAUAUCUACUCCACCUUGCUAGCUACGGAGUAAACACGUACGCCGUACGUACAUGUAUGUAUACAAGCACGCGUGUACGUAUGUGUGCGUGCAUGGUCUACGUAUGUCAUGUGUACUCGUGUUGCUACGUACAGAGCUAGCUCUGGCCGUGGCCGGGCUAGCAAAAGAUGAGAAAUAAAAAAGGUACUGCCUGCGUAACUGCGUUAUAUGUGAAGUAAGUUCAAUAGAAGAAAUAACGCCUUAAAAAGAACAAGUACGUGAAGAUUGGUACACGCCGGUAUGUACGUUAACAGCCUUCUGAAUACGUACGUACGUACACGUACGCCGGUAUGUUUAACAGCCCGAAUGUCUAAUUGGUGGCGCUUUAUACUCCAAUUACAACCAAGCUCCCAAACAUUUUAAGAGGAUUUAAGAGGAACACAUGGUAUUGUUUUUUUUUUUUUGAGAGGAGAGGAUAUUGUUUUUCUUGAGAGUGAUGACCAACACAAGAUCAGCAGCAAUAACUAGCCAGCCCGGUCCGGAGCCUUCAGCAUCCAGGAUGGGCCUAGUUUUUGUCUUUUGGGCGGGCCCAAGUUAUAGAGGACCAGCAGCAACAUAGCCCUACCACGGUCCAGACACUACGGGAGAAACUGGCCCCCGGCAAAGGCACAUUUGCUUCCGGCAAAAUACUCUUUGCCGGUGGCUUUCUCAAGAACCCGUCGGCAAAGCCUUUGCCGGCGGCCGAAGCGACGGCCUCGGCAAAGAAAAGGAGAUCACGGCAUGCGGUGCUGUUAACGGCUGGCACGUGGCAAAGGCCCGACACGUGGCACCCCCGGCUCACGUGGCACACCGCGAGCCGGCGGGGUGGGCACGUGGCACGAUCUGGUGCGUGCCCGCGCUCAGCCUUUGCCGGUGGCAGGCCUUUGGCCACCGGCAUAGGGUAUUUUUUUUAUCGCAGCAAUUUAAAAUAUUUUCACAACACACAUAUAUAUACAGACAUAUAUUCAUCCACAUCACAGCAAUACAUCCACACAAAAUCAUCGACGCAUUCACAUCACAAGCAUAUAUAUAAACAUCUCAUGAAAGUCCGAAAACAUCACAUAUCUCACAACAAAAGUAUUACAAGUGUUCAUCACAUGCAUGGUAGCAACAUAUUACAAGCUAGCUAGUGUUCAUACACGACAAACUGGUGACUCGGGCACCUUCAACAUCUACCUCGACAUACUUAGAGAAAUUGCACUUGGGACAAUGCUUGGCAUCCACGUAUUCUCUGUCAAACACCGUGCAUCCAUUUUUACAUGAAUGUAGGCACUGAGUCGGCAAGUUAAGUACACUAAGCAUUUUGUUCGUCUCGUACAUGCUUUUAGGCAAAAGGUGGCCUUCUGGGAGGAGACUAUCGAUAACUGCCAUCAUCACAUCGAACCAUUCUCUGCUCAAGUUGAACUGGGUCUUCACAACCAUUAUUCUAGCAACGGCAUCCAGCUUACUAGACUUUGUGUGAGCAUGCAGAUCUGUGCUUGCCUCCGCCAGCAUAUCAAGAUAAGCCUUAGAGGUUGCCUCCGGUUCUUCCUCCAUUGGAACGCGUGCUUCCUCCAAGUCAUCUAGCAUGUCCUGGAACCCUGUAUCAUAGUCGUCCGUGCGCCUUCGCACGACCUCCUCUCUUCCUCUAUCCUCUUGGUCACCAUGGUAGCCCCAUCGGGUAUAGUUUGGCGUGUACCCGUACAACACCAAGGGAUUGCCCAUCUCAUCCUUUGUGUGUCGUGUCUUGUUAUUGCAACGACUGCAAGGGCACCAAGCACGCUCUUCUCCUCUAGCAAAUGCAACCUCCAAGAAAUCUACCGUGUUUUUCAUCCAAUCAUCAUCCCGGUCUGUCCGACUACGGCGGCCACUGUACAUCCACCGACGAUCAGCCAUUCUCUGCUAUUUUCGGAUACCACAUGACACCAAAGGGAUACACGGUUUUAUAACGCAACUAGCAACACAAGUAAUUAGUUUCGUCAAAUUAAUACGUCACAUAUUUUAUUUGUUCACUGAAAAGGGCAUGUGCUGAACUAUUCCACUAAUAGGUAAGGAUAGGUCCUAAUCCCACCUGACGGUGUGUAGAUUGGGCCAUUUCCGUGCUCCAGUCCGGUCCGAGACGAAAUUUCGGCAGCACCUCCCCGCUGUUCUCCAAAUACACGUAUCGACAACAAGCCAAGAGAAUGUGCAUCCGGAGAACAAUGGGGAGAUGCUGCCGAAAUCACGUCUCAGACCGGACUAGAGCACGGAAACGAACCCAAUCUACACACCCUCGGGCUGUCCAAAAAACGUGGACAAUCCGAAAGAGUUACGCUUAUAGAUAUGCAAAGACUUGCAUAUCUAUAUACGUAACCCUUUCGUAUGGGAGACGCAUAGGGUUACGCGACUUUGACAUUUAAACUACAAGUGUCAUCGGCUCGAUGGCCGGGACAGAGCAAAAGGGGAAGGCGAGAUAGAGGGAGAUGCUCACCAAGCUACACCGUAGACGAAGUAGUCGAGGUCGAGGUCAAGGUCGAUGGCACCUACAUGAGCAUGAAUAUUUUAUAAGCAUACAAGCAUACUUGCAUGCACAUUCGCAAAGAAGCAUACAUGCAUGAGCAUGAACAUUUUAUAAACAUACAAGCAUACAUGCAUGCACAUUUUCAUCCAAGCAUAUAUGCAUACAAGCUAUAGUUAUGCAUACAAACUAUACAAAUUAAGCUACUAUACAUAUGCAUCCAAACUAUAGUUAUGCAUACACAAAUUAAGCUACUAUAUAUAUGCAUCCAAACUAUAGCUUUGCAUACAAACUAUACAAAUAAGCUACUAUAUAUAUGCAUACAAACUAUAGCUUCGUAUAUAUGCAUACAAACUACAAACUAUAGCUUCGUAUAUAUGCAUACAAACUAUACAAACUAUACAAACUAAAAUAAAAGGGGGAUGCUGGAAGAUAGUAUGCCAAAAUUCUAAUCAAGCAUGGUACAAACACUAGCUCUAUACCGUCGACAUUUUUAUAGCAGUCUGGAAAAAAAAACACUGACCUGAUUCCUUGAGCGAUGUUGCUCACUUCGUUUGAUGAGUCACCAAACUCAAUGCUGAUUUCUCUUGGAACCUAAACUUCCAAGGAAGUGUAUCCAGAAGUCAGAACAAAAGGUUUGAAAACAACAAAGCAUUGUUUCAGAUGACAAUAUAGAUAUGCAGAUAAAGGAUGAAGAAAAUAACACUACGAAGGAACAAUAGUUUUUUUUUCAGAUAAGACCUGCAGUAGAUCUAGCUGUACAGAGCAUCAGGUUACAAACAAGAAAAUUAAAAUGCCAUAUGGACAUGCAUUAACAGUCAAGUUGCUUCAGAUUAAACAAAUUGGAAAAGGACAAGCUGCAUUCUCGGAGCAGACAAUUCCGAGUCAUAUAUUUAGAGGAUAGAAUCUACCGAGAAUGAUAUCAUGUGGGUGCAGAAUACUAGACAUGAGAAGGGAUUUCAACCAAUGUUUGUUCCAGCAUAAAGCACCUUAGGUUCAAACCAAGAAACCGUUUGCAUAGAACUAACCACCAAGGCUUAAAUUAUCAACAAUGCACCAUUGUUUAUGUGAUACAAAAUUCACAUAGCACAGCUUACAAAUAGCACAACACUUGCAGAAAGCUAAGCAUCAAAAUUCACUACAACAUAGCACAGGGAAAACAUCAGAAUACCCAUCACAAAAGCCAAGAACCUAGGAGAGAUAGAGGAAAGUCACCUGCAGUCACCGGCGUUGAGAUGGGACGCGAUGUAGAGGGAGGUGGAAGGAGACGAUGUGGAGCGCCGAAAUCAAGAGGAGGAGGUCCAAAGCAGGUGUGGUGCGGGAAGCCGGUGGGUAGCGGCGGGAGGGUGGAGGCCGGGGAGGAGGCGCCGGCGGGGAGGAGGGAGGAGGGGCCGGCGGUGGGGGUGGAGAGGAGAGGGGGGCCGCGGGGAGGAGAGGUGGUCGGGGUGGGGGAGGGGAGGCGGGGCGGCCAGGGAGGCUGCGGGGUGGGGGAGGGGAGGCGGGGUGGGGCGGGGUGCCGGGAGGCGGGGGAGGGAGGCGAGGCGGCCGACGGGGAGAUGGGGGGAGUCGGGGGCGGCGGAGAGGGAGGGGGCAGCCGGAUCCGGGCGGAUCCGGCCGGGGGGCGAGGGGCGGGGGCGAGAGAGAGAGUCAGGGGCGAAAGAGAGAGAGAAAGAGGGGGGGGGCGUUUUUUUUAAACACCCUUUGCCGGCAGCCCGACGAAAAGCCGUCGGCAAAGAAACAUUUGCCAGCGGCCCCGCAAAAAGCCGCCGGCAAAGAAUUUUUUCAUUUUUUUUCCAGUUUUUUUUUUAGAAACACAGUACAAACGCAAACGCUUUUCGAGCACAACCAUUUCGAGCACAACUAAUAUAUAUUAGAACCCCCUUUACUUGCCGGAGCACUUUUUGGAUCUGUCAAUUAUGUUAUGGUCGGAGUCCUACUCAUACUGAUCUGGUCGAAUUGGGAGAAGCCGUAGGUAUUAUUGCGGGUCAAUCAAUUGGGGAGCCUGGGACACAACUAACAUUAAGAACUUUUCAUACGGGCGGAGUAUUCACGGGGGUACUGCCGACCUUGUACGAUCCCCUUCGAAUGGAAAAAUCCAAUUCAAUGAGAAUUUGGUACGCAGACGUUCACAACACGUGCGUACACUCACCCCUAUGAACGCACACACGCACACCCUACCCCUAUGAGCACCUCCGAAAGACUGGGCCGGCAGAUCUUGAGAGAUUGAUGAAGUCACCGCAGGCGUCUCGCUGUUGACGGGUACAUCACCCACCACUGAAACAAUAGCGCCGGUUAAAUCAUGGAAUAAUCCAGAGACAUGUGACACCCAUGUCAAGUCUAGGACUUGAACCUGGGUGCUGGUUCCACCACAAGGAACCAGACCACCUGAGUUAGGCCCAGUUCACUUUUUUUUCCAGUUUUUACUUUAAGUGUCACACAGAACCUUGUGGUUUUCCUGUCAGUUUAGACUUCCUUUUUGUUCUAUUAGGACAUUUGAACAUGAAAAACCAAAAAUUUACCCAAUUUCUUAAAGAAUUCUGCUCCGUCCGUCCGAAUUGCGACUUUUCCCCCCUAAGUCCGGAACUUCAGUGCGGGUUAGUCUAAUUUGUGAACGAAGUGCAACCUCAGAUACUUGGAUUGUGUUUUACUCUUAACACCAUAUUUAUGAACCCAUCUGAUGACAUUAUCCAAGAUUUCAAACUCUCUGGAUCAUUCGUCGUGUGAUUUCAGGCAUCGCCCUCUCCUGCGGGCCUCGUGGCGUCUCCGGGCUAGCUUUUCACCAAAACUUGUGUUCUCAAGUCACUUUACUCUAUACCUUUGUGUUGUACUAGCACAUGGGGACAUGAAAAACCAAAAGGCUACCCAAGUCCUCAAAGGAUUCUGCUCCGUCCGUCCGAAUUGCAACUUUCCCCCCAUAAGUCCGGAACGUUUGUGCGGGUUAGUCUAGUUUGUGAAGAAAGUGCAACCUCAGAUCCUUCGAUUGUGUUUUCCUAUUAACACCAUAUCUAUGUACCCAUUUGAUGACAUCAUCCAAGAUUUCAAGUUCUCUAGACCAUCCGUCAUGUGAUUUGAGGCAUCGCCCCCUCCUGUGAGUCUCGUGGAGUCUACGGGGUAGCUUUUCACCAAAACAUUGGUUUUCCUGAUGUUUUUCUAUUACUUAGUGUUCUAUUGCUACAUGGGCACAUGUAAAACAAAAAAUAUACCCCAAGCCCUCAUAGAAUUCUUCUCCCUCGGUCCGAAAUGCGUGUUUUCCUCACUCUAGGGCUUGGGUUUGAAUGUUCCUUACUGUUUUGUUACUAGCUUUUCACCAAAACUUGGGUUUCCAUGUCACUUUACUAUAUCAUAGUGUUGUAUUAGGUCAUGUCGACAUGAAAAAGCAAACAUCUAUCCAAGUCCUCAACGGAUUCGGCUCCGUCCGUUCGAAUUGUGACUUUUCCCUCUCUAAUUCCAGAACGCUCGUGCGCGUUAGUCUAGUUUGUGAAGGAUGUGCAACAUCAGAUACUUGGAUUGUGUUUUCCUCUUAACACCAUCUUUAUGUACCCAUUUGAUUACAUCAUACAAGAUUUCAAGUUCUCUAGACCAUUCGUCGUGUGAUUUGAGGCAUCGCCCCCUCCUGCGAGCCUCGUGGCGUCUACAGGGUAGCUUUUCACCAAAACUUAUGUUCUCAAGUAACUUUACUCUACGUUUGUGUUGUACUAGAACAUGGGCACAUGAAAAACGAAAAAGCUACCCAAGUUAUCAAAUGAUUCUGCUCCGUCCGUCCGAAUUGCGACUUUUCCCCCUAAGUCCGGAAGUUCCGUGCGGGUUCGUCUAGUUUGUGAAGGAAGUGCAACCUCAGAUACUUGGAUUGUGUUUUCCUAUUAACACCAUCUUUAUGUACACAUUUGAUGACAUCAUCCAAGAUUCCAAGUUCUCUAGACCAUCCGUCGUGUGAUUUGAGGCAUCGCCCCCUCCUGCGGGCCUCAUGGCGUCUACGGGGUAGCUUUUCACCAAAACUUGUGUUCUCAAGUCACUUUACUCUACGUUUGUGUUGUACUAGCACAUGGGGACAUGCAAAACCAAAAAGCUACCCAAGUCGUCAAAGGAUUCUUCUCACUCGGUCCGAAUUACGUGUUUUCCUCACUCUAGGGCUUGUGUUUGAAUGUUCCUUAGUGUUUUGUUACUUGCUUUUCACCAAAACGGCCGCCGGCAAUGAGUAAUUAAUUUUCUUUAUUUUAUAAGUGAAAAUUGGGUUCAAUCUAAACAACAAUAUAUAUACGCUCUAUGUGUUUACAAUAUGGUUGAUUUACAUCACAAAACAAACAAAAAAGAAAAAAAAAGCUUUGCCGACGGCUAUUAUGUUGGCCUUCCGCAAAGCCACCUUUGCCGGUGGCUAUUUUACGGGGCCGCCGGCAAAGGGUUAAUUUCUUUUUUUUUCUUCGGUUCAAUUCGAACGGGGGACAUUUGUGAAAAAAUAAAAAAAAAGACCUUUGCCGGCGGCCUUUUCUCGGGGCCGCCCGCAAAGGGUUAUUAUUAUUUUUUCUUUCCGGUUCAAUUUGAAGGGGGGACAUUUGGGAAAAAAUAAAUAAAUAAAUAAAAGAAGGCCUUUGCCGGCGGCCUUUCCUCGGGGCCGCCGGCAAAGGGUUAUUUCUUUUUUAAAAAAAAAUCGUGCGCGCGCGUCCAAAUUUAAACGGAUUGUCGCGGGAAAAACGAAUCUCUUUGCCGGCGGCUUUUUUUUGUGGUCGCCGGCAAAGGUAGUUUUUUUUCUCCCCCCACCAGCCGUUUUGCCCGCCGUUAACCUCGCACACGGGCCCACGUGCAGGGUGUCUUUGCCGGCUGCCGCCCUUUGCCGACGGCGUUUCGGAAAAUUUGCCGACGGUCGACCCUAUGCCGUGGGCUUUUCUGCCGGCCCACAGCAUAGGGCCUCUUUGCUGGCGGCCCGAUAGAAAGCCGCCGGCAAAGGCCAUUGCCGCCGACACAGGCCGGUUUUCCCGUAGUGAGAGUUUCCUGUAAGAUGCAUGCGUCUCUUGCGCCGCCUGAAUCCAAGGCCUCUUUGGUUGGUUAAGGGUAUUUUGAAACUACUACAGCAAUAAAACUAAGUCCCUUUCAAAAGAAUGUGUAAACAAAGAAAAACUAGACUAUUUUUUUAGAACACACGCUCACAAUACGCGCAUACACUCACCCCUAUGAACGCACAGACGCACACCCUACCCCUAUGAGCACCUCCGAAAGACCGAGCCGGCAAUUCUUGAGACUAUGAGCACCUCCGAAAGACCGAGCCCGCAGUUCUUGAGAGAUUGACGAAGUCACCACUGGUGCCUCGCUGUUGACGGGUACGUCACCUACCACCGAAAAAAUAGCGCCGGUUAAAUCCUGAAAUAAUCCAGGGAAAUGUGACACCCAUGUCAAGUUCAGGACUUGAACCUGGGUGAGUUGAUUCCACCACAAGGAAUCAGACCACCUGAGCUAGGUUCAGUUCACGAAACUAUACCGUUUUUGAUAGUUUGAUUCAUAUCCUCAUAGUUGAAAAGGCAAGAGUGUAUUUCUGGUGCCACUUGAGGCGAUUAUAGGGCCCCAUGGAGCCUAAAGCUACCACAAUUAGUAAGGCUUGUCUAAGUCAAUGCAAGAGAAUCUUUGGUUUGAAGCCCCUAAAACAAGACUCCUAAACAAUAUUUGGGAGUUUCUCUCAAAUUUUAGUGUCCCAAAAGAUACAAACAUCUUUAGCUAUUCUACAACACUUUUUUUUAGUACAAAGCUGUAACUCCAUGUGCAUGCGCGGUGCCAGUCCAUGUGUACAUUUGCCACCAUUCACUUUUGCUUGUUGUCCAAUGACCGCAGCCGGUUCAUUCUUGCCGGCACCAUUUUCUUCGCCUAUUCAAACAACAAACAGAUUGAAAAGAAAAUCAGAAAGCGUGAUUAAUUAGUGAGCUAAACCAAGGGAUGACGUAGAAGCACCAUAAUGCAUACCUUUGCUUUAAACCCAGUUAUGUCGCGGUCAAUCGGGGGGCACCACGAUUUAAAUUUCCUUCCACAUUUGAUUGAAAUUGAAUUUGAGAUCCAAAGUUGCCAUUGUUUGCGGGCGGAAAGAAGAGGAAAUGAUACAUAUGGUGGCCAGAAACUAGAGAUCAUGCCCUAUAUAAAGAAUAAGACAACGUGGCCGCAAAAGUUUCAUUCCCUCCAAUUAAUUCUCCUCAGAAGUAUGAGAAUUAUAAAUUUGAUUUCUCUUCGAAUCGCAAAUUCAAUUUCAAUCAAAUGUGGAAGGAAAUUUUGGUGCGCGAGAUCACCGAUGCAUGGAGGCUAGCAUACGUAUGGGGUGGACGUGCAUGGGGCAUGCAAAGUGUGAGGUGGACGUCCGUUUCGCGGUGGGGAAGGAAACCAAUUCGCAAGCGAAGUGAGAUAGACGUGCAUGUCCCUGUAUGUUGCACUAAAUAUCGCCUUAAUUGUGUACAUAGCGAACAAGUACAUAUUGUGUAGUGAUCGACAACCCUAUUUAAUGUGCACUAAAAUUAUACGGUUAGGAACUUCAAAUGUUAAUGAUAUAAUUUUUAAGAUAUAAUAAUCACGUUACAUUAUUACAUUACUUAGAUCUUCAACCUAGGGAUGCAUUGGGGCCCCUUAUACCGAAACGGAGGGAGUACCGAAUCUUUUAUUUUGACACAAAAAAACUACCGAAUCUUUUUUUACAGCAAAAAAUAUUACCGAAUCUUAUAGGUACACAGUGCGUAUUUUUCUCGACACUCUUGCUCUUGUGGGUUGAUUUGCAAAACGAUAAGACACUCCGGAAUGAUCGUCAUCCUCUGAAUAUAUACGCCGGUAUGUUAACAGCCCGAAUGUCUAAUCCCUUGCGAUUUUUACUCUCAACUCCGAACAAAUACCGAAGCAUCCACUCCCUCCAAUUCUAAAUUCUUGUCGUUUUUUUAUUGCAAACCUGCACUGAAACAACGAUAAAAUUUAUUGCAAAUUUGCACUGAAACAACGACAAAAAUUUAGAACCGGAGGAAGUAAUUAAUAGGAUUUUAUCUCAAGAAUCAGGUACAAGCGAAGAUUAAGAUUAAUAGGAGGAAGAGAGGAAUAGAAUAAUUUUUUUUUUGAGAAACAUGUUUUUUUAGAGAGAGGAGGAACAGAAUAUGAGCAGCAACUGGCCGGUCCGGAGCCUUCGGGUUCCAGGAUGGGCCUAGUUGUUUGUAGCCUCCCGUGUCUUUGAGCGGGCCCAAGUUCAAGAGCCACAUCCAUUCCAGCCCAGUUGUAGAGGAGCAGUGUGAGUUAACACAACCUACCACGGUCCAAAGCUCCCUGUAACAAAAUCGGUUCAGUCCAUAGCUCCCUAUAAAAAAGAACGGGGGACACUCCCAAGAUUCAUGCGCGUUUUAACUUUAAAAAAAAAAGAUUCAUGCGUGUUUUAACUCUUGAGACGAAUCUAAGCCCUCUUCGGUUCACAAUAUUUUGAAAGUGUAAACACCCUUUUAAAAAAAAAGUGUAAACAAAGAAAAACAUUGAAUAUGAUACUUUGAAAGUUUACUUCACAGAAUUUUGUAAACCUAAGUUUUUUUAGGAAACACACAGAAGUAUGAAAGGCAAAAGAGAGGAUUUUGAUUCGUAGAAAUAAGAAAUAGAAAAAAAUAGAAAUAUUAAUAAUCUUUGCUAAAUUGAGUAGAAACAAAGUAAAGUUGUGAUUGCUUUCAUCAUGUCCUAUGUGGCACCUCACUUUUUUUUUCUCCUUUUAAAACACUCGUUUCCCACAUACUUAACUAGUGGAUGGGUUUAAACCGGUCUAGGAUAAUGCCUCGCAAGAUAUCUUUACUCCUAUAAUUCAAUUGGUGGCGACAGUCCGUCACUGGACCUUGGGAACACGUCAUUGUUUUUUUCUCUUUUGUUUGCAUCAGUUGUUGACUGGGCACAAACUACCUGAAAUGGGAAUGAAUAAUGUUAUUCUAAACUUUUCUUUUGUCCGUAGCCACGCUGUGCUAGUAUAUGAUUUUUUUUUCUAUAUCCACUUGUUUCCCGCUGCAACCUUUUCAUCCAGUUUGUGAAGCAUUUGGUCUACCGUGUCAUGUGUCCACUCAUCCUCACCUUCAUCGGCCAUCGUCGAUGCUGUUUGGCACCACAACCACUGACGCUUCCUCUUGAUUGGUAUGAGCACUAUAGACAUUCUCAUGUUCCUACCUCGACAAACAACGAUUCCUCCAGUGUAGGAUUGACACAUAAAAUACAUGGUGCGGAUCUUAAUUCCUGGUUCAUUCUUGUCGGCACCAUCUUCUUUGCCUUUUCCAUCAAUAAAUAUUGAAAAUGAGAGAGCGUGAUUAAUUAAUAGUGAGCUAAACCAAGGGACAACGUAGGAGCACCACAGUACAUACCUUUGUCCUUUGACCCAAAUUGUGUCGUGGUCGAUCCUUGAGACAUUUAGAUUUUUUGGGUGAAAGAAAGAAAAGUAAAAGAGACAUAUGGUGGCUGAAAAUUAGAAGUACGUCAUGCCCUAUAUAAAGAAUUCGUAUAAAGAAUUGCAAAUUUGAUUUCCCUCCAAAUCUCCAAUUCAAUUUCAAUCAAACGUGUGUGGAAGGAAAAUUUGGUGCUUGAGAAUUACCAAUGCAUGGAGUUUGGCACACGUACGGGACGUGCAUGGGCAUGCAAGCUGUGAAGUCAACGUCCAUCUGAUGGUGGGAAGGAAACCAAUUCGUGAGCCGAGUGACGUAGGCGUGCGUGCUCUUGUCUGCCGCGUUUGAUAUCGCCUUAAUUAAUUUCAUGCAUAACGAACAAGCGGACAUACAUAGUGCAGUGGUCGGCAACCCUCUUUAACGUGGAUCAUUCAUGUUAAGCCGAGUAGCUAGGAAAAAUGCUCCCGCACUAUACCUACUAGGUACGUCGAAAAAAAAAAACCUAACCACAUUUAAAUUAGAUACGAAGGGAGUUCGUUGCAAUUAAGCCAAGCAAGCCAAAACCUAUGCAUCGCCACAUCAACAUUAUCUGCAGGCAAGGCUAGCUAAAUUCGGCAUUGCCAUCUUGAUUCGAGGGAAACAAUUCGCUUCCCUUAAGCUAAUUAAUCUAUGACAAGUGAUAUGCGUGUAACAUGCAGGAUUUCUCGCUCUCUUGGCUCCAUCUUUUGCUUACAGAAACAGUAACAGUGUCCUUGCAGCAUUGGUCAGCGUGACCUACCAAAAAUACCUUGCAAUUUUGGUCAGCUCGACGAAGGGGAUAUUAUCGUACGGAGUUACUUAUUACUUUUACUUUUCACCGUCCGGAAGGGGAAACUGCAACCAAAUGCGGCGGCGGCGACUUGUUGAGUCAAGCAAGCGUGCGUCCUGUGUGGCGGCGUCUAGCCCAGUGAGCCGAGCACCCCCAACACACCUCGCCCCUCGUUCAUCUCGUCGUCUUCAACGGACGAGUCUCUUUCUCCCCUCCUCCUCGCCCAACCAACGGCGCUAACCCUAGUCAGUUCCGGCCUUCUCGUCCUCACCAGAGCGGCGAGGCCCGCGGCUUCCGCUGCCGCCGGAAGGACGGUACGUUGGUUCUCCACUCAUCCUCGAUUUCGUGCUGUGUGAUUCGGGAGGGUGGUCUGGGGGUGGUCGGGAGUACUUGGGCGGAGACGCUUGCUGGUGGUUGGCGACGGUAGGUGGCCUCCGGGAACGUUCAAUUCGGUGAUUCGUGUGUGGGGAUUUCGUGGUUGGUGAUUCGUUUCUGCUGGCUGGGGGUAGGGUUGCUGUGGCCGGAGUAGAGCGGGGGCUUGGGUUGCGGGAGAGAUGAUAGGUUGUGGUGCUGGAGUGUGAUCUGGUCCAGUAAUCCGAGUGAACCUGUGACUGUGAGUGGAUUGAUUUGUAGAGCGGGGGAGGGAUGAUAGGUUGUAGUGCUACCUGGAACGCGAUGUGCUCUAGUAAUCCGAGCGAACUAUCUGCUGGGCCGAUGGCUGUCUGAUCCUGUGAUUUACCUUCUCUCAUGUCACUAGCUGUGCCACAAGUUCCAUAUGAACUUUUUUUUGCCUUGAACCCAUAGAAAGUUUGUUUAUGGAGGACGGUUAGUGUCCGGAAUGAAGGUCGUACACGGGCUCAUUUUUACAAAUUUUAUCAGAAUGUUCAUGGAGGACGGUUAGUGUCCGGAAUGAAGGUCGUGCACGGGCUCAGCGGUGUAGGUAUACCGAACUGGCGAGACUCACUUGGUUGUUUCCUCAGACUUAAUUACAGCCUGGCCUGACUGUUUGGUGUCUUUUGCUGAUGCAUAUAUAGCAACUUAUCUAGGAGUUUCUUAAUUACAGCCUUGCCUGACUGUUUCGUGUGAUUUCAAGGUUGACAUGGUCAUCUUAUUGGCGGUGUACUGUAUGGAUUGAUGGGAAUGGGAUUGACAGGGGUGUAAGGUGUUGAUUAUAGAUAGAAACUUAACGUACGGUGUGUCAUUUCAUGGUGUCUCCAUAAAGAGUUGUCACGUCUGGGUGCGUACGUGCUUAAUAUGAUUUCAUAGCUCUAGUUGGAUUAUUGUGUUGUGCAAUAGUAACAUUUUAGUCAUUUCUCAUGUAUGUUCUAUUGUUUCUGUUAGAUGGGCUCUUUGAACAAUAUAUAAAUUUACGUAAACAUCUCUAGGGAGGUAUACUGAUUGGCAUCCAUCCAAAAAUUGUUGCUAUAACUUCUUACAUACUCCAUUGAAAGUAUCACUUACAGGUUUUCCUUGCCGGCGGUAGAUUCUUAGCUAGUUAGAGACAUGAACACAUUUUACCUGUUUAGUGUUUGGUGGAGAAAGCAAACAUAGUGUGGUUAUUGACAACUGUACAUCUUAUUCCAUUACUAGUAAAGAUAUAUACAUGAGAGUUGUGGGCCACAUUAGCCUAGCCAUCAUGGAGGCUCAUAUUUGCCAAGUAAUCCUGUAUACUCUCUCCAUUCCUAAUUAGAGGACACACUCCCCUCUGACCCGCAGACCAGGGACGGAAGAAACAAGUGCUACAAUCCCUAAUGACGGAUCAACUCCCACAGCCUCGUUCGCCCAUGUUGGCCAACUAAGCAGGAUUGCAUGCAUGCAUAGCCAAUCGCCCGUGUAAAGUGUCUUGCAUGCAUGCAGAGCCAAAUCUCUAGAGUAAAUGCAGGGGAGCUGAAAGGAGCCAGCUGAAUGGUAAUUGCUUUUCAGGAGAAGCACACGCCUUAGGUUUUGGAUCGAAGCAAAAGAAACUUGCAUGCCCUUUUUUAGGGAAUGGAUGGAGUAUAACGUGCCAUUCUUAACAGUAUUAAGGAGUGAUUGAGAAGAAUAAAGUAUAUUUUGAUGAUCUCUUUAUGACUUCCCUUUUCCAGAGAAAUGAGUGGAGUUAUAAAAGGUCGCAAACAUGUUUCCUGGAUAGGUUACAGAAAGCUGGAAAGAGUGGCGGUAACAAGGUUAGACUGCUGAAGAAUAAAACAAUUUGAACUGCCCCCUGUUAAUCAGAUAAAGUUAACUUAUGUACCCUUUAGCUUUUCAAAUUACUUUAAUACGUCAGAAACAAUCUGGUAACGUUAUCACAAUUGUCGCAACCAUUUUAAUGAAUAAGAUUUUGUGUUUCAGUAAGAGGAAUAAGUUUUUGUACUUUAUUAGAUAUAGUCAUGCAACAUCUUAUCUGUUUCUCAUACAUGUCUGUUUGUUUUGGCAACAUUGUUGCAGGACGAGUUCAGCAUGUCCUUAUGCGGCUACAGCAGAAUUUAUGCUUUUGUUUUCUUUCUGUGGUUGGACAGAUCUUUGUGAACUGAAGUAACAUCAGUAUGUAUUCCGGCGGGAGGACUCGGAGUGGGCUUGUCAGACGAAAUGGCAUUAUGGAUUCCAGCAACAAUUCAUGUUCUAGAACAAGAAGUGGGCUUGUCAGAGUAAACAACAUGAUGGAUCCUAACAAAGAAUCAUGUUCUAAAACACGGAGUGGGCUUGUUAGGGUGAACAAUAUUGUGGAAUCCAGCGAUAGUUCUUCUACUAAACCACAAAGUGGGCUUGUUAUGGAUGCUAUGGUUAACAAAGUGGUGGAUUCCAACGAUGGUUCAUCCUCUAGAACACGAAGUGGGCUUGUUAGGGUGAACAACAUCAUGGAUUCCAGCGAGGCUUCAUACUCUAAAACUCGCAGUGGGCUUGUCAGAGGAAACAUUGUUAUGAAUUCCAAUGAUGGUUUGUGUUCCAAAACACGAAGUGGACUUGUUAGAGAAAACAUUGUGAUGGAUUUGAGUGAAGAUUUGUGUUCCGAAACACAAAGUGGAAUUGCUAGAGGAAACAUUGUUAUGAAUUUCAAUGAAGAUUCAUCUUCUAGAACACGAAGUGGGCUUGUUAGAGGACACACUGCUGUGGAUUCUAACAAGGACUCAUGUUCUAGAACACGAAGUGGGCAUGUUAGAAGAAGCCUCUCUGUCAAGGUAUACAAAUCUAACUUCUUUUGCUAUGCAUUUAUUUUGGGUGCAACCUGACAAGUACAAAAUUCUUCUCUUUUUGUUACUAGGUAGAAAACAAGGUUGGACCAGUCAUUAAGGGCCUACCUGAUGGAUGCAGCGAACCGGCAAGUCCAGUAAAUUAUGGAUCAGGUCACAGGAGUGAUCUGGUAUGUUGUAGUGACCCUUUAUUGUCUUGUGUUGCAUCUAACACUAUAUCUAAGUAACUAUAGUCUCGCCAGGUCCAAAUCAAGGAUGACCCAGUCAUUAAGGGGUCAGAUGAAUGCUGGAAAGAAGACACACCACCUUUGAUGAACCUAGUAAAUCACAAGAGUGAUCAGGUAUGAGACAACUGUUCCUUCUUCCCCUGCCCUGCUCUAUCUAAAACACCAUGGGCCGCUUUGAUUCAAAGGAUUUUCAAAUGAUUUUUAGGAGGAUUCAAAUCGUUAGAGAAAUUUCUGAUCUGAGUUGUUUGGUUUUUAGGAUUGCAAACCAUAGGGUUUUUUCCUAAGAAUUCUUCUGCACUACAUUUCAUAGGAAAAUUCCACUGGGUCCGAAAUGUUGAUAUGUUUCUUUAGGUGCAAACAGACAUAGUUUAAAUCCUGCAGGAUUCAAGAUGGUAUAACAAUGUAGGAUCAUAUGUUUUUCCUAUCCUGUGUUUUUGGAAUCUUGCGAAUCAAAGAGGCCCUAUGACCCUGUGUUUUUCAUAAAGUUAAUAACUAUUCUGUUACUAGGGUCAAAGCAAGGAUGAACCAGUCAUGAAGGGGCCUGAUGGAUGGUGGAAAGAAGACAUUUCCAGAAAGAACAAGUCAAGUCAGAAGAGUGAUCUGGUAAGCUUUUCUUAUCUUUUUCUUUUUGCUCCUUUCUGUCUACGACAGCAUGUCUAAAACCAUUAUAAUUUUUCACUACUAGGUUAAAAACAAGGAUGAGCACAUUAAAAGGCAGUUGCCUGAUGGAUGGCGGAGAGAAGACAGGCCAAGAAGGAAUGGAUCAACUAACAAGACUGAUCCGGUAUGCCACCAAGAUAUCUUUGAGUCUUUUCUAUUUAAAAAACAUAGGGAUCUGCAAGUCAUUUUAACCAACCUAAUUUUUGUUUUGAACUGCGAUAAAUAUGUCCCCAGCAUCCAUAUCAAAAUAUCUUGCCCAGCAUUGUACUACUAGCACUAGUCCAUGGUAAUACUCCGCGGUGCUUCAUUUUCAUCAAACGAAUUUCACAAGUCACCCUUCUGAAGUCAUAGUUCAGCUCUUAAGUUGAGAAUCUGUCUUUCUUUCAUGCCUCAUAGCUUGCUUUUACUUGGAUCUACAUGAUUUUAAGUGGUACUGUAAAAUAAGCUAUUAACUGAUUAUACUUGCAGUGCAAUUGUUGUCGAGGAUUCCCUAGAAGUUGAGGAUCUAAAUUUGUUAUUAGUCUGUAUUUGAGGCGAUAACAAGAAGCUUUAACCAAUUAUCGAGCUUUCCACGUACUUUUAUUAGAUAAACUUGAGUUUGCCAUGUUAUAGAAUGCCUCCCUAAAUCUAAUUAUCUUCACAUCAUUUUCUUUAUUUUUAUCGGAAGCCUUGAUCUGCCUCCUAUUCUUUUGAUCUCUGCAGUACUACAUUGAUCCAGUAAAUGGUUAUGAAUUUCGCUCUAUGAAGGAUGUGCACCGUUAUAUUAAAUCAGGAGACAUAAAGCAAUGCAGUUUUAGGCCAAAGAAGAGAACUAUCCAAGAUGUCUGUAUUACAGACAACCAAGCUCAUGUGAGUUCCUUGUAGCACCUCUUGUUUUCACCUGAUUUAGCUUGCAUAUUUGUUCCAUUAUAACAUAGAAGGAUACAAAUGCUAGGUAGGCAUAAUUAUCAUCCACACCUCAAGUCGAAUCUUUCUGUUCUUGAUGAAUAUAGGCAAGUUUGUCCCUUGUCAGUCGCUCUUAUCCUUCUUGUCUUCUUGUAGAGAAAAAAAAUGCAAAUGCACCUUCUUUUGUUUUGCUUAUGCAGAGAAUCAGAGUUCUUGCACCCUGGGUUGUAUAACUGUAGAUCAUCACAAAACCCCAUAGCUUUCUAGAUUUUAGUUUCAGUAGAUAGAUCAUAUAUGAAACUUUCGGAGAUGGGCUAAACAAUGAUCAUUUUGUGGAAAUGAAAAUCAGCCGAGAACAUCAUAAGAAAACACAUGAGCUUUGAUACACAGACCAUAAAUUUAUUACUUUCUGAAUUGUACUUUCGUUAGAUAGAUCAUGCAUGAUAAUUUAGGAGAUAGCUUAAACAAGAAAAAAAAGUUAUAUAUGGUAUUUUGCCUUCUUUUUCCUGAUGAUUACAACUUAUUAGAUCAUUUUCUAAAAAUCAGACAAGCACAUCAUCAGGAUACACAAGGCCAGGUACCGCCGACAAAGCUAUCCAAUGUGAAUUACUGACUUCAGAAGGUAUCAUGCUACCAUGGGGUGGACUGUUGAGCCCACAUACUGAAAAUAUGAUGUUACCGGAGUCUGAUGGCAUGAAACCAGUGGAAAGACAUGCUAACAAGGUUGAUCCUUUGGAACACAAGAGUGCACGACCGGUCUCUGCAAAGUGUCGUGAAGGGGAAAAGAAAUCUAUUAAACGAAAAGAACAAAAUACGGAGGCGAAACCCAAGAGGCGUAAAACCAGGCGUGAAAUAAAGAUUGCUGCACCUCCCCAAGCAUCACCCCGCUUAGCUGCACUCAAGGUUAAUCCUGAAGGGAACACUGAGCCUGAUGAUGAACUGACCAGUGUAAAUUUUGUGAAUGAGGUACAGCCUAUUCAAGAAAAAAUUGUGUAUCAGUCACUGAGCCGCGCUGACACUGUCAUCCAAUCACAGAACAAUCAGGAGAGCACUGCCGAUAAGUUACAGUUGACCCAAGGAGUUACUGUCGUUCCCAUGCAGACUAAUCAUGAGGGCACUGUUAAUCAGUUACAGUUAAGCCGAGCUGAUACUGUCAUUCCAAUUCAGACCAAUCAUGAGGGCACUGUCAAUCAGUUACAGUUAAACCGAGGAGACACUGUCAUUCACAUACAGACCAAUCAGUUACAGGCGAGCCAACCUCAAAGUGCCUAUCACUUGCAGGAAUACACUACCAAUUACUCGCAGAUGAGUGAAGCAGAUAAUGUGAAUAAAAAACAGACUGAUCAGGAAAUUUUUGCCAAUCAGUUACAGUCGAGCCAAGAAAAGCCUUUCAUUCAAAUGCAGACUAUACAGAAUAAAAAACAGACUAAUCAGGAAAAUUCUGCUGAUCAGUUACAGUCGGGCCAAGAAAAACCAUUUAUUCAAAUGCAGACUAUACAGAAUAAAAAACAGACUAAUCAGGAAAAUUCAGCCAAUCAGUUGCAGUCGAGCCAAGGAAAGCCAUUCAUUAAAAUGCAGAGUAUACAGGAAUACAUUACCAAUUACUCACAGUUGCAUCAGAGUCAUGCAGACACUGUGAAUGAAUUACAGACUUAUCAGGAAAAUGCUGCCAAUCAGUUACAGUCGAGCCAUUCAGACACCGUCAUUCAACUACAUACUACACAGGAAUACUUUGCCAAUCACUCAGCGCUGAGCCGAGCAAAUGCUGUGAAGCACAUGCAGAUCAACCAGGAAAACACUGCUGUUCAGUUACAGUUGGGUCAAGCUGAUAGUGUCAAUCAAAUGGAAACUCUGCAGGAAAACAGCACCAACCAGUUACAAAAUCUCCAAGGUUUAACUGUUAAUCAAGUAGAAACUACACAUGAUUACAUCACCAAUCACUCUCUGCCGAGCCCAGGAGAUACUUUCAAUCACAUGAAGAUUAACCAGGAGAACACUGCCAAUCCACGACAGUUGAGCCAACCUGACUCUGUCAAUCAAAUGCAAACUAUGCAGGAAAAUACUGCUACUCGGUCAGAGCUGAUCCAAGGAUUAACUGUCAAUCAAAUACAGGCUAUUCGGGAAAACAAUACCAGAUACUUGCAGCCACGUUGUACUGAAAAUCCUAUCCGGUGGUCUGGUUUUUCUUCGUCUCCUGAGAGGGGACAUGUAGAACCUAUCCCAUGCUUUUGGAGAAAUGUUGAAAAUCAGAAGUCAUCGGUUCCCGUGCAAAUAGAUGGAACACUUAUUGCAACCUCCUCAGCAAAUAUUCAAUGCCAAGAUGCCCCUGCCCCAGAACCAGCUUUGCCAACACCGCCUGCAGUGCCUGGAACCGCCGGCCUAUCUGGGUUUACCCUGCCGUUAUUUGGAAAUUCCUGGUCAGAUCCAUGCAUCGAGUUUGCAUUGAAGACUCUUACAGGUGACAUUCCUGUUGUGGAUGACAGUCCAGCUGUUGCAGACUACUUCCCUCUGCAACAUGACCUGAAUAAAAUCGCACCACCAGAUAAUUCUUCUCCCUUCAGUGAGGAUACUAGAAACUAUACACAAGUCGACCAUGCCAACCACCGGCCAGCGCCAAGGCCAUCAGACAGGUUCUACAAUGGUGGUUGGUUCCCUCCACAGUGAGACCACCCACCGGAUAGGUUCUACAAUGGUGGGAGGAAAAACAGAAGAACUGUUUGUGCCUGCGAAAGGCUAAUGGUUAGAGGAAUGAUCGAGUGACCAAAGCUUGAACCAAAUGGUCUGGCGAGCGUCUCUUUGUGUUUUCAUGACCCCUCUGUAAAAAGGCCUGUGACUUGUUCUAACUUUGUUAGAAACAACAUGUACAUCUUACUGGAUGGGUGUCAGCUUGCUUUAGGGAUCUAGGGAUCGGAAUGACAGUUUUAUUUUCUCUUUUGCUUUUUGUGCAGUUGCCUGGUAAAUUUCAUUUGCUCUAUCAUCAGGGUUGACCCAGUUUGGCGUCGUCGCUAGCAGUGUUGUUUAUUUAUUUUUGCAAGUGAGUCUUGUGCGCAUGAGACGAUCAGCAUCUUUGGGCUCACUUUAACUGUAAUAAUUCUUAAUAGUUGAUGUAGCAUUGGCUGCCCUUGGUUUUGUGGUUCUGCUGGGCUUGUCGUGAUGCUCUGUUGCUUUUAUGUUUUCAGCUAUACAAACCAGUACUAACUCCGUCGAGGCAAUAUUAGGAUUCGGUUGAUCAAGCCUUUGAUCACAAAUUAUUUCAUGAAUGUGUAAUUAAUGUGAUCAAAAUCAUAACCAUAAGCAAAUAUCCUUGAGUAAGAACAUAAUGCAAAUUACUUCAUGAAUGUGUAAUUAAUGUGAUCAAAAUCAUAACUAUAAGCAAAUAUUCUUGAAUAGGAAUAUAAUGCAUAUAAAUCUAUAUCAUAUAAUUAUAUAUUAAUAGAGUAAUUUGUGGUCAAAGCAUUGGUCAAAGAAAACUAAUGUUGAGUAACACAUUAGUGGAUUUGAAGCAUAUUUUCGGUUGUCAAGUAACAACCUUGAAACUCCGUUGUCUAAGAUCUGAAAAGCAGUUCAAGCCAGGGGGCAGUGUGGUUCCCGUUACCACGGUAGUUUUCUAAACGGGGAGCAGAUCUUGCUUUUACCCCCGUCGUGGGAAUAAAGAAGAGGGGAAUUAUAUUAUGGCAGAGAUGAGAUGCAACAGCAGCGCGCUGACAGACAAAAACAAAACACGCGGCUGACGAUCCAAUCGGAACACCAUCAUCAUCAUCCAUCACACCCCAGCCCAGCUGGGCUCGAGAUCGGAUCGCUGCCCAGUCCGUCGCAGAUCUCCUCUCCCGCGCGGCCCUGAUCCGCAAGUUCCUUCUUUGGCGGAAGAUACAUGGCGGAGCUGGUGGUGGCAGCGGCUGCGCCGGCGCCGGCGGGGAGGUGGGGCGCCGCGCCGCCGCAGGAGCUGCUCGAGAGGCUCAAGGACUACGGCCAGGAGGGCGCCUUCGCGCUCUGGGACGAGCUCGCGCCCGAGGAGCGCGACUUCCUCGUCCGGGACAUCCAGGUACCCAAACUCUUGUUCCACUCCUCGUUCGGAAAAUUUGUUAGGGAGGGCUCAAACCCGUGUAAGGAUUCCAGACAUCCUGUGUUGCGGAAAGAUUUGUGCGCUCUGUGUUGCGCUUGUGCCAGAAUUCUGAAAUCCAACUCAUCUCACUUGAACUGGAAGUAGGGAAACAAAGCAGUACUCCGUACUAGAAAUACAUGUUACUAGUUGGUUGGUUCGUUGGUGAUGCCAUUUGAGUACUAGUCACAUUUGUAACUGAGCAGCUGCUGUCUUUAGACGUUGAGCUAGCCUGUCAUCUCACAUGCAAAGUGAAUUGGUGGCGUCAAUGCAUUUCUAUCUCUAAUAACUUAGCUGAUCCACGGUACCGCUAACUGAAGUUGAUAAACUGCAUUUCAGAGCAUAGAUCUUGCCAGGAUCGACCGGAUCGUUCGAUGUUCACUCAGAUCGCAAGGUGAGGGGCCUUUUCUCCAUACACAUUUCCCAUGCUUUGUGGGUUUCUGUGAGGUUUUGCUCACAUGAAUUUGUGUCGAUGCUUGGAAGCACAGGUGGUCCUGUGCCGGUUGUUCAGCCUGUGCCGGAGUCAAGUGUGGCGACAGUGGAUGAUAGAAGCCCUGAGGACAAAGAAAGGUGGUGGAGGAGGGGUUUGAAAGCCAUUGCAGAGGGAAAGUUGGCUGUCGUACUUUUGGCUGGUGGUCAGGUACUCGGAAGCACGGUUUCCCCUAGCUUGCCUAGGUUGUUUAGUGAUUAUACACAGUACACUGUACAAAAUUUCUCUUGUAGUAAUAUCAUAUAUUUUUUAAUUGUGAACAGGGAACACGCCUUGGCAGUUCUGAUCCUAAGGGAUGUUUCAGUAAGUCUCUCCACUCCAAGUUCUUGCAUGUUGCUUUCACUGUAUGACACAAAUGUUGUUUAAAUCUGAAUAUGUAUUCCGUUUUUAUUACUUUUUGUUUGGCAGAACUCUUUAUUUUCCUGAUUGCAUAUUUCCAAAUGAAAGUUUAUGUUACCCUACUUUUCUAUGUUUCCCCCCACAGUAAAUAUGAACGGAAACAUUUGCAAAUUUUAUGUAUUGCAUUUAUGUUCAUGCCUUGGUACUUUCUUAGUGAUGCCCAAGUUCUAGUUUUCUCUUAAUCUCAAAUUGGUCUUAAGAAUAAUCUCUGAUUUAUGUUCAGGUAUUGGGCUUCCAUCUGGAAAGUCACUUUUCCAACUUCAAGCUGAACGAAUUUUGUGUGUUCAAAAGCUGGCUGCUCAAUCCACUGAUGGUAAUUUUGUCUAGAGCGCCUGUUAACUAUUUGUGGUGUUGUUUGCUAAAAAUUCCCAUGCUCAAAUUAUUUAUAUUUUGCAGCUCCAGGCAACACUCCGCAGAUCCACUGGUAUAUAAUGACCAGUCCCUUCACUGAUGAAACCACCCGCAAAUUCUUUGAAAGCCGUCGAUAUUUUGGCUUAGAGCCUGACCAAGUAAGUAUUAGAUGGCUUUUUAUGGUGAAAAUGACGACAUGACUUCCUGUACAACUCCUAAAAAUUAUCUUUGGCUGGAUUUUUUAUUUGUAGGUGACCUUUUUCCAGCAAGGCACACUCCCGUGUGUUUCUCCUGAUGGAAGGUUUAUCAUGGAGACACCAUAUAAGGUACCCUUUGUUUUAAAUUAGAAUUUCAUAUUCCUCAUUAAAGUCGAUGCAUUUCUUCAUUACAAGUUCGCAACUAAAUAUAGGUUUGACUAGCAGAAUCAAAAUCAAGUACUAUUUGUUUUCUGUGGUAGUGAUAUCAUUUGCAACGUUCUUAACAAAACCAGGUGGCAAGAGCCCCGGAUGGCAAUGGGGGAGUAUAUGCUGGUAAUUUUAUCCCAAUGCAUCAUUCAUUCAGUUUUAUAUAUUGGUAUUUGCCACAAUCUUGUUGCUUAUUUUUCUUUCUUUUUUCUUUCACCGUGUCUCAGCUCUAAAAUCUAAAAGGUUGCUCGAUGAUAUGUCUGCAAGAGGUGUGAAAUAUAUUGAUUGCUAUGGAGUUGAUAAUGUGUUGGUGAGUACAUCUUUUAUUGGAAAAAAUCUCUGAUGGAAUUAUAGUCUCCUUUUUUAAUCUGUUAAUUAACAGUCUAUCUCUAUGGUACCAGGUCCGUGUUGCAGAUCCAACAUUCCUAGGAUACUUCAUUGACAAGGGUGUGUCUGCUGCUGCGAAGGUUGUAAGGAAGGUAUAUCAAGAUAAACCCAAUUCCUAGCAGAUUGAUAAGUUACUCUUUAAAUCCAAUUAUGCGCCUUCUUGAUUGUUUAUGGUUAUGUGUUCUUUAGGCAUACCCACAGGAGAAAGUUGGGGUAUUUGUUCAGCGUGGUAGGGGUGGACCUCUCUCUGUGGUUGAGUACAGUGAAAUGGAUGCAUCUAUGACUACUGAAAUCAAUCAAACAACAGGACGCCUUCGUUAUUGUUGGAGCAAUGUAUGCUUCUUCUAUCCCCUUUCCCCUGGUAUCUCCUCUUUCUGCACUAAUAACGGUGUAUUCCUUUUAUUUUGGCAGGUGUGCUUGCAUAUGUUCAGUUUGGAAUUUCUCAAUCAAGUAACCAAUAGUCUUGAGAAGGAUAGCGUGUAAGUAUUUGUAUCAAAGCACUUUUCUGUUCUUGCACUUUAUGAAUUCAUGAGGUUUGCUUUUGUUCCGAGAUAUUUUUAUGCACACAAAAGCAUGCUUGCAGUCCAUAUCAAUAUGUAAUCACCAUAGUUUAUGUAAAUUUACGGUUGUCGGUGCAAUUACAGAGAAAAACUUUUCUAUGAGUUCACCAGUGUUAUUGGCUUUAUUUAUUUUGUACUGAAAAUGUAAUAAACUUAGUUACUUCGAAAAAUCAUUUUCUACUAACUUCUGAUAAAUCAGCUGUUUCUAUCUUUCUGUUUUACCAUGUAAUUCCUGCAUAUCAUAAACCAGCAAUUACCAAUUUAGUAUCAACUUAUGGUUUGUUCCAUCCCUGUUUGUGCUUAAUUGGAAAACCUUGUGCCAGUUAUCAUCUAGCAGACAAGAAGAUUCCUUCAAUUCAUGGGUACACAGCAGGCCUAAAGCUUGAACAGUUUAUAUUCGACGUGUUCACCUAUUCUCCAUCGACAGCUCUUUUUGAGGUUUGAUUCUAUUCACUAAUGCCUGAAUGAAGCUGACUUGUUCUUCCAUUUCAUUCCCAUAAAAGCAAACAUUAGUGUGAGGUACUUGUUGACACCAUACAAUUCAGGUCAUGAGGGAAGAGGAAUUUGCACCAGUAAAGAAUGCUAACGGUGCGACCUACGACACUCCUGAUAGCGCCAGAUUAAUGCUACUUCGCCUUCACAGCCGAUGGGUUGUUGCUGCAGGUGGCUUUUUGACGCAUUCCGUGCCCUUGUAUAUGACAGGUAACUUUCCUUCUGUUUAUGUGCUUGGAACGUUCGAAGACUGUCCACAGCCAAAGAUUUUCGUAUACAAACUCACUGAUUGCCGUGAUAACUUGGCUUGUACUUUUAGGUGUUGAAGUUUCUCCCAUGUGCUCUUAUGCUGGAGAAAACCUAGAAGCCAUAUGCCGUGGACGAACAUUCCAUGCACCAAGUGAGAUCUCACUCUAGGCGGAGGUUGUUCCAAGGAGCAGUUGCAUACAAGAACGGCAAAGUCUGUGAAUUUUUGUUAGGACAUGGGAUCAAGAUGGCAGGACCUGAGCACUUUCAAUUAGAGUGUCAAUAUUAGUCAGCCUGUUGUAUGCUGUGUGAGUACAGAGUAUUGUAAUGCAACACUUGAGGCUAUCUUUUCCCCCCUUUUGGUGAUAUUUAUCAUUUGUUGCUCAAAAUGUAGAUUGAUCAGAGGGCACAAUUCAAUCUUUAUCAAAAUCAAUGUAUUUCUGAAAUUUUGAAUACUGUUCUUUGCACAAUUGAUUUAAUGUGAGAAAAUCCAAAGAAUGGAUUCUACUAGUUUCCUCCUUUUUUUCUGUUACACGAUGUUGGAUAACUGUAGACUGAGCAUCUAUGAUUUCUUUUCUUCAAGCAGAUAUCAGUGAGUCACAGUAUGGUUUCAGCCAUCGGUCUCCGUCGAUGUAAGAUGUGUUCAAGUAAGGCAAUGCUUGCUCAUCACUGAGCUUCAAAGAAUAUGGCACUCUACCUGCCAGGUUUGCACCAUCACCUGUACACUUGUACUCUCCAUAAAAUACACUCCUGUCAAUGCAAAUAAAACAAAAGCUGAUGUUAGUAAGCUUUCUGCAAUAAUCUCAAUAAUUAACACCGACAGUGAAGGAGGCAUACUGAUCUCUUGAAGGAUCAUUCCAAUCAUUCCAUCCUUCAGAGGCGAUGAUGUCUGACAUCAAAGUGUAUGCAAAGACGACACGGGAGUAAGGUCUCCAUGCUCGCCCAAGCCAUAUCCUACCUGUGCCGCCGAUGCUACAGUUGACAAAUGAGUAACCGGUGUUGUCACCAUCAGAUUCUCGGGCAUGCGCUGUAAUUGCACCGGUGAUGGUUCUCACCCCUGCAGGCACAGGGUCUGCUAUGGAAAUCAAUCUGCAAUUCUGACAAGUACAAAAGUGGAAGCAGUUAGUGAACUCAGCACUUUUCGGUUUUGCGUUCCCGUCCUUGAGAUAUUAUAGUGUCUUUUACUCACUUCAUACAGUGACCUGGCAUCUCCAAAGAUGAAAUCAAUGGAGCCCUGAAUGAAACAUUCCUUGAAGUAAUGCCGGCCUCGAUCAUCGUGAAGCGUAUCUUGCGCACCGAAAAAGCCGCAGCCCCAGAAUGCUGCCUGGUCACCACCGAUCCUGAGAGCGACUGCCUGAGCAUCAACAGCGCCAGGUCUUGGGAUAGGUGCUACAUUCUGUUGUCAAAAUGGUUAAGAGAGUUACAUUGGUACUCAAGGUUCACCUGUGUGACUUAACAGAAACUUGAUGUGCAGCGUCCAUGAUUACAAUGAAGCUAAUGUUCUUUGCGACAAACCCUGCCGCGAAGACAGUGACCGAAGCGCUAUAGAAGGUGCCAUGCGACGAGUUGGCGGUGUCAUUCCACGCAAUCGCCGUCAGGUCAAAUCCCUGCCCCUGAAAUGUGAUGUUGGGCUUGGUUGCAGGGACUGUCACCUUCUCGCUGUAACAAUGCAGCUUCAGUAACCACACUAUUAUUACUUCUGUACUUUUGGCAACUGGGUACUGGAAGCCUGAUCAAAGCAAGAUUUCUUACAAGUAGAUGCCCUUGUUGAUCCACACAACAUUCCUCUUGUGGCUGGAUCUUGGGACAGCAUCUACCGCAUCCUGCACCUUGGUGAAAUCGCAGCAGCCGUUGGGGUCGACGCAGAAGAUUGAUGUCUCCGCCAUGUCAGGAGGUGGGAAGUCCGGCGGGAAAUCGUCACAAAGCGGGUUGUAUUCAUCGGGGAGGCAAUGAUCAUUGGAGAAAUAGCCAACUGUGAGCAAAUGAAAUGGAAGGGAAGGUGUUGCAAGAUCAAGCAAGGCUCUCAGGAACGAAGUGUGUGGGUUAUUCAGAUGAGCAAACAAUAGCAGAACGACAGGUAUCAGGCCAGAGAGGGAAAUGACUUUGGGGCUCAUUUGUAUUGCGGAAAAGCUUUCACUGUUUCAUGGGGAAUAUGAGAUGACUUUGGUGCCUUUUAACAGGAUAAAAUGCACUUUAAGAAGACGCUUAACUUGCUUCCCUUGCAAACAACCAAUCUCGUUUCUUCAAGCUUGAGACGCGGCGCAAGUCAGCAGUCUGCCAGAGGCAAUCAUGCAAAACAAUGAAACACCCGUGAAUGAAAAGAGUAUUCACGUCAUUGUCAGAAUCCAGAUAUGAUAUAAUAAAGAUCUAAUAAAGUAGUUGCUUCAAAGAUAGGUUCACCACGGCAAUUGGCAACCAUCCGUACAGGGAAACCCAUGGGAUCAUGUGAAAGCGAUGCGUGUUGUUAUACAAGAAAAUAACCAUUAUACAAAGACUAGAAACGGUUACGAACAGAGAGUAUCUAAUUACCUUUAAAAGUCGGUAACAUGGGUGAAUAUUUAAUUCCCUUGACCCCCAACAAGAGAUAAGCAAAGAGAAAGCACAUCCACCAAAAUAAGAUAAGAAAACAAGCUGCUGAUGCCAUUGCUUCAAAUAAGGUGCAUAUGGUACACCAUCCGACCAGCCAACCAGUGGGCAACAGCUACCACAAUUUGCAUGACCAGUGAUAUCUAAACAAAACUUGCACGGAUAGAUUUCAUGAACAUGUUCAGAAGAAUGAACUUUUAUCUAUAACUACUUCUAGACUAGACAAUUUCGGUAAGCUCAAGCAGCGGUGAAUGCCUUCUUCCCAGUGCCACCUGUGGAUCCCGCUGGAAUGACUUUAAGGAUGUUGAACCUCACAGUUUUUGACAAAGGCCUGCACCAUAUACAGAAAAAGAAAAAAAGAAACAAAUCAGCAUCCAAUAAAAGUAAAGCCCUGCAGUUCAAGAAACCAAAACCAACAGGGGAUAGGUAAAAUCCGAUACAGUUCCUGGAAUCACAGUAAGGGGGGCAAUGGCUAACCAAGGAAAACCUAUUUUUUUUCCAUAGAAGGUGAAGUAUAGAUUAAAUGUUUUUGAAGAGUUCGUGUGCUGCUUUAGUUGCAAAACCAUUUUAAAGUAAGCGGAAGACUGGCAUAACUCGGGUUGUAAUUUUUAAGCCUCGCAUUCCCAAGAGGUCAAGACCCAAGUAAAGUAACAGAACUGAAACCAUGAACUAAAUAUACAAUUAUAAAUAACACACCAGUUAGAGAGAAUUACCUGCACUGACCAAUGAUGACAUGGUCUCCUUCCUUGACCCGGAAGCAAGGAUAAAUGUGAGCUGGAAUGUUGGAGUGCCUCUUCUCGUACCUGCAGGAUGAAGGAGGUCACUCAGAAGCAGCAUGAGUCUAUAUUCCUAAACUCCUCCAGUGCUUUACUUACCUCUGAUACUUCUUCACAAAGUGUAGGUAGUUCCUGCAGAUGAUGAUAGUCCUGUUCAUCUUGGCACUGUGGCAUGUUCCAGCAAUAAUUCUGCCUCUGAUAGAAACAGUUCCAGUGAAUGGGCACUUCUUGUCGAUGUAGGCCCCUGAAAUCAAAUAAGUUCAUGACUUAAUUCCAUUUCCCUGGAAUGGAGCAAGUUAAUAAUUUGAUUACAUCUUUAUAAGUAGCUAUUCUUACCCAGUAGCUAAACAACAUAAGCCACAUGCAGUGCCAAAUAAAUAUCACAUGCUAGAUAAAGGAAGAUUUUAUAUAAGUUAUUUCUUUAUCUACUCACUUCAAAUUACUGCCUUAGCCAGGAAGAAUAUCUACUUUCAUCAAGUUUAUGAAUUGCAGAGACACUAGCUAACAAAGCAUACUGCUGAGUAGGCCUGGCUAACGAGCAUGCUCGGCUCGUUAAGAACUCGGCUCGUUAAGAGCUCGGCUCGUUAUGCUCGUUAACCUUAACGAACAUCAAAGCCUGUUCGGCUCGGUUCGUUUACUGCUCGCGAGCGCUCGUUAGGGGUGAAAAAAAUGGGCAGCAUGUAUGCAGAAAAAAUGACAAGCAAAGCAUGUGUACAACAUUAUAUAAUAAGUCCAUAACAAAUAAGACUAAUAACCAUUACAGGCUACAACACAAAUACUCAUAAGACCAGCAGCCAUUACAGCUUCGGUGUCCUCAUACAGUACAAUACAAAAGCACUAAUAAGACUAAUAUUAGUUUGACGAGAGUACGAAACGAGGAGGAGACUGGAGGCCCGACUGACCUAAUAACGAGUCUUGGGCUUGGGCCGCAUUCAGGCAGUUGGGCUGUUCGGGAGGGUGUGCUGGGCGCCUGGGCCUAACAAGUCGUGGGUUACUGUGUUUAGUUCGACCGCCAGACGUCAGAUAACGAGCUAACGAGCAUGCUCGCGAGUCUCGCUAGCUCGGCUCGUUAAGCUCUUUAGUAUUAACGAGUUUCAGGAGGUGCUCUACUCUGCUCUUUAGUCUAACGAGCCAGGUACCAAACGAGUCGAGCUACUCUCCGAGUACCGAGUAAAAUGUCCAGGCCUACUGCUGAGAUAAACAACUUCAGGAAGAGAACUUGAGCACAUUAAAGCUACCUUGAAAUCAGAAACUCAUCUGACUAGUCAUUCAAGAGGCAUCUAGUUUCAUAUCAGGCAACCACAGUUCAUGGUGUUGGGUAAAGGAAACAUGAAUAAGGGGUCAGAAUAGAAUGAUCAAUAGUAUUGUCUUUAAUCAUUUGAUCUAAUUUUUUUACAGUAAUACCUCAAAAACUAAUCAUACAUGGGAAACUUGAAAGGCGCAUGGAUUGCAUAAUGACAGGCAAUAUAUUAUUUAUACCUUCAAUCGCUUCCUUGGGGGUCUUGAAGCCGAGGCCAACAUUCUUCCAGAAGCGAUUACCUGCCUUGCCAGGUCUCUUCCCCUUGUCAGAUUUCUUUGGGCUGAAAUCAAACAUAAGAGUUGUUAAACAUACACAUGCUGUAUGCAAAGAGUACCACUAAGAGGUAGAUGCAGAGCCCUCACCAAAGGAAGACCUUUGGCUGCUUCAAGAAAGCCUUCUCAGUCUGCACAAAACAGAGGAUAUCGUACAUCAAAACUUGGAAGCCAGUGUCAGACAUUUACAUUCUGCAAUGCUGAAAAUCAUGCCCAAAAGAUGCCCUAGAGGCAAACUUCCAAGCAACACAAGUACAGCAGCACAACACAGUUCUACUCGUAGACCAAAAUUAAGGCUCAUAUACCAUGAUAUACAUUGACCGGCUACAGGCAUCUAGUGACCUUAGAGUGCGAAACAUCACUGCUCGCUAGGCACGGUACUAUAUGCAUUUUUUUACUUUCUAUGUAUAUGCAGGUUACGUCAACACAUACAUUCAUCACGCAGCGAUAACCAAGAAAGGGAUCACAAAACACAAAGUAUGGCGACAAAGACCAUCACUUGAGAUUUGGAGACUGCUAAGUUGCAACCAAAAAUUACAGAUGGUCACCAAAUUACAUUAAGAAAAACAACGCAACAUAGAGAAAAUCACAAAAUCGCCACUUUAUGAUUUGGAGUGUCCCAAUUUUGAAAUCAACCGCUCGUCGCCGAUUCAUUUCACCCUAAUCCAAAUCACAUAUGGACAUAACCCCGCCAGUUAUAAAUAGGAGAAAGACGGUCCACGAAAUCUAUCAAUCUUUCCUAGCCAUUUCCUAACAAUCUACUACAAGUGAGAAUGCUAUAGAUCCAAGACUCGGACACGAGUAGGAACCUGUGCUACACUGGAUCAGACCGGGAGAUGUGCCAAUUGAACACCUGUUCCUGCAGGUGCGGCACGAAAGAGGAGGCGGAACAGAGAUCGAUUGGAAGAGCGCGAGACGGGGAUUUACCUGCUCCGCCAUUGGAGACCGGGAGGUGUCCGGCGGCGAAGGGCAGAGCUGGGGCGGGGCGGUGACGGCUCAAACCAGGCGAACCCUAACGCCAAAGGUGUGAUGAACGAACUUCAACAGAAACAAGAAGUUUUGGAAUUUAGAACGUUCUUUCUGUUUUGUUUAACAAAAUACUCCCCUGUUCCUAAAUGCAAGACAUUUUGGUAUUUAAUUAACUGUGUAACCUUUUUUCAGGGUGAUUCUCUCAACCUUCUAUUGGCAAUAAAUAGCUCGUUACGGCUGUUUCGUCAAAAAAAAGAGACAUUUUGAUAUAGCUCAAAAGGUACUCUCCCUGUUUUACUCCAUGACAAGAUGUUCUAACUUUACGCUAAAAUCAGGGAUGAAUUGAUCAAGGUUGUAGAAAAAUGCACUAAUACCUACAGUAUCAAAUAAGUACACCAUCAAUGUAAAUCAUGACGGAUUCUAUAAAACUAAUUUAUAAUAGUAGAUAUAAGUAAAAGAAAUUGAGAAAAACAUCAAUAGAUUUUUUUUCUACUUGUAUAAAUUUUCGUCAAAUUUACAUAGGACAAAAACGGAACAUCUCAUAAUUUAGAGCUAAGGAAAUAUAAUAAGUCAGUGAACACAAAUCACAUGAAAGAUGUCUGACCUGCCCUGACAUCUGCUUUGGCCUCACCACGGAACAUCUCAUCACUCCUUCCCUGCAGCUGCAAUCAGUGAAAAAACAAAAGAACCGUGGACCAAGGAAUCGUGAAAUAGUACGAGACAACGGCCGGCCCCUACAGCCGAGCGACCUGCUGCCGUGGAUCACGAGCCGGAGCAGAGUUGUUUGUCUCGUACGUACAAGUCCAAGACACGAAGAAAACGUGUGACCUUUGGUGUCUGCUUACUGUAACUGAACACUGCACUUACGGCCGGAGCACUCCACUGCUGAAUGCAUCGUGCGAUCUUGAAUGAAUUUUGUCCAUCACAACAGGUUACGUGGCUACAUCGUCCGGCAAAUCGAGCCAGAUCGAUGAGCUUGGUAAAUCAAAAAUAUUGAAAGCGUCGUGCAAUCAAUUCAAAGCCACUUAAAGACAAGAUAUCCUAGGAAUCUUAGAUUUAUAAAAUAGUUAUGGGAAUAACACCAACAUUCUUAUAGAGUUUCAAUCGGAUUAAAACGGAUAAGGUAAACCAAAGUCGGAUACAACCACAUUCGAAUAAAGAGGGAAAUAGAUAACUAAAUAGAUAAUCUCAUAUUAUUGGACGGGGAAAAUGUUGAUUUCAGCAUGCUCAGUUGCUUCUUCGCCAUGGCAAUCACAUGUUGCUUAAAAUGCGAGGAAGAGAAUUCAGGCUGACAGGUUUCACAAUGCAAUCCUUUGCGCCUGCGUCCAACAAUCUGACAUGUGUAGAUAAUAGUAGAUGAGUACACUAGAAUAAUCAUAUAUAUCCAGUUAUCUUUUGGCAAGUUUUAGCAAUUAAAUAAGUAAGGAAAUAAAUAUGUAAAUAUUACCCAUCUCUACUCACUUUUGAAUCUCUUCUGGGAUGUUGUCUAGUGAUGUAAUCAGAAAUGGAAGGUGUGCCAGCUGAGUUGAUUUCUAGAUGAGAAAAGGAGAAUACUAGUUGAUAUUUUUUUAAAUAAUUAGACAAAUCUGAAUAAAAUGUAUGACAUAUAUAUAUCAUAUGACUGCUUUACCUUCACUUCCACAAGGAAGUCAUAGCAACUCAUCUCUGGCAAAUGAUCAUCACAGAUAAUCAUAGCAACAUCAUUUCCCUGUUGAAACAAUGACAAAGUAUUCAUGCAUCUUAGAAAUUCAAAUAAUUAACCACAAAACCGCAAAAAAAUAAACCUAGCUCUAGUAGAAUAAAGAUGUGAAAAAUUGAUCAAAACUACUAAUUUACCGAGUCCAAGAACUUCAAAGCUUCCUCAGCACUUUCUAUUGCAGUCACUGCAUAAGUGAGGCAUGCAAACAUUAGUGUCGAAAUUAUAAUCUAUGUGUUUUUGGGCAAAUAUUUGAUCAUCAUACACUCUAAAAGGACAUCAAUUUGGAAAUGAUGGUAUAGCAUCAUAUUCUCAAAAAGAAUUGUUUGGAAUAUGUAUGUGAUAAUGCAUUGUAAACUGAUAACAAAAGCAGGAAUUUGUGCACCGCUGAAAGUACCUCGAAGGUUGCCACGCUUUAAGACUUCAAAAAGAAUACGACGUUGUAUACGUUCAUUCUCGAUUGCAAGAACGUGAGGAAGGUCACUAUUGGAAGCAUUUGCAAUCAGAGGUGUCGACAUCGAAAACUACGUACAAGCACUACUAUGCGAAGUUGUUGGGAUACUAGCUCACAAAAAAUUUCAGGCUACCGGCUUACUGUGUUGAGGAAGGUAAGGCAUCACCCAAAUUUAUAUUGUUUCAUCCAACCUCAUUUUCGAUGUGCUAAUAAAUGAAUAUAUUUUGAAAAUUUAUUGUAUAAUCUCAAUCAGUAAAUAGUGCAUGCAUCUCUCAUAAAUUUUGCUUCGAUAUAGAUUUCUCCAUGAUCUAUAAUAGAUACACAUUUAUGUAUAUUCAUUUGUUAAAAAAUCAAUACACAUUUAUGUAUAUUUGAUUUCUUUAACACAAUUUGUCUAGUUGCGGGUGCGUGUUGCACUAUGACGUCAGAUGGUCAUGAACAUAUCUAUUUCUUUUAUGCGUAGUAAUGUCUCUUCAUGAAUAUCUCAUCACCGUGGAUUUUUUUAGUGGUUACUAAUGUCCUGACAAUAAUUGUCAUUGAAUGUAUAUAAAGACAACAUAAAAAGAAAAUCUUGCGGAUUCGAGAUUGUUUCAGAGGUGGGUGUAACAUGGAAGUAUAUCGACAAUUUGGGGAUGUGUAGGCCUUGUCCACUAAACACUGUUUAUCCUAGGUCCCUCAUGUGCCAUGCCUCGACCUACGACACGGUAAUUAUACUUGGGCAUGGGCAGCUCGGCCCAAAAAACCGAGUCGAGCCAGGCUUCCUUCCGGCUCGGGCCUUGAUUGCAGUCCGCACAAUUUUUGGGGCCAGGCUCAGGCCUUUCCUUUACAGUUUCUUUGUUUAUUUUUUAGAAAGUUUAUUCAUCGAGAAAAUAAAAAUAAAAAUUCAAAAGAUUGAUUCUUUUUUGCCACUAGGCACUAGCUGGGCAAAAAAAAAGUGAGCCUCCUGAUAUCUCCAUGAUGUUGUUGUGCCUUCUCUUAAGUUCUGAUGGUUGGCAUCGCCUCAGAAAGACUAGAGAAUUUAGUUGAGUUGAGUGUAUCAUAUAUGCUUGCGCAUAGUAGUUGGUAUUUGGCACACAUCACAAUCAAAUAUAAAGACCAAGGGAAUCCGAGAAAAGGAAAAAAGGUGAGUGAUUUUAUUUACGCAUGCCACUUAACUACAACAAAACAUGCCUGUAGAGACGCUGAAUUAGCAGGCUAAAGACAUGAUAUUUCAUCUCUAGUGGAUUAUAGAGUCGCUUUCACAAAGCGUCCUUGGAGUGUCUCCUCUGGAACCGUGUCAAGUUACGUAGAGACGCUAGCUAAGCGUGAUUACAGGAUAUGAGACGUUUCAUAGAGACGUUCAAAUUCGUGUCUAUACAUGUAAGGACGUUUUAUUUGACAUGCUUCAAUCACGUCUCUAUCAACAUUUUGACACGCUCAAUUUGCGUGACAACAAAGAUAGAGACGCUUUUACAAAUUUGGCCUAGCCCAUCUUAUGAGUCAGUAUUGGGUUAGGUUGGGCUGUAGUUUGGCCCACCUUUCUGUCGGCCCAUCAUAAUUGAAAACUCAUGGCACAUGCCAAGCCCAUUUCUGUAAAAAUAUGUUCGGAUAGCCUAUUUUAAAAUUUUGAAUUUUCUAGGAAAAUAAUGUUUUCUUAAAUUUGACGGAUAAUCACACAAUCAGUUGUACGAGGACACACGAUCAAUUGUAAAUAUAAUCUGCAUCUUCCUUUCAUAUAUAUGACCAUAUUCUCAUAACAAGACUAGAAAAUACUGUAGCCUUCGAUUGACUGCAACAACAAAUAUGAUACAUUAAUAGAGCCCACAAAACACAGCUGAAUCAAACAUCCAUGCAGAUGAAGGUGCAAUACAUCAAGAAAAGAUCAUAUAUGUACAUUUUCUUUCUAAAUAGUUGUACUAUCUAUAAGCUUUUGCUGAACUAAAACUUUUUUGUUCAUCCAUCUUUCCAUGCCUCUUGGCCCCAACAGUCCUGUAAAUUAGGCAUAUAAAAUGAAUAAACUACAUAAAAGUAUAAGCUCUUUUGGGAGUGUAGAAUGACAUGUUUAAUUUUGUGAUGAAAUUAAAAUACCUUGUUGUUUGUUGGCUGGCUUGAAGUCAUUCUCUUACGAACUCUUUUGACCUAUAACAUAACAAUACCCUAUCAGAUAUGUCAAUACUAAGUUGUUUCAUGCUUGAAUUAAAAUAGACUUACGUGUGACCAAGGCCAAAAAAUAACACAACCAAUAGCAUCUUGUAGCAUUUGACAAUUUUCAUAUGGUCUAGGCAAUCUUUUGUUUCGAAUUUUUGUAACAGCACCUGCAUAAUAUUUGGUUGAGCAUGAGGAUUGCGAUAUAAUUCUUCAACUUCAUGUUUCUUUAAACACUAAAGAUCCGGCGUUGAAAGACUACAAACAACACAGCCUAAAAAUAGACUACAAACAGCACCUGCAUAAUAUUUGGUGGAGCAUGAGGAUUGCGAUAUGAUUCUUAAACUUCAUGCUCUGAUUCAUAUGGGAUGUCACUGCCAUCACCUCUUUCAUAGAGACAUUCUGAAAUGAGAACAUGAUCAGAGUAUACUGAUAAAGAACAAAUUAUAUUUGCAGAAUUAGAGAUGGAGUUCAAAUACUAACUUCAUUAUUUUCUGUAGUUACAGCUGCAUUUCUCCAAUCUUAGAAAAUCUCUGGAGUGCCUUGUAAAUUUCCACCAUCUGAUUUCACAUUUUCUGCAUUCUCUAAUGGAAUAUUCAAGUUUUGUAGCCAUCUAGGUAGCCUUGCCAUAAUAUCUUCACUACAGCAAUGCAAAGAACAUAUGUCAGACAACAAUCUAAUGACAGGUAAUUAUGUGCAUAACCAAAGACCUAUGAUCUGCAUUUGUUUAGAACUCUUUGCAUUACUGCAAUUUCAAGUUAAAGAAUAAUAGUCAGGCCGUUACUUCUAAGCACAAGAUCCUAGAGUGUAGUGCAUUAUCUAAUAUACAAUUAACCCAUGUGAGAUCCAACAGGAACAUAAUAUCAAGCAGUAGAAAAUGGUUGAUGACCAAAGAGGUAAACCAUACUCACAUGUCAGUUGGCCGCUUAAUUAAAAUCAGAGUACAAAGGUUAGGAUAGUGGUGACUACGGCAAUCAGAAAAAAAUGAAACACAUGUGCAGCAAUUAGAGAAAUUUUAUCUAAAUUGCUGGCCAUGACCAUUGGUGCGAUUGAGGUGUCAGAUCUACAGAUGCAAUUGAUGGAUUAGUUAUUCUCUGUGCAGAUUGAAUCGGAAAGGGAAGGGAGGGAGAGAUGCUGCAUAAAUGCAGAGUGCCAACGGAAUCACAGGGGAAGCGGAUAUAUACGAGGGUAUUUUCUUCAAAAAAAUGCGGAGAGUUCAUCUUAGCUGCAAACUUAUCAAAAAAAAGAAAAACGAGGGCGGCAAACAUAAAAAGGUGGGAGCGGCAAAGAGAUUUAGUUACUUCCAAUAGAAAGAUUAAGACUCAUCUCUUAUAUAGCUUCUCAAAUGUCAUCUUUGCCUUAAACAUAAAUAUAAUUGUUUAAUUAAUUGCUAAUAAAAAUUAAGAGUCGUUUUAUAUAGCGUCUCAAAUAUCGUCUCUAUGUUAAACAUGAAUAUGAUUUUUUUAAUCAAUUCUUGGUUUGUAAGAGUCUGUUGUGACAUUAUGUAAAACGUUUCAAAAAGCGUCUUUAUGUGGCGUUCAUCGUUGAGGGUUGAGACGAAGUACAUUGGCGACUUUAGAAAAACGACUACUCCAACAAUGACAGAAAAAUCAGAUUCUGAAAAUAAAACCUCCAACAACACAAACCAACACAUGCACGCACGCAGCUGAUUCAUGGCCUAACACUAACUGUGUGGUAGGAUUUCCACAAUGGGCGUGGCGCUCGUUGGUGAUGAGGAACUUCUCCCCCGCUCUGCUGCUUAAAUAUGAGAUGCUCCUAGGCAGUCAUACUAAAUCUGAAAUUUAUUUAUCUGUGGACCGGCCGGGUGAUUAUGGCCCUGUUUGUUUGGGUUUCUGCUUCAGCUUGUGGUGCUUCUAGCAAUUUCAAAAGCACUUCUCCCGUUUGCACAUGAAGACGAGAAGCACCUCCAAUUCCAGAAAAUACACGAGUUUUCAAACAAAUACUAGCUUGCCAAACGACCCCUAUCCAAUUCCCGACAAGUACAAUACUACGAAGUGGAGGAACAAGAAUGCUACGUCAGACGUGUCACAUGGCAUUAAAAGAACAAGUGUUGCAUUUUAUGAUGGUAUCGUCCUGAUGACGAACAAUAUUUUUUUACACCAGUUUAAUCUCGUUUUAGCGAGGUUGUUUUUAGUUGAAUCAUCGAAUCACGCCAGGACACUUUCCUUUGUUUAUUUUUCAGAAUGUUUAUUCAUCGAGGAAAUAAAAGGAUUCUUGUAGAACUAAAAUUUCGAAAGAGCGAUUUCUUUUUGCCACUAGGCACUGGCUGGGCAAAAAUUGAGACUCCUGAUGUCUCCGUGAUGCUUUUGUGCCUUCGAUGUUCCGAUGGUUGGCGUUGCCUCAGAAAGGCGAGAUAAUUUAGUUGAGCGUAUCAUAUAUGAUUGCGCACAUUAAUUGGUACUUGGCACACAUCACAAUCAAACUUGAAGAUGAAGAGAAUCCGAGAAAUGGAAAAAAGUUGCACGAUUUCACGUGGGCCGCUUGGACUGUGAAAGACAAUUGCACUCUGAGUCCGAUCUAGCGAAAAGAGAAUUGCACAUUGGAAAGGCGAAUAUAAAAUGCUUUUUAAAAAUCUAGAGAAAAGCAUUAACAGUCACAUGUAUAAUUCCUGAGAGAAUCCGACUCUGCAAACACUAGCGCCUGUAUCCACGUGCCAAAAUAGAGUAAAGUUCAUAUUAAACCUUGACUUAGUAGAGCAAGUCUGGAAUGAGCUCUAACUUUCUAGUCCCUGAAAUCAGCACUAUGUACUUGUUAAUCCCGUCUAAUUUCAACCUUUGGUAAUCAAACACCGUUUCGGAGAAUGGGAUUGCUGACAUAGCGGUUAAAAUUUGGAAUUUGUUGACAAAUUCAGUUCGGUUUAUUGCUACCCAGAUUCGCCACCCAUAUUUAGACUAAUUAUAUAAUUAUUGUAAUAUAAUAAAAUCCUUACAUGGGUCGGGCCGUAAUCCUACGUGACGACGACCAAGUCAAUAAAUCCGAAAGACCGGUCAAAUCGCCGACAAGGCGUAGCCAUGCCAACUAAGCGCCGGUCAAACGAGUCAAAGGGUCAAGCCUCACAUGCCAUGGUCAAAGGAGGUAGAGUAGGGACCAAGAAAGCUCUAGCGAUGAAUUUACCACUUUACCCUCACUUUCCCUCUCCCUCAAGGGUAGCCAUGGUCUUUUGUCAUGCACCCCUAGGCUAUAAAUUAUCCCCCCCACGGAGCAUGUGUCAUACAUUCUUCAUUGGAAUAAGAUCAAAGGGAGAGGGCUAGAGCAACCUCAGGAGCCUGCUCUCGAGUGCUUGGGUCGAGCUUAGUCUCGACUCAACGACGUGGUGGCAAGGAUCGGCGAGCUACCUGCGGUUACCGCACCCGCAAGGGACGCGGAACUUGCUAUGCCUCGUUCGAUGGGCUUCGCACCACUUCCCCUGCAACCGGUGGUAACCUUGUCUUCGGAACCUACAAGGGGAAACAAUGUGGCAUCAGGAGGAUCCGCGCCAGAAAACCAAGAAGUCUCGGCUUACGACCCCUCCAACCCUGGAAUACCUCCAUUAGCGCUCGUCACGAUCGCCCAUGGAGCUCCUUGGUACCACCCAUAUUGGGGACUUCCGCCGCAUGGCGCUCUCCAAGUCGCGCACGCUCCGAACCAACCUCGCUUUGCGAGCGCACCGCAAGCGCCCCUUGCUCCCCCCGCCGGGGCCGAACAAGGUGGCAACCAAGCUCCGCCUCAAGGUGUGCCCCGCGGAGAAUGAGAUCCCAGCGUACACGGAAACGAGCAAGUGGCGGAGUCCGGAGCUCUCGCCGGCGGUGAAAUAAAUCCUCGCCGACGCUCCGAGCCCCCAAGAAGACGCCGAGAUCCCUCUCUGAGUGAUCCUUCUAGCGAUGAGAGCGACCCCGACGAAGGAGGAUCUCGUCGCUGGAAAAAACAGAAGAGCCGACCAUCUUGUAACCCGCUCACGCGGGAGAUCCAAGACGCGGCUUUCCCGCCAAGGUUCAAGACGCCGACGAUACGGCCAUACGAUGGAGAGUCCAACCCUCUUCAGUUCCUGGACGUUUACUCCACCGCCAUACGAGCGGCGGGUGGAGGCCCCACCGAGAUGUGGAACCUUUUCCCGCUCGCGCUCACCGGGAUGGCGCAAACUUGGUUUUAUAACCUUCGGAAAAAUUCCGUGCAUUCAUGGGAGCGUCUUCAAGAGGUCUUCAUCGCAAACUUCCAGGGAAAUUUCAAAGAACCCGUGCAAGCUCACGAGCUUUACGCCAUGAAACAAAGGCCGGGAGAGUCUCUCCGAAGCUUCUUUCAUCGCUUUGCAAAGGUCCGAAGCCAAAUCGCCAACCCACCGUCGAUGACCGUGAUCGACGCUUGCAAGCAAGGCCUUCUCCAAGAAGUGAAUCGCGCUCUAAGUCGCAACCUCCAAAGAUGACCGAAGAGCUCUACCGGAUCUUGCAAGAAUACGCACGGGGCGAAGAUGGAGACAUCACCAAGAAGGACACACCACGCGGCGCGCCCGAAGGGACUCCUUCAUCAGAUCAGCCCCAAGCAUCCGCACCAUCUUCCAAGAGGAAGAGGAGGCGGGGGAAGAAGGUGCCCGGUGAUCAAGCUCGAAAGAUCUUCACCGUGAAGGGCAAAAGUCCCAAAAGACUUGGCAGCCCAAGAAGCCUCCCCGCCCCGCUGAGGGAGGUGCCGGAAGAUGCCUUAUCCACAACUCGGUGAGCCACAGCACCGAAGAGUGUAAUACCCUCAUCGCAGCUCGUGAAGAGUUCCAAGAACGAAUGCAAGCCCGACGCAGGGACGAGAAGGCGCCCGAGGCUCCGCGCCCCGCCAACGUCCUCCUUGCCGACCCUGCGCCCAAGGAAGAGAACCUCCCGUUUCAAGAACCCGCUCACCAUGUCGGGGUGAUACUCGAGGGCUCCGCCACAGGCCGAGGGUCAAAGAGGCAACGCAAGGAGUACGCACGCGAAGUCAACGUCGUUGGAGCCUUCACCCCAACACCAACACCCAAGUGGGCGAGUGUACCCAUUUCCUUCACCGAAGAAAACGCUAAGGGGAUACGCUUCCUGCACGACGACGCCCUCUUCGUGACAGCCAUCGUCUCAAAUUGAGAGCUCAAAAAAAUACUCGUGGAUGGCGGAAGCUCCGCCGACAUCUUGUACCUGAGCACGCUAAAGAAACUGAUGGAGCCACAAGGAGGAUACAAGAACGGUUCCUUGCAGCCGUCGCUUUACCCCCUAACCGGCUUUGUCCCGGGCAAGUCCAUCCAGCCGCUCGGCCAAAUCGAGCUCCUCAUGACCUUCGGAGAUGCCACUAAUCACCGGACCGAGCUCGUGCGUUUCGACGUGGUGGACAUGGAGGCCUCCUUCAACGCCAUCCUUGGCAGAACGACCUUGAACCGCCUCUGCGCUGCCGUCCACCACAACUUCCUGUGCAUGAAAAUCCCAGGCCCGAAAGGCGUGAUCACGGUCCGUGGUAAGCAAUCCUCCGAUAGGAAGAUGCUAUAUCGCCACGAGACUAAGUGCGCCGAGAAGGGAGAAUAGUCCAAAAGUGUCCACAUGCUCUCGGGCACGGGGGAGUCCAAGGCCGGUCACCCAGAGCGCUACGUCCCUAAGCCCCUUCCCAAGAGAGAGCUUAAGGAGAUACGCCUCUCCGGCAAUGACGCCACGCACAUCGUGAAAAUCGGGGUCGACCUCUCGAUCAAACUCGAGAAGAAGCUCAUCGACCUACUCCGGGAGAACUCCGACCAUUUCGCUUGGUCUCCCUCUGACAUGGGAGGAGUCUCACGUGAUGUCAUGGAACAUCGACUCGCGUAAGGCCCGACAAGACGCCCGUGAAGCAAAAACUCCGGAAACUCUCCACGGAGCGAAGCGAGGUCAUCAAGCAAGAAAUUGCAAAGCUCUUCGAGGCCGAACUCAUCCGAGAAGUUUGGCACCCCGAGUGGUUGGCCAAUCCGGUCUUGGUGAAGAAAGCCAACAGCAAGUGGCGGAUGUGUGUCGACUUCAUCGACUUGAACAAGGUGCGUCCCAAGGACGACUAUCCUCUCCCGUGGAUCGACCAACUAGUCGACUCCACGGCGGGAUGUGAGAGGUUGAGCUUCUUGGAUGCCUAUUCGGGGUAUCACCAAGUCCACAUGGCCAAGAAAGACGAAGAGAAGACCAGCUUCAUCACUCCCAUUAGCAUCUUCUGCUAUCGCAGAAUGCCUUUUGGUUUGAGGAACGCCGGUGCGACAUUCCAACGCCUCGUCAGUCUCAUCCUCAAAGAGCAAUUGGGGAGAAACGCCGAAGUCUACGUUGAUGACGCCGUCAUCAAAAGUCAAGUGGCGAAUACCCAUCCCGAAGACUUGCAAGAAACCUUCAACAACCUCCGCAAAUACGGCGUGAAGCUCAGUCCCGAGAAGUGCGCGUUUGGAGUUCGAGGAGGAAAACUCUUGGGUUUCCUCGUCUCCCAACGGGGGAUUGAGGACAACCCGGAAAAAAUCCAGGCCAUCCUAGAGAUGGAGCCUCCUCGCUCCGUCAAAGACGUGCAGCGCCUAGCAGGGAGGAUGGCGGCAUUAGGACGAUUCGUCGCCCGAUCAGCCGAGAAGGGUCUUCCUUUUUUCAAAAUCCUAAAGGGCCUUAACAACUUUGAGUGGACCAAUGAAGCUCAAAGGGCCUUCGAGGAACUCAAAACCUAUUUGUCGACUCCUCCACUCCUCACAAGCCCGAAGCAGGGAGAACCUUUACUCAUGUACCUCGCCGCGACUCCGGUCGCCGUGAGUGCAGCCCUCGUGAAGGAAGAAGAUGGGUCGCAACACCUGGUGUACUACGUGACCGAAGCUUUGGGAGGAGCAAAGGGUCGAUACACCCAGAUCAAAAAGAUCGCGUAUGCCCUCCUCAUGGCCUCUCGGAAGCUCCAUCAUUACUUCAUGUGCCACACCAUCAUGGUGCUGACAGCAUUCCCACUCAAAGAAGUCUUCGGCAACAAGGAGGCCACCGGGAGAAUCGCCAAAUGGGCAACGGAACUAGCUCCCUUCUCGCUAGAGCUCACUGCGAGAACGGCUAUAAAAUCCAGUUCCUCGCCGACUUCGUGGCCGAAUGGCAUGCACCACUAACCUCUCCCAAAGAGACGUCGCCCAAGGGCGGGCCCCCGAACCACAUUGGAUAAUGAGGUUCGAUGGCUCCAAGCGGCUCAACGGUGCCGAGGUGGGAGUUGUACUCAUCAACCCUGAAGGGAAAACCUUGGAGUACGCCGCCCACCUCGAUUUCAACGCGAGCAAUAACAUAGCGGAGUACGAAGCACUCAUUCUCGGACUCCAGUUGGCUAAGGCCAUGGGUGUUCGACGCCUUCUCAUCCAAGGUGACUCCCAGCUGGUGACAAACCAAAUGGACAAGUCAUAUCAAUGCCUUGAUGAAAGGAUGAAGAAAGUAUAUUGAAGAAGUUCGCAAGAUGGAGCCGUACUUCCUGGGCAUGGAGGCGCGACGCAUCCCACGAGGAGAAAAUCACCUCGCCGACAGAUUGGCCCGAACGGCCGGUUCCAAGGAACCGCUGCCACCCAGUGCAUUCUUCAAGGUGAUCCGUGUCCCGUCCAUAGGAGAAGAAGCCGAUGACCCUGACGAAACUUCGAAGACCAGCAUGGUCAUCGACAAUCCACCCUCUUGAAUGAUGCCAAUCAUCCACGCCUUGAAAGGAGAGGUGGAUGAGAAGGCGGAAGGCCCAAGCGCUAAAACUUUGCUUGCAAAAGCAAAGAUGUACAUCCUCCUUGACGGCAUCCUUUACAAGAAGGGUGCGGCCGCGCUACUCAAGUGCAUAACCCCCGACAAGGGGGCUGAGCUCCUCCAGGAGAUCCACUCCGGAGUGUGCGUCCAUCAUCUUGUGCCAAGAGCCACCACGGCGAAGGCUUUACGACAGGAAUUCUAUUGGCCCACCAUGGUGCAAGACGCAAUCACAAUAUUGCGAAGAUGCGAAGCUUGCCAAAAAAUGGCCAAGUCAAUCCACGCGCCGGUGAUGACACUGAAGAAUAUCCCAAUAACUUGGCCAUUUGCACGCUGGGGAAUGGACCUUCUCAGGCCUUUCCCCGCAUGCAUCGGGGGCUGCAAAUAUCUUGUGGUGACGAUUGAUUACUUCUUAAAAUGGAUAGAAGCUGUGCCACUCGGCAAGAUCACGUCACAGGCCAUCCAAAAACAUUUCUGGGAAAACAUCAUAUGUCGAUAUGGUGUCCCACGAGAUCUAACCGUGGACAAUGGCAAACAGUUCGAUUGUGCGGAAUUCAUUAAAUUCUACGAAUUCCUCGAGAUCAAGCUGCACUUUGGAUCCAUGGCCUACCCCAAGAGCAACGGCGCAUGCGAAAGAGCCAAUGGACUAAUCCUCCAAGGACUUCGCCGAAGGGUAGAACACACGGCCAGCAAGGCAAGAGGAGCAGGGGGGGACGAACUCGCCAGCGUGGUUUGAGGCAUACGCACCUCUGUAAGCCGCUCCACAGGCUGAACACCAUUCUCUUUGAUGUAUGGCGCCGAAGCAGUUCUUCCCGCCGAGGUAGAGUUCCGCUCACCUCGUGUCGAAAGACUCCAAGAAGCUACUCCACUCGCCUUCAUCGAAAAUGAAGAGCAUCACAAGACGGCCAUCGAUCUUGUGGAAGAAGCUCGUGACAAAGCCCUCAUGAGGCACGCCAUCUACGAGCAGAGCGCCGCACGCUUCUACAACACGAGGGUGCGGGAAAGAGCUUUCUCCCAAGGAGACCUCGUGCUGAAAAAGAACGUCGACCCAAAACUCCAGCGCAAGCUCGACCCCAAAUGGGAAGGACCAUACCGCAUCGCCACGGUAUUGGGCAAUGGUGCAUACCACCUCGAGAACAGGGAAGGCAAAAAACCUCGUCCAUGCCUGGAACGGCGACAAACUCCGACGUUUCUACGCCUAAAGAGGAACCUCAAGGAUGACCCUCGCCGCUCCCAAAAGAAGACUAUCAGCGCUCAACCGGCCACUUCCCUACGAAACUUCGAGGGAUCGUAAGCGCCAAAGAGGCCACGUCUACAUAAGACUUGUAAGUGCCCAACGGGCCAUACCUAAAGACAGGCAAGCGAGGGAUCAAUAAAAACGAAUCCUUGAUGAGAGUGACACGAGACACUCAUACGACCCACCGUCGUAAAGGGAACCCCGUCGAACGGUUAUGUCGCAAAGGGGCAAUCCCCGAAACUGAGUCGCUGCCCUAGUGCCGCUCACCAAGGGACGCCGAAAGGCCUACGUUGGCCCAGGCAUCACCUAGAAAUGCCUUCGGACAUAAGUCGCCACCCGUAACCCGUUCCUUGGUGGAUCCUAGCGUGCCUCGAGGCCAUCCGCCAAGUAGAACCAAGUCCCCCGAGGGCCAGAAGCUCCUUAAAACGCAUUUAAGGAGAACCGCAAAUAAGCGAGCUAUGCAUGAGCUUACUUACCUCGGAGAACCAUGCUACCCGCGUGCGAGACGUCGCGCACGGGCCUGCAUGAUACUAACCGAGUUAAGGCUCUAUAAUAAUCGUGGGAAAGCAUAGCUUCCUGAAGUCCGAAGAGGAGAAAUUCCGCAUGAAUUUCCCUGAACUACAGGUCGAAAUGUCCGGAUCACUACCGGCAUAUCGAUAGCGACCCCCACCAGGGUACUAGGAUCCAUGGCUGGUAACCAUGGCCUAAGGCACCGAAGCCAAGUCGUAUCCCAACGGCGACAGCAAUUGAUUACGCAAAAAGUGUGAUCAUAGCGAACGAUCGCGAGUUGUAUAAACUGAGGAAAUAUAGUACUUCGCCAAGAAGGAAAUAUAGUAAUCCAAAGAACACAUGUUGAGCCAAGUUAACAUUUCCGAUAAUGUUGACUACAUGGUGAAAACAUAAGAAAAUACAUGCCGAGCUAAGUCGACAUUUCCGACAAUGUUGACUACAUAGCAAAGCAUGAAACACAUCAAAAAAGAUGCCUUACAACCUCUAUGUCUAAGCCUAGAGCAUGCAAGUCAUGAGGCUAUGUCAUAAGUGGAUAUGCAACAUCGCAUAAGUAAGCAGCUGGGGUACCUUGUCGCCUCAAAAGGCAACAAGACUCAAGCCCCACCAUCGCUCUCCUGAAGAGCGGGCUCAAGGCAACGCACGAAGCGUCGAGCCAGAGCGCGAAGAGGAGCUCCCUGAUCCGCCAGAAACUUCUUCGCCCCGUGAGUCAUCUCACCCUCAAGUCCACUCGUCCCGGCACCGCCGUCCAGGACGGCCGCGACUGCCGACGAAACAAGUCAGGCACCCGUACUCAGAAGGCACCUCUUCACGGCAGGCUCAAGGAGCUCCACCUGUGAAGUGAGCACCCUACUCGCCUCGUCCGUCGUGCGACACGAGGGAAGAUCCGGCUGAGGGGAGCCCUUCAAACAGAGUAUCAUCUCUCGAAUCUCCGAAGCCUGGGCGAGCAUAAGCGAGACCACCUCCGGACGGCUGUCCGAGGGGGCGCGGACACGAGGGGCGAACACCGGUCCGAACCUGGCGUCCUCCAACUCCGCCUUGAGGGAGGCGACCUCCGCUCGAGCGUGCUCCACGUUGAGGCUGGCCACCACCAAGUCCUCCUCGGCACGACGGGUCUUCGCGAUCACAUCCUUCUGGCCCUCCUCAACAAGGUGAGCCCUCGCCUCCAUGGCCGCAAGCUCCGCCGACACCCGAGAAAGCUCCGUCUCAACGGCCUCCCGCCGCGCCCUCUCUGAAGCCAACUCACUCAGAGCAAGGGUAGCCUUCGAGGUCUCGGCAUCCAAGGCCGCCGAAAGCACCCCAACCUGAGCCUUGAGAGCGGGAAGAGUGCCCACGGCCUCGACCAAGCCUCUCACCUGGAAAAGGAAGAGAAAUCAUGAGCGCUGACCGACAAAAUGGACCUAGCAAGAAGGGAGACGAGAAAAGCGGACUCACAAGCUCCAACGCCUCGAACGGGUCUCUCACUCCUCCCUCGGUCCUCGGAAGCACCUCUCCCUCCUCCGAAAUCGGGGGCUCGGCCUCGGGAGCAUCAGGCACCGCAGGCCCCGUACCUGAAACAAGACAAGAGAACCCCGUGAGAACAUUCCCGAAAGGGAAUUAAAACGCUCAACAUGCGCGCACUCACCGGUGGCGGGAAGCCCCUCCUCGACAGGCCCACGAGCCAAAGAGAACACCGGAACACCCGUGCCGCUGGCUUCCGAGGAGGUAUCCACCACAAGCUGAAGCCCGUUCCUCUGGGUAAAAACCGCACGCUCGUGAGGCGACGGAGGCAGGAUCUUCUCAACGUCGAUCUUCCUGGCUAGGUGCAUGUCCAUGGACUCUCUCAAGGGAGACCUCGACUCAGCCACAUCGGCUAGGUCAGGAGAAGGAGCCUUCCUCUUGCGUGAACUCGGAGGACGAGGGAUCUUGGGCAUUGGGGCCACUGGCACACCCAACCCAAGCGCAACCUGAGGCUUCACCUUCCCACAAGUAUCUCUGAGGUGAGAACCAACGACGAUCAUCGACGGAGUCGCAAGACGAGAGUACCGCUCGCCGGCCUUAAUGAGCUUCCCAAACUUGGGAUCCGGGCGCAUCGGUACCGAGUCGUCGAAGCACGUUGCCACGACGUUAUGGCAUCCCCCCUCGCUGAUGGUAUCGAUGUAGGCCCGAUGCUCCACCGAGUUGUACGGCCCAACAAUCUGGGAAGUCCACUCGGCCGCCUUCUCUCGGGAGAAAGCCGCUGAAAAACAGGCACAAGCAGCAACCAGGGUUAGUGUCAAGCAAACAAAAAUACUUGAAGCAACGACUCAAGUGUCACGAAACUCAUGCUUAGCCGCACGGCGUGGGUGACGAAAGGCCAAGGGGAUCCCCAACUCCGCCUGUGGUCGCACCCUCAUCAUGAAGCGGCCCGCCAUCACCAUCUCCUCGAGAAGGUCGGGGAAGCUAUGCUCCGAACGAGCCGACUUGAUGCCGGCAAGCUCCCACUCCUCGACCAAGGACGUGCCCAUGUGACGGACGACAUCCCGAAGCCCCCCAGGCCUAGAGUGUCGAGGGAGCCUACCGGAGUGACGCAAGCUCGCCUCUGAAACGUCGAGGAAGAACCACUGCGAGUCCCACCCGUCGAACAGACGCACCGCGCUCUUCGCCGGCAUCAGAGGGAACUCGUCGUGGAAGCCGGGACGGAGCCUCACGGCGACCGACCCAAAAGCACUCCAAGUGCUCUCGUCAGGGGUACGGCGCUCCUCCACGUGGACGAUGAACAGCAACAAGAACAACCUCAUGGUCGGAGGCUCCCACAAGGAGGUCUCACAAAGCCAUCUGAACACGUUCAGACGCAGGAUCGCCGAAGGAAGCAACUGCGCCAACUCGAUACCAUAGGUAUCGAGGAACUCCAGCAGGAACGGGUGGACGGGCAGGCACAAUCCGGCAUGAAACCAGCUGGUGAACACGACGAUGUGCCCUCAAUGCCUCUGUGACUCCAGUCGAAGCUCACCCUCGUUAGGAAGCGCAGCAAGGCCCUUGCCGAAGUAGCCCGCCUCCACAAGGUCCGACAAGUCCUUCUCGGUCGUCACUGAUGCCGGAAGGAUGUCGGGAAUCUGUCCCGGCAUGGCCGGAUGCGGCUCACGCCUAGGUCCUCUCUCCGGGCGCAUGACUUUCUUUGACCUUCGUGGCUUGCCCCCCGACGUCCGCACCUCGGCCCCGCUCCCAUGGGAGGCCUCUCUCUCGACGCUCCCGCCGGCGCCAUCGCGACGCUCCACGCCGUAUCCCGCCAUCUCGCCUACAAAAAGACGCCAAAGGAUUAGUACAAGUUGCAUAAAAUCCUAAGGAAGCAACUAGGGAAAAUCCACGUCGCAAGGCCAUACACGACCGCCAUCAAAACACAAAAAAAAUGGGGAGGAAUCCCCCUUGGAAACGGCCUAUGGCCCGGGUAUGCUACCGCCGGCCCAGCCCAACGCAAAAAAAGAGGGGAGGGGAGCGGAGGGCGAAAGCCUAGCUCCCCUCGCCGGCCUCCCACGCAUCGGCCCCGCAGCAUGAAUAGAAGGGCCGGCCCAAGACCGGCGCCCAGCCGCCGGACCGCAUCGCAGCAAGGGAGUGGGGGCCCAGCUUCCUCGGGCGGCUCAGACGCUCUCCAAGGCCUGUGGGCUACUUUCGGCCCGCCCGGCCGAAGAACGGAGGCCCAGCCCGCAACAAAAAAAAAGAAGAAGAGGAGAGGAGAAGGACGGAUGCACGCAGCGUGUUCGGCCAAAUGGCCGACGCUUCACCCCCGCUCCAAGCGUGCCCCCCGCGCGCGCAAGGAACGUCCAGACCGCGCCCACGCCAUGCGUGGCAUGCCGGCCGAACCCGCACGGUCAAGCUCGCCAGACGAGCCAUCAACGGAGUUCGGCGUGGCCACGCCCGUGUCGCCCCCGGCGCGCCAGGCCCGCCUCCCGCCGGCCCUGCGCGCGUCAAGGCCACGCCCGUGCUGCUCCCGACGCGUCACGGCUGCCGUCCCUCGACGCCAUGCGCAUCGUGGCCACGCCCGCACCCCCUCAUCCGCGCGACAGGGGAGUCUCCAUCCCAUGCCGACUGCAUUCCGACUGCGACACAGCAUGGGUAGACGGCGACCAUGGCUCACCUUGACAAGGGCAGUGGAGCUCCCGGGCGCCGCCUUUCCUUGGCUCGAAUUCAAGGCAAUGCCGACACCGUUCAAAGCCCGAAGCGCGCCGAAAUCGUGUCCCCCACGAAGACUCAAUCACCCUGAACACCUUCGGCGACGGAAUGGACUGGCUAAACGCCCUCACCGGGCACCUACGAGCCACCGGUCUCACCUCCGUCCUCGGGUGCCGCCGAAGCGCGUCUUCGGCACCGGAGGAGAGGAAAACGAGAGUGUGUUGUGCCCAUCUUGUGCUCCCUGGCCCCGUUUUUAUAGACCAAGGCUCGCCUCGACGUCCGGACCCAACGUCUCGCUGGUCAGCUCGGUCAUAGCAAGAAGACAAGGGUCAACCGACCAGGGAACAGGGGGCGCAGAGCUAAAGGGAAAAAGAAGGAAAAGAAGAGGCGCAAAGCAGGUGGUUCCGGGCAGGGACCCGGGUCCGAGCUGUUUUGGCCGCGCCGCGUGAACGCCAGCGUCACCCCGGUGACGGCGUCGUUGACCGAAGAGGAAAGGAGGACGAGCCCCUUUCUCCCUCCCGUACGAAGGAAGACGAUGAGCCGGCACCGUCGGAUGUAGGGUUCGGGGGAAACCCCGUCCGUCCGAUCGAUUAACUUAAGCCCCAAACGGUACGCCGGCUAGAUGGGCCAAGUGGAUCUCGGCCCAGUAAAAAAAAAGAGAGAAAACAAAAGAGGGAAGCCUCCCAGGCCCGGUCGGGCGCAGCCCGCACGCCCGGGAGGCCCAUGAAGCCGAGCGCGGCCCAGGAGCGCUCCUGUGCGCGUUGGGCGGCCUAGGGGGAGGAUUUUCUUGACAGAACCCCCCCCCCCCCGGAUGCGGAAAAUCUCAAGCUGCCCCCUGGCGGCUCGGGAAUUUCGCGCCGGGAACCUCGGAAGGCCAGAAAUUCACAAAAAAUCCCCUGCAGCUCCAUUAUCUUGCAAAAGGAGUCCCCUGAUCUCCAAAUUCUGCAAGAAAGACCUUCAUGGCCAUGACUUUUCAGAAGGAAGGUCCCGAAGGAAGAAUCCUAAGAGCCCUUGGGAUACGCCAAGCCCACCUAGUUCUAUCUUCCUCCUCGAGAAGGAUUACCUAGCCGGUGGCUCCCCCAACGCAACGUCUCGAAGGACACUCCCGAAACCACGAGUAUCUCACAAGGCAGCCCACCUAGGCCAGGUUUCCUCGCAAAACCUACCUAGCCGGUGGCUCGCCCCGAGGAGAGCUACCCUCGAGGCAUCGAAUGAAGCAUCACGGCACUCCGUCAACGUUGGAGUUGACCCGAAGGCAUUCCCAAUACCUCCGGUUCAAGGGGGCUACUGUUGUAAUAUAAUAAAAUCCUUACAUGGGCCGGGCCGUAAUCCUACGUGGCGGUGACCAAGUCAACAAAUCUCAAAGACCGGUCAAAUCGCCAACAAGGCAUAGCCAUGCCAACUAAGCGCCAGUCAAAGGAGUCAAAGGGUCAAGCCUCCCAUUUCAUGGUCAAAGGAGCUAGAGUAGGGGAAAGCUAUAGGGAUGAAUUAACCACUUUACCCUCAAUUUCCCUCUCCUUCAAGGGUAGCCAUGGUUUUUUGUCAUGGACCCUAUGCUAUAAAUUAUCCUUCCCAUGGGGGCAUGUAUCAUACACUCUCCAUUGGAAUAAGAUCAAAGGGGAGAGGGCUAGAGCAACCUAAGGAGCCUGCUCUCGAGUGCUUGGGUCGAGCUUAGUCUCGACUCAACCUCAGGGACGCGACUUAGGAAGCCUAGUUUCAAGGUUCCGAGCCGUCUAGUACGACCUCGACUCGAAGUAGAGGGAUCAGGUUAGAGUGUCAAGGGUAUCCCAACCUCGCUACUUGGGAAGACAAGUUUGGCCCAAGUCCGAGGCGGCCCCUAGAGAUCUCUCGCCAUAGGUGAUUUGGGAAGACGAGUUCGGCCCAAACACCCGACUAACGACCCCCUCGAAGCCUCUCCUAACAUAGGACUAAGUCGUGCCCGCAGGGUCGACUGAACCUAUUCAAAAAUAUCGACGUGUCAACUUGUCCAAGUGUAUGGCGACCUUCGCUAUAAGGCCGGUGUACACCCCCUACAUACUAUUCUCGCAUUUGUGCCAUCGAGCAUUGGCACCCCGUACUCCUGUUGUUUUCUAGAACAACAACAAUAAUAUUAUUUACAAUCUGCAUAUGGAUGGAGGGAGAUCAUAUAUCUCAUGUUGCUUGGCAAAUUAAUUAUGUCCCAUAAUAUUCUCUCUUUGUCGUUUUACUUGUACACCUUGAAGAAAAUGAAUGCAUCUAAAUUUCUUUUCUUCUAAUAUAUCUUUUUACUAAAAUUAUCAUAGUUUUUUUAUCUGCUAAUUCAAUGGGUUUUUAAUAAAAAUCCCGAGAUUUGUCUAUCUUGCCUGCAAUCCCGUUCUCCCAAACAGUUAUUUGGUUCCCGAAGGUCGGGAUUGAACGGGAUUAAUAAGGAUAGGGUGCUGAUUCAGGGAUUGAGAAGUCGGGGUUUAUUUCAGACUUGGUCUACAAGUUUAAGGUUUAAAAUUGAUUUUACUCGCCAAAAUAUGUCUUGCUUGUUAGUGAAACUUUGAAAGUCAAGAUACGUACUAUUAAACUCGGGUAAGAUUGUCAACUAAGCAUACCUUAGUGGUUGGUUCUUUGUGGUGUAACCAGCUCACGCAGGUUGAAGUCUUAGGCUUGGCAAUUGGUGUUCACGUUUAUCUGAAUUUAUUUCAGGGGUUUUAACCGACGAUGUUCUUUCGGUGAGAUUGACUCGCCCGUCAAUUACGAGACGUCUGUGGUGACUUCCUCAAUUUCAAGAUCUUGUCGGAGGUGUUGCUCGUAGGGGUGUGUGUUCUUGCGUAUUUGUAAGCGACUGCGUCUGUACUCUAUUUUAAAAAAAUUGGACCAAAAUAUGUUGUGUCAAUACCAGCUUGAGCGAUCAUUUGCCACGUGGUACAUAUACCAUACUGUGACAAUAGUCUCCCAGCUACUCCAACAGCUGACAGAUUUGUGUACUAAGAAGAAACUCCAACAACACGCACACACACACGCAGCUGAUUCAUGGCCUAACUAACCGGUAGGAAUUCCACAACGGGCGUGGCGCUCGUUGGUGCUGAAGAAUCCGGAAAGGGAAAAAGAGAGAGAUAAAACGGGUCGUGUCGCUGCCGCCGUGUAGAAUCGGGAUGACGACAUGGUGUCAACACCAUGCAAACAUGAUGAUGAUCAGGGGAAAAUGGCAACUUCUUCUCCACCCGUUCUGCUGCUUAAAUACGGUCUUAGCUAUGCAUGUUUUAUCCGGAAUUUAUCUGUAGACCGGCUGGGUGAUUAUGUCGCCAAUUCAUACUACUACCUGUUUGAACAUGGUUUGGUUAUCUCCACACCGAUUUGUGUCAGUUUUGGGGGUCUUCUUGCUCGACUUGUUCCUCUUCCCCGUGCCACUGUCCUUGUUGGCGAAGUUGUACCGCUUACAUGUUUUUGUGGUUGCUUUGUCUGUUGUCACGGUUGUCCUUGUUGACAAUCUACAAUGUCAUAAUUUUUUUUUGGAGCUGUGCAAAUGUCAAAACUUCAGCUUGACGAACCAGAAACUAACUGUGUUUGGCUAUCUGGCUUCUUCUGUUGAAUGAUCCGUUGCAUUGUGAAUUAACAUGGUUAUCUGGUGGCUAGCUGAGAGUUUCCUGCUUUACUUGCAUAGACGUUAUUGUUUCUGGAAAAUACGGUCAUCCGACUCAAACGGAAAAAGCAGAGUAUCCGGGAAAAUUCAGUACAAAACCGUGGAUGGGUGUCCGACUCCGACAACGCCAUUGCCGUGUCGGAUCAUUGCACGGAGCGCUUUCUGUCGAAUACCAAGCCAAAUCCGACGGCCAGGGAUGGCUCCCACGUCACGCUGGUGGCCAGUCAGUUCCUGCUUCCGGCACACGCAGCGAGAAAGGAUGAGCACACCAUGGCACACUCCUCGCGCCCGGCCAAAAACUCCUAUAAAGCCAGCGCCAGCGGCGCCGCCUCCCUUUCCCACGCCCAGAAGCAGCCCACCGCCAUGGCCACCUCCUCGCGAGCUCCUCCUCCUCUGCUGCUGCUCCUCUGUCUCGUGCUUCUUCUCGUCGUCGCGCCCGCUGCGGCGGCGGCGGCGGCGGGGUGCGACUGCGGCGCGAAUAAUGCGGGGGCGGAGCUGGCCGGAGAGGAGGAAGAAGGGACCGCGGCGGCGGCGGCGGCGCUGCGGCUGAAGUUCACCGCCAUCGCGUCGAUCCUGGCGUCGGGCGCGGCCGGGGUGCUGGUCCCGGUUCUGGGCCGGUCCUGGGCCUUGCUGCGGGCCGACGGGGACGUCUUCUUCGCCGUCAAGGCCUUCGCCGCGGGGGUCAUCCUCGCCACCGGCAUGGUCCACAUCCUGCCCGCCGCCUUCGACGCGCUCGCCUCGGCCUCCAGGUUCCCCUUCGCCGGCCUCGUCGCCAUGGCCGCCGCCAUGCUCACCAUGGUCGUCGACUCCCUCGCCGCCGGGUACUACCGCCGCUCCCACUUCAGGAAGCCCCGCCCCGUCGACGACGACGGCCGCGCCGCCGCCGGAGCCGGGGCAGGAGAAGACGAGGAGGAGCGCCACGCGGGGCACCUGCACGUGCACACGCACGCCACGCACGGCCACGCCCAUGGCCACGUGCACUCGCACGGCCAUGGCCACGGCGGUGCCGACUCGCCGGAGGAGGCUUCGGCGGCUGAAACCAUCCGCCACAGAGUGGUCUCUCAGGUGAGCACAUGCCCCUUACCAAUAUUUACUUACUCCGUAAUUCAAAUGAAUUUCUUGCAUGCCAGAAAUAAACACAGUUUAAAAAUGUCUGAAUUUGUUCGCUGGAACAGCACCUGGUAGUUCAAAUUGAUUUCAGACUCGUGAUGUUACCAAGAUAAAUUACAGUAUCUGAUACUUGAAAUUCGACAUCAGCGAGCUCAAAUUCCCCACUUCUUGAGUCAGUAAACAUCAACGAACUGAGAAAAUUUUAAGCUUUUUACGAGCUUCUCGCAGUGCUUAGACUGUUAGACAUAGACCCUCUUUUCACUUUCUAAAAGGCAGAGAAUCCAAAUAAGUUAAUAAGGACAAGACAACCGAUGCCCUACUAUGAUAUGAUGUGUCGCCCACUUUGCAUUUAAGAUGAAGCCUUUCUCUUCUUUUGUCCCAACCUCACAGAUUUAGGAAAUUAACACCAUUUGCAGAUUCUGCAACCAAGUUGGCAUUAUGCCAAGCUUGGCAUUGUCUAUAUACAAUAACCGGCAAAGGGUUGUGGUUCUGCAGGUGCUGGAGCUGGGAAUCUUGGUGCACUCAGUGAUCAUCGGUGUGUCCUUGGGCGCAUCGCUAAGGCCGACGACCAUCAGGCCGCUCGUCGGCGCCCUAAGCUUCCAUCAGUUCUUUGAGGGCAUUGGCCUUGGCGGUUGCAUUGUUCAGGUAAAGAUUCUGUAAACACUGAUUCCUUGAGGCUGUGAUGAACUCCCUGGUUGUGGUUUUCCUCUGUUUAGAUUUAGGCUGAAGAUUGAAAAAAACUAUCUAAAUGUUAAAUUCAAUUAGAUUAGAAGACACACAAGACUCAUUGUCGUAUUGAAGGGGACAGGGUGAAGAACGUACACACAGAUGGAUAUUUUUGUAGUUGAAAUGAUUGGACUUGUCACUGACCACAUUGUACCAGAGUCAGACAGUAGGGACCACCAAUAAUUGAUUCAUUUCUAUUUCCCGGAAGAUAUUAUGAAUCACAAUGAUAGAAUUGACUAUAAUGGGUGAACAGUAAGGAGAAAUAAUAGGUUUCAAACUUGUCCCAUAUACCAAGAACAACAAUGUAACACAGUUUGUGUCCUCAUUUUCUUGCUGCAGGCAAAAUUCAAGGCAAAAGCGACCGUGCUCAUGGCGACCUUCUUCUCCUUCACCGCUCCCAUCGGCAUCGCACUCGGUAUCGCGAUCACAUCCAGCUAUAGCAAGCACAGCUCCACCGCGCUAGUCGUCGAGGGGGUCUUCAACUCGGCCGCAGCAGGGAUCUUGAUCUACAUGUCCCUUGUUGAUCUCCUAGCCGCAGAUUUCAACAACCCGAAGCUGCAGACGAAUACAAAGCUUCAGCUCGCAACAUACCUCGCCCUUUUCCUCGGCGCGGGGCUGAUGUCGCUGCUCGCCAAAUGGGCAUGACAGCAUCAACAGAUAGCUGCCUUUCCUAAAGAUCCGGAACUUUGUUUAUCAUUGACAGGGUUCUUUGCAUCACUGCUUCAGUUUUCCAUCGAGCAGAGUUGAGGAGGGAAACGAAACCAGGAUGUGAACAAAGAUUGUUAUGAUUAAGGGCAUAGCUAAAAAAGCUGAAUAGUCAGGGGAUUGUCUGGAUUCCUUGAGCAAGUUCUUUGCUGUUCAUCCAUGGUGAUUGUGAUGGCACCAGAUGAGGUGAGCAAGACAGAAGCGGUAGUUGAGAGUUUGUAAAAUAGUUGGCUUCCUUUCGGAAAUAUCAGCGCCAAUGUACAGAUUGUCACUAGUAGCUAGAAGUCUUCUUCUUUUGCAGGAAAAGGCAUCCGUAGGCUGUAGCUUGUUAACUGAAGAAUCAAUCAAACCAGCUUUUGGUCCCGUUCUAUCUGACUAUCUGCACCUGCCACUUUCCCUAACAUCAAGAAACAUUUAAUUUCGGGAGGCUGUAAAUCUUGUCACAACUCACAAGCCUUUCAGUGAGUUUAUCAUGGUCUUUUUGCCAGAUUGCCAUGAUCACUGAAAAAAACAAGACAGUUUACUGCUGAAGUCAGAGAUAUGCCCUUUUUGCACUGCUCAAGCCUGAAAAAAAUAUUCCUGAGAGACCAUGACGAGGACAUUCAUAGUUCAGUUUAAGCCGUUAUUUUCCUCAAAAGAGAUACUACUACGGUAGUUUAAUAACCAUAAAAGAGAAAGAUUUGGGAUGUGAUUCUCCAUCUAGAGAAAAGCUACUACUAGCAAAGUGCUGAACAACGCGUAAACUACAGCAGUUGACAUGUAUCUCAUGGAAAGAAUUGGAGAAUAUAUGCACAGGAGCUGGAACCAGUAGUGGAGCGUGACGUCGAACGAGGAACGCCGACGACGAUACGACGACCAAAUCUUCGGACCGACGGUGUAGAUUUAAAUUGUAUCGUCGAAGCGGAUAUCACAAAUCUCUUAAAACAUUUUGCUAUUGAUGAGAACCAGCUCUUAUUUUUAUUUUUGAAAAAAUUUGUGGAGAAACAUUAGCGAGAUCAUAGGUUUAACUUCGGUGCCUAUCAAUUUUGACGUGUGGUAAAUCUUGAUGGUUAUAUGUGCACCAAGAUAAUAGGGAGAUUCACAGGUUUAAUUCCGGUAUCCACCAUUUCAGACGUCCGAUACAUCUUGAAUUCUUGCUAGACACUUAUUUAUGAUGGAUCAGACUGGAGUACCACAUUAGCGAGGUGAGGAAAUUGCACAUUUCAUCACUUACUGGGGACGUUGUUGCGCAAAACACCACUUUUAUGAUUUUUUUGCAAAUUUCAGCACAUAUUGGUCUAAUGAGUAGCAGAUAGGUCUUAAUAGCGUGUUAGAUGAGCUAACCACGUUUUGACCUGUGGGCCUCGCAUGUCAGUGCCAACGUGGACCGAGCCCCUUACCGCGGUGGACAGGGUCGGGUCUGAGCCAACCGAUUAAAAUGAAAUCAUGUCCGAUUCGGUGGAGGCAGACCCGAUCCGACCAUUUUUACCAUAUUUUGGAACGUAAUCAGACGUGAUUUCCUUUUAACCAGUUGGCUCCAAACCCGACCCGGUCCACUGGGACAAAGGGCUCGGUACACGUUGUCACUGACAUGCGGGACCCACAGGUCAGAAACGUGAUUAACUCGUCUAACACGCUAUUAGGACCUAUCUGCAACUCAUUAGACCAAUAUGUAGUGAAAUCUGCAAAAAAUUCGUAGAAGUGGUGUUUUGCGCAACAACAUUCCCAAUAGGUGGUGAAAUGUGCAAUUUCCUCUUAGCAAGGUUCACAAGUGUCUUGGUGAUGUGUAACAUUGGCAAGCAUUUUAGAUGAAACAUUGAUGUGGAUACUUUGGAUAAUAUGGAUAUUUAUGUGAUGACAUGUAUCUUGUUUGGACUUAGUGCUUUGCUAGUGGUGUGUUGAUCCAUUAGUUUUUUAUGUGAAAACAUGGCGUGAGUUGGGUUGAAACUUACCCUGAGUCAAGUCGUGGACUUGUGCUCGUACUGGUCAUUUGUGUGUUGCUUUCAGGUGUUGCUGGAGCUAGAGGAACGUGGUCGAUGACGGGAUUGAGGGAUGAAGUUUGGGAGAAGCUGAGGUCGAGGAUUGAAGUCAUGCGGGACGUUCGUGCGAAGGAAUAAUGGAAGUGAAGGCUACGAUGAUCCGGGAAGGCAUCAGUUUGCCGUACGUUGUUUAUACCAGAGAUGAACAGUAUUGGAGAUAUUCGACACGUGAUGGUCGAGUUUUGAAGACAUCAUAAGAAGAGUGGAUGGCACGGAGUGGCAUCGACGUGAAGACAUGUAGGUUCAGUCGUGGCUGGAUGAGAGCCGUUUAAAGAUUAAACAGCAACGUCAUCAAGAUGGCAUCUGAUGGAAAAGUAGUCCACAUGAAAGUUGUGAGCGUCGUCGAGACGGACAACUUUACUUUCGGAGUCAUCUCAAUCCGAGUUUCUAUGUGGGCUCCACGGGCAGAAUACCGACCAGGACAGAGGAGUUCGUGUUGGAUUCGGACUCGGUUUAGGGUCGCGAAUUUUCCCUUAUAAAUAGAGGGCGUCUAGGCUAGGGUUUUAGCAAAGACGGGAGGGAACUCAGAGCUUUGAAUCUAGAUCAAUCCUUGGAGAGUUCUUGGAUAUUGGAAAUAUGCCCUGAGGCAAUAAUAAAUAUGUUAUUAUCAUAUUUCCUUGUUCUUGAUAAAUGUUUAUUAUCCAUACUAUAAUUGUAUUAACAGGAAACUAAAUACAUGUGUGUGGAUAAAUAAACAAAUACCGUGUCCCUAAUACGCCUCUACUAGAUUAGCUCGUUGAUUAAAAGAUAGUAAAGGUUUCCUAACCAUAGACAUGUGUUGUCAUUUAAUAACGAGGUCAUAUCAUUAGGAGAAUGAUGUGAUGGACAGACCCAAACCUAAGCAUAGCUUUUGAUCGUGUCACUUAAGUUUAAAUUGUUAAUGCUUUUAUUAUGUCAACUAUCAUUUCCUUAGACCAUGAGAUCAUGCCACUCCCUAGAACCGGAAGAAUACUUUGUGAACAUCAACCGUCAUCUCGUAACUGGGUGAUCAUAAAGUUGUUCUUCAGAUAUCUCGGAAGGUGCUUGUUGGGUUGUAUGGAUCAAGACUGGGAUUUGUCACUCCAUGUGACAAAGAGAUAUCUCUGGGCCCUCUCGGUAAUAUAACAUCCUAAUGAGCUUGCGACCAUGUGACUAAUGUGUUUAGUCACGGGGAUAUUAUAUUGCGGUAUGAGUAAAGAGAACUUGCCGGUAACGAGAUUGAACUAGGUAUGGUGAUACCGACGAUCAAAUCUCGGGCAAGUAAUAUAUCGCGAGACAAAGGGAAUUGGAUACCGGAUUAAUUGAAUCCUCGACAUCGUGGUUCAACUGAUGAGAUCUUCGUGUAAUAUGUGGGAACCAUUAUGGACAUCCAGGUCUUGCUAUUGGUUAUUGAUCGGAGAGGUGUCUCGGUCAUGUCCACAUGUUCUCGAACCCGUAGAGUCACACACUUAACGCUUUAUGUCGCUAGGGUUCGAUGAGAUAAAUAGAUGGUGAUAUCGAAUAUUGUUUCGGAGUCUCGGAUGGGAUCCAGGACAUCACGAGGAGCUUCGGAAUGGUCCGGAGAUAAUGAUUUAUGUAUGGAAAAGCUGUUUCAGGGUUUCGGAAAAGUUCGGGAUAUUUUCUGGUAUUGACCGGGAAUAUUCUAGAAGGUUCCGCAGGUUCUCAGAAGGUUCUGAAAUGUUCCAAAAUAUUCCUGAGAAUUUAAUUGGGCCUCUAUAUGAAUUAAUUGGAGCAAUCGAAUUAAUUAUCCCCUAGGCCCAUUAGGGGAGAGGGAACCGUGGGGACUCCACCAUGAGGUGGAAACCACGUACGUGGGGAGACCACACGUGGGAAGGAGUCCCGAGACUCCUUUCCCUCCCCUGGCCGGCCCUAGACUCUCCUUGGAGGAGGGGCAAACCCUGGCCACCACCCCCCUAUAUAAAUAGAGGGGAGGGGCAGGGGGAGAGGACACACCAAGCUCUCGGCUGGAUCUCUCUUCCCUGAGCCCCUCUCCCCCUCCUCUCUAGCGCGCAGCGAAGCCCUGCCCGCGGAGCUCUCCACCAUAGUUACCACCACGCCGUCGUGCUGCCAGAAUCUCAUCGACCUCUUCCCCUCGCUUGCUGGAUCAAGAAGGAGGAGACGACAUGAAGCUGAACGUGUGGAUACCAAGGAGGUGCCGUCGUUUCUGCACUGAGAUUGAUCUCAUCGAAAGUUCCACUACGCCAACAACGAUCUCGUGAUCGUAACGUUUUGUGGUUUAUGAGGGUAAGAUGCUCAUUAUCCCUCUCGUUACUUACAUCUACUAGAUAUGAUCUUGGGUUUCUUCCGCACAUCUCGUAGGAAUUUUUUUGUUUUCCAUGCAACAAACCCAUCAUGAGAUGCAUGGUUGCAUCUUUUGUAAUCGAUCGACAUCGUUGCAAUAAAGAAAUUCGUUGGUGGUGUCAUCUCUGUUCUUCUCGGAUCUUCGUGGAUUCUUUGUGCUAGAUCUUUCUAACACUUUGCUGCAGGUUUAUCACGAGUUCAUAAUACUUUGCUGCAGGUUUACCACGAGAUCAAGGAAAGAUCGCGAUUACUUCAUCUUUCUUGUUAUUCCUCGAAAUCGAUUAUAGAUUAAUUCUCGUAACUUUCUAUCAGCUGUUAAUGUUUUGAUCAUAUCUUUUGAUUCGUAAGUCCAAUUGAGCUGAUUCGUGUUGCGUUGGUUAGAUAAUUUCAAUACCUUUCUUUUGCAUACUCGUACGUAUUUUUUGGUUCGUCCUAUCAAAAGUUACGACUGUUUUACUAUCACGGACAGAAACGUAAUUUAGAGUUUGAACUUUCGGAAAAAGUUUUAAUUUGCUUCUGCACAAUCAUUCACCCCCCCCCCACCCACCUCUGAUUGCCUAUCUCGAUCUCACCAUUGGUAUCAGAGCCAAGUCCUUCUAAUUUAUCUUAACCGGUUGAUUAGAUUUACUAGAUAUGGAUAGGUAUUUUACAAACCCUGUGUGUUCGAUGGUGUUGAUUUUCAGUUCUGGAAGGCCAAGAUGAAGGCAUACAUCAUGGCACAAAGUUACGCCAUAUGGGAGAAAGUCGCCAAGCCCUACGAGCUCCCCGCGGAUGAUGCGAUCACACCAACAAACUUGGUCCAUGUGGAGAACAACUACAAGGCGAGGAACUGCAUCAUCCAAGGUCUACAUCGAAGUGACUUCGACCGUGUCGCUCACCUUGCAUCCGCUCAUGAGGUAUGGAACGCACUUUGUGGUUAUCAUGAAGGAUCAAACUCUGUUAAGGAAGUGCGUCAGGACUUGUACAAAAAGGAGUACAUGAGAUUUGAGAUGAAUACAGGUGAAUUUUUGGAUAAAUUCUUUGCACGUUUUAAUAAGAUUCUCAGCAACUUACGUGCAUUAGGUGUUACUUAGUAUAAAUUUUGUACUAAAUGAUUUUGAUUUUGUAUAAACUUUGUAUAAAUCCAAGACAAUUAUUAUGAAUCGGAAAGAUUACUACAUUAGCCAGGUUCACAAGUUUAACUCACGCAUCCAUCAAUUCUGACGCAUGACUUGAAGGCACACUCGGGUUCAUGUGGUGUACGUUUGGUUUGUGUGCACCAUCCGUGUGUACACCGUAAACUAUUUGUAUAGGCAGGUACAAUGACAUCUCACUUUUUUUUGACCAAACAGUGACAUGCACUUGAUGCUAUGUUUCUCGUCGAUCCUUGCUCCUUGGCAUAGUGAUUGGACAAAAAGAAAAGGUGAGAGAACAGAUAAAUGACUGGGAAAAGACAUCGGCAUGACUGGGAACAGAUAAAAAGUGAGAGAACAGAUAAGUGGUCUAGAGGAACAUAGGCAGGAUCCCGUCUGCACUUGCAUCUCCUCUAGAGUUAGGAUCAAUCCAAUAGUGCAACUGUCCAAGAGCUAGUCCGCAGGGACACGGACCCUGCACCACAUCUGCUACCCUCGCGCUUGAAUAGAGAACUACACCCGUGCCCACACAGAAAAGAGAGCGGCGGGGGCCUCUGUCUGUUCAUCUCUUCCCCGGUCUCCCCCCCACCCACGAAAAAGGGAGCUCAGACCUUAUCGUGUUUCUGUGGUCUUAAACAGUGCUCCAUUUUUUCUUUAAAUAAAAGGAGCCAGGCUCCCGAUUCCAUUAAUGAAAUCAGCAAAUUGUUGUUUCUAGAGGUUCAUACAAGCCGAAGCAUAAACGAAAAGUGAACUCCAUCCAUAUGGUCCACACACAAUUUUGUAAUUCUGUUUCAAACUUUGGUCAACAAUUGGAUUAGCAGUACAAGAUUAUCGUGAAAUCAAGCAAUAUCAUUUGAUUCGUAUUUAAAAUAUUUUCUAAUGAUAUUAUUCUCUUGCAUACAUAUGUCAAAAUAUUAUUUGCCUACUUCUCGUUUAAAAUUUUGCAUGAAUUUUUGUUUGGGCCUUGUAUGCAUGGGUGGAGGCAUUUCAACAAUCUUGGAGUGACCGAGUGAGUGCCCAUCCAGAUGGCCCAAAUAUUCCUACAUGGUUCCUUCAAUCCAACGGGGGAAUUUUUAUUUUGGGAAUCCAGAAGGGGCCUCACCGUGGCACGAGACCUUUUCAGCCGAAGCCUGAGGCCCAAUCACUUCCCAUCUUCAUUCACAGAAAGAAGCCCAAGCCAACUUCCAGUGCCACAAGCCACAGACAGACUCACAGACCUCGUAUCGUUUCUCCCCCAUUCUCUCUCUCUCUCUCUCUAUCUCUCUGCGCGCAUUUCUCCAAAAAACGCCCUUAAACCCUCCGCCUCAGCCGCCGGCCGCCGCCGCCGCCAUGCGCCGCCUCGUCCAAGCUCUCCGCCCGCUCCAGACUCUAACCUCCUCUACGAUCCCCGUCCCUCUUCCCAUCCUCCGCCUCCUCUCCACCUCCUCCUCGUCCUCCUCCGCUGCCGCCUCCUCGGACUCCGAAUCCCCGGCCGCCGACUUCGACAGCGCCGACUUCUCCCUCACCACCCCGGACCCCACCCCCGUCCGCGCCCACACCCCCGUCUCCGCGCUGCGCAAGCUCCGGUUCGACCCCUCCCUCCGCGCGCGCGCCGACGAGGCGCUCUUCGGCGAGACGAAUGCGGUAGAUGCGGUGGAGGAGGAGCGGUCGCGGGAGGUGGCGCUCGCGCUGCUCGAGGCCGCGCUGGAGCCGCCCGACGAGGACGAGGAGGAGGGGCCCGGGGAGGUCAGGGAGGAGGACCAGAUGUCGCUCUCCGUCGGGAUCGUCGGCGCGCCAAACGCCGGCAAGUCGUCGCUCACCAACACCGUGGUAUGUGUGGCUUCUUUAAUUCCAAAAUGAAUAUUUUCUGCCCCCAUGUUAAUUGUGUGUUCCACCAAUGUCGUCAAUAACUAGGAGUAGUUGCUAGUAGUAACAAGCAAGAUCAUCUCUAUUCUCCAAUAGUACUUAGCUUGUUAGUAACGUUAGAGAAUGCCCCAAAACAAGGUCUCGAAUAGCUUGUUAGGGUACUUAAUUUGUGUCCAUGACCCGCAAAAUCUACAUAACAUUCUAGGACUAAGAUAAUAUGCAGUUCUGCACCAUUUAUUCCUCUUUAUACCCCUCGGUUCAGCUAUUCCUGAAUCCAGAUGCCAUGUAUUACCAUCUGAAGACCAUUAAGUGACCCAAAUAAAUGGAUAGUAUAUUUUCUAAAUACAAACUGGUUGUUGUGAAAGUUCUAGAGUGACAUCUAUUUCAGUGAGGGAGUAUCAAUACUGGAUGUCAAUUGCUGCUGCUGUUAUGAUGCCUUUUUCAAUGGUUUAAGUAUUUCUGCCAUAUUGAUAGUAAAAUCACCGGCUUUGUAGCUAAAUGUAUUGAUUCCUUACGUUUCCUUGGUUUAUAUUUGCUAUCAGGUUGGAUCAAAAGUGGCUGCAGUCUCCCGCAAGACAAAUACGACAACUCAUGAAAUUUUGGGGGUGCUGACAAAAGGGAAAACUCAGAUAGUAUGUUCUGUUAUCAAAUAUCUAUAUGUGCUAGAACAGGGGUCUGCAUUUUUCAUCUUUUGACCUUAGCAUGGUUCUCUAAAACACAUCAAUUAUGAGGCAAAUGGUAGUACCACCCUUGACACAUUAUUAAUAGCCAGGCGGGAUUCAAAACUGGGUUGCUUGGUAGCACAAUCUUUUUGAAAUGACUUGGUUGAAUAUUGUUUUCAAAUAAUUAGAAACUAGAAAUGCUGUGUAUAGUUUCUCAUGUCCUUCGGAACUUGUAUUUUUCUUCGUGAGUUUUGAUUGCAUUAACGCAUCUGAUUACUACAUCAGUAGUGCAUGCUAUCUAUUUUAUUCUUCGAAAUUAUGAAAAUUAUAUUUGCAAUGUAAAGCAUAUGUAUCUAAUUUACAUCAUAAUAUAAUACUAUCCAUAGAUACACCUCGUAAUUAAAGAUCUGCUGCGAAAAACAUGACUCUCAGAAUCCUGUUAAAAAUCUUCUUGAAGUUUUCAGCUGAUAAAAUUCUCUGCAGUGCUUUUUUGACACCCCAGGGCUCAUGUUAGGGCACCAUGGAUUUCCUCAUAGGGAUGUCACAGUUCGUGUGGAGAGUGCCUGGAGUUCAGUUAAUCUCUAUGAUUUACUAAUAGUCAUGUUUGACGUGAACAGGCAUCUUAAGAUGUAAAUUCUUUGUCUCACAUCUAUUUUUCAUCUUUAUUUUCCUGUCAGGAUCAGCAGUCAAGUUUCAGCCAGAAUUUUUCAAUAUAACUGGUGAUGGUGAACUAAACAUGUUUUCAUUUAUACAGGCCUGAUUCGAGAGUGAUAAAGUUAAUAAAACGAUUGGGUGCCGAAGUAAACCCAAACCAGAAACGCAUAUUAUGCAUGAAUAAGGUUGACCUAGUGGAAGACAAAAAGGACUUGCUUAAAGUUGCAAAGGAAUUUGAAGAUCUUCCUGGAUUUGAAAGGUGCUCCUUAGUUUGCAUGUGGGCUUACAUUGUCUUUCUAUUUUAUUUUUUUUAUCUGCCUGAUUGGAAUUUGCUUCGAAUGAUAGGUACUUCAUGGUAUCUGGACUAAAAGGCAAAGGAGUGAAAGACCUAGUACAGUACUUGAUGGACCAGGUAUUUAAACUUGUGCCCAACACUUGGUUUACCUUGAAUUUUAACUGGCUAUAUUCUCUGUACUUGUAAAUUGUACAGUGUUUGGGAUGAAAAUCCAGAAGAUUUAGGAACCUCAUGAAUUCAAUAUUCUUGUUUUGAUGCUUCUUUUAUUAUUUUGCUCCAAACUGAAAUGUCUUUGGUUGCUAACUAAUAACUAGGGCUUUUCAGUAGCAAAAUAACAUUAACGAGCCUUUAUGUGCUCCUUUUAGGUGCUUUUCAGUAGCAAAUUUGAUAUAUCUGAUGGGAUCAACUUUCUUCUGAUCAAUUUGCGAAACAAUAUCUCUUACCUAUAGGCAGUGAGAAGACCUUGGGACGAGGAACCAACCACAAUGACUGAAGAAGUAAUGAAAACCAUAUCACUGGAGGUCGUACGAGAGAAGAUGCUAGAUCAUAUUCACCAAGUAAUUUCUGUACAUAUUUCUGAUGUGGAACUUGGUGCUCCUUGAUUACGACGGAAUUAUUUGCUAAAUAUGACAUCUGCAGGAAAUACCAUAUGUAAUUGAGCAUCGGCUGAUGGAUUGGAAAGAGCUAAAAGAUGGUUCUCUUAGGGUAGAACAGCACUUCAUUGCACCUAAGCAAAGCCAACGUCAGAUUCUUGUCGGGAAAAAUGGCUCCAAGAUCGGGUAAUAUUCUCUUACUAAAACGUGCUCCUAUUGAAUGUGCUCGCGUGUUUGAUACUGAUGUGUUUGUUUGGGGCAAUUGUUCCAGGAGAAUCGGUAUUGAAGCCAAUGAAGAAUUGAGGUCCAUAUUCAAGAGAGAUGUCCAUUUGAUGCUCCAAGUUAGAGUUGCUAAGAAGAGAAGUUCUUGAAUGGAUGAUCACAAGGUGAGUAUAUUCAUUUCAUUCACUCUGUUAGAGUACCCUGUUUUGUCAGUCUGUUACCUGCUUUGAUAUAAAAACUAGAACUGUAAAAGUAGCUGCUAAUUUUCUGCAAAGUUUGGCCUCUAAAUUCUAAUUUUGUUUAGUCUCAUGAAUUCUGAUGCUUUGAUUAUCCAUCAACUUUUGAAGUAAAUCAUACAUUACCUUAUGCAGUUCUAGUGCAUGUAUAGACAGCAUCGGGACUGAGAUCUGCACCACGGUGAUGGCAAAAUAUCCAUUGGGAUUACGGCUUGAAUGAACUAACCUGUCACACGAGCCCGUGCGUGAAAGAAGGAAUUAACCUAUGUCUAUGCAUUCAAUCAUGAGCUGGUUAUUCCUGACGACAAGCCUCGCUAGAUAAUAUUUUGCACGGCGUAUGGAAAUGGCUUGUGAAGUGGUGGCCUGUGCACCCGGAGUAUGUUGUGUUUGCGAAAUACAGAUGUAUGAAUGGCUACAGAUUACUGAUAUUAUUAUAUAGUUCUUUGUGGUUCAAAUAAAUUGUUGAAAUAGCCUGUGAUCUGACGACAAUGAAGACACAGUUUUGUGCUCCUACUUGCUUUCAGAAUCUUGUUCAAACUAGCUUUCCAGAUUGUUCAAGACAUGUUGUGCUAUACUACAGAUAGCUUCUGUUAUUUCAGAUUGUUCUACCUUCAUCGAAGUUGCGUGUUCUUCCCUGCUUUGAUUCUAUUUUUGGUGUCAGAAGGAAUUAUUGCUGAUGAUGUUUCUGUUGUACUCUUUCAACGAAGAGGUAGAUUGAAACUUAAUUAUAAACCGGGGCAAUAGUGGAUCUCUUUCAACGAAGAUGUGGACUGGUCACUGGGGUAGGUAGUUUUCGUGGUGCACUCAAUAGCUAGAGAAGAUCUUUCAACGAAGACGUGGGUAGGAGCUUCGAGCUAUUGCGUGCAGAAGACUCCGGGCGCUUAGGCAAUUGGAUUUUUGCGCAAGAAAAUAAGAAAGAGAAAGAAAGAAGAGGAACUCUUGAAAGAUAGGAUGACCGCAAGAAGUAAAAUCCUCCCAUCAAUUCCCACAAAGAAAAGAACAAUGUCUACAACAUAUGACCACCCAUUAUGUUUCUACAUCAGCGUCACAGAUUUUCGUCUUACUCGCCGGCGUUCUAGACACAACCACAAAACACUACACUGCGACAUCACUGACAACAAUUUGGAGACUGUUUAUUCCUAUAGUUUGUAAGCAGAGACCAGCGAACGACGUUGGCAGGCAGGCAGGAGCAGCACUGGUAUCACUCUGCGGCGGCUCCGGCGACCUUGUCGAGGGUGUUGGCGAUGUCGAUGACGAAGCGGUACCUAACGUCGGCCUUGACGAGACGCUCCAGGGCCGUGUUCACGUAGUCCGCUCCCACCACCUCGAUCUCCGCCGUCACGCCGUGCUUCGCCGCAAUGUCCAGCAUCUCCUGCGUGUCGGCCAUGCCGCCGAUGCAGCUCCCGGCCAGGGUCUUGUUCUCUGCACAAAUGUUUACCAGAUUACUGGUUUCUUCCUACACCUGAGCCACGAGUAGGUAGAACGAUGAUUUAUGAGGAAAGACUUACUAGCAACGAGGGCGAAGGCAGGGACCUCGAUGGGCUUGUCAGGGAGGCCGACCAUGAUCAUCUUGCCGUUGGGCUUCAGCAGCCCAAACAGAGGGGCCAUGGGAACGUUUGCAGACACCGUGUUGAUGAUGCCAUCCAUGGUGCCCAUCGCUGCCUGCAGCCAAGGAAACCAAAACAUGAGAUCUUUUAAUUUCUCCCCUGGACAAACUAAUCUGUGACCAACCAUCAUCUUAAUUUCACCUUCAUCUCUUCGGGGUCUUUGCUGACGACGAAGGCGUCGGCGCCGAGCAGCCCGAGGGCCUCCUCCUUCUUCCCGGGCGACGAGCUGAUCACGGUCACCUUCAUCCCGAACGCCUUGCCGAACUUGACCGCCACGUGGCCGAGCCCGCCGAGGCCCAGGACCCCCAGGUGCAGCCCGGGCACGUUGAGGCCGUGGUACUUCAUGGGGCUGUACACGGUGAUGCCGGCGCACAGCAGCGGCGCUCCCUUGUCCAGCGGCAUGGCGUCGGGAAACCGGACCACGAACCGCUCGUGCACCACCACGGCGCUCGAGUAGCCGCCGUAGGUGCAGGUGCCGUCGCGGUCCGUGGAGUUGUAGGUGAAGAUCAUGCCCGGGCACUGGUUCUCGAAGCCGACGUCGCAGCUCUCGCAUGAUUGGCAUGAGUUCACCAUGCACCCGACGCCCACGCGGUCGCCGGCCUUGAACUUGGUCACGUUCUUGCCCACCUCUGUCACCUCGCCGGCGAUCUCGUGCCCUGGGAUCAUCGGGUACGUGGCGUUCGCCCACUCGUUCCUGAUGCUGUGCAGGUCCGAGUGGCAGAUCCCGCAGUACAGGAUCUUUAUCGCCACGUCAUCGUCCCCAGUGCUCCUGAAAGAUUACGAGAAGAAACAGGUUAAAAAGUGUGUCAAUCCAAACAAUAUAUACAGGCCAAGAUCAAACCAAAUUAAUGAUAUAGGUAACAGUGUUCACUAGUAGUAUUAGUCAACUCGUUAGGUGGUCACUCCUGCAAAUUGGUCCAGCUUGUCAUGCAUGCAAAUGACCAAAACUUGUUGUGAUGAACUUUUUUUAAUCAACUGCUGAUUUUUUUUUUGUUCAGACAAAUAGUUUUACUCAUCCAAGCAAGUGCAAACAAAAGAGAUAGCUCAGACCUUUUCAGGCAAAUAGACACUUACACAGAAUUUUACUAAAUUUAGCAAAGAAGACUGCAGAGCAUCGAUCCAUCUAUCAACCACCUUACACUAGUAUGUAUAGUAAGACCAUAAAAUUAUGUCAUCGUAUGAUUUCCUAUGAAAAUUCUAAUGGUGAACUUGUGAUAAGAGGUACCAUUUGCAUCUAAUGAACAUGAAAAAAAUUCUUCUAGCAAUCAAUCUGUCAAGACAUGGACGUUUUCUUUGCAGGGAAAAGACAAACAAGCUUGACUGCAUGCUGUAUGAUAAUCAACAUCAAUAUGUACUUUGAACUGGCCGAGGGUACUAUAUAGCUAAAAUUAAUUUUCUCAGAACCUUAAAUCGUCACAACAACCUCGGUUCCUACGGCAGUGGUGUCAGUUCCCACGGUUCAAUGCGUGCACUGCCUCUUUCCCUCAGAGAGAUACGUGCCGUUGAGAUUUGCCCACAUGAGCCAGUCGACUCAUACCACACACAGAAAGAGCUAAAGCGACGGGCGCACACAGCGGUACUACAAGGUGACUACAGGCAGUUGAGGGUGACUCAUGGCUUGACAGUGGCGUCAAUGUUCAUUUGCUUGAAUUGGUCAUGCACACAUAAUUCUGGCCUAGCUUCUGUUGCAUGGUACACAACCCUGAUAGUAUGUCACACUCGUUUACCGCAUCUAAAAUGAAGGCUUCAUUUGGAAAGACCAAAUUUCACAUAAGUGUGACAUUAGAAAUUCAAUCAUGUUAGCCAUAUCUUAAUCCAGAAAAACAAAAUCCACAUAGGAUCGAGUACCAAACGAACGAGAAUUAUCCACGCGGAUUCACAAUAAUCAUAAGGGCAUGUUGGGAACAUUGGAGGAUUCGCAGUCCAUAUCCCACUAUAAUCGAUCGAGAUAAGUAUCGCCAACACCAGUGUGAAAAGUUGCUACAGAAAACAAAAUUUCUAGCUAGCUGAAUAAUUUUGCGAGAAUUCCAGCAACAGUUCGCGUCUAAGAUGACCCCGCUAAGCGAUUAAUCAGGUCCAAUAUAAUUCAUCGUUAACCACCAUUAGCUAGACGACAAUCUUCCUGGAAUAAAUUAUUCCCCAGAAGCAUGCAGAGCUACUAGUACGUUCGCUGCCCGGGGAUUACCGGAAAAAAAACAAGCGCAAACCGGGCGAAUCGGACGGCGCACAGCGCCGCCAUAACCCUAGGGACCGGAUCCAACCCGUCCGCACGUCCCCGGUGGCGGCCCGGCUCAAACGACGAUCGAUGGCGGCGGCGCACGGACGAACAAAACAACGAACGGCAAAAUUAAAUCCUAGAUACACAGGGACAUUCUAUAGAAACCCCACGGGCUGAUCGAGAGAGGAAGAGAGGCGCGUGGGCUCGAUGGUACCUCCGGGUGAUGGCGAGCGGGGAGAGGUGGCCGGAGGCGUCGCGCGCGGCGAGCCCCACCGCCUUCUUCGUGUGCUGCGGGUGCCCGCCCUGCUCCGCCGCCGUGGGUGCCAUCGGUCUCUCUCCCUCCUCACGCUUCUAGAAGGAUCGAUCGAUGACGAGGGGACGAGAUUGGAAUGGAAUUAGGGAGCGCUCUCUCGUCUCUGAUAUGCCAGCUGGGGAAGCGAAGGGAGGAGGGGUGGCGUGCUUUAUAGCCGGCCUCCUAGUCACUGCCAGGUCGGGGCCACCUGCCCAGGGACGGGGUGAGCGGUGACGUCAGCGACCGCCGGGACUUGAAACGGGAAACGGGGCCGAGGACGAGGAGGAACUUUUAACUCCGGAACGGUCGCGACCGUUCUGGCUCGCUCCCGCAGUCCCGCGUCGGUAUGAACAGUCCGUGCCUACAGAAAGCAUUCCCCAGCCAGCCAGCCGGACACUUGUUGCGUCCGAUUUUUUUUAUUUUUUUUGCCCGCUGCCAACCAAGUGAAAACGAAAGCGACGGUGAUGCAAGAAAGAUGAAUGUGCCUGUCAGAAAAAGAAGAGGAAGAUGAAUGUGUACGGGAGUAUAAGAUAUGUUUUGACUUUUCCAAUGCACAUGCAAUUUCACUAUAACUUUGACUUAUAUAUAUAUAUGUUUAAAAAAUUAGUAAAAAAUAUGACGUACAAGUCUUUUGCAAAACACAUACUACAAUGAUAUUAUUAUUUGCAAAACGCAUACUCCUUCCAUCCCAAAAUAACUGACGUGAAUUUGUGUAGAUUUUUAUAAAUUCACUCCGGUUAAUUCAGGACGGAGGGAGUACAAUGUUGUGGAAUGGAGAGAGUACGUAGAACCCAAGUGCGGUUUUGGGCUCAUAGCGAUUGCACCACAUCACCUACAAAUAUUGCACGUGACACAAAUUUAAUUGGUGCCUUUUGACUGUCUCAUUAUGGACUCUUUUUUUAAGGAACAGUGACUACUUUUCACUCAUUGUGUACUUACUUUUGUAUUUGCAUGAAUCUCAGCCAGUGACUUAGAAGUAGAGUGGCAUACGCAUCACAUCCAUUUAUACAAAAAUCAUUUGUGAUAUCUAGAAGAUCGUAAUAAUAAGAAGCAAUUGUUCUCAAACCCUCGAUAAACAUCCUGCUCGAUCAGUUCGAGUCCCAACAAAUCUAGAAUCUCCUUUUCCGGUGCUCUCUCUUUCCCACAUCGAUCCACCGCGCGCACGGCCGGCCGGUCACUGAAGUCAACAGGGGCCCCGUGUGAUCGGAUCCAGUGCAUUGGCUGUCCCGUUCAGGAGGUUGUUCAGACUUGGUACAUCCAUCGGUGCUUUGGCUUUGGCUUUGGGAGGCCGACACGUUGUGCUACUACGUCCUUUUGAUUUGUCGGCCAGCCGGCCGGGUGUCGUCCGUGGUCCGUCACAUUGUUUGCACAUGCAGUUUCAUUUGGAAGGGAAGACAUAUAUAGAGCUGCAAAGCCUGCAACUAGGUGCUGCUGAAGCUGAAGAGCGUUUGCUAGUCCAACGGUUGUCCGAACCCACGUGCAUUGGGAGCUAGCCGGCCAUGCAUGCUUUCUGUAGCUCUCACUUGUGGGCGCGAUUGGAAUAUUACUCUUUUCGAUUCUUUCAUUUUCUUCUCUCAAAAGCGAUGGAGAUGUCUCGCUGUUUGCCGACGGUCGUCAGAAUUAAUCGGAGAGGUAUCCGUGCGUGCAGCCUCGCGGCGCCGUCGAUCGGCCAGCUAGCAGCCGUAAUCGAUCUGCGGCACCUUCUCGGCCCACACCGUACGUACCGUUCGGUGCUCGUUUCCUUUUUAUUCGGACUAUACUAUCCAACCAUCCUCUUCUAGUCUCGUGUGGGCUUUUAAACACUUGCUUCUACCUCUAAUUAAAGCGAUUUCGGUCCGUAUGUUUUCAGUGUCUUGUAGCAGUGACACGUACGUACCAUGCGAAGCUGAGCACACGAUCGAGCUCCAUCGAUGGAUCAGGUGUGUGGCGAUCCAAGGAUAUCGUAGAGGUUACCGAAUUUCCAGGAUUCGUGGCUGCCAUAUAGUAUUAGGAGUAUAUCCUGCUGACUGAGAUAGGGAGUUAAUGCUGGAUUCUUUUUUUUUGGAAGACAAGUCAAUCCGAUUGGCGCGCAACAUGUUGUCGGUGCACAAACAAAGACGUAUGUACUCUCGACCGGCCGGUUCUUUGUUAAUUGACGUUUUCCCCGCGCCGGUCUCUCUCAGAAAGGAACGGAAACAAAAUGAAAACGAUUUGUGUUUUUGGUACUCGUAGUAGUACCGUACGAGGCUAGCCGCUAGCGCUAGCGUGUGUGUACGUGUCUUCUGCGUGUGGCACGCGCGGUGCUCCAGCAGGGUCGGGGAGUCUGCACAUCCUGCGCGCUGCGGCCCGAAGGGGAUGACGAAAAGAAAAAGAAAGAGAAAAAGACAGAGAGGGAGAAGAUGCUGAUUUCUUUUUGGAAAGAGAUAUAUAUAUAUAUAUAUCUUACUAAUACAGAGGGUUACGGUACUCCCAUGAAGAGAGCAUAUGCAAGUGCAUUCUUGUAUAACUUGGUUACAAGAACAGCGGAAACAUCACGUCUAAGACGGGAAAGACUACAGCUUGAGUCUGAUGGCAGGUCAGUUGAGAAGACUGACACAAAGUCACAACUGAAGUCUACAACAUGCCUUGAAAGUGCGAGCUAGCCGUAGAGCCAGCGACUCUCCCAGCAAUCGAGCGGGCAAAUGCACACGAGGUUAGGAAUAUUGGGCUGUAGAUCUUGGAGGCGCUUCACCGAGCCCAAUAGGAAUCUUUCUCGAUCAUCAAAUUUAGGGAUCAACAACAAUGGCUCUCUCACCUGCCAUCUGCGAAUCAACCCGAAUGAUCGAGAAUCACCGUCUUCAGCAUGUUCAUUAGUUAGUCUUGUUUCCAGAAUGCAAAGGAUACACUCACACUUAAAGCUCUUAACACCCCUCAAGCCAAGCUUCAAAGCACAGCGCUGCUCAAGCAGGAUUUCAUGGAAUGAAGAUCUAAGAACCAUGAAGAAAUUGAUUUCAACCGUGACAAGGUUCAGAUUAGAAAUCUUCCACGAAUAGCUAACAUCAUCAAAUGAGCAGCGAAAAUGAAGCUCAGGCACCGAGCAUCAACCAUCAGGAUUCAUGACUCCUGAUCUCCUAAUCACCAACGGGCUCUGAUAUCUCAUAGCACCCUGUUCUCUGCUACUGACCACCAGGAGAGGAGAAAUAUGGUGGCUCACCGUGUAGAUUGCAGAGGAGAUGACGGCCUUGAAGCACAAGGGGUGAACAGAACCCUAAACCUGCAAUCUCCCCCACACAUCCAUCUUGAUUUCUCUGCACUUUUCAACGCCAAACACAUGCGCCGUGAAACCAGCACUCCAUGAGCAUGGGUUUUGCCGAACUAAUGCCCCGGGAUCCUCCUUGACCGGCACAGGCAAAGAUCCAACGAAGAAAUCAUCAGAUCUACUGCGAAAGCAGUUGGGCCACCUGCAAGAAAGGGAAAAAAGUUGGAUUUUCAGGAUCUCUGGAGAUGAAUCGAUGGGAUUAUUGGGGAUAGGAGGAGGAAAGGAGGCACUGGCCUGACCGGACCGCCGUGCCGCUCACCAGCCGCGCUCAACAGAGGCAACAGGGAGGACGCCAUGGCAGGACGGAGCAGGUUAGGGCCAAGGGGAACAACCUCCAAAGAGAUGGAGAUGAGGCAACUAGCUAAAAUAUACAAAGCACAUCCUCCCCUUCCCCUCCCACUCCGGCCGGCGGUGCCGGCGAAGGAGAGGGGAAGAGGAGUAGGCCGACCGAUGGGCUAAGAAGACCAGGGGCUGCUGGAGAGUUCGGGAGAGGAAAAGCGGUGGGAGAGAGGGGGCUGUGGUGAAGAUGCGGAUUCGGCAUCUGGUUCGUCCGAGGAGUUCUUAACCAAAGUAGCGUGUCUUGUAAAACGUACUAGAAAGUAGAGAAAAGUCUAUUUUAAGGGUCUGCCAGCAACAUGAAGAAUGGCGAGGAAGGAGAAGCAAGGAGCAGUCAGACCGUAAGAGGCAAGAGAAAAAACAAAAAGGACUACCCAGUCAUGAAUCUUGACAGAAAUCGCCUGUUUUUUCCACAAAUUUCAGGCGCCUGUCAAAUCGAGAGAGAAUUUGUCUAGAUGGUUUCUAACCACAGUUUUUGUACACAUGAUAGUAUAAUACAUAUCAAACCAAUUAUUCCUCUGAUUAAUUUUUGUAAUACCUAGCUGAAAUGCCCAUGCGUUGCAAGAGAACAACAAAAUAAAAUAUACAUUCAAAAACAUGCAUCAAAAUCUCUCUUUGCUCUUCUUUAACGAUCACCCAAUAUCCAUUUAAAAAAGUUUUCUUCUGAAGAUUGUGUCUCUAUACUCUAGUCUCUCAAAAUAAAACAAUACAUUUUCUUCUGAAAUUAUAACAUCACCCGGGCAAAUAAGUUUUGAGACGGAAUCACUUUUUUUUUAGUUCUCUCCACUAUUUCACUUCACCCGUUAAAACAAAGAGUUAGAAUGGGCAACAAAUUUAUGUUUUGCCAGCGUGAUAUUCUCUCUACUAUGCCCUAGGUGCUACCACCAUUCUCUUUCGCAGUCUGUCUUAUUAGCUUCUUCUAACAAUUCGCCAUCACCUCAUGUAAUUUAGCCCUAGGUGGAAACGGACGUGGCUGGGAAACGAAAGAGGGGACCAUCCGUGGCCGCGCCUGGGAGACAGAGGGGAUGGCCGUGGCCUUAGUUCCUUGCCUGAUAGGUGCCCGAUCGGGUCUCAUCUUCUGACUCCCCUAGUGUUUCGGCGGAGCGAUCUUUUUCUCGUCAGAUUCGGAGUUGUUGCCUGACUCUCGUAAUGAUCCCGCUGGUGAUGGAUUCCCUCGCGGAAUUCCAGUCCAAUUCGGUGCAGGUAACGAGCCAGCCGGUUUAUUAGCUCCAGUCCAAUUUGGUGUAGGUAACGGACCAGCCCGCUUAAUAGGCCUAAAAUACGUGCAAUUUUGAAGGGCCCAUAAUUUUUUUUGAAAAGUUUGACAGACGACAGUGAAUGUAUAGAAUAACUACGAAAUGUGUGGCCAGCUAGAACUAGCAAUAACAUCGAUCACCUGUGAAACUUGAUGAUACAAGUACAAGGGUCACCAGUUCGUGUGCGAAUUGAACCCGAUGGAGAAAAAACAUGACAUACAUGUGUAUGUGAUCGUUCGGGAGUCGGAACGAGACAUAUAUGUAUAUAUAUAUAUAUAUAUAUAUACACACACAUAUAUAUAUACACACACAUGUAUGUAUGUAUGUAUAUAUAUACAUAUAUCUAUAUAUACACACACAUCUAUAUACACACACAUAUAUAUAUAUACACACACGCAUAUAUAUAUAUAUAUAUGGACACACACAGUGGUCGACGAUGACAUACAGUGUAAAGGCGGUCCCGGGCUCCCGGCCGGAGACAUAGUUGUGGCUGUUCACACACUGCACAUCGUUAAUUUGAGUGGUACGUACUGCUUUGCGCGUUCGCGGGGGGUCGCCGUCGGCGCCCGUGACAUGCACACACACUGCACGGCUUAUAUAGCUUUGGAAUGUAGCCAGUGCGACGUGGGGUGGUGCUGAUGCAUGAGCAUGUUUUUUGUUGUUGAAAAACACAACUUUAAUACGUGCAUGUGUAUAUACAUGCUCACGUCAUUACACGCUCAAAUCCAUACAUGUACACUGCGUUUAAUUACUGGAAACUGAAGUCAUGCAUGGAAGAUCCGAGGGUAAAGCUGUUGAUGAGAUAACAAGAUACAAGAGUACGCAUUUUGGUGCCACACAAUAAUUUUGCGUAAUUAACCUUGCUGUGACACGUUCUGUGUUACGGGAAAAAAACUUAUACUCUCUCCGUCUCAUAUUAAAUGACUUAAAUUUGUGUAAAUAUGGAUGUAUUUAUGACUAAAAAACGUCUAGAUACAUGUAAUAAAAAAUUCACUUAAUAUGGAACUGACGGAGUACUAUAAGUGUGUCUAUGUCUUAGUCUCGUCUGAUUUUUAAGAAAAAAAAAUUAAAUUCAAGUCGAGGAAUCAGAGUCGUUGAAUUGGUAUCUAGAUGCCAUUUUAUCCUUCUUUCUUCAUCGUUCAUUUCGAAUCUCAAAGCACAAGCCAUAUACAAUGACCGAUCAAUCAACUUAAUUAUUUCUAACUAAAAUCCAGACGAUUUAGAUAUAGCUAGCAAAACCGAUAAUCUAAUAUGCACCUAGCUAGCUAGGUCCAUAUGUCUAUCCCGUCCGUGAGUUUGUACAAAUAAAAUUCAAGGGGAAAACCCAUAUAUGCUACUAGCUAUUAUAAAGUGGUAGGUUCAUGCAUAAAAAACCAUGAAACAAAUGAACAAAAAGCGUGCAGACAGAACUCGUGGUGUGACUGUUCCACAUGUGUGUAUAUAUGGACCAAACAAACUUCAUUUCAGCUAUAGCUACAGUAUGUGUGAGAGCCACAGGCGCCUUACGGUUGUGUGGCGAACGGCGACGACGGACAAAUGGAAAUGGAGCCUAGCUAGCUAGCCUGGUGAAGUCGCGAUUGAUCCCCACGUGAUGCACGACGGCAUCUGGACGACAGUCAUGUUUAGUUUCAAUCAUAAACUCGCGGAUUUGAAAAACGGUUUCUUAAACUUAACAAGUUGGGUCAUUUUAGUCCAAAAUGACAAUUUCAGACCAAAUUAGGCCACGUUGACAUCUGACGUGGCUCGGGGGGUUCUUUUUGCAGAAUUGCGGCUUCUGGAAUCUUGCGUUGGCCCUCUUGGAAAAAUAUGGGUUCUAACCCGCAGCUUAAAUCCCUAACCCUAGCCUCAGAAAUUCCCAAAUCUUCCCACUGCUCUCCUGAAGCAACCGCCGGCCGUGUCGCUGUUCCAGUAGUUGCCGCAGAAGCCAUCGACGUCAUUCGUGUGGACGUCGAUGGAGCCGCCGUUCAAGUCGUCGUCAUCUACGCGAUUCCAUCUGUGUGGGUGCCACCGGUUGUGCCGUCGGAGAUUGUUGACAAUCGCCUCCGGCAGUCCGGCCCUUCUGUUCCGUCGCUUCGUCUCCCUCGGACGAGGCAGUGUAACUGAGGAGGACAAAGGCCCAACGGUCUAACACGCAACGAGUGAGGUUUUUUUUAAUAAAUCAAACAUGCCACCUCUUUGUAGCGAUGCUGGACCGCGGGUUAUAGGCAAAAAAUACCUGGGGUUCAAUGAAAGAAAAACAACGGCCGCAAAUUUGCAAAGAAGACCCUCCCAGCCACGUAAGAUGACAGAGUAGCCUAAUUUAGCCCGAAUUCAUCAAUUUGGACUAUAAGUGAACCCACAUGCCAAGUUUAAGGGGAUGUUUUUCAAAUCAGUAAAUUUAGGAUGAAAAUAAACAUCCCUGCCAGGUUUAAGAGCAUGCAUGCAAUUUCCUCCAUCUGGAUCCAUCGCCACAUAUGUCGUCCUCGGGGGUUCAUCGUCUGUCUUUGGAGCACUUCCGGUUAAUUUGGAGGAUAUAUACCAGAGGUUUAAUUUCAGGGAUUAUAACUCGUGCAUGCAAUGCAUGGUUGCCAUCUGACCUGCUGUGCUGGCCGGCCGAGACGGAAGAGUACAGCACACGCUUCGGCUACUUUUGGUCGUUCCACGGUCGGUCGGUCGGUCGGUCAUUGUCGAGCGUCUCAUUUCGUUUUUCCUUUUUUUUCCAUUUAGUUUUUUCUUAAUUCGACGCAGGAAGAAAACAAUAUUUUCUCAACUUGCCGUUGCCGUAGGUUAAGAAGUUCAUGCACCGAACCGGUCAAACUGAGAGAAAAAAGACAAUUUAGCUGUAUACUUCAACACCCUUCAGUUGGCUCUCAUAGACCUAAAUGUGUAGGUCAAAAGUAUGGGUCUCGAACAAAACAUUUGAAGAGCUUCAUACACCAAACCAUUCACCCAAAAGGUCAACAACAACUUACUACUCACCUAUUUCUUCCGUUCCAUAAUUCUUGUCAAAAUAUUACAUGUAUCUGUACGUCUUUUACAAAUAAAUACAUUCAUAUUUGGACAAAUUUGGAACAAGAAUUAUGAAACGGAGAGAGUGACUUAUCUAUGCAUGCAGCUAACUACUUGUAUCAUUAGGCCCAAUCGCUCCGUGCCAUACUACCAUGCCUCACGGCAAUCACACAUGCACAUACGUGCUGGACUGCAACAUACAUUAGUUCGACCUGAUGAUGUCGAACAGGAUGAGUGGCGAAUGCGCGAUGAUGUCGUAAAGCGGCGAAAGAUAUAUAGAUCUAGGCUUGUGUUUAGAGGAUUAUCAUUGUAGGAAUGCUUUACAACAAGAGUUUAAUCACGUGGGGAGAGAAAAUGAGAUUAGAUGGAUGCAAAGGUCUAAGGAAAAAGACUUAUUGCAAGGAGAUAACAAUACUUCUUAUUUUAUGGUAAAAGCCAGUGGGAGAAAGAGAAAGAACAAAAUAUUUCAGUUAGAACAGGACGAAGGGGUGAUAAAAGGAGACCAGGAUAUUCUGCCAUAUGCUACUAACUUUUAUAAGGAUUUGUUUGGUCCAGUUAAAUUACUACAUAUCUCUUUGUUACAAUCGGUAGAGUGUGUGCUGAAUGACCAAGAUAGAAAAAUAUUAAGUUGUGAUUUUACUUUGGAGGAAAUUAAGAAGGUAGUUUUUGGUAUGGCCCAUAAUAAAGCGAGUGGGCCAGAUGGUUUCCCUAUAGAAUUUUAUCAGAAAUUUUGGCAGAUUGUUUGUCAUGAUUUGUUAAGAAUGUUUAAGGAUUUUUAGUAAAGGAAUGCUGGACAUUUCUAGAUUUAAUUAUGGGGUUAUUACCUUGUUGCCUAAGGGGGCUGGAGCAAAUAAGAUCCAAAUGUUUAGGCCUAUAUGCUUAUCGAAUGUAAUGUUCAAAAUUUUCACUAAAGCUGUGCAUAAUAGAACUGCCUUAGUGGCUGAUAAAGUGAUAGAUUAGAUUCAGGCUGCUUUCAUAAAAAGGAGAUACAUACUUGAUAACGUAGUUCUUUUGCAUGAAUGCCUAAAUGAUAUUCAUAGACAUAAGAAAUCUGGUGUCCUUUUCAAGGUAGACUUCGAGAAGACUUAUGAUAAAAUAAAUUGGACUUUCAUGUUUCAUGUUCUAGGCAUGAAGGGCUUUCCUUCUAAAUACAUAGACUGGGUAAUGAGCAUUGUUAGUGAUGGUAAAAUAGCUAUCAUGGUUAAUGACAUAAUUGGUCCUUAUUUUAAAACUAAAAAGGGAUUAAGGCAAGGGGAUCCUUUAUCCCCAAUUCUUUUUAACAUAGCUGCUGAUACUUUUGCAAUUCUAGUUAAAAGGGCCCAAGAACAAGGUUUAAUUCAGGAUCUUGCAUCUGAUUUAAUUGAUGAUGGUAUGAUUAUCUUACAGUAUGCUGAUGACACCAAUUUUUUGCUUUGAGGAUGAUCUAGAUAGUGCUAGGAAUUUAAAAUUCAUUUUAUGUAUUUUUGAACAUUUGACUGGCUUGAAAAUCAACUUCCAUAAAAGUGAAGUAUAUUGUUUAGGGGAAGCAAUGGUUAAUCAAGAAGAAUACUCUCUGAUUUUUACAUGUCAAAUAGGGAAAAUGCCUUUUAAAUAUUUGGGUAUUCCCAUUAAAGAUAAACGUCUUAGUAACGGUGAUUGGAAAAGUAUAGAGGAUAAAGUAGAAGGUAAAUUAAGUUGCUGGUAAGGAAAAAUUCUAUCACUAGGUUAGAGACUUACACUAGUGGAAGCUGGUUUAAGCAAUGCUCCCAGUUAUAUGCUCUCUUUGUUUAGGAUUCCAAAAGGUGUUAUGAAAAGAAUUGACUUUUUUAGAGCUAAACUCCUUUGGCAAGAGGAUCAAGGGAUUAAGAAGUACCAUAUGGUUAAUUGGCCUGAAAUCUGUCAACCUAGAGACCAAGGGGGUUUGGGUGUAACUGAUCUAAACAUUAAGAAUAUUAGCUUGUUAUGUAAAUGGUUGUGGAAGCUAGCUUGAAAAUGAAGACAGGGUUUGGCAGGAUAUGAUUAGAGUAAAUAUAUCAAGAAGCAGCUUUUAUUCACUUGUGAGUAGAAAAGAGGCCAAUCACACUUUUGGCAAGGGCUUAUGCAAGUAAAGAAUAUUUUCAUUAAUUGUUGUAGAAAACAAGUGGGUAAUGGAGAUAGAACUUGUUUUUGGGAAGAACAUUGGAUUGGGGAUGGUCCUCUGUGUUCAAAGUUCCCUAGACUUUAUAAUUUAACUAAUAAGCAAUUCAUCUCAGUUUCUGCAAUCUUUAAAUCUCAAUGGCAAUGCAUUAGCUUCAGGAGAUCCUUCUGUGAGGAAACAUUAGAAAUGUGGACACAACCGAGAAUGUUGUGUCUAGGUGUCUGUCUAAAUGAGGAACAAGAUAGAUGUGUUUGGAAACUAACUAGUUGUGGGCAGUUUUCUAUUAAAUCUCUUUAUAAUAUGCUUAAGGAUAAAUAGGUCAGAAUACCAUAUAUACAGUUGUGGAAAAUAAAGAUCCCUUUGAAAGUUAAAAAAAUUCUGUGGUUAAUAUGCAAGGAUAGCAUAUUGACAAGGGAUAAUUUAGCAAAACGGGGCUGAGUAGGCUCUGCAAAGUGUGAAUUUUGUGAUGCCCAAGAGAGUAUUGAUUAUCUUUUAUUUGAAUGCUCAGCAGCUAAGGUGUGUUGGAAGGUAAUGUGUUGCUCUUCUGACAUUGGUAGUACCCCUAGUUCAGUUAAGGACCUGUUGGAUGUCCGGAUGUUACAGUUUAGGGGGCGCCAGUGAGGGCUUGUGGCUGUUGGCGUCGCUGCACUCUGCUGGAGCAUCUGGAGAUGUCAGAAUGAUUCUUAUUUUAAGGGAUUAGUACUUAAAUAACCUACUAAUAUUCUGUUUUCUGUUUGUCACUGGAUUAAUUUCUGAGCUGGGCUACAAAAGGAAGCGGAUCGUGAUAAGCUCAGGGAUGGCGCAUCCAGGCUAUCCAAGGUCGCGUUUGAUGUGUCUCAUGUUCAUAGCGCUUGGAGGGAGGCGACGAUGAGAGAUACAAGCUGAUGCACAAUAUCAAAAGAAGUCAUCGAAGUGCCUGUAUUUGCAUGUCGUCGACCCAGUGCCUUUUAUAUUUCCUGUUAGAACCUUUUAUGGUUUCAUGGAGUAUUGGUUCAUAAUGCCCAGUUAUUGUAAUUUUUCUGUUGGACCUCUAUAUCACACAUACUAUUGCGGUUUCAUUAAGGAAAUCGGGAGCUGAGCUCCUUAGUUCUAAAAAAAAGAUAUAUAGAUCUGUAUGGAUCUGCUAAUUCCAACGAAAACACAGGGGCUAGCACCAGUCCGCGCAUGGCCGAUAUUUAGGUAUUUUCUCCGUUUCAUAAUUUUUGUCGAAAUCUUACAUGUAUCUAGAUACUUUUAAGAAUAGAUACAUCUAUUUUUGUUCAAAUUUGAGACAAGAAUUAUGAAACGGAGGGAGUACUUCUGUAUAUCAAACUUAUGUACGAACAUUGUUACGAUUAAAAGCCAUCAAAACUAAUAUCCAUAAAAAUCUACAAAUGCACGUACAAACUUGUAAAAAUAUGUUAUAAACUAUGUUCACGGCAACAACAACAAAAUAAAAAUAAAUCUGCGUUACAUGAAUCGCCCAAACAGACUUCAUUUUCAGCUACGUGCGGUCCACAGGCUGACAACUUGUGUUUUUUUUACACCCUCUCUUCCGUUUAAUUUAAUUUUUUUAGUGGAUUCCGUUUAAUUUAAUUUGCAGGUUAAUUCUGGACUGAAACAAACAUUGGUGGGCCGGAAAACGAGGCCCUCCUGAGACGAGAUCACGUGUGGUACCAAGCCCAUCUAUAGGCCCAGUGGCGGCCCGUGGCAAGUGCUUGGACAUCCGAUAAAUAAACUCCACGCCACUCUUCUCUCUCUCACUAUCCCGAACCGCCUCCUCUUCCUCUUCCUCCCAGUCCGCCAUUACUGCCCAUCUCCCAUGGCUCGCAAGCGCCGCCGCCGCCGGGAAACCAUCGCCGGAUCCGAGCACUCGCUAGACUCGGAGCCCCAAAUCACCAACCAACCGCCGCCGCCGCCGGCCGAGGACGAGGGUUCCCAGUCCGAGCAAGCCCGCGGGCAAAAGAGCUUUUUGGAAAUGUGCGAGAUGUAUCCUCUGCUCGCGCAAAAUAUGGAGCUUCUUGCGGAGGAGCAGCAAAACCCUUCCUUCAGAAACGCCUUCGUCCGAAUAGAUGCCGAGAUAGCGCGUUCGCUUGAGGAUCAGCUUGAGUCAGUCAGACAACAAGAGCUCAAGAUCCGGAUGGAAGUUGAGGGAGCGCUUUCCGAUGUUGUGGAAAGGUAUGGGAUGUGGUUUUUAUUAUUUUACUUUUUACUAUUAUUGUUCUGUCCAUAGAAUACAUGAGCGAAUUUAACUUUGUUACUCACUUGUGAAAUAUGAUCACUCUCAAAAUAGAAAACAAUAAUCCAUAAAUUUGGUAGUAAUAAAAAAUGAUUGGGUUCAUGUACAAACUCCAUUUGACCUACAGAUUUGUUGUACUACAUUAAAUUUGUGUUGAGAGAAGAUAGUUAAGCCUCAUCCGUAGCACUUCAAUAUUGGGGCCUUGAAUAGUCUAUGGUUGUUCCUUUUGGAAUUGAUACAGCAUGAAUUUUUGGAUGCAAAAUUUACUACUCCCUCCAUUCCAUAAAAGUUGGCACAGAUUUCAAUUAGAGCUAGUUUAAAGCCGCGCCAAUCUUUAUGAAACGGAGGGAGUAUGUCUUUAGUUUGUUAACUGUAUGAGAUUUAGGAGUUGCCUUAUGCCCGGUAUUGAUUAUUUGAUCCACUAAUUAUAUCGCUUGGGUGUCCUGGGACGAAAGUAUUCUGCAUUUUCAGUGGCAAACCAGGGAGUUUGGCUACAUCAGAGUACAAGAUUUAUUAUAGGAUGAUUGAAAGUAGGGGAUGGCUAGACAGUGCGCAGUUACAAUUUAGAGCUACGGGGUGCUCGCUUCCGAUAGUCGUAAUUAGGAAACCCUAUGUCUGACGCGUUUCCUACAAUUUAGAGCUACGGGGUGCUCGCUUCUGACAGCCCUAAUUCGGAAACCCUAUGUCUGACAUGUUUCCUGCAAUUUUAGAGCUACGGGGUGCUCGCUUCCGACGGCCGUAAUUAGAAAAUCGUAUGUCUGACACGUUUCUUUAAAGGAUAGGACUCCUUUCUGCUCGCGCUGGGCACUAACUAUCCAUGUCACUCCAUAAUUAUCACUAGCUGUGGGCAAAAUUUACACCACCUGCCCUCAAAUCUAAACCUACAUGUAUCCACCAUUCAAAAAAGAACUCUGCUUCUCACCACUGAAACUGGUACCCAAAUACACUGGAAAUCCUCAUGAUCAAUUUGAUGGACAUGUAGCGAGAGUUAUGCAGCAAGUAGUCAACUAAAAAGAUGACAAGUGUUAUAUUUCCAUCAUAAGCAAACUGUCAAACUUCUGCACAAAGCAGAGGGGCGAGCAUACUGAAAAGGUAAGAGGACGUAAAAAAGAACCCUAGUAAUCACGUACGGAACAAGAAUAUACCUAUGGUGGUCCUAUUGCUGAGUCAGAAGCUACAGGAAGUAAUUCUGGAGAAAUGCCCAGGAUAAACUUUGACAUGGAAACACCGAAUGCUUCAGCUUGAUCUACUGUUUUCCCUGUUAAUCCACUAUGUGCAUUGUAACUACAAUCAAGAAAACUGCUAUUGCUGGUGACACAUUUUUGGAUUGGCAAUUUUUUGCACGUUGCUAUAUCCUUAAAAGGUAGUCAUUAUUAACUUAUUUCAUAGUUAGAAGAACACAUGGUUAGUGACAUAAACUACUAGAUGCAAGUUUUCUGAUAUGCUUCUUUCCAUGAGAGCAUGUAGUUGACAUAAGGGAGUUGAUACUGGUAUGGGGCUUGGGGUGGCAGGCUGUCUUGCUUGAUCAAUCCAUCAGAGCGCAAACGCGCACUCGUUAAGAUCAGUACUGCCCGUGCAGAAAGUAGAUUUCACGUUGACAGUAUCGCAUUUUGUUUCAUUAAAAUAUUAAUUAAUCUAUGUUCUUUUAGUCCUGACUUUCUUGCUGUAAAUAUUUGCUGUGCACUGCUAUGGUCUUUUUCUUUAUCUCUGUGUAAACACUUUGUUUUUUACAUUGUUUUCCAAUCUUAAUGCUUCCCUUUCUCUUUCCAUAUAAGCAAAUGGUAGGCUGUGUGCAUUUUUGUUCUAGUUAUGGGAAAGACACUUAUGGUAGCUUAGGUUCUUACUUAAUCUCUCCUUUCUGUUCUAGUUGAUUGCUGGAUUUCUGGUAGCAUGAUUGUGUAAUUUGUUGCCUAUUAGGUUUAUUUUACAAGUCAUGGUAUUAUAACUAGAUACUAGAAGGCCAUUUUUUGUUCCAGUAAUGGGAAAGGAUUCCUGCUGCUCAUAUAUGCAACACGAUAAAAAUAAUUACAUUUCAACUUGCAGCUAUCAUAUUACUAGUCCAAAUACAGUUCUUUGUUACAUGAAUAUUGUUGUUGUUUAUUGGUUUGAAUUCCCUUUGCAACGCCCAGGGUAUUAUCUAGUUUCAUAGGGCAACAAGAUACCAAAAAGGCAAAGUAACUUGUCUUGCCAAAAGAUAAUCACCCUUUUUAUCGCUAAGUUGAUUUUUCAAUUUAUUUCAUUGCAGAUGUAAAGUUCGCCAUGGUUACUUGAGCUUUCACAACCUGCACAGACCAGUAAGUUCUGUUUAACAUGAUUUAUGUAAAAUUUGAUCAUUUUUAUUUGCAAACAAUAUUUAAUGUAAAGGAAGUAUAAUCUCUCUGAAGAUAUCUUAAAACCCAUCAAUUCCACAUGACCAUUGGAUGGUCAAGUGUCAUUUUGUGAUUUGUCUGUGUUCGAGAAAUUUUUUCUUUCACCCUAGAGUAUUAACCACACGAGUUUAGGAAUUUUAUUCAGUAUAAAAGCCUUGUUCUAUUUGUAUAAUCUGUGUUGGUUUAUUCCUCACAACUUUGUACUUUGUUUUUUUAAUCUAACAGCAAGUGAUGGCGAAGAAAAGGGGUCAUGGAACCAUGAAGGAUGCGCUCAUCAAUGUUGGAAGACAUGAUUAGUGGGCAAGGUAACGAGGACAUGGGUGAUGCCGUGAUGAAGUGGUCUGCAGCAAAUUGUGUUUUUGACUUCUUGCUGGCCAAUGGUUAGUUUGUAGUCCAGGCAACAUUGUCCGUAAUGACCUGAUGUCAUGUUGCAUUUGGAAUGGUCAAAUGUGUGCCAACUUCUCUGUACCGUUGCCUGCCUGGCCCUCUGGUCUUGACAUCAUGCUGCGUGGUCACUGGUUUGGACGAAUAAGUUAUUUUGUUAUGCUUUGCAUGUUAAAAAUGAGAUGACGGCGUCAAGAUUAGGAUUAGUGUGACCGCCAGCGGUUGCUAGCAACCACAUCAAGAAUCUAUUGCCAAAAGGCGCUUGUUCAGAGGUAUGCCGUCGGACAUGCACCUCCCUGUCUUACACUGCUUAAAUCAGAGCGUAGAUUCCCACUAGCAUUUGUAUAUGGGUUUUUUUAUUUCCUAAAAGAGUUUCGUUCUAACAGUUUUUUCUCGGAACAAGAAAAUACUAAUGAAAAGCGUCCAUUGUCUAAAAAUACUAAUGAAAAGCGUCCAUUGUCUAAUGGAUAGGACAGAGGUCUUCUAAACCUUUGGUAUAGGUUCAAAUCCUGUUGGACGCAAUCUUAUUUCUAUCUAUUCUUUAAAUAACUAUAUUGAAAACUAAGAAAAAAAAUUUUGAUGAUUUAAAUCAAAAAAAUUUCUCAACAAUUCCUCUUCUACUAACAAGAGUAGACAUGCUAAAUUUAUGUUUGUUCCUGAAGGGAAAACCGUUCGAGCUGUUCCUGAAUAGCUUCCUUCAAAAGGAUUUCCGCUUGCUCGGUGAAUGUCUUGCUAGAAGAUAUAAUUUCUUUGAAUUGAGGUUUAGUAUCUUUUAGGUUUUUACGUAACUUACCUAGAAAUUUAUUUACCUGUUCAAGAGAUAAGAGUGCGAGGUUCUGGACUUUGAUUAAUCGAUGGAGAUACGAGUAAAUUUAGUCAAAUCCUUAACUACCGCAGCUUACUUCGACGCGUCGUAAUGAUUCCGUCCAACUGAUGAACGACAUCGUCUUCCUUGGGGGAGUUAAAAAGCAGUCCGACAGAAAUACUGAGUAAGUAGGAAACAAUUAUCCUUUUUUAGAAUGAACAGAACAGAACAGAAUCAAGUAAAUUAGCAAGCACUCGCCAAUUUAUUUCCCCUAAUUUUGACCAUCUAAUAAUGCAACCAAACCAACCAAGGAGAUGAAUAGAAUGACACACAUGGACGGAAACAAAUCUGUUACAUGAGGCCCGGGCGAGAAUGGAAGGGGAAGUGCGGCGUCGUCAGGGCAGCCCGGUCAAGGUUGCUGCUCCUCUUCUUCUUCUCCUCCUUUACCACCGGUUGCUUCUUCCCCUGUUUCGCCGGCUGCUUCUUCUUGCUAUUGCCACCAGAAGAACCAUUCGCAGACGACGCUGAUGAAGAGACAGAGUUGUUCUUGGGGAGCACCUUGGGGACUGACGGCACGCAAAAGAAGCCCAUGGCUGCCACUACUCUGUUCUUCUUCUUCAACUAACAGCUUCUAUAAAGCUCUCUCUGUUUUUCUUCAGCUUAUAUAAAGCUCUGUUGUUCUUUCUGUUCUCUGUGUGUGUUGGUACUAAAGGAGAGGAUCAUGGCGACCCUUUUAUAGUGAACCAGUGCACUUGCUGCUGCUCCAAGCUUCCAGCGGAAGGUUGCUACUCAGAAACUGCUCCCUAAUUUUUCCGUUUAAUGUUGACACGUGCAUCUAUCUCGCUUUCCAUCGGCAGUGACGCACGCAUAUAGGCUAGGCGCGGGGUGCAAGCACCUUGUGGUGGCCAGCCUGAGGGACUGACAUUGGGGCAGGUAAAAUCCUAUGUCCCCACCUGUCAGUGAAAGAGGUACAUGGUGCGGCAUGUAUGUCUCGUUUCCUCGGGGACCGCUGAAUUUUUCCUUGGCGUUGCAGCUGGCAGUUGUCUUGGUCAGGUGCCGUUGAUGCGUUGACUGAAGCACGUGGGGUAAGAUGAGGUGAGCUUCCUUGGCAGUCAAGCUUCUCAGAUAGAACAGACAAAUUCUUUCUUUCACUCGUAGUAUUAUCCAAAGCGAUUUUGUUCAUUUGGAUUGGAAAUGACAACUCUGCCAGUCAUCUGUUCGGGUAGAAAGUGGGUGGAAGCCCUUUUGUUUUGACCAUGCAUCUUCUUCUCUCACAUUUUUUUUCUCCUGGGAUAGAAAGUGGGUGGAGGAACUCGUUUGCUUGAAUCUAAAGUUUAACGGACCAAGUAAAUAUUGUUAUUUUUAGAUUAGGUCAUACAAGUAAUGUACUAUUUGAAUUUUAUUCCUCACAACUUUGUACUUUGCUUUUUUAAUCUAACAGCAAUGAUGGCGAAGAAAAGGGGUCAUCUUAAAACCCAUCAAUCCCACAUCAAGUGUCAUGGAACCCUGAAGGAUGAUCCGUAAUGUUGGAAUAUAUGAUUAGUGGUCAAGGUAACGGGGACAUGUUAAACCUUUUGGCGUUAUGUUAGGAUUUCGCAGGCGCGGAAAAUGGUGAUGCCAUGGCCUUGGCCAUGUACGAGGUGUGCUUCUUGGCAGGCAGGCUUCUCAGAUAAAACAAACUUCUUUCUUUCAUUUUUCUAUAUUUUCCAGGAAAACGAUUUUGUUCAUGUGGACUGAAAAUCAAAGCUCGGCCAAUCAUCUCUUGGGAUAGAAACUGGGUGGAAGCCGUUUUCGUUUUGUUUUGACCAUGCAUUUUUCUCUUCUCUCGCAAUUUGGGCCAGAACUAUUGAGCGCACGUGCCCAUGGGAAAUAUUGCGUGCGGCGUCUCAUCUGCUAGCUAAAUCCAUGUGAUUUACUUCAUUAUUUUUUAAUAAUUUUUUAUCUCUUAAACCGUGCACAUGAUUGGCGAUCCGUUUUCACCCUUGGUUUGUGUCGAGAUCUACAAAGCUAUAUCCCGCUAUGUUUUGACAAAAAAAAAUUAAAACGUUAUCAGGUUAUGUUACUUGUUACCAGAUUAUGACCACGUAGUUACCAUGUUAAUAUCACCUGGUUACCAACCAUUUUGUGUGAGAUCGAGAUAGGCAAUCACACCGGGGGGGGGGGGGGGGGUUGAAUGAUUGCGCGGAAGCAAAUUAAAACUUUUCUCGAAAUUUCAAACCCUAAAUCACCUUUCUGUCCGUGAUAGUAAAACAGCCGUAACUUUUGAUUAGAUGAACCAAAAAAUAUGUACGAAUAUGAAAAAGAAAGGUAUUGAAAUUAUCUAACCAAUGCAAUAAGAAUCAGCUCAAUUGGACUUACCAAUAAAAAGAUAUGAUCAAAUCUGUAACAGCUGACAGAAAGUUACGAGAAUUAAUCUAUAAUCGAUUUCGAGAAAUAACAAGAAAGAUGAAGUAAUCGCGAUCUUUCUUGAUCUCGUGGUAAACGUGCAGCAAAGUAUUAUGAACUUGUGAUAAACCUGCAGCAAAGUGUUAGAAAGAUCUAGCACGAAGAAUCCACGAAGAUCCGAGAAGAACAGAGAUGACACCGCCAACGAAUCUCUUUAUUGCAACGAUGUCGAUCGAUUACAAAAGAUGCAACCAUGCAUCCAAGAACUCUCCAAAAAUUGAUCUAAAUCUAAAACUCUGAGUUUCUUCACGUCCUUGCUAAAAGUCUAGCUAGGACGUCCUUUAUUUCUAAGGGAAAAUCCGCGACCCUAAAACGAGUCCGAAUCCAACACGAACUCCUCUGUCCCGGUCGUUAUUCUGUCCGUGGGGCCCACAGACGAUCUCGGAUUGAGAUGACUCCAAAAGCAAAGUUGUUCGCCUCGACGACGCUCACAACUUUCAUGUGGACGACUUUUACAUCGGACGCCAUAUUGAUGACGCUACAGUUUAAUUUUAAACAGCUCUCAUCCAGCCACGACUAGACCUACAUGUUUUCUCCAUGCCAUCAACUCUUCUUGUGACGUCUUCAAAACUCGACCAUCACGUGUCGAAUAUCUCCAGUACCGUACAUCUUCGGUAUAAACAACGUCAACAAACCGGUGCCCUGCCGGAUCAUCGUAGUCUUCACUUACAUUGUUACUUCGCACGAACAUCCCGCAUGAUUUUGAUCCCUCGACCUCAGCUCCUCCCAAGUUUCAUCCCUCGAUCCCGUCAUCGACCACGUUCCUCUAGCUCCGGUAACUCCUGAAAGUGAACACACAAAUAAUCAGUACGAGCACAAAUUCGCGACUUGACUCAGGGUAAGUUUCACACAACUCACGCCAUAUUUUCACAUAAGAAACUAAUGGAUCAACACACCACUAGCAAAGCACUAAGUCCAAACAAGAUACAUGUCAUCACAUAAGUAUCCAUAUUAUCAAAGUAUCCACAUCAAUGUUUCACCUCAAACACUUGACAAUGUUACACAUCACAUAUGAUUUCACACUUUGUUACCAGUUUGGCUUAAGUAUCCACAUGCACCUAUGUAAAAGACUAAGAUCGUUGUAUUUCUAUGUUCCGAUGACAUCUUUUACUUGUCCAAACGUUUCAGUACUCAUUUUCUGAUGAUAACAUUGGUAUGAAUAAAUACAUGUUUUUUACUUGAUAGCCCGUGCGUUGCAAUGGAACAACAAAAUAAAAUGACUCACUUAAAGACAUGCAUCAAAACUUUCUCUCUCUCUCCCCCUCUCUCUUGUCUUCUUUGACGAUCAUUAAACAUCCCAUUAAAAAAAGUUCUCUUACGAAAAUUUGGUAUAUAUACUCUACUCUCAGAAGUAAUAGGCAACUACGGUCUCGAAAAAAAAGAAUAGACGACUAAUUAAAGUAAAUCACCUGGUCAAUAAAACUAAAAAUACAGUAAACCAUUAUCUCCCUGACACAUUCAAAGUUCAAACCACAUAUCUUCAUGGACAUUGCAUAUCUGAGGCUUUAACUUAUGAGAACUUUUCUUUCUCGAAACCUAAACCAGAAAUCACAACGUUCCACAAGACGGCAUCCAAUUUGAGUCAGUUGUAACUUGUAAGCAAAGUACCCAUAAGCCCUAGUAAGCAUUGCACACGGAUUUUUAAAGCUUUGAAGCUGGACGAGAUCGAUCUCAUCCACUCCGCUAUCAAGCCAAUGCUAGAACCAACGCCACCUCCAAGGGCCGAAACUUUGUGCCACCGGUAAACACCGCUCCAAAACCUCACCUUACGCCCCCGACCAAUCCCCACGCCUCAGCUUACAAAUCUCCAACCUCACACGAACAGAUUUUUGGAUAAGACUCACACGAACAGAUCAAACCACCAAAGCUGCCCGUAACAAAGCAGCAGCAUCUAGGUGCCUGGUCGGAGCCCUGGGGCAUGAACUCUGUACAUCCCCGGGGACACGCCGAGGUCGGCGGUGUUGAGCUGAGGAACCGCGUGGGCGUGGCGACGUCCACCAAGCGCACGAAGGCGCACGCGUCGAGGUCCGGCAUGAUCAGCGCAGCUAGCAGGCUGGGCUUUUCUCUCAGUGUGUGUAUGCGUUUCUUUGAGAUCACGAUAAAAUGGAUUGUUUUUUCUGCAGGUAAAAAGGAUCGUGUUGUAACUACAAGAACAUCAACUCGCAAAAUUUAGCGCACGACGUGGUAAAAUUCAUACGCAAAUGCCGAAGAAGAAUACUCUGCAACAAAUUGCGCCUGUAACUAUAAGGCAGAUUUUCACGUACCUAAUACUCCGUCUGCCCUUAAUGGAGUAUUAGAGAAGGGCAAUCCUUACUUUUCACAUUUUCAUACAUUAGUAAAAAAUAAAUUAGAGUUUCUCUCCUUCCUAAUCGAUUAGAGCGCCGCCGCCUGCUUCCUCGUCACAGAUCGCCGCCGUCCUCCACUCUCAUCACAGCGCGCCGCCGUUCUGCUCCCUCUCUCCGGCGACCGCUCGUCGUCACUAGCCUCCUGCCUGGGCGAGGUUAACGGACGCCUGAUCUGGGCACUGGGGAGUGGGGCUACCUCGCGACCGACUCGCCUUCGUGCUGCGCGCGGUGUGCCUCGCUGCCGGGUUUGUGUCCUUGGUGACGCUCUUCAGGCUCAACCGCAGGUCACCAUUCUGGAUGUUUCUAUUCUGCGCGGCGCUCCUGGUCGCCGUGGCGGUCGCCUACGACUAUCUCGAGGUCGUCUGCGCGGCGGUGCCUCCAGCGUCGGUCGGGAGACAGAGGCGCAGCGGGGUGCGCGUGACGGCAGGAAGACACAGUGGGCUCUCUGCGCGGCUGCGACGUGGGCACUGAGCGGUCGCACUGGCGAUGUGCACCUCACGACGAUGUGGUCUCCCGUGACCGUGGUGGUGUUUGUGGGGGGCGGGGCGUCUGCCGUUGCAUUGGCGGCUUGGUAGUGUCUGCAGUGGACGAGCUGAUAGGUGGAGACGACACGGGAGAAGGCGCGGCGGCCGUGGAGUACCCCAGCCCACCGUCGCCACCAGGCCCGGCGAGGCCGCCGCGACGACCCUCGUGCGAACCAUCUGCGACCAGCGAGGUCGCUCGUUCCAUCACCAUGCGCUGGCGUGUCCGGUGGACUCGACAGCUCCGCUACUUUGCUGCCUCCGCCGCCAUCGAGGAGGCCUGCAAUCGGGGCCACGGGGAUCGACGGGAUACAGUUUUACCCCUGUCUGCGGAAUACUCCGUCUCAUUUCCACCUGAUACUCCACACGCCCAAAUUAGAGUAUCAGGGAGUACUAACUCAUGUGAGCCCUUAGAUCAAAGUAAAUGGGCGGCUCAAAUUAAUCUUGGGGUACUGUAGAAUAGCCCAACUAUAAAAACAUCACGUUGCAAAAAUUAAGCUAAUUAUUAAUCUAAGUUGGAGUUGCAAAAAGUCAGCACACAAAUUUCACUCGUAAUUUAUGAAGAGACAUUAAGUUGCAACUGCAAAAAAGAAGCAAAAAAUUAAAUUUUUAAUUGCUAAACUAAGUUGUGGUUGAAAAAAGUCAGCACAGAAAUUUUGCUUGUAAUUUGUGAAAAGAUACUAAAGAUGCAACUGCAGAAAUGAAACUCAAAGUGUGCAUUUAUUAAAGAAAAAUAGAGACCUGAAAUAACACAUCAACUACUUCCGAUUAACAUAGCUAGAGAAACUAAAUCAAUGAAAUAUAAAGAAAAACAUACAUGGCAAAUAUUAAUUUAGAAGAUGCACUUACCCUAACUACAUACUCUUAACAUUGCAUAUAAAAAAAAGAGAAGAGGUAAUGAAAACAAAGAAAAGCGAAGAGAAACAAGAAUAAUAAUAAGAAAAGCGAAGAUAAACAAGAAUAAUAAUAAGAAAAGUGAAGCAAGUUAUAAAUAAGAAACCAAAAAUAGAAAGAAAAAACAGGAAAACAAAAAAAUACCCGGAAAAAAUGAAACACUGAGAACUCGAACAUCCAACUUUGGAAUGACCACACUAACCACCAGGCCAACAAGCUAAUGCUAUCCUAAUUCAGUAGUUCCGCUAUUCAAUCUGUAUUCGCACAACUUCAACACGGAUCUUGGCACAAGAUCGGACGGUCCACACCAUUGACUGAGAAAUAACAAUUCUCAGGCGACCGAGAAUUAGCAAAACCGAUUAAAUAACUAAUUGGCUUCAUCUUUUAAAUAUUGCUUAAUGUUUCAGAUUUAACAAGUUGGCCAAUCAAAUGUUGACACAUGUCACCCUUGCUUGGCUUGUCAGUUGUUGAUACGUGUUACCCUUACUUUUGUUAUUCCGUUGCAACACACGGGCAUUUCAGCUAGUUAUGUCAAAUAUCUACAUGAUCUUUUUAGGUCGUUAACUAUAUGGAGAUAUCUCUAGAAGUAUCAGUGUAACUAUAUAGCAACAUAUCAUUAGAUGUACUAUAUCAAACCGUACUGCAAAAAUGGCUACAACACCAACUAUACAAUGGUUUGUAACUGCACAUCAUUCAAGUUGUCUCUCAAACUCGGUGGUUAUAUAAAGGAGAAUAUUAGAGCGUCAAUAUAUAGCUAUUGUAUCAUUAUAUAUAUAGCCAACAAAUCAAUUGGAGUGUGCUACUUCGUAUAACUCCAAUAAUCUAUUAAAACAUGUUAUUUAAUGUGAUAAAGUACAGUCCAAUAUCUAGAAAAAAAUAAAUAUUUUUUAAAUUCAUUAAAAAAAUAUUUUGUAACCAUAAGAAAAUUUUGAACAUUACAUGUCUAUGUAUUUCGUUCUUAUUUAUUUUAUUUUAGUUUACUAAUAGACUCUCCUCUAAAAAUAAAAUUAGUGUCAUGAAUGUCAAAAUACUAUAUGAUACAAAUUGCGCUUGCAAGUGGUGUACUCGUAUAAAUAUUCAUCACAUGCUCAAAAUUACCUUUUUGUCAUUCAAUUAUUUACAGUGCAAAUUAGGCAUACACCCAUGCGGCAAUAUGCACUCGAUUUCAUUAUUUUUUUGCAUCUGUUGUGACAAAAAUAUGUAUUUCAUUGGAAGAUAGUGUUCGUGGAGAAGGUGGAUCUGGAUGUUCGGACAAACUGAUUUGAGGAGAAAGGAAGAAAAUUACCAGGAAUAUGAGUAGUUGCGCACGGCCAAUCAAUUAUAUUGAAUCAUGUAUUGUUUUUUUUCGAGCGGAGCAGACGCAGCGGAUUAUACCAGCGCAAGAUCUGAGGAUGUUGCGGGCACGACCUUGUCGUCGCUGGAGCCCUCGGAGUGUGGCAACGGCGGCGGAUGCGGAUGCCUUGUGCCGCGGCGAUUGUGUUGAUCGACUUGCGGCUCUCCCACUGGAUCACCUCCUCUGAGUUAAACAACAUCUCAUUGUGCUGUAGCGCGUACAAGAUCGAGUCCUGAUCCAUCGACCCAAAUUACAAGCCGAAGGAAUGAAUAGGACCAAAAAGGGGCCGAAAAAAAUCUUAAACAGAAAUUAAUUAAAAGCAAACAACAUGAUCGAGAUGCUUCUAGAAGGCACAUCAUGGCGGCGGCGCGGACGAAGAUGGACGUUGACAGCGAGCGGUGGGCGGAGGAGGAUGCUGGGGAGAAGGCUGCAGGGUGAAGCGGCGAGGCGGCGAGGAGAGACUCCAUGGUAACAUAUACGAUAGUUGGUGGGAGACGGGAAGAGGAGAAUCUAGGGAGAGAGAGAAUCUGGCCGGUGAGAGGUGGCGCGACAACAGAGUGCUUGUGCAUGCCUUGAUAUCUAAUUAGUUUCGGAUUUGUACCAAAGUCAGGUGUUUGUAAAUCCCUCUUGUUCUGUGUGGUCUUGUGCAGUAGAAUGUGUAAUAUAUACACACGUAUGUUAAAAGUUGUAAACUCAGAUUUGCGUGAUUGGUUUUGGAUAAAUCUAACAAAUCUGCUUCCCAUUUUGAUACUGCUUAUCAAAACCACGUAGUCGAUCAUUCGAUAAAAUAUGGUUCCAGCAUUGAUAACUUGAUCACAACUUUAUCAUUAUAUACCUACCCCCAAGCGUAUAAAGAAAAUCUCCCGGGUUCCGUAUGUGCAUCGACAUUGGACUGUUUACCUACCUCCCUUAUUAAGCUAGCGUGCGCUAUAUGAUAUGUGAUCUUCACGAUGCAUCGAGUCUCGUCUACAUGACUCCAUCCAUCUUGUUCUGAUACCGCAUAACCAAAGUUGGUACUGAAUGGUGCAAGUCGGUACCAAAUAGAUGUGGUCAUUUGGGAAGAUCGAGCACGAAGAAAAUCAAAAGAACUAUUAAGGAAUUAAAAAUAAAAUAUAAACUAUAAGUCUUGUUGAGGAGUUGCUUUGGUUGAACAUUGCUACAAAACAAGGGCCUUAUGAAAAAUAGAUAAAGAUAUGUCCAUAUUUUCAUUUAUUGGGCCACGAUUUACUUGUCAAUGGUGCAAAUUCCGCAACAAACUGAAGAUGGGUGGUGGUGGGGGGGGGGGGGGUUGACGAUUUUAGAUGAUAUACAUUGCGAAUUUGCGAUUUUCUGAAGACUCGUUGAUGCUUACUACUAUGCAAUAUUGGGAAAAUUAUGGGCAAACAGGACUAUUCGUUUAAGUGCCCUCGAAUGGGGAACAAAAGCCAAAAAAAAGUUGGAAAAUAUUCAAAGAAAUCUUCCCACUUCCCCAUAGAAGUGAACUAUCAGAACAUAAGAUACACACAAAUGUCAGCAUAAUCGAGGCGGAAAAUUGCUGACUUGACCUUGUUCAAGCUUGUCCUCGCCAUUCACUUUGUAAGACAUUUGAAUACGCAUUGCAAGGUUUCUGCAUGUUCAAAGAAAUAGAGAUAACAAGAUAAACUAGCUAUAACAAUGGGGCAAAAGAUAAGUCCAAAACACUGAAGAGAACCAUGUACUCAAUAAUCGUGGCAUUCCAGGAAUCAUGUUUAAGUAUCAUGCAAAAAGGUACUAUCAUGGUACGACAAGCUAGAUCCCAUGUUGAUAUGUUUUGACAACUUCUUUUUGUCAAAUGUUACCAAGUUAUGUUACUUGUUAUCAGAUUAUGACUACGUGGUUACCAUGUUAAUCACCUGGUUACCAACCACUUUGUUACCAGUUUGCUAAGUAUCCACAUGCACCUACGUAAAAGACUUAUUUCUAUGUCCCGAUGUCAUCUUUUACUUGUCCAAACCUUUCGGUACUCAUUUUCUGAUAAUAACAUUGCAAUGAAUAAAUAAAUGUUUUUUACUUGAUAGCCAUAUAUUAACAAUGGACCGAUUGUUAAUAUGCUAAUCUUUCUCAACUAAUAUGGUAACCAUGAUAGUAUAAUCUGUUAACCGAUGGCGUCGGAAAAAUAUCAUCAAAAUAUAAUAAAUCGGGAUCGGUUAGGGUUCGAAACUCAGGAAUUAAGAGGUUAAUUUCUAAUUCAUAUUUCGUCUAUGAGGUCAGGUUUUAAAAUGGACAUUUCUCUUCGUCUGAGGAGUUCUUUACCAAAAGUCCUGUCAGCAAAGUUUAACGUGUCUUAUAAGUAUAUAUUUAAAGCAUAGGAGUAUUGAUUAUCUGAGCAAACACCAAAAAAUCAAAUUCAUGUCUCCAAAGCUUUGGCUUUUGCACAUGGUUUGCUUGAAGUCCCAAACAAUGAUGUGUUAUUUCUUGUGUCUGUGCUAAAAGGCUAGCUAAUCACGUGGGAAGCUUAAUCGUUGGUUCAUUUGGACCAACAUCUCUUGUGGGCUCAACCUGAAUUGAACAAUAGAAGUCUGUUUUUUAAAUAAAGAAAUGCACGUAUGUCGGUGAGUAAAAAUGAAUUCGAAAUAUUUCAUGACGAAUUAAAUGGAAAUAUUUCCACCUGAUCAAUAAUCUAAACAACACUCUGUUUUUACUCUUGCAAGAUUAUUAGAUGCCUUGUUGUCUUUUUUUUUGGAGAAUUGAUGCCUUGUUGUCGUUCACUACGGGCCUCUUCGGGCCGUAAAAUUGGAAGGCGCAAGAGAGAUUUUGUGAAAUCAUAUGUGAUGUGUAACAUUGGCACGUGUUUUAGGUGAAACAUUGAUGUGAAUACUUUGUAUAAUAUAGAUACUUAUGUCAUGAGAUGUAUCUUGUUUGGACUUAGUGCUUUGCUAGUGGUGUGUUGAUCCAUUAGUUUCUUAUAUGAAAACAUGGUGUGAGUUGUGCGAAACUUACCCCCUCGAGUCAAGUCAUGGACUUGUGCUCGUACUGGUUAUUUGUGUGUUUGCUUUCAGGUGUUGCCGGAGCUAGAGGAACAUGGUCGAUGACGGGAUCGAGGGACGAAGCUUGGGAGGAGCUGAGGUCGAGGGAUCAAGGUCAUACGGGACGUUCGUGCGAAGUAACAAUGGAAGUGAAGCUUACGAUGAUCCGGGAGGGCACCAGUUUGUCGUACGUUGUUUAUACCAGAGAUGUAUGGUAUUUGAGAUAUUCGACACGUGAUGGUCGAGUUUUGAAGACAUCACAAGAAGAGUUGAUGGCAUGAAGUGGCAUCGACGUGAAGACAUGUGGGUCCAGCCGUGGUUGGAUGAGAGCUGUUUAAAGAUUAAACAGUAGCGUCAUCAAGAUGGCGUCCGAUGGAAAAGUGGUCUACAUGAAAUUUGUGCGGGUCGUCGAGGCAGAACAACUUUUCUUUUGGAGUCAUCUCAAUCCGAGAUCAUAUGCGGGCCCCAUGGGCAGAAUACCGACCGGGAUAGAGGAGUUCGUGUUGGAUUCGGACUCGAUUUAGGGUCGCGACUUUUCCCAAAUAAAUAGAAGGCGUCCUAGCUAGGGUUUUGGCAAGGACGUGAGGGAACUCAGAGCUUUGGAUCUAGAUCAAUUCUUGCAGAGUUCUUGGAUGCAUGGUUGCAUCUUUUGUAAUCGAUCGACAUUGUUGCAAUUAAGAGAUUUGUUGGCGGUGUCAUUUUUGUUCUUCUCUGAUCUUCGUGGAUUAUUCGUGCUAGAUCUUUCUAACACUUUGCUGCAGAUUUAUCACGAGUUCAUAAUACUUUGCUGCAGGUUUAUCACGAGAUCAAGGAAAGAUCGUGAUUACUUCAUCUUUCUUGUUAUUCCUCGAAAUUGAUUAUAGAUUAAUUCUCGUAACUUUCUGUCAGCCGUUACUGUUUUGAUCAUAUCUUUUGAUUGGUACAUACUAUUGAGCUGAUUUUUGUCGCGUUGGUUAGAUGAUUUCAAUACUUUUCUUUUGCAUACUCGUACGUACAGAAAGGUGAUUUAGGGUUUGAACUUUCGAGAAAAGUUUUAAUUUGCUUCCGCGCAAUCAUUCACCACCCCCCUCUGAUUGCCUAUCUUGAUCUCACAGAUUUGUCUAAUGCAUCAUGGGCCACUUAGAGCAACUAAUGGGCCGACUGGAACACAGUCAGAUCCAUGAGCGAUGGGCUGGUAUAAAUAUUGGCCUGCGAGCCGUAACGUAAGGUAUCACAUACCUUUCCAUCUGUCUCUCUCUCGCCCUCCCCUAAAAAAAAUCUGUCUCUCUCGCCCCAGCCACUGCCUCCUGCCGUUGAAAUGGUUCAGGGUUUUUAGGCCGCAUCAUCCGCACGGCCAACGCCAGAUCCAGCCAGAUCCAAAGGUUUUUUUUUUGUUUUUUCUCGCCCUGUGAUCUAUCCCUCCGAUCCUAAAUAUUUGUCGUUGUUUUAGUUCAAAUUUGAAAAAUUUAGGAUGGGAGGGAGUAUCCUCUUGCUUUUUAAAAAAAAAUCAUCAGAUGAGGAAACAUCGUCAUAUGGAUCUGCCGCAAAUCUCUGUUCUUAUUUUGGCAGAUACGGGAGCGUUCAAUUUUAUAAAAAAAAAACAUCAGACAGAAUGUGUGGUGUUUGCCUCUCAUUCUGGUCUUCUUUUUUAUUUGAUUAUAUAACAUGAGGUGAAUAGUAUAUUGCCCUAUACUUGCCAGCGCUCAGAUCCGCGGCAAGCUGGUUGCCCUAUACUUUUUUAUUUCACAAUCGCAUCACCACACAAUUUAUACUCAUUUCCUUGAUUUUGAUUCGGAAAAAAUGCAAGUCAUCGGAGGUAGUGACCCGUUGGGAUCCAUGCCUGUGACAAUUAUUAUUUUUGUAACGGUACUUCUGAUGCCCGACACGAAGAUAAAUCGAGCAGCUGCUCCACCCACAUGCAGCUGCAGGAUGGGGGACGUGCGGGAUGCGAAACGCCGCUGACACACACUACCAGGAUCACAGAAUUUAGUGUUUUCAUGGAGCUGAAAAAACGCUCUCUUGCAGUGGUCGCCGUCGCCCGUCACACGUACGGCUUAUAUAGCUUUGAAAAAUUGCCAGCAAGAGACCGUGGGUUGCUCAUGUAUGUAUGAGUAUGUUUUUUGUUGUUGAGAACACAAAUUAAUCAAUACACACUGCCCGCGUUUAUUGAAGACUGAAGUCAUGCAUGGAAGGUCCGAGCUAGAGUAAAACUGCUAAGCUACAAGAGUAUUUUUGUGCCACACAUAUAUUGAUUUUUGCCUAACGGGUAAUUAAUCUAGCUCGUUGCAGAAACCGCAGCCGUCAUGGAGAAGGGUUCCCCGUCCGAGCAAGCCCUCAGGCAAGAGAGGUUCGAGGAGAUGUGCGGCAUGUAUCCUUUGCUCGGGCACAGGAUGGAGCUCCUCGCGGAGCAAGACCCUUUCUUCAGAAGCGCCUUUGUUCUGCUAGAUGCCGAGACGGCGCGUACGCUCGAGGAUGAACUUGAGUCAUUGAAAGCCGAGGAAAUUGAGUCCGAAGCUCCGAAGGCAUAUGAAGAGUUUGCCAAUGAUAUGGAAAGGUAUGACAUGUGGUUUUUAUUAUUUUACUUCUUUUUUUAAUAUUAUUCUAUCUAUAGACUCAUGUGCAUAUUAUGGGAUCGGAGGGAGUAGUCAUUAUUAAGAUUUUUCAUAGUUAGAAGAACACAAGGUUAGUGACAUAAAGUACUAGAUGCAAGUUUUGUGAUAUGCUUCUUUCCUUUCCUUGAGAGUAUGUAGUUGACAUAAGGGAGUUGAUACUGGUGCGGAGCGCAAACGCGCACUUGUUUAAGACUGCCUGUGCAGAAAUUAGAUUUCAUGUUGAAAGUGUUGCAUUUUGUUUCGUUAAAAGAUUAAUUAAUCUAUGUUCUUCUAGUCCUGACUUUCUUGCUGUAAAUAUUUGCUGUGCACUGCUAUGGUCUUUUUCUUUGUCUUGCUUGAUAAAUGAUAAUACCUUAUGUCCUUAUCCCACUUGUUUCCUUAUCUCUGUAUAAACACUUUGUUCUUUGACAUUGUUUUCCAAUCUUAAUGCUUCCCUAUUCUCUUUCUAUAUAAGCAAAUGGUAAGCUGUGCAUUUUUGUUCUAGUUAUGGGAAAGACAAUUAUGGUAGCUUAGGUUCUUACUUAAUCUCUCAUUUCUGUGCUAAUUGAUUGCUUGAUUUCUCAGGUAGCAUGAUUGUGUAAUUUGUUGCCUAUUUGGUUUAUUUUGCAAGUCAUGGUAUUAUAACAAGAUACUAGAAGGCCAUUUUCUAGUUCCGGUAACGGGAAGGAUUCCUGCUGAUCAUAUAUGCAACACAGUAAAAAUAAUUACAUUACAACCUGCAGCUAAUACAUUACUAGUCAAAAUAUAGUUCUUCUUUGUUACAUGAAUAUUACGAAUGUUUAUUGCUUUGAAUCCCCUUUGCAACAUCCGGGAUAUUAUCUAGUUUCAUAGAGCAAUAAGAUACCAAAAAGGCAAAGUAAUUUACUUGUCUUUGCCAUAAAAAAUAAUUAUAGUACCUUUUUUCGUGCUAAGUUGAUUUUUCAAUUUAUUUCAUUGCAGAUGUAAAGUUCGCCAUGGUUACUUGAGCUUUCACAACCUGCAUAGACAUGUAAGUUCUAUUUAACAUGAUUUAUGUAAAAUUUGAUCAUUUAUCUUUGCAAACAAUAUUUAAUGUAAAGUAAGUAUAAUCUCUCUGAAGAUAUCUUAAAACCCAUCAAUUCCACAUGAGUAAAAAUGGUACUUUUAUGAUUUGUCUAUAGCUUUUCACUCCCCACAAUGACGCCUGUGUUCGAGAAAGAUUUUUCUCUCGCCCUAGAGUAUUAAGCACACAAGUUUAUGAAUUUUAUUCGCUAUAAAAGCCUUGUUCUAUUUGAAUACUGUGUGUUGGUUUGUUCCACACAACUUUAUACUCCGUACUUUGUUUUCUAAUCUAACAGCAAGUGAUGGCGAAGAAAAGGGGCCAUGGAACCCUGAAGGAUGCUCAGUAAUGUUGGAAGAUAUGAUUAGUGGUCAAGAUAACGGGGGGACAUAGUUAAAUCUUUUGGCGUUAGGAUUUCGCAGUUUAGCUUCUGGAGCAGAAAAUGGCGAUGCCGUGUUCUGCAGCAAAUUGUGUUUUGCCUCCUUGGUGGUCAAUGGUUAGUCAUGAGCGGUAAAUAGCAGAACUCUGGUGUGUCUCUAAUGACCUGAUGUCAUGUUUGUUUGACCAAAUGUGUGCCAACUUGUCUGUACUGUUGUCUGUUCAUCUGAUCUUGACAUAAUGCCUUGUGAUCAAUGGUUUUGUCGAAUCAAUUAUGUCGUUAUGCUUAGCAUGUUAGAAAUGAGAUGUUGUGCCAGCAACACACCAAGACACCAGAGGUUGGCAAUGCAAUAUAAAAGCAGGCGAAAACAGUUAUUAUCUUUUUUUUAGAAUGACCAGAAAGAAUCAUCUCUCAAGUAAAUUAAUAAUCACCCGCAAAUUGAUUUCCCCUGGUUUUGAUUAUAAAAAGCCCACGAGAUGAACAAAUACAAUUAUACAACACACAUUGACAGCCAGAAACAAAUCUCCGAGUCGGAAUUAAGCCGAGCUGAUCAGCUUUGUUGUUCCUACAAAGCUAGCUCGUUGAUUCUUCAAACCAAUAGCUUCUACAAAGCUCUCUCUGUUAUUCUGAGUAAAGCUCUGUUGUUUUUAAUUUGGGGUAGAUAUAAUCUAGAAAACAUCAAAAAAACCUAGUAUCAAACAAGGCCUUAAAAUAAUUUUCCAUUUGAUUCUAGAUUACGAGCACAAUGUUGACUCGUGCAUCUCGCUUUCCAUCGCACGCACGUAGUCUAGACGCCGUGUUGCACGCAUCUUGUGGUCAGCCAUGGCACUGACAUGUGGGCGAGGAAACACCUGUGGUCAGUCCGUCAGUGAGAUAAGGAGAGGGCGCGGCAGGUACGUCUCGUUUCCUCAGGGGCUGCUGGAAUUUUCCUUGGCGUUGCAGCUGGCUGGCGUCUUGGUCUGUUGGUCAGGUGUCAUUGAUGCGUUGACUGAUGCACGUGGGGUGAGAUGAGGAGAGCUUCCUCGGCAGGCAAGCUUUCUUUCGUUCUUUCUUCCACUCUUAUCUAAAACAAUUUUGUACAUACUGUUAUUUUGUUUUGACCAUGAGGAUGAAAGCUCUGCCAAUCAUCUGCUGGGAUAGAAAGUGGGUGGAAGCCCUUUUGUUUUGACCAUGCAUCUUCUUCUCCCAUGUGUACAUACUGUUAUUUUUAGAUUUGGUAUCAUGCAAGUAAUGUAAUGUACCGACCUAGUCUUGUUCCCAAUUUUAAAAAAUGACAGCACAGCACAUGUGUUCUAAUGCAAUAAAAAAUCCUGCAAGUUUGGCACGCAUGGUAAUUUCUGAAAAUUUCGAAAGACUUGUUUGGCAAGAGAGCAAAUUUUAGACAUAAUCUCCUUGAUGAACCUUGCUUGGGAAGAAUUGCACCACCUGCACUCGACCUCCUUAAGCCACCACAAGAAGAAACAACAAUUAUCUUCCUUUUCAAAAAAAAACAGCAACACGUGUUUACUCACUCACAUGCCUCGUCAUGUUUUGUGAAUCGAGCCGAUCCCGACACCUCAUGGUUUUGAAUUUUGCUAGUCAGGACGGUUUUGAAUCGUGCAAAGUCGACUCAGGUCCUAACCGAGUGGCUAUAUAAAAAGAGGUGUAUUGUCCAGAAUCUCAACCUUCAUGUCCUACCCAUCACUCUUCCACUCUUACUGUCCUACUUAUGCUUAUCACUCCUAAGACCACAUGCACGGUUGUUCAAGAGAGUUGACCUUUGCAACUGAGUCAUUCGAGAUUGUGCACCGGAGAUGACCGAUAAGGUUUUUGCGGACCGUCCUCACACCAUUACUCGCUUUUGAUCAACGAUAUCUUCAUCACCAUAGACGACAAACCAACAACGACGAUUCCACCAACACCGCGGCUUCGCCCACUGCUUCUGCUAAUGUCCCCCACUUGUUACUUGUCCUAUUGUUAAGUUUGACUUCCUAUUUUACCAAAACUUGGUAAAGUCAAAUCCUUUGCAUGUGUUGUCACAACUUAUUGAUUUCGUCCACCUGAUGAACUGACAUCAUGCAUCUUCCUUACAGAAGUUAAUCACAUGGAUGCAAUUAAGUGGGGGGGGGGGGGGGGUUGCUAGGGAGUGUGCGCGCACUUUUGGCAUAAAAAGUUGCCCCCGACCAGAUAACAGUCCUCCUGUGGUCCCCGUGCAUGUGACAGUGACAUUUGCUUCUCUCCUCCUGUUGUGGUCCCCGCGCUCCCCACGUGACGCCAAAACAAACAGUUCAGAUAUCAAAUGCUUCUUCCCCUCCUCUACACUGCCACACGUUUCUUCAUCUAAUCGAGAAAAAAAAAACCCACAAAUUACAUUCGACGCAAACAACUCUAUCAGAUCUCUCUCUUCUUCUGUUCUAUGAGAGCAUUACCGAAAGUUACUUUGUCAGGCUCUGGUCGAUGUAACUUUUAACGUCACGAUUACAUCUAAAAAAAAUCUAAAAAGUAACUUUAAGCAUCAAAACUACAUCUACUUGAUUCAUAAAAGUAACUUCAUGCACUGAAAUUACAUCCAACAGAAUAAGAAAGUAACUUUGAUCCAAAAUUUACAUGAAGCAGAAUCACAAAGUAACUCUGACACAUAAGUUGCAUCAAUUUACAUCAAGCACUGGACACAAUUCAGAUUAAGGGAGUAUGGACACACACAGGCACAUGAGCUAGGUUUGUACCUGGCGAUUAGAACCAAAGGUGAGCGAGUAUAUAUGCACCUCACCAUGAAGCAGAUCCAUUUGCACAUGGGAGGAGGGCAUGGCGGCAAAGGUCGUGAGGAAAGCCGGGUCGCAGAGGACGGAGCUCCAGCGACGUGAGCUGGAACGAAGGCAGAAGAGCAGGAAGGACGCGUGCAAGCACCUGGACGAGGAGGUCGUCUGGCGCCGCCCAGACGCGGCCCCCAUCCGGACGUCGGCGGCUGCCGAGGCGUGGCGUCCCCCCGCCUUGCUGUUGGGCAUUGCGGCACGGGUCUUCUCUUCCAGCCAUGAGCACGGCUGCGACGAGCUUGUGUGCGUGCUCGCCGACGCCGUUGUAUGUUCCAUCGCCGCUGAUUAGGUUUGGGAGGCCGGGGGUGUGGGCGCACGAGGCCGGGUUGGGAUUGGGGUUGGGGGCGCCCGGCGGAAGAGGGGGAGGCCGGGGCUAGGGGCGUGCCGGCGGUAGCGAGGGAGACUGAUCGAGGCUGGGGACGCCCCGGCGGCGGCGGGGGCAGGAAGGAGGCUGUGCGAGGUGAGGGAGGGACACGUGCGAAUCAGAGGAGACGAGGGGGAAGAGAGAGAGUGGGGGAACAUGUGGAUGUGUUUCGGUGGAUAAGGUUCACAGGGCGAGAGAGGCGAGAAGUGAGCACCGAACGUGAAUACAUCUUGCGCGGUCACAAGUUAGAUUCGGCGUUAAGUGGGACCCCACUUAUAUCCCAUUUUGAGGUCAUUACAAAUUUGUCAGUUCAAAAACUUGUUUAAAAUUUGAUUUUAGAAGGUAGCCUACAAGCAGGACAUAUGCGAGAUCACGCUUGCAUCCCUAGGCAGCAACAAUCCAACAAAAAGUAAAUACAAGCAGGACAUCUGCGAGUAGGAAACUUUUUAGAAUGUACUCCCUCCGUUUCAUAAUUCUUAUUGAAAUAUUACAUAUAUCUAAACACUUUUUAGAAAUAGAUACAUCCAUUUUUAGUCAAAUUUGAGACAAGAAUUGUGAAACGGAGGGAGUAUAUAUGGAACAGAAUCUCAAGCAAAUUAACUAGCAGUCGCAACUUAAUCUGACGAAACACACCCUAGUUUUGACCAUCUAAAUACAACCAAACCAACCCACGAGAUGAAUACACGAUCACACACAUGGACAGAGACAAAUCUGUCACAUGAGGCCCGGGCGAGAAUGGAAGGGGAAGUGCGGCGUCGUAAGGGCAGCCCGAUCAAGGUUGCUGCUCCUCUUCUUCUUCUUCACCUCCUCCGUCGUUACACCUUGCUGCUGCUUCUUCUUCCUGCCAUGGCCACCAGCACCAUUCACAGACGGCGAUGAGGAGGAGUUGCUCUUGGGGACUGACGGCACGCAACAACAGAACAACCCCAUUUAUAUAUAUAUCUAUAGCCUUCUUCCUUUUCCCCUUCGUUUACAAGCUCUCUCUUUCCUUCUGCAGCUUUAUAAACUCGAUCUGCUGUUCUUUCUACUCUCUGUCUGUGUGUUGGUAAAGCGGAGAGGUUCCUGGGCACCCUUUUAUACUGAACUCGAUCUCCAAACUUCCACCUGAAGGUUGCUCCUAUAGUUGCUCCUCUCCUGCUCCCGAUUUUCUUUUUAUUAUCCAACACAAUGUUGACUUGUGCACCUCGUAUUCCUUAGGCACCGUGAGCACGCAACUUUGUAGUAGCUGAAAGGGCUGACAUGUGGGCGAGAAGAACUUAGGGCCAUCUUGUCAGUGAGAGAAGUGGAUGGUGUGGCUGGUAACUAUCGUUUGCUCUGGGCCUCUUGGAUUUUUCUUAGGCCUUGGUCAUGUAGUAAACCGAAGCACCUGGAUGAGGUUAGGAGGCGAGCUUCCUUGGCAGGCAAGCCUCUCAGAUAAAACAGACUUCUUUCUUUUAUUUUUUCUAUAUUUUCCGGGAAAACGAUUUUGUGCAUGUGGAUUGAAAAUGAAAGCUCUGCCAAUCAUCGAUCUCUUGGGAUAGAAACUGGGUGGAAGCCCUUUUGUUUUGACCAUGCAUUUUGCUUCUCUCUUUUAAGAAUUGUUUGCUUGGAUCUAAGCUUAAUGGACCAAACAAUCUCACUCUACAUUUCUUUUUCUUGAAUUGAUCACGCAAGUAAUAUAAGCGUACCGAUCAUGUCUUACUCUCGGUUACACAUAUGUAGAUAACGCGCGUGUUUAGUGUAAAACAGGAAAUCAUACGAGUUUGGCCCAUACGGUAAUUUUCGGAACUCUGAGAGGCCGAUUAAAUCAAGUGAUAAGAGUUCAAAUUUCAGGUCCAUCUUGCUAAGGUUAGAAGAGUUGCACCACCUGCACUCUAUCCCCUUGGCACCACGCAAUAUGCUUGUGUCAUGUUUCGUGAAUCAAGUUGAUAUCAUUAGCUUACGUGGUUUUGACUUUUGCUAGCCAGAACCGUAUCACGUAAAUCGACUUGCAUUAUGACCGAGUUGCUAUACAAAGAGGCGCUCUACCGAGAAGAAUCUUGACGCAAACCCAUCUCCGGGCUUUGGUCAAAAAAAAAAACCAUCUCCGGGCCUCCAGGCCUCCAUAGCCCUCAAAGCUCGUCCACCGGGCCUCCUCCAGGCCCGCCACGAUCCAGCCCACCCACACAAACACUCCUCUAGAUCUAUUUAUCCUGUCCUGCCCUAUCUCUGCAUAGUUCCCCUUUCUCUUUUUUCCAUGCCACUUCGGGACUCCCCAGUCCCCACCCCACUGGCCCUGGCCUGCACUGCACUCUCACGCGCUGACACCCCGCAUCAGCUUUUGCAUCUGACACCCCUCUCUCUCCAGCCCCCACACCACCAAUGCAUCAGCCGCAGCAGAGCAGAGGGCGCCGCUGAACCCAUAGAGCUUCGCCCUCCCUCCCUACUGCGCCCCUCCCUCUCACAAUUUAUCCGCCCCCAAUUUGCUUCCUUUCUUUCUCCCAGUCCCAGGUUUCUGCUCCCUGGGCGUCCGUUUCGUUUCUUGGGGAGUUGUUUCCAAAGGUAGGGUUCUCGCCCCUCGUCUUGUGUCCGUUCUCGAUCCUUCGGUCCGGUUGUACAGGCAGCGCGUGGAAAAGCUGGUGAACGUCUGAUAUGUCUGGGCGUGUAGUGUAGUGUUCACAUCUAGGGUUGUUCUUGGCUUUGGGGAGCAAUGCUGUCCAACUUUUGCGAUUCCUUUGGUUCUUGUGGAUGAAUCUCCAGGCAAUGCUGCUCUUUUACGGCAAUUUCGUGUUUUUAUAGUCGUUGUUGGUCAAAUUUGUUUGAUUUAUACGCCUUGAUCUGUUUUUGGGGUUCAUAGCAUCCACAGGGGUCUGAUAUUGGAAGUAGACGCUGUUGGUGCUGCUGCGUAUUGUCGGUGUUAAUUUGUUUCGCCUCUAUGUUUGUGUGCUCUUUUGGGGGCAACUGAUGCUGGUUUGCCCUAAUUUAUCGUAUAGUCAACGAUACCGCCUUGAAGAGCCCUCCCCCCCCCCCCCCCCCCCCCCCCCCUUAUCUGAAUAUUCCUGCAUGGUCAGAGGGCAUAAUCUGUGCUUUUUGUUCCUGUAGAAACUUGGGGGCAACAAUUGACUGGAUUUCUUGAAGAAGAGCACCGUCGAAUCUGUUUCACAUGGUAGGGUCAUGUCUAUUUGGCUAUGUUAAUGAUUUUUAAUUGCCACUAUCUGUGAUAAAAUGAUAAUACGAAAUGUUUUGCAUUUUGUCCCAACACUUAUAUGGAUGAGUUUCCUGUUCAUGUAGAUGCCCAAUUUCAGCAAACAGUGACACCAUUGAUUGGUUUGGCUUUGGUAGCCUCUGCUUUCCUGGUAAAUUUCUUUCUCCCGAUGGAAAUGCUGUUAACUUCUCACCUAUUGCUAGAUCUUGUCAUCUGUUUGUAUUACUGACACUGCGUAACCAUGCCUAUUAGUUGAAGUGACUAGGUAAGGUAUUACCAAGUUUGUCAUACAACAUAAAUGUUCUCAAUUCUGAUAGUUUGGAUUUCCUCGACAUAAAUGAGUUGAUAUAAACAUGGAGCCUACUUUCUUAGGUAUCGUUUGGUAAUAUUGUGUGGAUAUGUGCUAUAUUUCCGAUGUGUCUCGUAGUUUUGGUUUAUUCUACACAUUCCUUUCAGUCCAGUAGAUUUCCAUGUUGUAGUGUUCAGAUUGUAGAACUCCUUGGUGGUACGGAAAUAUAGAAUUAUAAAUAUCGUUAAAUAGGAGAACUGGCACUAAAGGUGUUGACCACUGGGCCAGAUUUGGAUAGCUAAGCUCAUAUGUUAAAAGCAUUUUCUUUCAGAAGAUCGCUUGAAUUAUUCUACAAUUAAUCUCUGAUCAUUCCAUCUUCUAGUGCUAGUAGCAUGAGCAAUUCAGUGUAAUCUUCACCAUCAAGAUCUGACAUGACAGCUAAGGUUGAAGUUCGCAUGAUGCUACACAGGGAGGUUUCUGAAUUAGCUCUCCUACCAUAAUGGUAGCAUGAUAAUUAUUGGAUAAGGAUGCGUGCACUGAUAUGUAUCUGUGCCUAUCAGAAUAGUUUCUUUUUUAUAAAAUUCCGAUAGACCAAUUGGAUGACCAGUCUUGUUUUUACAACUACGGGAAAGAAAAACAAUCAAUCUGCAUUCUCGCACACAAACAGCAAAUUGAAGCCAUCUGCCCACACCAGCGACAAUCCAAUGCUCAGUUUAGGACUAGAUGGAUGGAACAGGCUGGCACGUCCUCUUUUUGCAUUUUUUUCCUUCAAAUUUGUAUGGAUGUAUCCUUAUUCUUUGGAUAACAUCAUAUCUCUAUCCAUAUGGUGUAUAGAGGCAACCAUGCCAAACUUGUCCAGAGCCGCUGAGAAUUGCUCCCUCUGAUCCGUAUUAGUUGUCGAAAUAUUACAUGUAUAUAGACGCUUUUUAGGCAUAGAUACAUCCAUAUUUGGGCAAAUUUGAGACAAUUAAUAUGGAUCGGAGGGAGUAGUAUUUUAUUGGUUGGGCAUAUGGAAUCUUGUCAUUGUAGAACGGUUAUGGAAAGUUUCUCAACUGGAAGUGAGCGAAAUUCAAUUUUAGUUAUAAGCAUGUCUGCAGUAUAAAUUAAACUAAAUUAUGGAAGCACGGAUUUGCAACAAUCUCUUCAGUGGUAAGAUUUGCAAAACUUGGUCAAAACGUGCAAAUCAAAUGUCUUACAAUGUCAUGAUCGUCUCGCUUCUUCCUUGCACUCAAGUUGCAUGUUCUGAACCACAAAAAAAGUUGCAUGUUCUCAUUGAAUCGAAGAUAUUUCCGUCUGGAAUUAUUAGUAUCAAGUAUAUGUACGUACUUUAGUACCUAGGUGCCGUGUACUGAGUACAGGUACGUUGUAUCGUAUGGUACUGUACCGGGAGUCAACGUACGGUACCUGUAAUAUAUGGAAGUCAGUGCAUGGCCAGAUUGAACCUUUUCAAAGAUCAGCGACAUUCCUCUAAACAUAGAGAAGGAAAACCAGAAAACAUAAUCAAAAAAAUUUGGGCUGUUGCAUAUCUUGUCAAAAGAUUACGUCAUUAUGGCGCUGAAGCAAUAAGUGUUGCUUUCUAUGUAGAACUUCUCAUGUUCUCCAAGAAGUAGCUUUCAGCACUAGUGCAUUGCUGAAUCCACCCCAUGGCAUUCUAGGCGAUGAAAAUACCUAACCCCAAAAAGGUGACGAAGGUGAUAAGAAUCUCUAAUUCGUUACCUUUCCCCUCUUUGUUUUUGUUUUGUUUCCAUCUGUGUUCUGCCACGAACAUUCGAUAUAUGAUGUUUGAGAUCUUGGAUAUGUUGGAAAAUUGGAUCCUUGAAAUCCAGAGAUGUUGCAGCUUCGGUUUGGACUUGUAAGCUGUGGUGCCAAUCAUGCAUUUUUAUGAGAAAUCCAACAUCGGUUCAGCUAAUUGAAGGUUUGGUGUAUUUAUGAGUCGACAAUGAUAGAUUGGUGUCCAAUUUAGGUAAUUCUAUCAUGUUUCGGGUUGUGUGAUAGGGGAUUGGCUACAAGUGAAUGGAUGACCAAUUAUAUCAGUGAAAUGGCGUCUUACCUGCCAUGUUCGUUUUAGAGUAUUAAGUUUGCAAUAAUUGAGCUCAUGGUGAAUUUGUAGAAAUGAGAAAAUGGAGCUAGUGUCCCUUUCAGGAAUUGUGGACUUGAAGAUCAGCUGUCUAGACAAUAAUGAUAUGCUGCAUAUAGAUAUUAGGGAGUCUAAAUUUGGCCAGAUGUUUGGUUCCUUGUGCUAGCAUGUAAGAGACAUAAUGUAUAGAGUUUCAUUAUGUUCUCAAGAUCCAAAGUUAGAUGAACAGGAGCAGUGAGAAUGCCAAGAUUCAUUGGAUUUUGUUGAUGUCCUUUCAGUUCUUUAGUUUUCUUUCCAAAAUAUGUCGAAUCAUUUUAGCUUCCCUCAAGGAAAGUUACACAAACCAUAGACAUUUUGGCACCCAUGAUAUGCAGACAUGCGUAAAGUCGGGUUCAAUUUACUUUCAGACACUUACUGGACCUGUAGCUCAGUGUGAGCAAAGGAGCAUGCAUUAUAUCUUUUGGUUAAUACUAACUCCUAGAUAUAGGGAAAAAGAGGCAAGUGCCAGUUUGUUUGUUUUUUCUCUGCCAGCUAGCUGUUUAAAUUUAUGAAAAAAAAGGUCCACCUUUUCACUUUUAACUAUGCCGCAUGAGUUCGAUUUUCAACCUGGAACUACAUAUCUGUCUACUACACAUCCUUCAACCAAUAAAAAAUCUAAUCCACAUUCUUCAACUAAUGAAACUCCACAUCCUUCAACUAAUAAAACUUGAUAAGAUGCCCUCUCCACCCGUUUUAUGUGUUUAAAUAUGCACAAACAAAGGGUGUCAAUCUCUCUAUGAAGCGUGUCAAUACACAGACAGUUAGCAUCAUCUAUAUCUAUACUACUACUAAAAGCUCGAGUUGUGGUGGAUCCAGAAGAUCUCUGCCAUCGAACCGUGCUAAUCCAAUGCCCCAAGUUGCUUCAAUGAUGUAUGUUGUGCAACACGUUUUAAUUACCCACCAAUGCGGCAAUGCCACACUGACCCAUUAAUUACGGAAACUUAACAAAUUACAAAUCUAUCUUUUAGUUUCAUGUCAGCAACUAACAGAAAGCUUUCAAUCAACUAUGGAAACCCUCAAUUAGUUACAAAUCAAUCCCAUCAAUUCAAAAUCACUACAAUUAUUGGAUAAUUUUUCCCACCAAUAGAUUCUCAUGUAUUAGUUGACACGUGCUUUGCACGUACACAGUUACUAGUUUUACUACAAUGUCUAUGAUUUUUAUAUUUAACUAUGCGCUUCAUUCUGUCGUUUUACAGCAUAUUUGUGUCUGUAUUUUUUAGCUCAAUUGAACCAUUGCUAAUUGCUGCAGUUCGUGGUUCUUUCAUGCAGGAUUUGUGAUGGAUUUACAAAAACGAAAUGAGAUGAGUCUGAAUGAGAAGAGAGAAUUAGUCUACGAAGUUUCGAGAUUUCCGCAAGGUGCUGCUGAGAUUCUUCAAUGCUGGACCCGUAGGGAUCUUCUCGAGCUUAUCUGUGCUGAGCUGGGCAAGGAGAGGAAGUACACCAAUGUUCCAAAAUCUAAGAUGAUUGCCUAUCUGUUAAAACUAGUUUCACGAAGGAAAGUUGAGCUGAAAAAUGAUAAGUCAGUUGCUUUAUUAUUGGGGCAGAAUAACCACAAUGAGAUGCAAAAGAAAGCAAAUGGGGAACAACCACAUCAUGUCACUAAAAGUGUGAACUCUGAUUUGUCAUUAUGCAGAGAGGUCCGAGCUGGUAGUUCAUUGAUAUGCAGAAAUAUUGCAUGUCAAGCCACCUUAAAUGAAGGAGAUGCAUACUGCAAGCGUUGCUCUUGCUGCAUUUGCCAUAAAUAUGAUGAAAACAAGGAUCCGAGCUUAUGGUUAGUUUGUAGCUCUGAUAAUCCAUAUAUUAGUGUUUCAUGUGGAUUGUCAUGUCAUUUAAGGUGUGCUUUAAAGAAUAAAAAAGCUGGCAUUCUCAAGAAUGUGUGCAACAAGUUAGAUGGCAGUUUCUACUGCAUUUCCUGUGGGAAGAUCAAUUGGCUCAUGAGGUAACCUCUCGAUUGUUUCCGUUUGACUAGUAAGCACAACGUGCUACUGGUUCUUGAUCAGUUGUAGUCAAUUGUGAUAUCCCUACUUCUUUUUGUGCCAAGUAAUUUUAAGGCCACAUUUCACCUGGAAAAUUUGAGACAGAAUUGUCUAUCUUUCUGUAAAGGAACCAUUGAUUGGAAUAUCCCCUACGUCUAGGCAUCUCUCUGAAAGUUUCGUUCUUAAACAAAAAUCUGUCAGUUAAUCUUUUGGUGUUGAAUUAAAAGAGUUAUGGUAGUCUAUUAGUACUUUCCUUUUACUAGUUAUCGUCAUGAUGAGACAGUCUUUACGCUUUUCAUCCGUCCGUUAACAAAUUUCCAUAAAUAGAGGGAAUGCCGGAAGGGGCAUAAGUUCGAUAAUUCCACACUAUCAAUAGUAAAUCCCUCUCAAGUUGCAAAUAUUGUUUCUUUUAUAUCUCUUCCCUGUCAAAAUUCUAACUGUGGUUUUUCACGUAUUACCUUUUCCAGGAACCUGAGGAAACAACUAGAAAUUGCAAGGCAAGCUAGAAGAGUUGACGUGCUAUGUGAGCGAUUAUCGUUGAGCCAUAAAAUGUUGAAAGGGUCUGAACACUACAAGGAACUUUCAAACAUAAUCAGCUCAGCUGUGAAAAUACUUGCGAAAGAAGUUGGCAGCGCAUUGGAUCAAGUGUCUGCUAUCAUUGGGCGGACCCUGGCUAACCGCCUUACUUGUGCUGCUGAUGUUCAGAAACUCUGUUUGUCUGCACUAGAAAUAGUAGCCUCUACAGUGGCAAGCACCUCAGUGCUUGAGGCAAACAAUAAUCUGGAACCCCUAGGUAAGUUCGUAUGGUAUUUGACUUACUAGAACAGCAGUUGCACUCUGAGAACUCAUCCUUCCAGAAACUAGUAUCAGUUACAUGUAUCUGAAAAAUGCAAUGUUGUAGACUACAACUGUGUAUUAAUAGGUGGUACUUAAUUUUGCAGGUUACCAACCCCAAAUUCUUUUUGAGGAGAUCACACCAUUUUCUUUAGUUAUUGUAUUGAAAUAUCAGGAUAAUAUCUAUAAGGAGGACAUUGACGGUUGCAGAGUUUGGCACCGAAAUGCCAAGGUGCUCAACUAUCCAGUGGAGCCCACAUGCCACAUACUGAGACCAAAUACUAGGAACCUUGUUUCGGGUUUAAGCCCUUCAACGGAAUAUUUCUUUAAGGUUUUGCCUUUUGGAAGCACACUGCGGUUCGGUGAAUGUGAGGCAAAAUGCUCUACACGGAGCCUUGACCGUGGCAGCAGCCAGUGUUCAACUCAAAAUUCUGAGAGCUUGUGCAUCAAAGAGGAUGUGUUGCGGUAUCAGAAAAAUGAGUUGAAUUUGCAGAAACAAGAAAGGGUCAUCCAAUAUGACUCGCCUAAGGCUUCUACAAACUCAAGUGAGAACAAUGAGUCCCCUGACAGGUAUUACAAGCGCACGAAGAUUGCAAGGUUGGAUGGCACAAGUGACAAUGAUGAAAGCCAGUUGCCACCGACAUCGGAAGUUCUACCAUUGGCUGGUUCAAACUCUUCUCCUUCAGAAGCUCCCAACAAACCCGACUGGCUUAGCAGCACCCCUGAUUCGGCAUGCAAAAACUAUGUGGAGCAGCAAUACGAGUACUGUGUGAAGGUGAUCAAAUGGCUGGAGCACGGAGGACACAUGGACAAGGAGUUCCGAGUGAAGUUCCUCACUUGGUUCAGCCUGAAGUCAUCGGCGAAGGACAGACGCGUUGUUAGUGCCUUCGUCCAUGCUCUCAUCAGCGACCCAGCUAACUUAGUCGCGCAACUGAUGGACGCAUUCAUGGAUGUCGUCUGUAGCAAGGAGAAGCCUGCUCAAUCCAAAUUUCCAUGCUACAAACUUUGGCAUUAAAGGUCUCCAUUUCCGCUGCGAUUCUCUUUAUUUUGAGAGCAACUGUAUGCUGAUUGGACAACGAACCAUUCUAGUUAUUGCUCUUUGUUGAUGAUUGUUCUGUUGUUUCUGAAUUGUGGUGGUUGGACCAUUGGGCAAUGUUAGGUGGAUAAACUAUGCUCCGAAGUUACUGGCAAGACAUGAAUAUCAGUAGUUAGGUUGAUUUUAGAUGCUUCAAUUUAGGUGAUCUGGCCCAAUUAAUGUCCCAUUCUAUUUUAUCAUAAGUUCUGUCAGUUGUAUGCAUAUCUGGAAUGGUACUGUGAAUCUUUUUUAUACCGCGAAUGGUAAUGUGACUUUGCCACCUUGGUAGCAUUAACUGUUGUGAAUUUCGUGAAAUCAUAUUCUGAUUAACGCAUGUUUUAUUGAUAAUUUUCUUUUCGAGUGAAAUGUUGAUGUGGAGUACGAGCAUGGACAGAAUACAUUUAGGUGAAAUGCACAGCAACAAAAUAGAGUAAAAUGCACCGGAGGUCCUAAUUCUUUCGCAAAUGUCCCAAGUUAGUCCCAAUUCUUUAAAUCUGCACAUUUUAGUCCUAAUACUUUGAUAAGUGGUUCAUCCCAGGUCCCUUACUCGCUCUGGCACGUGCCGCCUGCCUACGUGGCUGUUCGGGCCCACCGGUCAGGUGCCACGCGGACUGCGCUUUUGCACAUAACCCCCUCAUUUCUCUUCUUCUCUCCCAUGUGAGCCCAACCUCUUCUUCUUUGUUCCUCUUCUCUCUUCCUCUUCUCAGCGACACAGAGGCGACCCGACGUGCGACGGCGAAGAAACUGCCAUUGCCGGCGGCGGACGACGCAGGCCACUCCGCCGAGAUGGCCCCAGUCCGCCGGGAGCCAGGCGCCAGCCAAGCUAUGUACGGUACGUAAAACCCUAGCCUGGCGGAAACCCUAACCUAACCUCCAUUGCUGUUUUCGCGAUGUAUUAGUAUGAAUUAGUUGUAGCGGAUGAUAGGCAGAAGUAGUUUCGUAUGAAUUUGAGCACAAAUUUUGUCAUUUAUCUGCUUAGGACCCAGUGAUUCAUUGUUCUCUGUAAGCAUCAGUCAUGGGGGAUUCUUUUGUGGCUUCAGGGCAAACAGGUCUUAUGUAGAUGGUAGUGUUGCUUGGUUUGAUGGAUGAGAGGUUGAAACUUGGUCACCUCUUUGGAUUAAGGACUUCCUAAAACAGUUGGGCUACAUUCACAACAAGUGUAAGGUGUACUGGCUUCUUCCUGGGAAGAACAUGGGUGAUGUAUUACGCAUUGUUGACCGUGAUGCAGACACUUUAGCAAUGGCUUCGGUUGUUCCAAAGUUUAUGGUUUUCUCACUCUAUGUUGACCAUAAAGAUGAGCUUUAUAGCAACCUCUGUUUGGAUGAUGUUUGCAUUGUUGGCUCACCACCACUGCCUCCUGUCUUGAACCCAAGGAAACCAAGCAUGAACAAUGCACAGACUAGCCAAGCAGCUAAAGAGAAAGAGAGAUUGCCUGACCACAAUGUUAUGCACAGGAGUAGAAGGAAUGUUGAACCAGCAGAUGGAGAUGUAGAUGCUGAUGGAAGUAGUUCAGAUGACAUUGGUUCAGAGUGGGUAGACUCUGACAAUGAGAUAGGAAAUGAUGAUGAUGAUCUAUUUGAUGACUGGGUUGAUGAUGUGCAUGAUAAGAGUGCUGACAAAAAGAAGAAGGCUAAAGAAGAGUGUGACAGUGACUAUGAUUCUGAGGAAAUGGACUUGCCAGAAGAUGAUGAAUCCGAAAAUGAAAAAGUUAUAGUAGUGGAUGCAGCAGGAAACAGACAUAAAAAGAAGACGGAAGUUAAGCUGACAAAAUUCAAGCUUGAACAUAUGAAAGUUGUCAAUUUCCAUUUAGGCAUGGUGUUUCCAACUGUUGGGCAUCUAAGGCAGGCAAUACAAGAGUACAUCAUUCAGAACAAAAUCCCUAUCAAGUAUGCAAAGAAUGACAAGCAAAGGAUUAGGGCACAUUGUGAUGAAGAUUGCAGCUGGUUCUUGUUUGCUGCCCCUGACAGUAGGACUCAAAGCUGGGUUGUGAAGAACUUUGUUGGCCAGCACACAUGCUCAAGGGAGUGGGAAUUGAGGCAAUUCACUGCAAAGUACUUAGCUGCCAGGUAUACUGAGUUCUUUAGGGCAUAUGAUAAGAUGUCUCUUAAGAAUUCUGCAAGAAUAGUUCAGCUAGAAUACAACAUGACACCAUCCAGAAGCAAACUGCAAAGAGCUAGAAGGUUAGCAAUGAAGAAGAUCCAUGGAAAUGAGUUCAAGCAUUAGAACAUGUUGUGGGACUAUUCAGCUGAGGUAAGAAGAUCAAAUCCUGAAUCAACCAUGUUCCUUAGUCUAUUAGAUGGCAAGUUCAGUACCAUGUACAUGUCAUUAGAUGCUUGCAAGAGAGGGUUCUUGGCUGGCUGCAGGCCCAUCAUUUGCAUUGAUGGAUGCCACCUGAAGACAAAGUUGAAGGGAUAUGCCCUAGAGGCAAUAAUAUUGUAUCAUUAUAUUCCCAAGUUUGUUUAUUUCUAUGCUAUAAUUGCAAUGGUUCUUGAAUGUGAGAUUCGGAGGAAAACUCAUUUGCAUAUGUGGAAACAUAAACCCUAAUUUAAAGGUCUCUAGUCAUGCCUCUUUGACUAGCUUGUAUAUAAUUGAUGAUUCUAUUUUCCUGAUCAUGAGCAUAUGAUGCUGGUUAUAUAUGAGAGCACAUUGUUGGUUGAACAAUGGUGUUGGAUUGACCCAACUAAUAAUAUACCGAGAGAUCACAUUGAUUACUUGUUAUCGGUAUUAUUGUUAUUGUUGUAAUUAUCAUUAUCCUUAGACCAUGAGAAUAUCGUAUGAUAUUUAUAUCCGAAGGAUACUUUGGUGUUACCUAUUGUUUCCCGUAAUAGGGUUAUCAUGACGGAUACUUUGGUGUUACCUAUUGUUUCCCGUAAUAGGGUUAUCAUGACGGUGAUUUCCGGGUACUCCAGAAAGUAUGAAUUAACUCGAUAGUUGAAGAUUGGGAUUUGCUCCUCUAUCGGUGGAGAAAUACACUUAGGGCCCACUCGGUACGACGAUAUCUAUCACCGUCUGGCCAGACACAAGAAUGAUAUGAUCAUGGAGAUAUCGGAGUACGGAACGAGUUAAAAGUACAAAACCGGUAACGGGGAUAACUAGGUACAAGUGGAACAAGGGUUGGUUCACGGGCGUGCCGGAAGUCUCACCCCGGAUUUUGUAAACGUAUCGCGAAGCAAAAGAAAAUGGUUUUUAGUAACAAAUGGUUCGCUCGAAAGUCUUCGUGGAUGUGUAGUAAUUAUUGAGAGUGUCCAGGCUCUUUAAAUAAUUAUUUACCGGGUCACAGCUGCACAUUUCCGAACCUACGCGGUCACACGCUUAACAACGAAUGGUUAUUUCAAGGUCUAGAGUUUGGAAUUUGGUCGAGAGUUGAAUAACGAAGUUGUUCAGAAUGACGAGACAUAUUUUCUGGAGGUUUUAAAUGUGAUUUAGGAGUUCAGAAAUGUUCGGAGUAAUCACGAGUGCUUCCGGAAGGUUUUAGAAGCCUCUAGAAGGAUCCGAUGGAAAUUCCGGAAAGUCAAAUGGCAAAAGGUCAAAAGUCAAAGGUAGGUCAAACCCUGGUCAAAGGUUGACCAUGGGGGCCGGCCAUCUUGGUUUGGAGAAGGGGAUAUAAGACUCCUAUUAGGAGUCCAUAUCUAUUCCUAUUAGAGGUAGGAGUCCUACUCCUUUUGGAGGAGGACUCCUUUCCCCCUUUGGCCGGCCACCCUCCUAUAUAAGGAGGGGAGGGGCGGCCGGCUAUAGGGCACUCUCGCUAGUUGUCCUUUGCCCGUCAAGUCCGAGCUCUCUCCUCUAAAGUUUAGACGUCUAAUUAGUAGAUCAUCUACUUUCCGAUCUAGUUUCUUCCGGCGGUUCUUCGUACUGGACGUCGAAGUGCUGCUGAACUAUUCCUUCGAGACGUGUGGAUACGUGUGGAGAGAUCAUCCACUUCAAUCUUGCGAGCGGAUCGCUGUUCGGCUACUUCAAGCUUUCAGGCGCAGCAGAUCGUGCGAGGAAUACUCUCGCGGCUGGGAGGUAUAACCUAACUACGUGAAUCUGCUACAGGCUUCAACGACAAUCUACUUCCGCUACGGUUGUUGGUACGUGAUCAAUCUAUCGCAUCCGCAUAGUGAUCUUGGUUGGUUCGUUCGUAGGAAAAUUUUAAAUUUCUGCCUACGUUCCCCUUCAAAAGUUUGGUGGGCAGCUCUUGACAACAGUGGGCCUGGAUCCAAAUGACUGUAUUUUCCCUGUGGCCAUGGCUGUUGUUCAGGUGGAAGAUACUCCAACCUGGAAAUGGUUUCUAAGGACAUGGAUUGAGGAUCUUGGCAUAGAGAACACUAGCCAAUGGAUUAUCAUGAGUGAUAGGCAAAAGGGGUUGAUCAAUGCUGUGAAUGCUCUCUUCCAGAUUCACAUCAUAGGUUUUGUGUGAGGACUCUCCACCAGAACUUUGCCAAAAAAUGGAAAGGUGAUGUGUUCAAGAACAAACUUUGGGCCAUUGCAAGGUCAUACACUCAUGCUGACUGGAUGAGGAAUAUGGAGGAGAUGAAGCUGCUAGAUGAAGCUGCACAUGACUAUUUGGAGGCAAUUGAACCUAGUGCAUGGUGCAGAGCAUUUUAGUGAAUUCCCCAAGUCUAACAUGCUGCUGAAUAACAAUUGUGAAGUGUUCAACAAGUAGGUCUUAAUUAAUUUCUCUUUUACAUGCCCAUUUAAUUUAGUUAUCAUUACCUGCACCAUAUGCCCAUUUAAUUUACUUAUCAUUACUUGCACCUAGGUACAUACUUGAUGCUAGAGAACUUCCAAUACUUAGCAUGCUAGAGAAGAUAAAAAACAAGCUCAUGACAAGGUUUUACUCUAAGAACAAAGAGUGUGAGGAGUGGGCUGGCAACAUAUGCCCAAAUAUUAGAAAGAAGUUAGAUAAGCAGGCUGAUAUGGCAAAUAACUGUUUCUUCUUACUUGCUGGCAAAGGAGUGUUUCAAGUUACUGGCUUGAUUGGGCAAUAUACAGUGGACAUUAUGAAGGAGGAGUGCACAUGUAGGAGUUGGCAGCUGGCAGGGAUACCUUGUAGGCAUGGCAUUUCUUGUCUAAGGCAUGAAAGGAUCAAGCCUGAAACAAGGGUAUCACUAUGCUACCGGCUAGAUGCUUUUAAGCAGGCAUAUGGUGAGGUCAUAAUGCCAUGCAGAGAUCUCACAGAAUGGAAAAGUUUGAAUGGGGUUGAAGUUCUACCACCAAAAUAUGACAAAGUUGUUGGCAGACCAAGCCUGAAAAGGAGGAAAAAUCCUGUAGAGGAGGAGCAGGACACAAGGAUGAGCAGGCAUGGCAUUAUUGCACGCUGCAGUGCAUGCAACCAACCUGGACAUAACAAGAGGAGGUGCCAAGAAUUAGGAAGGGGUACUGCUGCUACUGCUGAUGCUGAGCAACCCCAAAAUGAUGUAGAUGCUUCAGCUCCUCAGCCUGCAAAUGCUCCAGCUGGUUCAAAGAAGAGGAAACUACCUGUCAAAAGACAUAUAAUUCCUGCAGAUGCUCCAGCUCCUCAGCCUGCAAAUGCUCCAGCUCCCAGGAAGAAGAAGCAGAUUCUCAAGAAAAACCUCAGUUCUAGCUGCCAGGUAAAAUGAUCUCCAUUUUCAUGUAUAUCAGUACUAAUUCUCUUGCAUAAACAUGACAAAUCAUUACUAUCUAACAUUUCUUGCAAGGCAUCAACAAGCCCCAAGUGUUGCUUUGUCUGGAACAACUGACUUCCAUGGAGUUCUCCCCCAGAACCUUUCAGUGCUACAAAUAUUGUCACAGGUAUGCAUUUCAAUAAACUCUUUCAGUAAACUCGAUCAAUAACAAGAUAUUAACUUUGACCAAAAUUUGCAGAAUGCUUCAACUCAGCAGUCCCAAGCACCAGGCCCUCUUCCGAGAGUACAUUCAUUGCAAACUACAAAGAAGCACUUCCUGUGCCAAGAUCCACCACUGCUACCAGGACACUUGGUCUAGCAGGACAGAAGAGAAGGAAACCAAAGCCAAAAGAAAACAACUGACCUUAGAAGAACCUCAAGAAGGGGAGUACAUUUUGGACAGGAAACUGCACAUUUUGGACGGACAGACUGAUAGUGCACAUUUUGGAUAGACAGUUGUUAGUUAUGGUUCUAUAGUUCUACUAAGUGAACUGUAAUGCAAAGUGAACUGUAUUGCAUUGCUACUUAUGUUCCUGUAGUUCUACCAAGUGAACCUGUGUUUUGGUUGUGACUACUCUUUGAUGUUUUGGUACUUACUCUUUACUUUGCUAUGUGAACUGAUGGAUGCUGAAGAAUGACUAUGGAUGUUCAUGAAAGUACUUUGCAUUGUGAAUUUUCUGCUGUGUUGUCUGUUUGAUACUGAAAUGUUGUCAAAAAUUCUUGUAAUUUUCAUUCAAAUACAAAUAGAACUCUGUCAAAAUUUUGAGUCAAUAUCAAAUAACAUAAUGCAAUGCCUCACAGUUUAGGGUUGGCUAGAAAUCUCUCUAAUUGAGACCAUUCAGCUGACAGAAAGGAGCCAAAUUUCAUUCAUUACAAACCAAAGUUCAUACAUUUGAAAUAGAUGCUCUCUCUUUGAAAACUCUUAUUUCUGAGCCACCACAUACAACGACAGUGCAACAAAGACUACAAAAGCACAUAAAGUCAUCCUACAGGUCACAACCAAAGCAUCCAUCUUCUCCACCAACAAUUUUAUCUCAGAAUUCUCCAUUUUCAUUUGCUGCUGCUUCUGCAUCUUCAGCUCAACCUUCUGCUCCUCAUGCAGCUCCUCCUUCUGCUCCUCUUCUUCAAUCUCUCCACCCCAAUAAGUGCUUGGAAUCAUCACACCAAUGCUUGACAAAUAAUCAAGAUAGGAAUCUUCACCAUCUUCCCAAUAGAAAAACUUGCAACCCCUAGUUCCAAUCUGCCCAAAUCAAAAGUUCAACAUGCUCAGAUGAGCCCCCUCCUCAAAUCGGCCGGCGGCACAAAGCAAACAAAUCCAAGCGAAAUUUGUGCAUAUUAUCAAAGAUUGACUUCUCUUACCAUGUGGUUAGGACACUUGUAGAACACCCUGCUCGGAUUUUGCUCUGAUUUUGAGACUAGGCGGACGACACCUCGGACACGGCAGCAGGGGCAAGUAUCCAGCGGCAAAACACAUGUAGGGAGCUCUGUAAAUGGCGCCGGCGCUGCUCCCUUCCUCCCUCUCUUCAUCGCCGACGAAUUUGAGCCGAACUCCACCCAACGUCGGUUAGGGUUCACGCGAGGGAGAGAGGAGAAGAGGGGAAUAAUGGGGUGGGCUCGCGGGGGAGAAGAAAGAAAGAGUGAGGGGGUUAUGUGCAAAAGCGCAGUCUGCGUGGUACCUGACUGGUGGGCCCGAACAGCCACGUAGGCAGGCGUGCGCCAGAGCGAGCAAGGGACCUGGAAUGAACCACUUAUGAAAGUAUUAGGACUAAAAUGUGCAGAUUUAAAGAAUUGGGACUAACUUGCGACAUAUGCGAAAGAAUUAUGACCUCCGGUGCAUUUUACUCAACAAAAUAUGCUAAUAAUGCGAAGAAGUGUUAUUGCUUAAAUUUUUAAGUGCGUUUGGCUUUAGUUUUGACGUAAUGACAUAAGAAAAAAAUCAAAUCAAAAAUAUUUUUUAGUAAAAACUAGAAAGCCACAAGUUUUUUUUUCAAGGAUCAAGUCUGAACACAUUACAGACUGACACGUCAGAGUACGGAUAGUAUACUACUAACUCCAAAGCGGCCCAAAUUCCAAAUUGGGAUUGCCCACCAUACACCAGACCCAGAAAAUAUAACCCAGCCCAACACGCAACAGCCAAAGCCUCCUCCACCAGAACCUCCAACCGGCUCCGAUUGCAAGAGAAAAAAAAAGGUCGACAGAACCGAGACGAAGAGGAAAGCUCCAGCGACCGCCGCCGCCGCCGCCAUCGAUGGAUCCGAAGCUCACGGAGGUCACCCAGCUGUUCGCCCGCUUCAAAGCGGCCUACUCCCGGAACGACCUCGACGUCUGCGCCAACCUCCUCUCGCAGCUGAAGGUGCGCCCCCGAACCCUUCCCUCCUCUAUCUUCUUCCCCCGCCGCCGCCGCCCCCUCUACCCCUUGCCUCCGCCGGCUUCCCUUGCCGGAGCUCGGGCCUCGUCCCUUCUCUAUAUAUAGUAGGUUUAGUGGUACUCGCAGAAAAAAGGGGGUAGGUUUGGUGGUGUCGACUUCGAGGCUGUUGGCUCUAUGCCUUCUGUGGUCAGCUCGCCGCCGGGAAGGAGUUCCCGCCGGAGUAGACAGAUGAUGCGCUCGGAUCCCGUCUCCCUCGUCGACCAGGUUGCCGCGGAAUUCCGUCGAUCCGGUGCAGAUUCGGCCGGAACCCCAUGAAAAGGCUCCUUCAGAUCUGCUGGACCGAUGCGCCGCCGCCUCGGUCCCUAACCCUGGUCCAUGGUGGAUCUGCCCAGUGAUGUCUCAGUUCCAUGUGUGGCCGAAAGACUCGAUUUCUACUUGGUUUGAGAGCAUUGUUGUGUUUGCCCAUGUGAUUUCCAUACAGGAGAUGUAGAAAUUUUUGUGAAUUGACAUGGCAAACUCCCUCCAUUUGCAGGUCCUCCUCACCAAGUUCCCCAGCCUUCCGCCAUCGUUCCAGCAGACACCGAACGCCGUGGAGGAGCUGAAACUUGCGAGUAAGAUAACUUCGCUUUAAUGUUUUUAUUGUUUAGCAAUCUAGUAUGUGGGUAAGUUCAUUUGUGGUUCAUAACGCCUGAACUGUGGGUUAGUAUUGCUCAUUUGGCUCAUGUCCUUAGAUGCUUAACUUUCUUAUGUGCGAGAGUGAUGUUUCAGUUUGAUGACAAGAUUCAUUGGAUGCCUAUUUUGUACUCCUGGGCGUAAAUGUGUUGUUUUUAGAAGAAAACAUGUGUCUAUAUUGUCAUGGUCAUGUAGUCUGGCAGCAAAUUUCUGUGGCCCCUCCAAUUAUUCAUACUUCAUAACAGAGCAAGUACUAAGAUCAAUCUGAAACCUUUCAGGGGACAUUUACGAGCAUGCAGUUGUUUUGAGUGUGAAGAUGGAAGACCAAGAUGCAUUUGAAAGGGACUUCUGCCAGCUCAAGCCGUAUUACAUGGACACAUGGUUAGUUCCUUUUUACCAUCAUGUACACUGUCAUUUCAGUUCAUAUAUUGUUCCCAGUUUUCUUCCAUCUUCCAUGGGAUUAUUAUUCAGUAAGGUCAAACUAAAGAAGUAUCCUGGCAUAAGUUGCUAAAUGAGUUAAACCCAACAUAGUUUAUUGGGUUAUUCUUGCUUGAGUUAUAUUGCAUUGUCAUCUUUACUGGGUUCAGUUGAGUAGUUGAAUAUGAAACAGGGCUGGGUUGGCAAUUUAUGUGUAAUUUAGUUAGUACUAAACUCUCUCCAUUGCCUGGGCUACUGGUGAGCUGUGAUACAGUGGCAGGCUAGCAAGUGUUUUGUUUCUUCUAUAUCCUAGUAGAGUUUUUUUGACAUCCGAUUUGCUUUUACAAAUUUGCUUCAUUAGACAACAGAACCUUUUCAUAGCUAGCUAUAAAAUUCAGUCCAUGAGUAUUUAUCCAGGAGCAUUUGGAUUUUUUGGCUUGCGUACAUUAUGCCGCGUCGCACUAAAUCAUGAUUAUGCAUGCAGUGGCAUAAUUCCCCCAUCACCGGAGGAGUACCCAAUUUUGGGGCUUAAUCUUCUGAGGCUGUUGGUCCAGAAUAGAAUUGCGGAGUUCCACACUGAGCUGGAGCUUCUGCCCGCCAAAGCACUAGAUAAUCUUUGCAUCAAGCACGCAGUCGAGCUUGAGCAGUCCUUUAUGGAGGGCGCCUACAACCGAGUCUUGAGUGCUCGACAGGCUGUGCCGCAUGAAACCUAUGUAUACUUCAUGGACCUUCUUGCUAAGACAGUUAGGUAAGUGUGUUUAUCAUUCCUGCUUCCUAUUAGAUCUCUUGGUGUACAAUGCAUGCAACCCCUUACUGUGAUUUUUGUUCUGCGUCAGAGAUGAAAUAGCUGGAUGCAGCGAGAAGGGAUAUGAUUAUUUGUCAAUAAGUGAUGCAAAGGAAAUGUUCAUGUUCAGCUCUGACCAAGAGCUGCAACAGUACAUCACCGAGGUAAAUUCCAUUUCCUUCCAACUUUGUUCCCAUACGUGUGAAUUACGCAAUACCACCAUAGGUUCUAACUAUUAUAUCGUUGACAGGAACACCCUGAGUGGGAUGUCAAGAAUGGCUCAGUCUUCUUCCAAAAGGCGAAGGAGUCCCAGCCCUGCAAGGAGAUACCGGCUGCACCGGUCAUCAACCAAACCCUCGGCUACGCGAGGGAAUUGGAAAGGAUUGUGUGAUCUGCUCCUGUGAUCUUUUGAUGUUUCUCUGUAACCGUUCAUGGUGCCCUGUAUUAUCAAUACGUUCGUGAUAUGCUCUGGUGGCAGGCAGCUUUGGACAGUGAAUUUCCAUGAAAAGGUCGAUUAUUGGAUUGUCUUGUUUACUCAGCUGUAUUUCGUUAAAAUCAUUUGUUUGACUUAACUGUUUCCAAACUGAUUUGCGGUACACACAAGUGCAGACUAUCGGCAAAAAUGGCAAACGUAACAUUGAAUUUACAUGUGGUGUAAUUCUUCUAGUUAGAUUUUGUUUCCCUACAAUUUUUUUGGAGAAAAAAAACCAUAAGCUUUGACAUUCUGGAAAAACAUUUUUUGCUAUGGUUUUUGAAGAAAACAAGUAUGGCUAACGUUUUGAAAACACAUCUCGAUGCAAACAGACACCAAAAAUCAAACACAUUUAACUAAAACGAGCAUGCCAAAGCUAAACUUCAGGGAUGGCAACUGUGUGGAUCUAUGUGCCUUGUCUAAUGCGUUCACCAUGAAAGAACCGUUUUCAUAGAAGUACUUCAUACAAAAAUAGCUUAUCAUGCAAGAAGUGUUUUCAUACAACUACUUCAUACAAAAGUAGUUUGAGGAAGGAUUAUAUGUGUGAGCCAGCAUUUCUUUUAACCAGACGCAAAAUAAGCUGCCCUUUAAAUAUAUCACCAUCAACCAUUAUAAUCGUGGAUUUCGAGAUGAAACUCAUUCGAGCAUUUCUUUCAACAUGGUAGCACUACUGAGAUAUUGGAAGAGAACAAAAGCAAAAUUUUAUUGGGUUUGGUAAGAAAGGUCUCUAACAGGAGAUGAGUAUGCAGAUCGGACAUUUCCUCAAAAAACAAGUGUCCGAGCCGCACAACAGAGAGCCCAUCACGGCAUAGGCAAUCUUCGACCUUGGAGUGGCAGAGGAAGGUCGAGUUUCAGAUCAAAGGCUCCACUUAUUCAAGAUCAAACACACCACUUAUUCAAGAUCAAAGGGACUGAGAUCCAGGCUGCACCUGAUCCCAGUCCAGAUCAAAGCCUCCAAUUCAUAUGGUAGUAGUAUUUUUGCCAAUUCUCAGAUAUUUGCCAAUUCUCAAAAAUGGAAGAUUUUCCUUACCAACGCUUCAAUACCUGACCACAUUCGAUACAUUUUUAUCUAUUUAUUAUGUAGGGGAUAUGUGUUAUAUUACAUUGAACAAAGGAAAUUAAUCAUAAAGAACGGUGUUGGGGUUUUUUUUUACAGCUAGCAAGGCUCAGAGAUCUAGCCAAACUUUACCACUACUUCAAAUUACUUACAACAACUUAAAAUUACUUACAACAAUGGAGCGUUGAUUGUCAAAAUAGCAUCGAAGUUCUGUUGAUAGUGUUCCCAGUGUAUUAGUCUGUCAACAACGGUGUUUCAGAAAAAAAAUGUAAGAGUGGAAAAGUGCUCUUUAAACUUUAAGGUUCAUUUAAAACAAAAACUAAAUUACUGCAUUUUAAUUUUCAAGGUGCUUGUUACUUUUGUAAUGCAUCGUAGGCAUCCGUAGGAUCAAAUUCAGUGGGAGCUUAGCCUACAAAUUCCAGAAAAAUGAAACAAGUUCAUCCGAGCAUGCCAAGAGUGGAACUUCUGUGGCCUGUUGGAUAUUGAUGCAUGUCUGUCUUUGUCUAGAUUCUCAUCAGUCAUAUGCUACCUCCCUCCUACUCCAAACCAUUUCGGUGUUUUUGUAGAUCAAAAUAAUAGCCUACCAAAGCAUUUUGUAUUUGGAACAUAAGUACUUCGUACAUUGUUUGCUAAAUUGGAGACGUGACUAGAGUUUCAUAAACCCAAGAGUUGCACACAUAAUUAUUUCGUUAGUACACAUCAUGUUCCUAUCUCUGAAAAUAAUCCGGCCUGAUGAUAACCACGUGGUACUCGCAUUAGUUUUUGAUUCGGUUGUCGAUUUUACUUACACAUGCAUAUUUUUCGGGUACAGAAACCAAAUGAUGCAUUACAAAUUACCGAUUUAUAUGCAAUACAUAAACGGAUAAAUAAAUUGGAGGUAUACUUGUUAUGAGUACGCAUGAGACAUUUGGAAACCAAACCAUUUCGAUUUUUUGUAUACCAACUAUGCUUUCAGAGACAAAAUAGCCCAUUGGGAAAGACCAAAAUCAAAACAUAUGGCACUAUCGCACAAAGGCACUUUGCCGAAUCGACAAAGCCCUUUUAGCCUUCAGCAAAGGCUGUUCAAGGCCUUUUUUGAUGGCCUCAUGUUGUUGCAUAGUUCGAUCGAUGCAACAUAGCCUAUUGGGAAAGACCAAGAUCAAAACAAUUACGGGUCAAUUUGAAAGCAAGUACAGUAGUGUAUUUUGCACCAGCCAUACCUAAGGUGCCAUCACACAAAAACUAUUUUCGUAGAAGUACAAUCACACACAAAUAAUUUGAGGAAGCACUUCUUUUUUUUCGUAGAAGUACAACCAACUCUGAGGUACCCUUCAAAUAGCAAAACCUAAAACCACAUAUCAUUGUUUUGAGGAUGAAAAGACUCGAUGCAUGUCUUUAGAAUUCACGACUACACUAAGAUAUUGGAGGAAAACAAAGAUUUGUUAUAACUCAGAACUUUUGGUUCUGUAGUUUGACAGAUCGAUGGCUGCUACUGCGCAUCACAAACUAGGAUGUGUGCGAGUGGCAACAGCCUAAUGCGCCGCGGCAGAUGAACCACGCCGGCAGGGCGAGGAAAGAAGGCCGGGAUGGGAAGCAUGCUUGGCUCCGGUGAAGCGACGAAGCUCGGUCUAGAGAAAGUACCGGAUGAGUGCGCGGCGCCAUCGUCGCAACCAUCACCGUCGACGUUGUACCGUCAUCCUGCCGAUGCUUGUACUCUGCUAUUCCUCAUAACCUUCAGCCAAUUUUGCCGCCGGGCGAGUCUUGUUGUGCGCGUCCCAGCGAUCGGCGGAGGACGUGCGGUCGGGAGGUGGACUUCUUGUGAUGGGUUCUUCUCCUCGAUGUGCCGAUGAUGCUGGGCUGAUGUCGUCGUUCUUGUGCACGUCCCACCCGUCAACGGAGUCGGCGCGUUGCCACUGGCGGGGUCGAGAGGAGACAUGAUCAAGCAAAACCUUCUUGAUCCAAAUAAAUGUACCAGCGAGCCAGGACCGGAAAGACAGGUGCUCAAAUCGAUCGAUGUAUCUUGGUGUGAACCGGUGAACUAAAGUAUUUUCUAGAGUACAAUGCAGAUCAUUUUUCACCAAAGCAAAACUAUUUGUCACUAUAAAUUAAUUUGCUAGUCACUCAACCAGCCCCGGAAGUAUUUUCGAUUUGUUCAGUAGUUUGUCUUUUGAGGUACUGGAGGCAAAUGUUAUCAUAGCUAGAGACUAAGACCAACAUGAAACUAUUUGGAUAAUUGGAUAUGGUUCAAUUUAAAGUCUAAGAACCUUCCCAUAGAGAGUGGAAACAACAGCUCAAACGAACAAUCGGCUUGUCCAUAGAGCGUCCAGACAGCAAUGACAAUAACGUCUCAGACACAUCACACGCUCUGUAGCUCAUCCUACCUUGUAUGUUUGGCAAAUAUAAUACGGAGUAUGUGUUUUGACAUGACUAAAAUCUGAAGAAAUAUUUUUCAAAUGAAAUUUCUUGGAACAUUCAACAGUACACAGUAACAGCGCAUCCCCAUGCCCUCGAAAUCAAGAAGGCCAGCAAAGAAAACUUAGCAUGCUAGAAUCAGAGUUUACAAGCCAACAAAAGCCAUAGCUUCUGCAAAAAAAUUUGGCUAUAACAAGAAGGGCCUUGAAUGACGGCAUUUUUUGACCGAAAACUGUGCUCCACUAGAAACUUUAAGCGAUCCAUCGUGUCAUUACAGGAAUUUACAACAGCCUGAACAUCUUCGGGCCAUUGUGGUAAUGUAAAAAAUUACACAAGCACACUGCACACCAAUUAAUGAUGUUGCAGAUGCUGUGUGCAACAUAGAGAGAAGAGAACAAGAAGCUCAGAACCACCAGUCAAACGGAAGGAAUUUAUCAUGUCGAAAUAAAAAAAGAAUUAAAAGCUUUAUUUUCCAGGAUAAGAUCCUAAGUUUCUGACAGUUGGAAUCCACAGAUUGCACUCGCUUUACAGCAGGGCAACAAACUAAUUAAAUUGAUGCCCUCAUGCUGUCGCCUGACGCUGAAUACACCGCUGCUCUGCUCCGCAAGCUGUUGAACGAUUAGGUGGAUGAAAUGGAUACCACAAAAUCGCACCUUCUUGUCCAGACUCGAAGAACAGCCUAGGAUUAGAUCAUUAGAGAGAUGUGUGGCGAUGGGCUCUGUUGGGUCCAAAUUGACCUUUGAGCUGCGGUAUUUUUUGCGGCCGCUUCCAGUUUAACCCUGGAACAGCUACUCCACUAGUUAAAAAAGAAAAAGAAGUUAGGUUUCGGGUACCAGCAUAGAUCUAGUGGCUCGUAAAGAAAGUUUGCAAGUUUGCACAAUGGUUUUCACUGGAUACUUCCCUUUCAUCAAAAUAGGCGCCUUAUGUAGAGUUGGGGAUAUCAAUGUGUCUUGAUAUAUACCACCACAAUCUUGGCGAUUUUGAAAAAUGCCAUUGCAAUUUUUAUCUUUUGGAAAAUACCAUUACAAAUUAGAAUAUUCUUCGAAAAAUGCCACUAGAAUGGGUCAAAAGAUAUGGCAUUUUCGAAGAAUGAAAAUUGCAGUGGCAUCCCUACCUGGAGCGCUCCUCAUGCAUAAACUGUUUUCAUACAAGUGGCUAGUACAAGGAGGAGGAAGGAUUAUAUGUGUUGAGCCAGCAUUCCUAUCUUAUUUGUACGUAGUCACGCAUUUGCUUUUGUGAGUACACAUUCAUGCUCCUAUCUCUGAAAACAGAUUUGGUUGUUGCAUACUUCGAGGCAAAAUAACCUAUUGGGAAGACCAAAAUCAAAACACUUACGUACGUGUCAAUUUGAAAGCAAGUAUGUUGUAUUUUGCGCCAGCCGUACGUAAGGUGCCAUAUCAUGCAAAAACUAUUUUCAUACAAGCACAAUCACACACAAAUAGUUUGAGAAAGCAUUUUUUUUGUGUGUAUGAAUCGGUGUUCCUUUCACCGUGUGAGCAAGAGAGACCAACUGUGAGGUGCCCUUCAAAUAGCAAAAACAAAAAUCACAAACCGUUGCUUCCAGCGAGAAUGAAGGUAUGCUUGAUGCAUUUUCUUCAGAAUUCACAACUACACUGAGAUAUUGGAGGAGAACAAAAAAACUGUUAUAACUCAGAACUGCAACUUCUGUGGUUUCACAGAUCGAUGACUGCUACAAGGCACUGUAAACUUAGUUUGGUGCGAGUGACCACAUCCUGCUACAACUUCUGUCGUUGCCGUCCCAGAUCGACGAGGACAUGGGUUCUCGGAAUUGAGAGGGGUGGUAGUGAGCUCUGACCUCACGAGGAGACGAAGAAAACAUUCUACCUGGGCCGGCGGAAACGAGCUGGGCGUCUCGAAUCGCCACUCCAUCGUCUCUCUGGCCGGUUCCCUCCCCUCGGCCAGGCCAAUCCAUCGUCUCCGGCAGGCCGGCUUGCCGCCCCCGCCCUGCAGGCUCCCCGUGCAGCUCGACCUCGUCCUUCUCCGCCGCGGCGCCGCCCCACGCUAGGCUACUCAGCUGCUGUGCUGCCCAGUGGCGAUUCUAGGAUGAAAAUAGAGGGUGGGCUCAAACAACAAAGUCCCAAGAUAAAUUUCAGCAUUCGAUUGAUACCAGAUUGUACUCGGAAAAUGUCUUUUUACUGAAAUUGUACUCCUGAAAUGUUAUCCAUAGCUACUGUGUACAUACAAAAAAAAAUUAGAACGGAGCAAAAUCGUAUCUUAAUUUACACGCUUCGAGAUAAAAAGUUUUUUCGAUGCAUGUCUCAGUAAAUGUGAGGAUAUAAAUUCACUUUACCGAGACAUCGAAACAACUUUUUAUUGAUGGAGGGACCACACAUGGGAGCGAUAUACAAGCCAAUGAUGCAUGGCAAGCAAAAGCUUGAUCCGAAAAUUGCGAGGAUUAGGUUCCGAGAGCACCUGAUGCUGUAACUUCAGAACUGUUGGAGGAAGGUUUUCAUAAAGUUUUUUUUUUUCAUCUCCUCAUCACCAGCAUCACACUGACAACCAUUUGUUUCUACGCCUUAAAUGUGACCAUUCGGUAGGUGAGUGAUUGCCUGGACAUGCUGCAUUAGAGAUAUGUGACCUCCACCAAAGUUGAUGGUUCCUUCCUCGGUAUCAACUAGUUGAAUUAAAUUAUAAUUCAAAGAUUUGUGGUUGCAUGUCAAUCAGCUCUCACAUCCCAUUCCUAUGACAUACCUUUGAGCAUCUCUACUCCGAGAUCAUGACGGCAUUGGGAUUUCACGUUAUUUCUAGAGGAUGAACCUCCAUGUUGCUUUUUGUUGCUAGCAGGGGUUGUACGUGAAUCAGACAUCCUUUUCAUGUAUUUCUCCUUAUAGUUUGACACAUUGUUAAUCACCCUAGCGCAAAAACCUUAAAGCAGCCAAAAACUAGAUGAAAGCAGAAAAUUGAAACCACCGGAGCCUACAACUGACAUUCUUCUUAACAGACUAUCUCAAUGUUUGACAUUGGUUAAUUAUGCUGGUUUAUUAAUAGGAAUUUUCUGGGCUUGAUGCAGAACAAGGAAAAUAAGAGUCUGUCUCUGUUCAUGAUAUUUUUCUUCGUUGAAUUUAUUAUUGAGAUAAAUCACAGAAGAAAUGCAAGCAAUACUUCUGUGAAAAAAAACUAGCAACAAUGAAUUAUUGUUUGAAAAAAAACUAGCAACAAUGAAUUAUUGUUUCUAAAUUAUUUGCGCUAGGGUGAUUAACAAUGAAUCAAUAUUUUGUUUUGUUAAAUCAAUGAAUCAGUUCAAUUUUUUUUUUGACGAAACGGUACGGCGUACCAUUAUAUAUCAAAGAAGGUCAAGGGGAACCUUAACCCGAGAGUACAAGAAAGAUCAAAACAAAAGCAAAAUAAAGAAAGCAAUGUACAAGGGGAUCAAAAGAGCUAAAAAGGUAUCAACGAACAUCAUCCGUUCCGGAGACCAGCUUUCCAAGUCCUGAAGUAUCCAUCAAUUCUGGACAGUAAAAAUACAAUUUAACUGACAUUGAAAGACCGGCCCAGAUUUCUCUGUGUUGCUGUCGUCCCAGAUGAAUGCCGGUGGUCAUGGGUUCUUCUUCUUGAUGUACCGAACAUGACGGCGCGAUGAUGAUGCAAGGCGUUAUCAUCGUGCUCCUCAGGGGAUUCGGGAGUAGGCACUCGAGUGAGAAACCCCGCGGCAGACAUGGUUAUCGCUCGCUCAACGGACGCCAUCGAUCAAAUCAUCAGAGGCGUUCAUACGGAGAAAUCUGUACUGUCGGCCCAAAGUUGCUAGUAACUGUUGGCUCAGAAUGGCAGAACUUAACACUGAAUUUACACCUACUAUUCUAAUUGUUCUAGUUAGACUUUGUUAUCCGACAAACUUAAUUUCUGAGAAAAUAAAACAGGAAGCUUUGACCUUAUGAAAAAGUACCUGCCCUGAGUACCUUUUCCCAAAGGUUUUUGAAGAAAAUCAAGCUUUUAGCUCGACGCGUUUAUAUCUAUGUCCCUUCUUUCUCUAAUCAAGUGCUAACGCAUUAUCUGAGUCCGAAAGAAAAAGAAGUCACCAAAAAGUAACACAUCGGGACGGGAGAUGGGACCGAGACGGCCUCUCUGCUCAGCUUCAUCGAUCUUGUUCUGUUCCGCUUUCCCCACCUCUGCUCCCGUCGCCAAUAGCGACUCCAAUAGCGACUGGAAGUGACGAUGGAAGAGUGGAUGGGAAGGCGGUCCGGCAAAGUGGGCGGCUCGCGGCUAAGGCAUCUAAGGGUCUCUCAUCCCUCGACAAGGCAAAGCUUGUUCUGAUGAAGAAGAGUGGAAUCUGUCCGGAGGAUGGGGCACAAGGAAAAGAGGCACUGGAGAAGUACCGCGGCCUAUUCAAGCAGGAACUCCCGACGAGCUUCAUGGAGGCUGUCUCCGCUCUACUGGACUCUUCCCGCCAGGGGGGAGGGCUGGUUCCAGGGGCAGGGACUGCCGUCUCCGCCUAGGGUUCUGACGGCAUUUCGCCGAUCCGUGGUUGCAGGUUCUUUAAUGAUUAGCUCAAAAUUAGGGGAUUGUUGCUAUGUGUCUUCUUGCCAUGAGGUACUGCUAGUUCGAGUUGUGGUUUGUGGCCAGUGUUCGUGCUGUCAGGUUGUAGGCUUGCUGUUCGUGGUUGUGGCAGUCUGUUGUCUUUUUCUGCUAAGCUUUUGCAAUUUCCUGAGUGAAGAAGAUGUUAAAUGAAUUGCUCGAUUUUAAGUUGGAAUGUCCGGGGGCUUAAUAACCCGGCAAAGAGGUGGGCUGUGUUCAAAUCUGUUACGGAGUUUGAUUGCAAAAUUGUGUGUCUGCAAGAGACUAAAUUGGCAGUCAUCAGUCGGAACAUUGUUGCUGAAAUUUUGGGAGGGAGAUUUGCUGACAAUUUUGUUUUCAAGCCGGCGUUUGGUACGCGAGGAGGUGUAUUGUUUGCUUGCACUGAGGAUUUUGCCUUCUGCUCUGAUUCCGUGGUGGAAACUGCAAAUGCCAUCACAGUCCUGGUUCGUGACAAGGCAACAGGAGACAGUUGGUUCAUGACUGGGGUGUACGGACCGCAGGAAGAUGCUGAGAAGAUCUUAUUUAUUCAGGAGCUUAGAGACCUAAAAGGCAUGGUGGGCAAUGAAUGGAUGAUUUUGGGAGACUUCAACAUGAUUAGCCGCACGGUGGAUAAGAGCAACACUAAUAUCAACCUUCAGAUGAUGGGCAGAUUUAGGUCUCUAAUCGAGGAUCUGGAGUUGAUUGAUUUUCCGUUGGUUGGGCGUAGGUUCACCUGGUGCAAUGAGAGGGAAGUGGCUACUCUCACGAGGAUCGACAGGGUGCUUGUCUCCAAAGAUUGGGACUUGAGGUUCCCACAAUUUCAGCUUGCACCUGCUUCUACUGCGGUUUCAGAUCAUUGUCCUUUGAUUCUGAGCAAAAUGGAGAGGAAACCAUUCCGUGGUUUCAGAUUUGAAUUGGUUUGGCUUAAUUGGCCAGGUUUUUUCCAGGUGGUUAAUCUUGCAUGGUGCAAACCAGUUAUUGCCAGCGAUCCGGUCAGGAUUUUGUUUAUAAAGCUUUCACGUGUUGGAAAGGCUCUGAAAUGCUGGAGUCGAAAGCGAUUGAAAGAGAUGAGGCUUGCUGUUGAUAUUGCAAAUGAGCUUAUAUUCCAGCUUGACUUGGCGCAGGAGGACAGAAGGCUUUCCCCGCUGGAGCUGGAUUUCAGAAAAUCAUUGAAGAGCAGACUUUUAGGCUACGCGGCUAUCGACAGAGCUAGAUGGCGGCAGAAAUCUAGAAUGAUUUGGAUCAAGGCUGGUGAUGCAAACACCAAGCUCUUUCACUUCAGAGCAAAUGGGCGGCGGCGUAAAAAUCAUAUGCCAUCUUUGCAGGGGGAGGCUGGUAUUGUCAAAGACCACUCCGGGAAGGAAAUUUUUUUGAAAGAUUUUUUUGUUCAGCUUCUUGGUGAAAGAAGGCGAAGGGAUUUGAGUUUGGAUUUUAAUUUUCUGGGAAUUCAAAGAAGGAAUCUUGAGCACCUGGACGCAAGAUUCUCGAUGGAGGAAAUUAAGACGGCGGUGUUUGAGUUGCAUGCAGAGAAGGCGCCUGGUCCUGAUGGGUUCGUGGGGGCUUUCUUCAAGAAGUGUUGGCAUAUAAUUGCAAGCGAUCUUGUGGCUGCGAUCAGAGGUUUUCAUGACCUUAGAGGAUGGAAUUGGCACCUCCUAAAUUCUGCUAACUUGGUGCUCCUCCCAAAGAAAGAUGCAGCGGCUGAAGCUAAGGAUUUUCGCCCCGUGAGCUUGAUGCAUGGCGUGGCGAAGAUUGUGUGUAAGAUUUUGGCUUCUAGGCUCGCUCCGGAGCUCCAGGACUUGAUUUCUAUAAGCCAAAGUGCGUUCAUCAAAAGGAGAUGUAUCCAUGAUAAUUUCCUUUUUGUGCAAAGUGUCAUCAAGAAUGCACAUGUCAAGAAGAAACCAAUGCUGUUUUUCAAGUUGGAUAUUGCAAAGGCUUUCGACUCGGUGCACUGGGAAUAUCUUUUAGAAGUUCUUGAGAAGUUUGGUUUCGGGGCUCGUUGGCAAGACAUGGUGGCGCUGAUGCUGAGCUCCUCUUCCUCUCGGGUUUUGCUGAAUGGAAUCCCUGGUGCUCCCUUUAAGCAUAUGAGGGGUCUAAGACAGGGCGACCCUCUUUCACCAAUGCUGUUUAUUCUUGCGAUGGAGCCGCUACAAGCGAUGUUUGCGAAGGCGACCGACUACGGCAUCCUCUCUCGCCUUGAGAACCAAGCGGCGAGGCUGCGGCUAAGUCUAUAUGCAGAUGACGUGGCCCUAUUUAUGAAUCCAGUGGAGAGAGAGAUUGAUGGGAUGAGGCAGAUCUUGCACUGUUUCGGGAGAGCAUCCGGGUUGUUGAUUAACUAUGCAAAAUGUUCAGUUUUCCCGAUUUCUUGCCACAAUGUGGAUUUGGAAAGUGUUUUACAUGAUUUUGGUGGAACCCGGGGACAGUUCCCAUGCUCUUACCUGGGGCUUCCUCUUGGUUUGCGCAAGCCAACGAGAAUUGAGGUGCAGCCUUUGAUUGACAAAAUGUCCGGGAAGCUCAAGACUUGGAAAGGAAAGCUGCUGUCUAGGCAGGGGAGAUUGACUUUGAUUAACUCGGUGCUCUCCGCAUCGACCACCUAUUUCUUGACUUGCUUUGCGCCCUCAGCCUGGAUUGUGAAGAAGAUUGAUCGUUUGCGAAGAGCUUUUCUUUGGAGUGGGGAGGAGGAGACAAAUGGGAGUAAAUGUUUAGUAAAUUGGAAAACAGUGUGUGCUCCAAAAAUCUGUGGGGGGCUGGGGGUAAAGGAUCUAAGGGCUUUUGGUAGGGCUUUGAGGCUGAGAUGGGCCUGGCAUGCUUGGGAUUCGGCUGAAAGGCCAUGGAAAGGAAUGAAAUUGCCUUGUGAGCCUACUGACAUGGCCUUAUUUGCAGCUUGCGCUGUUAUUUCAGUUGGCAACGGAGAGAGGAUCAGCUUUUGGCAUGACAACUGGACGCAUGACAGUGCGUUUAUGGACAUGGCUCCGGAGUUAUACAAAUUGGCUAGAUUCAAGAAAAUUUCGUUAAGCGAAGCUGUUGGCACGGGCAGAUGGAUUCGGGGGCUGCACAGGCUUGAUUCUUUAGAGAUGCUGCAACAUUUCAUUUCUUUUUGGGAAAAGGUACAGGGAACCACUCUGAAUGAGGAGGAAGACUCCAUUAGAUGGAAAUUCGAUGCCAGUGGUGUUUACACAGCCAAAUCAGCUUAUGAGGUGCAAUUUUUAGGGAGAACUUCAAAGGUGGCUCUAAACUCAGUUUGGAGUGUCAGAUGUGAGGGCAAAAUUCGGUUUUUCCUGUGGCUUUUGUUCCAGAACAGGCUGUGGACUGGGGAUCGGCUGGCUUCGAGGGGCUGGCCUCAUGGAGACAUUUGCUGCUUUUGCGAUCAGGUUUUGGAGACGGCACGGCACCUGAUUCUUGAUUGCCCUUUCUCCAAAGAGAUCUGGGCAUCUUUCUUAAGAGAGAGGCUGAGGAUGUGUAGGAUCGUUGAGCAAAGUACUUUGCUAAUUGGUUGGUGGAGCCGCCUGCUGAAACUUAACUCAAGGAAGAAAAAUCCGGACAUUGCGUGGGCUAGCAUGGUCGUGUGGCAUAUUUGGAAAGAAAGAAAUCAGCGAAUCUUCAAGGAUUGUAGAUCAUCGUCGCAAAGCGUGGCUUCGGUUAUUAGAUCUGAAUGCGCCCUCCUGUUGGAGGAGUGUUGGGAGUAGCUUAUUUCAUUUGAAACCAGCCAGUUGCUUGUAAUUGGCUUGGUUCUUUUUGUCAAUUCAUGUAUACUUUCUCGUCCACUUUAAUGAAAAAGCAGAGCUCCUGCUAAGUUCUUCAAAAAAAAAAAGUAACACAUCAUCAGAAGUUUUUGCAUUUUCUUUCUUUGCAUCACCAUUAUCGCUCAAAAGAAGCCAUGGCAUGUGUUUUUUUUUCCUGUUUCUGCGUUUUAAUGUUUGGUUACGAAUAGCACAUUUGCUCCUUCUGCAGCUUCAAAAUUUUGUCAAAAAGUUCUUGCUCAAAAUCUAGUCAGGAAAACAGAACACAAACGUGCAACUUGUAGCUCGUAUGCAUGUUUUUGGUCCGGAUGAUUUCUUCUACUGACGGAACCAAGAUCUGAACAUACCCUACACCCGCAUACAGAGAAUGUUUCAUGCCAACACAAUUUCAGAAAUGAGGUCGCAGAUCACAGACUAGCCCUUGCUGGCAUUAGCAGAUGCAGAUGCAACGAGACAAAUAUAAACUAUUAUAAGUAAGCGAUCCAUAACAAGUGUCUCAGAUUUUGUACUAACUUAAUACAAAGUUGUACAAGGUCUGAGACACGUAAUAUUGAUUGGAGGGAGUAGUUAAACACACGCUACUGGAAGACGUAACCUGGUGAAGCAACAGAAAGCUUGUCUUUCACACCAACUAUCCAGAAUACAUACAUGGGACCCCUACAUACAUACACACACACGAACUAUAUAUCCACAAAAGAUGGUAUUGGGGAGAAGAUCACAGAGAGUUGUGCUCAGUCAUCCCAGGCCACAUCGCUCAAGUCGGACAUCUGGGACGAGGAACCCGAGGAGUAUUCCCAGUAGUAGUUGUCAGCAUACUCACCAACAUACUCCACUGCUGCUUCGUUAUGAAGGACACGAGCCUCCAUUUCACGUAGAUCAUCCUGUUCGAAACAAAUGUUACGGAGAUCUGGGCAGUGGACACGAGGCCAGCGUCCAGGCAGCCAGACAUGCGUGAGCUUGGCGCAGCGAGCCAGGAGUUCAUCGUCCACUUGGAGGUGGCGGCACGCGGUGAGGUCGACGCACUCGAGGCGUGGGCAGCCGUCGAGGAUAGUGUAGACUCCUCCAUUGGUCAGGCUGUCAGCUGCCAGCUGAAGGAGUUGCAGCUCGUGCAGGUUUGCCGCGAUGGCAAACGCCACCCGGUUGUGCCUCGCCUCCCAGUCCCCGUAAGGGAAACCUGGGAAGAAAGGCCCAACCUCAUCAUCAGCAGCAGUAUCUCCGUUGUCGUCGUCCUCGUCGUGGUACUGUUCAGGGGACUGUGCUGUUCCAUGCUCAUCUCUGGGAUCGUUGCAUAGUACUGUUCCAUGGUCAUCUCUGGCGUCAUUGCUUCUGAGUUGAACCAUGGCACAUGGAUUCUUAGGCGUUUCAGCUGUGGGCGCGCUGCGCCAAGCUGCUUGAGAAAAUAUGCUGGAUGCUUCUGAUGCGAGCAUUCUAUCUCUUCCAGCAUUGGACAUUUAGCUGCAAGCCUGGCAACUCUGUCAUCCGGAAAGUAUCCCGAUGCGAUGAUUCGAAUGCUCUUCAACGAGUUUCCUCUGCAGAGUUAAGAAUCAAAAUAAACACGAUAUAUAAAAUCAACCUCAGACAAGAAAUACAACAGGACCGCAUAACAAGUUAACAGUAAGCAUACUUUCUCCUUAAAGCGAAGUGCUUGGAGCGAUCACAUAAUCACAUACUCCCUCUGAUCCUAAAUUCUUGACCCAAAUUUUCCCAAUAUGGAUGUAUCUAUUCUUAAAAAGCGUUUAGAUGCAUGUAAUAUUUCGACAACAAUUUAGGAUCGGAGGGAGUACCAUAAUAUCAAAAGAGAUAGCUCACUUACUAGGCAAUAAGCGAUCUGUCCUAAAUAGGCUCUCCUAAUUGCAGACAUAAAAGAGCUAGUAGGUAAAGUCAUAUUCGGUUUUAGUUUGCAAACUACUAAUCUCUAGAAUUUGGAGUGUCCUUUGAACACCUAACUAUACUAGACAUGUCAGAAUAAUACAUCAUAAAAAAACUGACCAAUUUUGACAAAAUUUCACCAAGCCGAUAUGACAUCACUUCACUGCCCAGGUUAAAUUCCUGCUUGGCAAAAACUAUUAAGGGAGGUAAAUAGUGUGACAGUGCUCAAGACUGAUAGGUAGUAUGUAGUAAAAGGUGCAGACAUUCAAGAGCAGAAAUUUGGGGCCCAAAGAAAAAUACCUGCUUGCAAUGUAAUCCAGGAGUUCGCUACUGACAAACUUCUGUGCCCAGAAUGACUCCAUCCGUCCGUCAGAACGAUCUACGGCCACCUUUGCCAUUUUGCACAUGACAUCUCCCGCCUUCGAGAACACCACGUUGUGCCGUGGACAUGACACGAAACGCCACAAGUCAGGCAACUUGGCGGCCUCCAACCAUGAGUGGCACACAAGCCCCGCACCCAUCAGGAUCUCAAUGGUCCCAAGCUUUGUGAAGAUAGCAGAAAGCGCAUCAACUGUGAGCUCAGACCAAUCCCUAACUUCAGGCACAGGCAAAGGUUUUGGCUCCGCCUCCAUUGUGCGAGGUAGUACCUAAAAAUGAGGGUAUCAUCAAAAAGAGAACAAGGAUGACUAACUCUAAUUUGCAUGAUGCCAUGCUAAAUCACAGGUUGCACACAACAUAGAAGAAUUUAAUGUAAUGUAGUUAGAAGUAGCUUCUCUGUACAAGGUAAAUGUAACUUUUAGGAUUAAACCUAUGGAUUAUAGAAUGGUUAAAUGGUUUAGACUGAAGAAACUUCAGAUCUCUAAGUCUUAUAUAUGUCCAUUUACUCUAAUCAACAUUCCAACUAAUGUACUGAUAGAUGAAACAUGUAAAACUCUCUGCCCCAAUGCUCAAUGUGUUAAGAGCAUCCCCAAGAGUUUCCCUAUCUCAUACACAGUCCUAUUUGGGCAAUAUGUGUUGGAAAUAAUCUUUCCUUAAUUCACGUUAGUCUGUCUGAGUACUAUUUGAGUUAGUAUUAGGAAUCCGCGUGUUACUUUCCUAGAGAGAGGAGAGAUUUACGGGGAUGAAUCGUUUAUAGGGACCCAUAGGGAACCAAAUUUUGAGGAAGCUGCUGGAGAUGCUCUAAGAGACCCACACACACAAUAGAAAAGAAACCAAAAGGGAGUGGUUAUCUCCCUCUCUGACAUUGGGUACCAAUUAACUGUCAGAAACCAACUACUUAACUUGGUGACUAGCAACAAUGAAAUAAUUUACUUGGCAGGAAGAAACUUCUUGUCAAGUUUGUUAUAAAAACAAAUACUUCUUGGCAAUUACUGCUAGAUUGAAAUGAUAACUCCACACCUCAGAUGGAAUCGAAAUGAAGAACCUCUGACAUAGUUACCAUUGUGGAGGGAAGCGGCAGAGUCUUCAUUUCAGGGCAUUUUUUAUGGACAAUGAUAUCCGAGGGUCUGAGGUUUCCGUUGGGAAGCUGAUCUUUCCCGUCUUCAUGUUCCAUUAUCAUUCCCUCCUCAGAUUGAUCAUGCUGCUCCAUUCUCAUUCCCUCCUCAGAUGGCUGAUCCAUCGCAACACCAGUCUAAUAAAAAAAAUACGCUUAAGUAGUUUAUAUAAAUAUCAGGUGCAUCAAAUAGUUUUUUAAGAAGAUACUAAGAAUUUGAAACUACUCCUAAUAAAUUAUUAGCUUCCCUUCCAUGAUGGGCUAAAUGCUUUUAAGCUAUGAACAUGGUUUAGCUAAGUUGUAAGUACAGAGCUAAAAUCACAAAGCCAUGCUCGAAUAAUCAUUUUUCUAGCUAGGUUGAUUUAAUAUCCCACUAAGAUUUCACGUUGAUAAAAAUUUAUAUCCCAAUGCUUAAGGUCGCAUGGAGAAUUAUAGGAAGGAAUCAAUAAUGAAGGAAACAUACCAGCUUAUAAAAUCAGAACACAAAGACAAUAGUUAAAUGCCACAUACCUCUAUCUACAAUCAGAAUAGCCAUGCCCCAAACAAAAACAAACAAGGGAAACCAUUUCAGAUAGAUAAACCAAAAAAACGAGCCAACACAAAUCAUACAUGCGUUAAGUAGUAUACACAAGUAUGAACCAUGAACUGAAGUUUCAGUUGGGUGGUGCCACAAGCAGUGUGAGUCAUCCACUGUGUCGGGGGGAUGACCCCGGGUAGGGUCAUGACGACACAUGUUAGCCGGGAUAGCAAGAGCAAAGCCGGUGCAAGCAAGUACGCCGGCAUCCUUAAGCCGACUUAAUAACAGGCCGGCAUACCAAAGGUAUGCCGGCAUAUCUAUCUUGUCUUAUGUGAUUGCAGGAUAAGCACGAGCUAUCUGAUCUCGGCUAUGGCCGGGAUGCGCCAACGGUCUUAUCCUGGGCACAUGGUGCAAAGUAAAGCAGCGCUUCCUUUAUGAUGGAAAAGCAGUCGUUGCUCACGUCGCUGUGCCAGGCAACUGCACGGUGACGCGCCGUAGAAGGACUGAUGACGAAGGCCGGGGCAUGGCUACAAUGCGCGCCGCCUGGCAGUACGAAAAGCACAAAGCUGCAUUGUCCCCUCCUGGACAAUUUGGAAGGGACCAUGGGGCGUACCCGGCGGGCCCGGAGGUAGCUAGGGUUUGCUUUUGGUCCACAUGUCAGUGUGACACCAUUGGCCUAUAGAUAGGAGCACCACCCCUCCCGUGAGAGGGGUUCCUCACUUAGCCAUUUAGAAGUUCUCCUUCUCAUUCUUCCUCCUCAAGAAACAGCUUAAGGAGCACCAUUGUAGCCCUUGUUAUCUCGGAUAAUACAACAAAGCAUGAGUAGGAGCUUUACCUCACCAAGAGGGCUCCGAACCUGGGUAAACACCAUGUGUUCUUGUACUGUGCGUGGUUCACAUCACGCCCUCCCUCCUCCGGUUCCUCCUUCGUCCAUCGGCCCCAUCUUAAGCCAUCAUAUGGCAUCUGCCGUGACGCCACCACGACACACUGAUCCCCAAUCUGAACAGAACUAUUUAAAAUUGCCGGUUAAGGCCAACCCGGCCAGACAGAAGCUAGUUAGCCUAGAGAUCUAAAGCUAGAAAAGAAGCACUUUGGCUAGAACUCUUGAUACACAAUAAUCCAACUCAAUUGCUUCGGAAUGACCGGAUUAUAUCUCAGAAACUGAAGAGGAUCGAUUGCCUGAGGCGGAUUGAAGUACACACGUAUAUACAAGCUCUUAACUAUAUCUCAGGAUUCAGAAUCAGCUCAAUUUUGGUGGAUUUACCAAAACAUCGACAUUUUCAGCACGCACGCACGCACGCACCUCUCUGUACUUGUGCAGGUAGAGCUGGAGAGGCUCGAUGUAGUCCCGAAACCCCAGCGAGGCCAUCGCCGACAACAGGUGGUCUCCGGUCACGGCCUCCUGCUUCCCCUCCCUGCACUUGCCAUUCGCCCUGCAACGCAGUAAAGCGCACAAGUGAACCGGCGAAACCAAAAGGUAAAACAGACUAAAGCGCCCCAUUUUAUUAAGCUCUGGUGACGGAGGCGAUGAACUCGGAGACGGAAGCCUGCACGGCUUCCUCGGCGUCCUUGCCGAUGUCGCCGUCGGGCGGGAUGGCCUUCCGCAUGAUGCGGCCGAUGUCGGCGAUGGGCAGGAGCUGGCCGCCCUGCUGCUCCCUGCUGCCGCCGCCGCCGCCGCCAAAUCGUGGGCUCGCCGCCGGCGCGUCCUCCAUGUGUCCCACAAACCGAAACACUACCAAACCCUAACCCCUGGAAGGCUCGAGAAUCGCUCGGAGGCCGGAGCGAAGAGGAGAGAUUGUCAGCUUAUGGAGGCGCGCGACGUGGCGGGAGCUGGGGAAGCCAGAGAGGCUCAGGGGGGGAGUGAGGUGGCGACUGGUGGAAGAACCGAAGAAGACGAAGAGACGAGGUCGGUUCGUCGACAUUUGUCAAGACAUUCGGCGGUUGGUUUGGGCUUUGGGCUGGCCUUUUUUCGACAGGGUCUUAAUGGGCUUGCUACCAUCACGUGGCCUGCUAGUGCUAGGGAUUCCAUCGUUUCUUCGUUCCUCCGCAGAGAAAACCAACCUCGCUCAGAAAAAAAAGAUGUUGCUCUCAAAAAAAAAAAGAUGUCAGACUAAAAUGAGCACGCCAAAAAUGAAAUGGUAACUAAUUUCUUCUAUUUAUGCUUGCGUACGUACAUACUCGGAGCAAAGCGUCCAUAUUGUUGAUUUAUGUGCCAUACCAAAUGCGCUCAUCAUGCGAGAACUGUUGAGGAAGGAUUACAUGUGUGAGCCAGCGUUCCUUUUAACGUGAGACUAAGAGAAGCAAAAUAAGCUGCCCUUUAAAUAUACCAUCACUAUCAACUAUCACAACGGUUGAUUUCGGGAUGAAACUCCUCGUAACAUUUGGUCUAGAAUGGUAGAAGUGCUGAGAUAUUGGAAGAGAACAAAAUCAAAGUUUUAUUCGGUGCGGUAAGAGAGGUCGCUGGUAGGAUAUGAGUAUGCAGCUCGGACGUUCCUGUCAAAAUUAGUGCCCGAGCCUCGGCGAGCUUCGACAUUGGAGUUGCAGAGGAAGGUCACAUUUCAGAUGAAGACCUCCACUUAUCCCAAAGGGCGGUGGAAUAUUGACAUGCAGCUACGCUCCAAGGCUGCAUGGUAUCAGUACCUUUUUAUUAUAUAUGUGACUCAGUGGCACACAUAAUUGAUGUUUGCCAAUUCUCAAAAAGUGACGACUUUCUCUACUUGUAAUUACGAAAAUACAUUAUCAUUUUUUUCAUGUGAAUUGUGCUCUUAUAUUAUAGUGCAUAGUCAUUCUAUAUAUCUCUUUUCAAAAAAAUAGAAAGGAAGACCAAAAAUGUGUGUCGAUCGAUUUUAAAGUAAAUAUGCUUGACUUUGCACACUCGGGCCUAAGAUAUCCAUCAUGCGAAAACUACUUCCAGAGUAGUUCUAUAACAUUCCCACGGAAAUAGUUCAAGGAAGGAACGCUUUACGUGUGAGGCCGCAUUCCUUUUUUGUGCUAUCACUAAGAGAGGCCAAAUGUUUGAUGCUGUUUAAAUAGCAAUUAAAUAUCACAAACUGUUCAUCUCAGGACCGGAAAGCUUCGAAGCAGUUCCCCUAAAUUAGAGACAUGGGAGGAGAACAAAAGCAAGAGUUUACCAAGGCUGCUAAAAAUGUUCAGUAGUAAUAGUAGAUGAGUGUCCAACAAGGCCAAUCACUCCGAAAUAGGUAGUCCAGAAACUCAACCAGCUGGGCCUUUUCAUGGCGAUGCAUCUCUUCGGGGCUAUAGCGAGAGAUGGAUGUUUAGCAAGUUCCUUAGGUGUACCAGUAGCAUGUCAAAGCAGAUAAUGGAAUCCAUUCGAAAGCGCGACCGAACAGUGAUGAGCGGUGCUUACAAUCGAGUCAUCACUACUAAAAAAACUCAUUAGUGACGGUUGAAAAAGUGUAUCAGUAACGGACGGACCACCCGUCACUGACUUCCUGUUACUGAUGUGCUUAACAUCAGUAACGGGCGGUCCACCCGUUACUGAUGAGGUCCCUCAUCAGUAACGGUCAAGCUACAAGCCCGACACUGAUAUGGAUUAGAAGAAAAAAUAAACGAGGCCGGCUCCAAGCCCGCCCCGAAUCCACACAGCAGCCUGUUGAAUGUUAACAAAUCAAAAGAAAAAUAUCGCCGGCUUCUCAAGGACACGGUGCCGCUGCCCGCCGCCGCCGGUGCUCCAGGCCCCGCGCGCUAAUGCUCCUCUGCAUGCCGGUGGAAGAGGGUCACCGGAUCCGGUGCCGACGAGGAGAGAGCGAGAGAGAGUGAGAAAUAAGAGGAAUAGAGAACUGAGAGCGAGGGAGGGGGCAUACCUGCGAGAGCCAUGGCCGAGAACUGAGAGAGAGGGUCGCCGGAUCCACCGUCGUGGAGGCCGUGGCGGCCGAAUCCUGGCCCGCGGCGACCGAAUCUGCCGGCGAGAUAGAGAGAGGGCAAGAGGCGGCGACGAGCUCAGGGGCGGCGGUGAUGGAGCUCCAUGGCGGCGGAGAGAAGAGGGGAGGCGUCCAUGGCGGCCGCCGUUAGUCACCGCAGGCGCGGGCGGCACCGGUGUGGGUGUGGCCGUCUUGUCGCUCGGGGAGAGAAUCGGGGAGGGAGACAGAGAAAUCGGGGAGGAAGAGGAGGGGGACUGGUGGGGCACGCGAGGAGACAGAGGGAGAUUGGAGAGAUAGAGGGAGGGAAGGGAGGCUGGCGGCGCGGAGGAUUGGAGGAAGGAGUUAGGGUUAGUUGUCCUUUAUAUAGGAAGAAUUGGGUCGGGCCUAAAAUGGCUUGGCCCUAUCAGUGGCGGGCCUAACUUUAUAACCCGUUAGUGAUGAGUCCAGUCACUUUUUUUUUGUAUUUUUCAUACUUCUUGUAAUAUGAAGUAUUUCAUAUAAUUAAAUUGGCCUAUAAAUUUUCAAUAUGGUUUAAUUUUUGUGAAAAAUGGAUAGAUUUCAUUUUGAACAAUAUUAAUUGUAGUUGCUUCACAAAAAUAUCUCAUUUUUUGCAUUUGGAAAUUGGAAAAUCACUUUUUAUAACCAAAACAUGGUAAACCUCUUUGGCAAUAUGGUUUUCAUUACAAGAUUCACCUUUGUGCAAAAAUGGAUACAUUAUCAUAAAAUGUGGCAUAUAAAUUGACAAAACUUUGGCCAUUUGGGUUAAAACCUAAAGUUCAACUAUGGGAAAAUAACAAGAUUGUACUACACAUGUCAUUUUUUCAAAUGUUACCAUAUGAUAUUAUUAUUCCACUAUGUUAAACAAGAAAAAAUAAGACUUCAGCAAAAAGAAUUACAUUUUUCUGAUUUUUUAUGAAUUAGUUAUGAUUUUUCCAAUCUCCCAAGGUCUCCAAGAGUCAUCAGUGGCGGGCCUGGAUGUAAAGCCCGCCACUGAUGCGUGCUUUUCUGAAUUUUGUUAUUUUUCAGAUUGAACCAUUAGUAAUGGGCCUCUGGGGCCCGUCACUGAUGAGGCGUCAUCAGUGACAGGCGUGAACGCGACCGUCACUGAUGAGAGGUCAUCAGUGACGGGCACGAAAGGCCCGUGACGGAUGAUGGUCAUCAGUGACGGGCUCGAAAGGUCCGUCACUGAUGUCUCGUCACAUAUGCACCGUUUUGUAGUAGUGCAGACAUAGGAUCGGACUGGGACUACAAAUUAGUAUCUGUUCAACGAUUAUGUUAGUGUUGGAAAUUUAACUAUUCAAUAAUUCAUGUAAAUACCAAAGUCUCAUGUGAACGAUUAUUUAGAAGCCGAAACGUUUUCUAUUAGUGUACCAUGAAUACGUACAAAUAAUUGGUGCAUGAAUGGACCACGAAUACGUGCAGCUUAAUGGUUACACUAGUGAUCCAUGAAUACAUGCAAACUAAUUGUUGCACCAGUGGACAAUGAAUACGUGUGAUUCAUGGCUCUGGGCAAUGUUCUUGGCUCUGAUCUGGACAACGAAUACGAUUCAUGAUUCAUGGUUCUUGACAUAGCGGCGCAGGGGUGGGCCGUGUGUGUGGUGUCACAUCGACCUGGCCGACGACAAUUCGGUACAAGAUGCGAGGCCGUGGACCGGCGGACCGCAGUGUCGCCUUACCUCGUGCGUCUUCUCCCGCCGAGAUGGAAGAGUCGGAGCAAAAUGCGUGGAUCUGAACCAUCGGUGCCAGCAGAGACAUCUCCCAUGGCCGACAUGGGCCAAGAAAUGCCGGAAAUAUCUCAGGAUCUGGUGGAAGGGAGAGCAAGAGGAAGGGGAGCUCCGGCCUCAGCAGAUGCAGCGCGGAGAUCGACAUGGCUAGACGGGCCCAAGGAAACAACCUCCAAAAAGGUGGAGAGGAGGCUGCUGGCCAUAAGGCAUCUUCAAUAAGGUAACUUAGUUGUUACUUAGACGAUGACAUGUCAGAUUUUGAUGAUGUCAAAGCAAAAAGAAGAGAGAAGAUGAAGUAGUGGUUUCUUCCUAAAAAAACUGCUACUACACGCAUACCAAAAACUAAGUAACAACUAAGUCACUAUUGAAGCAAGAGUUGUUACUUGCAUCCUACCUUUGUGAGACCAACUAUAAUAAAUUAUAAAUAUUUUUAGAGUACCAGUUACAAGAUGAAAAAAUCACCUGAUGGAAGGGUUGAUACUUUGUGUUACAUUGUUUAUCUCUCUCCUUUUAGUAAGAACCUAAGUAACGGCUUGUUGGAGAUGCCCUAAUAUAAUUUGCUUUCCAACUUCAGAAAAUAAUUAGUUGCCUUUCUCUUCAAAACUUUGAUCUAAAUUUUAUUAUUGCUCUGUUAAUUUUAAUUUUUUUUCUUCUAAUCAAAUGUCAUGUUGUCUUGGGGCGUGUGGAUGACGGCCAAAUUUAUGUUGCUUUGUUAACUUUGUUUCUAUUGAAUUAUCCAUGUUGCUUUGUUAAAAAAUUCCUAUCGAAAUAUUCUUGUUUCCAACUCGCUCAAUUCAAUAACUUUUUUUUUUGAAAUGGCAAUUCAAAAACUUGAACAUGGCAGAAAAAUCUAAGAAAGGUACGCAGUUGAAUUUGAACAAAAUAGCAAAAGGAAUUCCAACAUUCCAUCAAAUUUCGUACAUUCUUCCACCAAACCUCCUACGUCCGAUCUAAAGUAGAACCUGGAGCAAAAUAAAUUUAAAAUAGGACGCAGCGCCGUGACGAGCUCGCCGUCUCAGUCUGACUCAGAGUCGGGCUCGGAAUGUUGCGGAGAACAUAGCCUCCAUUUCAUACACAUCGUCCUGUUUGAUCGCAAUGGUAUGGAGAUCUGGGCAGUGCACACGAGGCCAGCGUCCAGGCAGCCAGACAUGCCUGAUCUUGGCGCAGCGAGCUAGGAGUUCAUCGUUGACUUCAAGGUAGGGGCAUGCGGUGAGGUCAAGGCACUCGAGGUGCGGGCAGCCUUCGAGGAUGGCAUGGACUCCUUUGGUCAGGUUGUCGCAUGCCAGCUGGAGGAGUCGCAGUUCGUGCAGGUUUGCUGCGAUAGCGAAGGCCACCCGAUUGUGCCCUGCCUCCCAGACCAUGGCCAUGUAGUGGUCGUUGUCAUCAUCAGUAUCAUCAUGGAUGAGGAUGCGUUGUUCCAAGCUCAUCUCUCACAUCAUUGCAUCUGAGUUGAACCAAGGCACACGAUUCUUAGGCGUUUCAGCUCUGGGCGCACUGCGCCAAGCUGCUUGUAAAAAUAUGCUGGCUGCUUCUGAUGCGAGCACUCUAUCUCUUCUAGCAUUGGACAUUUAGCUGCAAGCCUAGCAACUUUGUCAUCCUGAAAGCAUCCAGAGGAGAUGAUUUGAAUGCUCUUUAACGAGUUGCCUCUGCAGAGUUAAAGAGUCAGAAUAAACAUGAUAUAUAAAAUAAACUUCAGACAAGAAAUAAAACAGGACUGCAUAACAAGUUUGCAGUAAGCAUAAUUUCUCCUUAAAGCCAAGUAGUUGGAGAGAUCACAUAAUCGCGUGCCAUAAAUAUCAAAUUAGAGGUCAAAGUUUAGGGCCCAAGUGAAAUUCAUGCUUCGCAAAAACUAUUAAGGCGUGACAGUGCUCAAGACUGAUAGGUCAUACAUAGUGAAAAGGAAGUGCAGACAUGCAAGAGCAGAAACUUAGGGCCCAAAGAAAAAUACCUGCUUGCAAUGUAAUCCAGGAGUUCGCUACUGACAAACUUCUCUGCCCAGAAUGACUCCAUACGUCCGUCAGAACGAUCUAUGGCCACCUUCGCCAUUUUGCACAUGACAUUUCCCGCCUUCGAGAAAACCACGUUGUGCCCCGUCAUGUCCUCGAAUCGCCACAACUCAGUCAACUUGGCGGCCUCCAACCAUGAGUGGCACACAAGCCCUGCGCCCAUCAGGAUCUCAAUGGUCCCAAGCUUUGUGAAGAUAGCAGAAAGCGCAUCAACUGUGAGCUCAGACCAAUCCCUAACUUCAGGCACAGGCAGAGGGUUUGGUUCUGCCACCAUUUUGCGAGGAAGUACCUAAAAAUAAGGGUAUCAUAAAAAAGAGAACAAGGAUGACCAACUUUAAUUUGUAUGAUGCCAUGCUAAAUUACAGUUUGCACACAAGAUAGAAGAAUCAAAUUCAAUGUAGUUAGGAGCAGCUUCUCUGUACCAUUGUAAUUUGUAAACCCAACUAUUAGGAUUAAACUUAUGGAUUAUAAAUGGUUUAGACUGAAGAAACUUCAGAUCUCUAAGUCUUUUUAUAUAUGUCCAUUACUCUAAUCAACAUUCCAACUAACAAAACCUCAUAUUUACUAAUAGAUGAAACAUGUAAAACUCUCCGUCCCAAUGCAUAAUGUGUGAAGAGCACCUCCAAGGUCUCCCCUAUCUUAUAGUCAUAUUUGGGGAAUUAAUACAUCCAAAAAAUUGUGUCCAGCAGAUUCCCAAUCCAUUUCCCAUUCCUAGCCAUCCCCCAUAUACUACUCACAGAUCUUGUAUGUUAAUUAGUGAUAAGUGAUGCUGAUAAUUGUUAUGUGGUUAUCACAUGGAAUUUGAUGCUAAUUUUUUUCUCAAGUCUUAACUUAGAUGUAAUUACUCCCUCCUUUUCACAAAGGUUGGAGUAUUUUGUUUCGUAAAACAAGACUUUGAACAAGAAUUACACUAUUAAUAUGUAAUCUAUAUGAUACAAAAUCAUGAUUAUUAGAAAGAACUUUUAAAGACGAAUCUAUUGAUAUAAAUUUCAUGUAUGUAAAAACACAUAUUAAUAGAGUUAUUGACCGGAUUAUAUCUCAUAAAGUGAAGCGGAUUGAAGUACACCCAUAUAUACAAGCUCUUAAACAUUUCUCAGAAAUCAGAGUCUUCCCAAUUUUGGUCGAUUUACCAAAAACAUCCCACAUUCAGUACGCACGCACCCCUCUGUACUUCUGGAGGUAGAGUUUCAGAGGUUGGAUGUAGUCCUGAAACCCCAGCGUGGCCAUCGCCCACAGCAGGUGGUCUCCGGUGAUGGCCUCCUGCUUCUCCUUCCUGCACUUGCCACUCGCCCUGCAUUGCAGAAAGCACAUACACAAGUCAGCCGGCAAAACCGAAAGCUACAAAAGGGAAAAAGAAAAGAAGGCAAAACAGAGUAAAGCGUCCCGUUUUAUUUAUUACUCUCUGGUGACGAAGGCGAUGAACUCGGAGACGAACGCCUGCACGGCCUCCUUGGCAUCCUUGCCGAUCUUGCCGUUGGGAGCGAUGACCUUCCGCAUGAUGCUGCUGAUGUUGGCGAUGGGCAGGAGCUGGCCGUCCUGCUGCUCCCUGCCGCCGCCGCUACCGUCGGCCCCGCCACCGCCCACCGCAUCCUGGGCUCGCCGCCGGCGCGUCCCUCAUGUGUGCUCCGCCGCCCCAACCGAAACACAAGUCGAUUAAUCAGAUCGGCCACCAAACCCUAACCCCCGGAAGGCUCGAGAAUCGCUCGGAGGACGGAGCGAAGAGGGGUUUGCAUAAAGAGGGAGAGAGAGCGAGCGAGCGAGCGAGCGAGAUGUUCCCUCGGCGCGCGACGUGGCAACUGGUGAAAGAAAAACAGAGAAGACGAGGCGGCGAACAUUUUGGUGCAAGAAAAGCUGUUUACCACCCCACGCCCUGCCAAAUUUUGGUGCGCCCACGACUCUUCGGGCUGUGAUUUGGUUAGCUGCGGCUAGAAUAAGAAUAAAAGCUGGUUAUAGGGAUUUAAAUAUCAUAUUUGUGUUUAGUUGGAUGAGUUAGAAAAGGAAGUGGACUGAUAGCUAACAGCCAGCUGCAGCACAAGCUCCUAGGUUAUUUGUGAGAGUGAAAUGUGGAUCCAGAUUUAAUAAAAUACAACAUCUUAUAGCUCACUAUUGUACAUGUUAGUUAUUAGAUGGGCUUAUAGCGAGGUGCUGGCUACUACUAUUGCUCUUGCUCUUAGCGAGGCUCGCCAACGCUACUCACCUGAAAAUUCGUUCACACUAGUUCAAUCAUGUGCCCACGCGCGGGCGAGUCGUUGGAGGCCAAAUCGCUCGUCAAAUCCUGGACGAGCCAAUUGUUGGCGUUGUGCGCUGGGGCUUAAAACAAACAACGGAAAUUCUAAGUGGGGCACGUGCCCCACUUGAUCGAUCUUACUGUGCGGCGUUCCCCUUCUCAUUGUCUUAUCCGCUCUCUCUCUCUCUUUUCUUUUUCUCCUCUUGAUCUUGUCCUCUCACUAGCCUUUCUCCUCUCGAUCUCAUCCCCUGGGUUUUCUCCCGAUGGUAGGACCUCACGGCGGACGCAAGAGGCGGCAUCAUAGUUUUAAAUAGCGGGCUAAGCCAUUUAGCGGCAGCCUGCUCCAGAAGCUAUACGUGCUAUAGCGAUGCUAUAAUGGCGCUAAGACAUUUAGCGGAUUUUUAAAAAAUCAUACAAAAGUAUCAAUAAAUGAGGCAUCAUAUGAUAAAUAAAAAAUCUUCCCCUUGACAUCACUAGGAACUACUUGACACUUAGAAACACCACUUGUAAUGCCAGCAAGGUGGUACCUAACUCUAGUAAUGCCAACAAUGCACAUAUUGGGACAAUAGCACCAUUUAAUAUGAUGUUUUUGCUCAAAUUUAAAAAACUACAAUGAGCUGAGACACUGCUUGAGAUGUGAUGGGAUUUAGGCCACCCCUAUGCCAGAAGCCCAAAAAAUAAUUAUCACAGGGUUAGCUUAGCGCGCUAACGAUCCCAAAAUAUAGCACUAUAGCGUGAUUAGCGGAGCUAAUAGCGUUUUUUCUCAGGUUAGCAUUAAAACUACAUAGCUUUAGCGCGAUCCCUCUCCAAACGCUAUAGCGCCGCUAUAGCGAUGCUAGAGCGCGCUAUUUAAAACUUUGGGCGGCAGUGGCGGCGACGACAAAGCAGAGCGUUGCAGCGGCGACGGCGGAGCAGGGACGGCCACGGAGCAGCUUGCAGCGGCGCACUACGGGAAAACCGGGCGUUGCCGGCGGCAAGGCACUUUGCCGGAGGCUUACAUCGGGCCGCCGGCAAAGAGGCGCUAUGCCGUGGGCCGGCAGAAAAGCCCACGGCAUAGGGUCGGCCGCCAGCAAAUCUUCCGAAAGGCCGGCGGCAAAGGACGGCCGCCGACAAAGAGACCCUGCACAUGGGCCCGCGUGCGAGGUUAACGACGGGCGAAACGGCCGGCGGGGAGGGAAAAAAACUAUCUUUGCCGACGGCCACCAAAAAAAAGCUGCCGGCAAAGUGAUUCGUUUUUCCCACGACAUUCCGUUCAAAUUUGGACGCGCGCGCACGAAUUAAAAAAAAAAAGAAAUAACCCUUUGCCGGCGGCCCCGAGAAAAGGCCGCCGGCAAAGGCCAUUUCUUUUUUAUUUUUUCCCACGUGUCCCCCGUCCGAAUUGAACCGAACAAAAAAAAAGAAAUUAACCCUUUGCCAUUGGCCCCGAUAAACAGCCGCCGGCAAAGGAGAAUUUUCUUUUUUCUUUUUGUCCAAAGUCCCCCGUUUGAAUUGAAACGGACGAAAAAAAAACCCUUUGCCGGUGGCCCCGAUAAAUAGCCGCCGGCAAAGGCUGCUUUGCCGAAGGCCCACAUAAUAGCCGCCGGCAAAGCAUUUUUUUUCCUUUUUUUGUUUGUUUGUGAUGUAAAUCAACCAUAUUGUAAACACAUAGAGAAAUAUAUAUUGUUGUUUAGAUUGAACCCAAUUUACACUUAUAAAAUAAAGAAAACUAAUUACUCUUUGCCGGCGGCAGUGAGUUAAUUGGUUACGAUCGGUUCAUCGACGCAUGAAAUGACGAAACAAAUGGUUUCCCGGCUUUCCCCUUGUGCAUGGUGUGCCAUGUAUAAGUAAAUGAAGGGUGUGUUAAUGGUAAAAUCCAAUCGAUAGCCCUGAUGUGACACUUCCUUUGCAAACAAUACUAGCGAAUGGGCAUGAAUGUUCCACACUUGAGGGGAAAAGUCUCAAUUCAGACCGACGGGACAUAAUUUAGUCGGUCCAUGGGAUAGAUGUUUGCUUUUUCAUGUUAACAUGUCGUAAUACAACAAUAUGAUAUAGUAAAGUGACAUGAAAACCCAAGUUUUGGUGAAAAGCUAGUAAGAAAACACUAAGAAACAUUCAAACCCAAGCCCUAGAGUGAGGAAAACACGCAAUUCAGACCGAGGGAGAAGAAUUCUGUGAGGGCUUGGGGUAGAUUUGUUGUUUUACAUGUGCCCAUGCGGCAAUAGAACACCAAGUAAUAGCAAAACAUCAGGAAAACCAAUGUUUUGGUGAAAAGCUACCCCGUAGAUGCCACGAGGCCCGCAGGAGGGGGCGAUGCCUCAAAUCACACGACGGAUGGUCUCUAGAGAACUUGAAAUCUUGGAUGAUGUCAACAAAUGGGUACAUAGAGAUGGUGUUAAUCUGAGGUUGCACUUCCUUCACAAACUAGACUAACCCGCACGAACGUUCCAGACUUGGGGGGGGGGGGGGGGGGGAGUCGCAAUUCGGACGGACGGAGCAGAAUCCUUUGAGGACUUGGGUAGCUUUUUGGUUUUUCAUGUCCCCAUGUGCUAGUACAACACAAAGGUAUAGAGUAAAGUGACUUGAGAACACAAGUUUUGGUGAAAAGCUAGCCCGGAGACGCCACGAGGCCCGCAGGAGAGGGCAAUGCCUGAAAUCACACGACGAAUGAUCCAGAGAACUUGAAAUCUUGGAUGAUGUCAUCAAAUGGGUUCAUAAAGAUGGUGUUAAGAGGAAAACACAAUCCAAGUAUCUGAGGUUGCACUUCCUUCACAAACUAGACUAACCCGCACGGAAGUUCCGGACUUAAGGGGGAAAAGUCGCAAUCCGGACGGACGGAGCAGAAUUCUUUAAGAAAUUGGGUAGAUUUUUGGUUUUCAUGUUCAAAUGUCCUAAUAGAACAAAAAGGAAGUCUAAAGUGACAGAAAACCCCAGUGUUUAGUGAAUAAUUAAAGUAAAAAACUGGAAAAAAAUUUGGAAAAAGUCUUUGCCGGCGGCUUUUUGUGGGUCCGCCGUCAAAGGUUUCUUUGCCUGCGGCUUUUUGUCGGGCCACCGGCAAAGCGCGCUUAAAAAAAACAAAAACCCUCCCCCCCCUCUCUCUCUCUCUCUCUCUCGCGUUCCCUUCUCUCUCGCGCGCCCGCGCCCGACCGCCGCCUCUGCCGCCCCCGUCCCUUGCCCCCCGGCCGGAUCCGCCCAGAUCCGGCCUCCCCCUCCCUCUCCCUGCCGGCCCAUGCCACCCCGACCCCCCUCUCCCCCGCCGCCCCUGCCUCCUCGGCACCCCGCCCCACCGCGCCGCCUCCCCUCCACUCCUUCGCCACCCCACCCCGCCGCCUACCCUCCUCUCCUCCCGCCACCCCGCCCCACCCCGUCGCCGCCCCCGCCUCCCUCCUUCCUCCCCCACCGCCGGCCUCCCCUCCUCCCCUCUCAGCCCCCUCCGACCACCUUCCGGCCCCCUCUGGUGAGCAUUUUUUUCUUUUUUUUUGCAUAUGAAAUGUACAAUUAUAUGGUAGCUUGUAGUUAGCUUAAUUAUAGUAGCUUAAUUGUUUGCAUAUAGUAGCUUAAUUUAUAUGCUAGCUUGUAGUUAGCUUAAUUAUAGUAGCGUAACUUGUAUGCAUAUACUAGCUUUAUUUAUAUGCAUAUUGUAGCUUAAUUUGUAUGCAUAAUUGUAAUUAAGUUUGUAUAACUGUUACUUAGGGUUUAGGAUUUAGGGUUAGGGUUUAAGGGUUGGGUUAGGGUUUAGGGUUUAGAGGGUUAGGGUUUAGGGUUUGUAUAACUGUUACUUAGGGUUUAACAUUAUAGAAGAUUGUUGCAAUAUCUGUGAUAAACAUUGUUAAAUGAUGGAUGUGGCAAUAUGCUUCGAUAUGUAUGCUUACGGAAGAUAUGAUUCGUACAAAGUUAUUUCUUUUGCAUGUAUGAUUAUUAGUUGCAUGUUGGAUGGAUGUGUGUAUUCAUGAUUCUUAUAUAACUUUAUGGUUCAUGUAGGAGUGACACCAACCUCGCCGCCAUCCAUCUACUUCGACUACUUCGUCUACGGUGAGCAUCUCCCUCUAUCUCGCCUUCCCCUUUUGCUCUGUCCCGGCCAUCGAGCCGAUGACACUUGUAAUUUAAAUGUCAAAGUCGCGUAACCCUGUUCGUCUCCCGUCCGAAAGGGUUACGUAUAUAGAUAUGCAAGUCUUUGCAUAUCUAUAAGGGUAACUCUUUCGGAUUGUCCACGUUUUUUGGAUAGCCCGAGGGUGUGUAGAUUGGGUUCGUUUCUGUGCUCUAGUCCGGUCUGAGACGUGAUUUCGACAGCAUCUCACCUUUGUUCUCCGGAUGCACAUUCUCUUGGUUUGUUGUCGAGACGUGUAUUUGGAGAACAGCGGGGAGGUGCUGCCGAAAUUUCGUUUCGGACCGGACUGGAGCACGGAAACGGCCCAAUCUACACACCUUCGGGUGGGAUUAGGACCUAUCCUUACCUAUUAGUGGAAUAGUUCAGCACAUGCCCUUUUCAAUGAAAAAAUAAAAUAUGUGAUGUAAUUAAUUUGACGAAACUAAUUACUUGUGUUAUUAAACCGUGUAUCCUUUUGGUGUCAUGUGGUAUCCCAAAAUAGCAGAGAAUGGCUGAUCGUCGAUGGAUGUACAAUGGCCGUGGUAGUCGGACAGACCGGGAUGAUGAUUGGAUGAAAAACACGGCAGAUUUUUUGGAGGUUGCAUUUGCUAGAGGAGAAGGGCGUGCUUGGUGCCCUUGCAGUCGUUGCAAUAACAAGACACGACACACAAAGGAUGAGAUGGGCAAUCACUUGCUGCUGUACGGGUACACGCCAAACUAUACCUGAUGGGGCUAACAUGGUGAGCAAGAGGAUAGAGGAAGAGAGGAGGUCGUGCGAAGGCGCACGGACGACUAUGAUACGGGGUUCCAGGACAUGCUGGAUGACUUGGAGGAAGCACACGUUCCAACGGAGGAAGAACCGGAGGCAAUCUCUAAGGCCUAUCUUGAUAUGCUGGCGGAGGCAAGCACAGAUCUACAUGCUCACAGAAAGGUCAAUAAGCUAGAUGCCGUUGCUAGAAUAAUGGCUGUGAAGACCCAAUUCAACUUGAGUAGAGAAUAGUUUGAUGUGAUGAUGGCAGUUAUCGAUAGUCUCCUCCCGGAAGGCCACCUUUUGCCUAAAAGCAUGUACGAGGCGAACAAAAUGCUUAGUGUACUUAAGUUGUCGGCUCAGUGCAUACAUUCAUGUAAAAAUGGAUGAACGGUGUUUGACAGAGAAUACGCGGAUGCCAAGCAUUGUCCGAAGUGCAAUUUCUCUCGGUAUGUCGAGGUAGACCAUGGGAAGGGUCUGGUGCAGUCAAAAAUACCCCAUAAAGUUCUUAGGAUGCUUCCAUUCUCAGAAAGAAUUGGCCGGAUGAUGCUAUCUGACGUGCCUGGCAAAGCUGUGACGCAUCACAAACUGGGGAAGAAAUACAAAUACGACAAGGAUCAUAGGCCGAUGUUGACACAUUCGUCGGAUGGCGAAGCAUGGAAGGAUUUUGAUCGGAAGUAUACGGAGAAAGCCGCGGAGCCUCGGAAUGUUCGAGUUGCCAUCGCAACUGAUGGGUUCAAUCCAUUUGGCAUGACGAGUGCCCCAUACAGCUGCUGGCCAGUGUUUGUUAUUCCGCUCAAUCUCCCUCCCGGAAUGAUAAUGCAACGGAAGUACAUGUUCUUGGCGCUGAUAAUUCCAGGACUAGAAUAUCCAGGGAAGAACAUUAAUGUGUAUAUUCGGCCCCUGAUGGAGGAGUUUAAAAGAGGUUGGGAGGAAAGGAUCAUGGUGUACGACAAAGCUACCAAGACAAACUUUAGGAUGCAUAUCUGGUUCCAGUUCUCCGUUCAUGACCACCCGGGGGGAUCUAUACUCUCCGGUAAAGGCUUGCAGGGGAAGUUCAUGUGCCCACACUGCGGGACUGAUCUGGAGUUCUAUCGGCUCGCUCAUGGUCGCAAGUAUUGUUGCUUCGAUCCGCAUAUGCGAUUCCUCCCGCCUAACCAUCCGUUCAGACAAGACAAGAAGAACUUCAGGAAAGGUGUGGUCGUCGAAGAGGGGCCACCCCGUUAUCGCACCGGUUCUGAGCUUCUUGCUGAGCUGGAUGCUCUUGUGCCUGACCCGACACAACCUGACAAGUUCCUGGGGUAUGGUGAUACACACAACUGGACUCACAAGUCAUGCUUCUGGGAGCUCCCCUACUUCAAAGACAUUCUUCUUCCACAUUGUAUUGAUGUGAUGCACACCGAAAAGAAUGUCGCCGAAGCCUUUUUCAACACAAUUCUCACCAUUAUUGACAAGACGAAAGAUAAUCCGAAGGCUAGAAAAGAUCAAGAAGAACUUUGCGAUAGACCGCAACUAAGCAUUAAAAAGGUGCCAGGCAGGUCAGAUAUCAGGCCAAAGGCCCCGUUUGCUCUCGACAGGGACCAAAAGAUGAAAGUAUUCCUGUGGUUCAAAGAGUUGAAGUUUCCUGAUGGGUAUGCAGCUAAUCUAAAGAGGGGAGUUAAUCUUGGCACCAUGCGAAUCAACAGCCUCAAGAGUCAUGACUCUCACACAUGGCUUGAGCGUUUGCUGCCGGUGAUGCUUCGAGGCUAUGUGUCGGAGGAUAUUUGGCGGGUGUUGGCAGAGUUGAGCAAUUUCUUCCGCCGGCUUUGUGCUAAAGAACUAUCCCCCACCUUGCUAGAAGAAAUGGAAAAACAAGCCCCCAUGUUGCUCUGCAAGCUAGAGAGGAUCUUUCCGCCGGGCAUGUUCGUGACGAUGCAACAUCUAAUUAUCCACCUCCCGUACGAGACUCGGAUGUGGGGCCCUGUGCAGCAUCGUUGGAUGUAUGCCAUCGAGAGACUUAUGAAGACCCUUCGAGCUAAAGUAAAAAACAAAGCUAAAGUUGAAGCAUGCAUAUGGGAGGCAAGCCGUCUCGAGGAAGUGUCAAACGCAACGGCGAGUUACUAUAGCUCCGAUAUUGCCACGCUGCAUAAUCCAGUAUCCCCCUACAAUCUUGGCAACCCUGAAGAUGAGUCCAAGCUGAGCCUAUUCAGAGGGCAACUUGGAACUUCUAAAGCCGAGAAAAUAGUCACCCUGUCCUACCAAGAGUGUCGAUCCCUUACGUUAUAUAUCUUGAACAACCUCGACGAAGUCCAGCCGUACAUCAAGUAAGUGCCCAGUAAGUAAUUCCUCUUUGCAAUUGAUCACAAGUUUGUCUCUAACUCAUCUCGUUCUCAUCGCGUCAGCACAUUCACUCAACUCAACUGGAAGCGAAUAAGAAAACCCGAUCCUCUAGAACAUGAUGCCCUUCUUAGAGAUGGUCCAAAUGGCCCUGGAUCUGGUUUCAUUGAGUGGUUCCAAAAUCAAGUACUUUCUUUCUUAGCUCCUAGUUGUUUCAACACCUAGAGGCCUUGCGUGCGACUAAUACAUGAUGCUUUUCUGCUUAAACCGGUAGGCUAACAACAAUGUGUCUAUGAGCUCCCAAUUGAGACAAAUUGCCAAUGGUUUUGAUGUCAAGGUCGGUUCAUUCAAAUCCUACGACGUCAAUGGAUAUCGAUUCCAUACAACAUGGUAAGAGCUCAGUCGGCCCAAUCGAACCUCAACAAAUUCCGGGGUGUUUGUAGAAUGCGGUGGAGAUGACUUCUACGGAAGGGUUGAGGAGAUAUACGAACUACAAUACCGCGGGCCCAAACCUCCAAAGGUCAUUGUAUUCAAAUGCCGUUGGAUCGAUCCGAAACACGUUAACAAGGAUGACACAAUUGGCCUAGUCGAAGUAAAACGAGACAGUGUCUUCGAAUGCGAGGAUGUAUAUAUUGUAGCUCAACAAGCCACACAAGUUUAUUUCCUCCCGUACCCGUGCACUAAAGUGGCUCGCCUUUAGGUUUUGGAUGUCGUGUAACACGUGCAGCCACAUGGUAAACUACCAGAACCAAACGACCAAGAUUAUCUGCCGCAACGAGAGCCUGGCGACGAGUUUUUCCAAGAAGCCGGCGGGGACACAAGUGAUUUCAUGGUACGGUAUACCGAUUCUCCGGGCACGGAAGUAGACAAUGACGGUGAAGGUGACGAGGUUGAUGGUGAUGGUGACGACGACGAUGAGGAACAGGCUAAUGUUGAUAGUGAUGUUGAGAGUGAUCUUGAUGCGGCUCUUCUAGUUGAUCCCGAUGACGAAGACUACAAUUCACAUGCCCAUACUUAGUUGUUUCAUUUGUUUACAUCAAGUUGUAAUCCGUCCUACUUAAUUAGUUAGUUCGUUGAAUCCCAACUUUACUAUAUUGUACAUCAAGUUGUUGUUUCAUUUAUUUACAUUUAGUUGGUGUUUCUUUUAUUUACAUCAAGAUGUUGUUUCAUUUGUUUACAUCUACUUGUAUAAUCCAUCCUACUUAAUUAGUUAGUUCGUUGAAUCUCAACUUUACUUGUAUUGUACAUCAAGUUGUUUCAUUUGUUUACAUCAAAUUGUUGUUUCAUUUAUUCACAUCUACUUGUAUAAUCCGUACUAACUUGUUCACUUUUCCUCAUGGCAGGUGAUUGAACCAUGGUGGGCGGGCGUAGUACCUCUCAGAGACGUGUCGAAGAGCUAUACCCUCUGCCUAAAGUGAAGGCCAAACCCCCGAAGAAAACCCUUGCACGUAAAGCAAAGGGCAAAGCUAGGAGGGAGCCCUCUCCCUCGCCGCCGCCACUCGAUUGAGGAGAUUUGGGAGAAGGUGAGGGAGAUGGAGAUGGAGGCGGGGGACUUUGGUGAGGACGAGCUGCAGGAUCACUCUGCUGGUACCUCCACGGGAGCCUCGGCGGGGGCUGCCUCCAGCUCUGGUAAAGACAAAGUGUACCAUGAUGAUCCUACUCGUCUCCCCACCAAGCGGCCCUCUUGUGAAGAUGAGAAGCCAGUCAUUCGUCCAAUAGCCAAGAUGUACCUUUCUUGAUCCUAGAAUUUAGUUUACAUCAAAUUGUUGUUUCAUUUAUUAACUGCAAUUGACUUGUCUUAUCCUUGUGUAGGGGCUGGGUGGUUGUUGCACCCGGGUGUUUUACGAUGCAACCCAAGGCUUUUCUUGGGGUCCUCCUCAAGGACCACUUCACUGGCAUGGUUCUUGUUGAAGGAAAGGAGGAGCCAAAGGUAGCCCGGACAUGGGCACACUACGUGGCCCAACCGGACUUUCAAGAUAGAGAGAAUGUGAUGUAUGCGAACAAAGCCGAGCGGGUGAAGGGCGAAUUUUGGGUAAGUCGCCUUCGCACAAUGCAUACAUUAGUCAAAACAAUUGUAAUGCAAAAUAUAUAACUCAUGAAUGGAUCCGUUUUGUCUAAUUGCAGCGGUUCUUCAAGCUGGCGGAAGGCUAUGAUGAUGCAACAAUUGAACGGCACUUCGAGGCAAGUGUGAAGAAGGCAUUGUCCGAGAUGUUCUAUCACGCGCGUGUCUACGCCGUGAGGAAGUACUAUGCCGAAGUGAAGAAACAGAGAUUGGAGAAAGCACAAUGUAUCGUGACGCAUCUCGAGCACGAACAGUACAUGCAGGUAAAGUAAAAGAAAGUGCAUUUCCUUGCUUAAUAAGGGCUAACGCUUAACUUCUUCGUGUCUGGGCUUGUACUUGUUCAUUUAGGUUCCUCUGCACUGGUGCAUCUCGCACUUAAAUGCCUGGAAGGCGCUGGUGGACUCGUGGUGCUGCUCGGAGUACGUGGAGACGCGCGGGCUCCUUAGGGAGAGGAGGUUGGCCAUCCCAAGCGGAAUGCACCAUCAAGGGAGCGUGAACCUGCAGGGCUACACCAACAACUAUGUAUGUGUUUUUCUCCCAAAAAGAUCUUCAUGUGCGAGCCUCACCCCUAACUAUCUUGUUGUUGCUUGUUGUUUCAGGCGAAGGCUCAUCCGGAUAAAGAACGCCUCACCAGUUUCACGGCUGUUGACUGCGCCCUCAGGGGAAAGGCGAGCACCGUGUCGGAGUACAGUGCGAACGCCCCGCCCGAAGCCUACGCCACCCCAGCUGACCAUGCCAAGGUCACAGGCUACGCGGAGGUGUUUGAGGAGGUGCACGGCCCCGGGGCUGAUCCUAGCCGGCACGACCUUGAUGUGGAAGUGGUCGUGAGGGUGGGAAGAGGCAAGAAGCACGGUAGGCUGGUCUUCAGGAACGGAACCAUUGAUUCGAGCACCAUUCCCAGCCUACCUCACCUAAAGGCUACUUCCACGAGCUCGAGUGCUAGUAUACGCAGUCGUCCAGGUGCACGGCAGUUCUCACAGCAGGUUAGUUGUUCUUCAUUCACCAUCUCGUGUCUUUUUGCAUUUCAUUGUAACGACAAUGAACUUGCAAUGGCAUUGCAGGAGAUGGAGGAUAUGGUGGCGGCUCAGGUGCAGGCUCAGAUGGAGGCUCAGAGGCAGGCUCAGGAUGCUCAGAUCCAGGCUCAGGUGGCGGCUCAGGUCUAGGCCGCACCGAGGGCUCAGUACGACCACCUUAGGGUAUGUUUACUGCACAUAAUAGCCAAGAAAGCGUGGUAUUAGUUCCGUAACUGCAACUCUUUGUCUUUUCAAUAUGCAGCCGUACCUCGCCGCCACCUCUCAAGAGCCGCCUACAGCACCACCGCUGUUCGACUUGGCGUUUGUCAAUCUCCAGAUUGAGCAUGCUCCACAGCCUUCUCCACAGACUCUGGUGAGUUCACUCGAAACAUUUCAAUCUCCAUUCAUGACUUUUUUUGCUUUCAUUGAGGGUUGGGCUCAAUGCCUAAUCAUCUGUGCAACAACAUCAAUCCGGCCGUGGCUCGUACGACCCUUCUUCACACGCAAGCCUUGCUGGAGGCAACCCUCUUGGCCAGUCACCUGCUCCUAGACACUGACUUGGGUAUGUUGCCACAAACUUGUCUCAUCUCGAGGUCUGUUGUUUUGAAAACUUACUUUCUUGUCUCCACACGUAGAAACAUAACCUAGCAUCACAUAGUGACAUAGAUCCCAUUUUAGAGCCAAGAGGGCUCACUUGGCUCCAAAAUGGUGCCUUGGUGGCAUUUUUGGGCAUUUGGCUCAUUUAUGCCACCAGGGCACCAAUUUGGAGCCAAAUGAGCCAUAUUGGCUCUAAAAUGGUGCCUUGGUGGCAUUUUUGGGCAUUUAGCUCAUUUAUGCCACAAGAGCACCAUUUUGGAGCCAAUAUGGCUCAUUUGGCUCCAAAAUGGUGCCUUGGUGGCAUUUUGGAGCCAAAUGAGCCAUAUUAGCUCCAAAAUCGUGCCUUGGUGUCAUUUUGGCCAUUUGGCUCCAAAAUGGUGCCCAGGCACCAUUUUGGAGCCAAAUGAGCCAUGUUGGUUCCAGAAUGGAGCCAUGGUGGCAUAAUGGAGCGAAAUGGCUCGUUUUGGAGCCAAAAUGGUGCCUUGGUGGCAUUUUUGUGCCAUUUGGCACAUUUAUGCGACCAAGGCACCAUCUUGGAGCCAAAUGAGCCAUAUUCACUCCAAGAUGGUGCCAUCGUGCCAUUUUAGAGCAUUUAGGGGUCAUUUGGUUUUAAAAUGGUGCCCUGGUGGCAUUUUUGGAGCCAAAUGAGUCAUAUUUGCUCAAAAAUGAUUCCAUGGUUGCAUAAUGUAGCCAAAUGUCUCGUUUUCGAGCCAAGAUGGUGCAUUGGUGGCAUUUUUGGGUCAUUUGGCUCAUUUAUGCGACCAUGGCACCAUCUUGGAGUCAAAUGAGCCAUAAAUGGCUCUUUGGAGCCAUUUAUUGGAGCCAUUUAUGGCUCAUUUGGCGUCAAAAUGGUGCCUUGGUGGCAUUUCUGUCGCCAUUUGGCUCAUUUAUGUGACCAUUGCACCAUUUUUGAGCCAAAUGGCUAAGUUUCGCUUCAAAUGCUACAAUUGUCACUUCAAUGCCUUUAUUUAUAUCUAAUUAUGCUAUUCCAACUCCAUUUCAUAGGUUUCUACUGGUGCAAUGGGUGGUGGAUGUUGAAGGUGCCCGAGUCACCUUCUUGUCAUGUAUGAACACUAGCUUGUAAUAUGUUGCUACCAUGUGAUGAACACUUGUAAUAUUUUUGUUGUGAGAUAUGUGAUGUUUUCGAACUUUCAUCAGAUGUUUAUAUGCUUGUGAUGUGAAUGCGUUAUGUGGGCGUCUAUGAUUUUCUGUGGAUGUAUUGUUGUGAUGUGGAUGAACAUAUAUCUGUAUAUAUGUGCUGUGAAAAUAUUUCACAUUGCUGCGAUAAAAAAAAAUACCCUUUGCCGACGGCCACAGUCUUGGCCGCCGGCAAAGGCGGAGCGCAGGCACGCACCAGAUCGUGCCACGUGCCCGCCCUUUGCCGGCGGCUUUUUCCCUGGCUGCCGGCAAAGGCCCGACAUGUGGGCCCAGCCGUUAACGGCACCGCAUGCCGUGAUCUCUUUUUCUUUGUCGGAGGUCGUCGUUUCGGUGCCGGCAAAGGCUUCGCCGACGGACCCGUGAGAAAGCCGCCGGCAAAGAAUCCUUUGCCGGUGGAUCUCCGUGCCGACGGGCUUUGCCGACGGCCCCGAAAAAAACCCGCCGGCAAAGGCUUUGCCUGAGGCAAAGGUGCCUUUGCUGGCGGCCCCUGGCCCCCCCGCAAAGCCGGUUUCUCCAGUAGUGGCGACGAACAAGCAGGCGCGGCGGCGGAGCAGAUCAGCAGCGGCCACGAAGCAUCUCACAGCGGCCGCGAAGGAGCAGGCGCGGCGGCGGACGAGCAGCAGGUCGCCCACCAGUUCAGUACACCACCAUACGCGGGCGCCCAUGCCCCUGCCCGGCCGACGCCCUCAUUCCUCCUGCUCCUCCUCCACCCUCCGUCUCAGCCUCCCAGCAACCCCCAGUCCCAGUCUCCCUUCGAUGAUGCAUCAUGCAUGUGUUUGUGUGGCUGGGCAGUGUGCUACGGGCUGCUGUUGUGCCGUGCUAACAUGGUAAGGCUGCUGACAUGCUAAUACUAUGCUACUAAGACACUAAGCAUUAAGCAAGUUUCUUGAGGCUUCAUCGAUGUCGGCUAUUGAAAGUAGUUUGAAACCUGAAUGUGUGUUGUGUGACUUCUGAAGUUGGGAUGCACCGAUUGCUUCAAUUUUGUCUCUCUUUACCUGAAUGUGUUAUGUAAUCUAUGUACUGAUAUAUCUUCUAUGUUGUCAAAAAGUUCCCCAAAGAAAAUAGGCCAUGGCAAAAAAGUUAGUUAAUAACUGGAUUAUAGAUCAACUUAUCAGCUACUCACUCCGAUUCUAAAUUGUUGUCGAAAUAUUACAUGUAUCUAGACAUUUUUGAAGAAUAUAUACAUCUAUAUUUGGACAAAUUUGAGUCAAGAAUUUAGGAUCAGAGUGAGUAUUUAUGUUACCGAUUUUCCUUGACAAGUAGGUGUAGUUAACAUGGCAAGUACGUGUAGAUAAUCUGGCAAGUAGGCACAGUUAGACCGGCAAGGAGGUGAAGGUAACCUGACAAGCAGGUGCAGGUAAUCUGGCAAGUAGGUGUAGCUAAUCUGGCAAGUAGACACAGUUAAAUCGGCAAGUAGGUGAAGCUAACCUGGCAAGUAGGUGUAGAUAAUCUGGCAGGUAAGCACACUUAAACCGACAAGUAUAGGUAAUCUGGCAAAGAGGCACAGUUAAACCGGCAAGUAGCUAAAGAUAACCUGGCAAGUACGUGUAGAUAAUCUGACAGGUAAACAACCGGCAAGUGUAGGUAACCUGACAAGUAUGCAUAGUUAAACCGGCAAGUUGGUGGAGGUAACCUGGCAAUUAGGUCUAGUUGACCGGCAAGUAGACACAGUUAAACCGGCAAGUACGUGAAGAUAACAUGGCAAGUAAACAUAUUUAAACCGGCAAGUAGGUGAAGGUAACCCGACAAGUAGGUGUGGAUGAACUGCCAAAUAGGUGUUGAUGAACCGGCAAGUAGGUGAAAGUAACCUGGCAAGUAGGUAUUUUUAAACCGGCAAGUAGGUGAAGGUAAACUGGCAAAUAGGUAGGCACAGUUAAACCGGCACAUAUGUGUAGUUAACUUGGUAAGUAGGUGUAGUUAAUCUGACAAGUAGGCACAGUUAAACCGGCAGGUAUGUGGAGGUAACCUGGAAAGUAGGUAUAGUUGACCGGCAAAUAAACACAGUUAAAUCUGCAAGUAGGCACAAUUAAACCGGCUAAUAUGCGAAGGUAAUCCGGGAAGCAGGUGAAAGUGAUGCUGCUUUCCGGGACUGAUGUCUAUCCAUGAAUUUCCAAUACUAUUAGAUUCGAUCAAAUUUUAUAAUGCGAUGCAAAAUAGAUGCAAUUUAAUGAGAAAAAAGGCUAAAGCAAAUUCGGCCUAAGGCCUAGAAAGAUAGGCAUCACGUGCUGGACUAAAUCGGUUGUGCUGCUUGUGGGCUUGUAGGGAUUGGGCUCCUGGGUUGUGUGGGCUGCGCUGCGAACGGCCAGGGAGCGCGCGUGCUAACGAACAGGCAUCGAGCGAGAAGACCACGCGGGGAUUGUAGGGAUUGGGCUCCUGGGGAGGGUUACGUGGGGCACGCCGCUGGAUAGUACGCUCCAACAACAAUGCAAAUCGAAUUUUCAGCUCUCGGUGGCAAUUCUGUUUCUUAGGGUGGUACAAUGCAAAUCAAAUUUUCAUUUUCAAUACCAUUAAGUAGUAGGAGUAUGAGAAUUUUCUGAAGUGCAUGCAUGCAGCCCAGCUCAGACGGCCCUGAUUAUCUACCAUUCUACCCGUCAGUGAUAGGUGACGUUUGUACGCACCGGCCCAAAGAUUAUUCAUGUUUAAUUGAAAUAAAAUAUGGAGUUGAAUAAUGAAAUAUCACAAAUUUUAAACAUAUAGCUCUCGGUUACUAGCCCCCGUGCAUAUUAUAUGCACGGUUGAUGACUAGUUUGGAUAGAAAAUAAAAAUAGCCAAACGAAUUUGCUUCAGCUUUCAAGGUAGCUCUGUUUCUUGCCUACAAUGCUUUUACUAUGACUGAGAAGCAUCAAUAAUAUUUUGUCCUUUAAAUAGCAACGUCGAAUAUGACAGAUGGUUUGCUUCCAAAUUGAGAAAGCUCGAUCGAUGCACGGCUACAGAAUUCAGAACAAUAUUUGGAGAUAUUGGAGGCGAACAAAAGCAUCCGGUUUCACAAUAUUGUACUCCCUCCAUCUCAACAUUUCAAAAUAAGUGACGCGGAUUUACAUAAGAAUUUAUACAAAUACACAUACUUAUUUUGAGACGGAGGAAGUAGAUAUAUAUGAACACAUGUUCUGUGGGAGAGAAAACGCGACUCUGUCUUUGCUUGAUCAGCCACGAACUAGAUCCUUGGAGGUGUCACAGAGUAACUAGAGUACGUAGAUCCUUUCGUGCAUUUCGUUAGUGUUAAUUACUCCCUCUGAUUCUAAAUUAUUGUCGAAAUAUUACAUGUAUCUAGACGUUUUUUAAGAAUAGAUACAUCCAUAUUUAGGCAAAUUUAAGUCAAGAAUUUAGAAUCAGAGGGAGUAGCUGUGUAGGUGGCUGCUAUGCAGAGAGCAUUGACUUCAUAACGUACUGUACGAUAACAGAUAAGUCUACAUUACCUCUGAAUUCAGGGGUGGUUCAGAUUAACCUAUGAAUUCGAAAACUGUUUUGAAUAUCCCCUCAACUCUUAAUUAAUACCGUUUAGAUUACCCUCUUCCCCAUCUCUGGCUGGUUUGACCGGUUUUGAUUGUCACGUAGCUCGCUGGUGCAUGGCAACUUGGCAUCUCGCCACAGCUCGCUGAAUCUCCAGCCAAAACUUUAUUGGUUUCACAUACCAUUAGAAUCAACAAUAAUGCUAACAUAGUAAUUCAAUCAGUUCAAGUCCCAUGCUCAGGAAACCGAGAGUUAAGUGCAUGCACGCAUGCUACUGCCAGUAGCAGCUAGCGUCUCUGCUUGCAUCUCUCCUCGCCGAUCGAACCGAGAGUAGUUGGGGGUUGUUUGUUGUGGUUCUCGGAUUCUUCCGUUUCUUCUUAAUGAUGAAAGCGACGAUUCUAAAGAAAGAGAGUAUUGCAAGAGUUUCCAUAUCGACCGGCUUCAUCUCUAUAAAUUCAAGAAUCUCACAUGCACCUCUCUUCAAUUCAUGUCCACUACUUCUGCACGCCCAGUAACAAUGGCAUUCUUAUUCUUGCCAGGGCAACUCAUCUCCACGCUUGCGCUACUACUCCUAGUUCUAGCUUUGUACAUCAUCAAGUGUAGUCGACCAAAGGAUCCAUUACAGCCGACGAACUGGCCAAUAAUCGGCGGUCUCCCUUUCAUCGUCCACAACCUCCACGGAUUGCACGACCAUGUGACCGACGUCCUAGCUUCCUCAGGGUACAGUUUCAAGGUGACCAUAGCCAGCAUGGGGACCUUGGUAACCUGUGACCCAGCCAAUGUGCGGCACAUCUUCACCUCAAACCAUGCAAACUACCCCAAGGGCGAGGGCUUCGCCGACAUCUUCGACGUGGUGAAUGGCUCUCUGUUCACCGUCGACGGCGAAUCCUGCCUCCGGCAACGUGCAACGUCCAACCGUGCUUUGAGCAGCCCGGGGUUUGUUGCCUUCACGACAAACUACUGCUGCGACAAGGUGGGGAAAGGCCUCCUACCCUUCUUGACCCGUGUGGCGAGAACCGGGAAUCCGCUUGACAUUAAUGAUCUCAUGGGGAGGCUUGUUUUCGACUUGUACGCCACGUCCGUCUUCGGCGUGGACCCUGGUCUCCUAUCCCUCGAUAUGCCUUCGGUGCACCUUGCGGCCAUGGACACGGUCAUGGAGGUGGGCUUCUUCCGGACAAUUGUUCCGGCAUUUUGCUGGAAAUCGAUGAGGCGCCUAAACAUCGGUCCCGAGAGGAAGCUCGCCUCGGCGCAAGCGGUGCUUCGUAACUUCGCCAUGGAAAUGAUUGAAAGGAGGAAGACCAGCGGUGCCCAUAUUGCUCCCCAAGAACAAGCGACGGCUUCAUCUGUGGACAUCCUGUCAAACUUUAUCCAUGACCUCGACUACAAUAAUGAUGAUCUGCUCCAGGCAACACUCAUCUUACAUAUGAUUGCCGGUAGGGACACCAUCGGCACAACCUUGCCAUGGAUCUUCUACAACCUUGCCAAGAACCCACAUGUUGUGUCAAAGAUACGCAAUGAAUUGGCGCCCAUCGUGUCACGCAAACAAACCACUAUUGCUAACGACCCUAUGACGUUUGAGCCAGAGGAGGUCAAAGCCCUAGUCUAUCUGCAAGCAAGCUUGUUGGAGACACUAAGGUUGUACCCUCCCAUCCCUUUCGAGCGAAAGGAGGUGGCCGCCAGCGAUGUGAUGCCAAGUGGCCAUGAGGUGUGUGCCAGGGACAUCAUCAUCGUUUCCCUCUACUCCAUGGGUAGAAUGGAGGAUGUGUGGGGGGCUGACUGCCGAGAAUAUAAGCCAGAGAGGUGGUUCUUAAAGGAUGGAGCCAUGCUUAGACAUGUUCCCUCUCACAAGUUCUUGGCGUUCAACUCGGGGCCAAGGCUGUGCCUCGGUAAGAACAUUGCUAUCACACAGAUGAAGACCAUUGUCGCUUCGGUCGUGUGGAGUUUUGACAUGGAGGUGUUAGGUGCUCAGGUGAUCGUCGAGCCAAAGCUAUCGUGUCUUCUGCAAAUGAAAAAUGGGCUCAAGGUGAAAGUGAAGAAGCGAGAAAUCUAAUAUCUAGGGAUCUAUGUUGGGCGUCCCAAAGAAUAAUGCAAGCGGUAUAUGUGCGCUUGUGGUGUUUCUCAUGUAUCUCACAAAUAUCUUGGGGUAAUUGUAAUACUGCAUUCGCACAAUAAAAAUUUCAUUUGUAUAUCUCGUUAAAAAGUAUUCAUAGAUAAAACAGAAGUUUGACAACUUGCCAUGGGUAUUUCAAAAGUACAAACUGCGCCAGAAAUGAAAUCGAUCCCGUUAAUAUCUCUAGAGGAACUCGGUCGAUCUUCAACACUAACCGAGAACAACCCUUGGGCAGCUAGUCCAACAACGGUGUUUGACACAUCAACACCUAGCUUCAACGUUUGGACGGAUCAAUUAAUCGUCAGGGGAGAGGAGACUUGAAGAAGAAACUGAGGUGGGGAAGACAUAUGGUUGGCAUGGACCCGAUCUGUCAUAAUUUGGGGAAAACCGGAGGAAAACACUAGACGGGGCAAUUUAUGUCAUAAAUUUGAUUAAACUGGGUAAGCUUAUAGAACUUCUGUUAAACGGGGUAUACUGUGUCACAAAAGUGAAAUUAGGAUGUAGAAAAUGGAAUUCUCUUUUAAAAUAAAUAUUUGCUAUGGUUAGCACCAGCCACAUCUCAAGGUAUCAAUCAUACAUAAAAACUCAAGUUAUCAGAAAGUCGCUUUUAACUUCAGGGGUGUAAGUGCAAAAAAAACUCAACUAACAGGUGGGCAAAGUUUUAACUUAGAAACGUGGGGGCCGUCUUCUUCUUCCUCCUCCGGCCGCUGUCUCGUCUCGCGCCCCUCGCUGCCUCCUCGCGGAACAAAAUCCUAUUCACUCCGUUUCAUAAUUCUUGUCGAAAUAUUACAUGCAUCUAAAUGCUUUUUAGGAAUAGAUACAUCCAUUACAUCCAUUUUUAGUCAAAUUUAAGACAAGAACUAUUAUAGAACAGAGGCAGUACGCGUUAAGAGGCCUUCCAUCUUCACCUAAAAAGAUUGCCAAGUCUCUUGUCCCGUGCACAUAUGUCAGUGUGGACUGCACCGCGCACUAGUUCUGCCAAGUACGACGUGCGCUCCAACGCCUUCCGCCGGCUCUCCGUCUUCACCGUCGACACGUGGUGCUCGUCCGGCACCGUGGCGCGCGAUGGCACCGUCGUCCGGCCAGACCGGCGGCUGGAACGGCGGCUACCGCAAUGCGCGGACCAUGCGCGCCUGCGUCGACGACACCUGCGACUGGAACGAGACGCAGGACGCGCUCGCCGUGAACCGAUGGUACGCCACCAACCAGAUCCUCCCAGACGGCCGCGCCUUCAUUGUCGGCGACCGGAGGCACUUCAGGUACGAGUUCUUGCCAGAGCAAACUCAUCUACACGCAUGUGCUUCUUCUAGUUCUAGCUUACAGCAGAUCAAAGAAUCCAGUGCUGCCAACGGGCUGGCCAAUAAUCGGUACUAUUGGACAUGUCAGGAUCAGGACGUACUCGAAACAGCGGGAACACGUACGUGCUCCUAGAUGUUAGGCAUGUGCGAAGUAAAUUUCAUGACAAUGUGGUUAUGUCUAAGGUCAACAAGGGCCGUUAGACUUAGACCAUGAGAGAAGCUCAUGUUUAAGGGAAGGGUUUUUUAUUUCUGUGUCCCUCGUCCCUUAGCUGUACUCAGAAAUACACAGGUUUCAUAAUUGUGCUCGCUUCUAGACUUGUUCGCUUUCUGCUUCCUCGCAAAUGCCCUAACGGAGCAACUGCUAACGGUCAAGCCCCUUUGACCGUUUGCUUCCGACGGGUGGGCCGCCGGUAGUGCUGACAGGUGGGGCCGGAGCCACGUUUCUGGCGUGUGGGGCUGCAAGGAGACCGUGCAAGCGGGCAGGACUUAACGGGUCUGGUUACCUUACAUGCGGGCCACGUCCGUGCGUCCUGAUAGGUGGGGCGGUCAUCGUUAAUUAAUGACAGGUGGGCUGAGGAAAGGGGGACCGCUGGGGCCGAGCCAGAGGAUGACAGGUGGGCCGAGCCAAAGGAUGACAGGUAGGACAAGACUUCAGAUGACAGGCGGGGCUAGUGUCAUCUUUUCUUACAUGUGGAGCCUACUUGCUCUCCUUUACUCUCAUCCAAAUCCCGACCAGAACCCUAAAUUGGCGGAGGAUGGCGGCGGCGCUGAGGCUAGUAGGUGUGUAGAAAUGAACGGGAGGCGGCGAUGGCGAGCACUAACCCACCUCCGUACCACAACGUCGGUAGCUGCCGCCGAUUUGAGGAGGAGAUAUUUUGCCGCGGGGAGUCUGAUAUCUGGCCCGAUGUGGCCGAGAUAGUGAUUUCCCGCACCUCAAGAAUGGAAGAGAAGGCGGCGAGGCUGCGAGGUAAAGCCGUCAUUCCUACCAUCCAUACAGGAUCAACGCUCAAUCUGCCGGCCACUUCGGGUGAAGAGGUCAUGGCAGCUCUGAACUAGCGCCGCAACUUCAAAAGGGGAGUGCGCAUCAUGGUAUGUCUUGCGCCCGGCAAGUUUUUGAUUCGCUUUGAUUCGAGUGAUGAUUGCACGGCAGCGGUGAUGCAAUCGAUGCGCAUCAGGUGCCCUGCCAGCGACAUCUCGUUUCGCCCCUGGACCUCCAUCUUCCGUGGAGAGGAAUCAAAACUGCCUUUUAGCUGUGUUCUUAGCUUGGAUGGACUGAUGGAGGAUGCGCAAGAGCUGGAAUUUGUGAAGAAUUUGAUUAAUCAGCUAGGAGAUGAGUUCGUGGCAAUUCUGCGUAGGACUGAUCCACGCUGCGUGAAGCUCAGGCAUGAAUGCGUGAUCCUUGUGCCAUCCCGAAGCGGUUGCUGAUGAGAGUGCCUACUUCGGCCACACAACCAGCUCCUGAAUGUGCUGAUGAGCUCAUUGAUGACUCAAUUGCAGCGGGGACAGAACCAGAAACCAGACGUGCUGUGUCGUUCGGGGUCAUCGUCCACGUCCAUGAAGUGGUCGAUAGGUUUCAUCUUCUUACUGAUGGUUCAGACCACAACAACAGGGACUACUCUGAUUCUUUUUCAAAUGAUGAAGCUUAUCUGGACUAUGGUGGUUCUGGGAAUACCGCGAGGAGAUCUCACUCGCCUCCAUGAGUUCCCCUGUUUUGCUGGCGCUGUAGAUGGCUCAGGUCCUCCAAAAGGAGGGGUUAAUCCAUGUUGAUGUUGUCUUCUGUUUAAUCCAUGUUGAUUUUGAUGUAUGUUGUCUAUGUAUUAGUUUGUUGUUCGAAGACUACCUAUUUGUACUGAUCAAGAGCAGGUUGUUGCUGUUUAUCUGAACCUGGGCAUGUAUAGUUAUCAGCACUUAUCAUUUCCUAUGAAUGUCUUUCGCAAUUUAACUUCCUCCAAAUUGAUUUCUGACUGCACAAAUGAAUAGCAAAUGGAAAGUUAUGCAAAAUUACAAAAUUUCAAUAUGUUUUCAGAAGGUUGACUUUUGUUGACCAAGGAAUUUAUAGUGACAUUUGGCUGUCACAGCCCACCCAAAUGGACAAUUUUGGAGAAAACUUAGAAAGUGAACUUGUUCCAAAUUGAUUUUAGAUUGCACAAAUGGAAUCCGAAUGGAAAUUUAUGCAAGAUGACCAAAUUUCAACUUGUUUCGUGAAGGUUGACUUUAGUUGACCAGGGAAAAAAUAGCCACAUUUGGUUGUCCCAGCACACCAAAAUGGCUGCAGUUGGAAGAACCCUCAAGAUUCGACCUUCUCCAAAUUAUUUUUUGAUUGCACCAAUAGAAAGUACAUCAAAGUUAUGAACACUACUGAAAUUUCAAACCCAUUUGAGAAAGUUGACUUCGCGUUGACCAGGAUUAAUUUAAAUCCACUCAAAUCCAUUCAAAUCUGCAAAACUAAAGAGUUUUUUUGAACUUUUCUUCGAGGAGUCAAGUACUAACAAUGUUUGUAUACUUCCAAUAGUUGUUCCACAACUUCAAAUCAUGUAUGUCGUAUCAUUUUGGCCCAAACACAACAAAUUUAACUGGAUUUGAAAUUCAAAAAAUAUGAAAAAACGUCCAAAUUGAAAAUGCUUUUGCAUACAUGCAAUACAUAUCCAAAUGUUAUUAGUGUGCCAAAUUUUACAAGAUUUGGACAAAGUUUUAAAUUCAAAUGUCAAAAUGAGUUCAUUUCUCCAACAUCCCCCUAUGUGGUGCAAUGUACAUGAAGUACAUUGUGAAAUUUAGAUAAUGCUCUGAUAUUUUUUAUGUGAUGAAGUAUCACUAAAAAUUGACAAUUGCAUAAAAUCAUAAUUUUCGGACAACUUUUUCAUGUUAUUAACAUUUUUAUACUUUUGAGUUAAGUGUAAAUCACAGUAAUGAAGUUAUAGAACAUUUAAUUUUCAUUUCUGAAAUGGUUUGCUAAUUUUUGAAUAUCAAAUUAACUAAAAUUUGCUUGUUUUCACAUUUUUGAUGUCAAACGUGUGCAAUACUAAUCCUAGAAGAUUUAGACAGCUUUGUGAGUGUAUCACAAGUGUUUCCACCAAAUAUGAGAUUUUUUGGACUUGGGAUACUAUAUCUUCGUACAUUCUUUGAAUUUUUGAGUUUAUUUUAAAAAAAUACAUAAACCCAUCGAACUCAACGGAAUGAUGAGAAAAUCGAUGAUGAAAAGUUAUGUCUGCACCAUACAAGUCGAGCAAAAUUGGAUUCCAUCCGGUUCAGUCCAAUUUCAAACCUAUUUGUGCAUGAAAACAUGAAUUUCAGCAAACCAAAAUGGCCGUAGGUGGAAGAACCCCCAAGAUUCGACCAUCUCCAAAUUAUUUUCUGAUUGCACCAAUAGAAAGUACAUCAAAAGUUAAAAACACAGUUAAAAUUUCAAACCCAUUUGAGAAAGUUGACUUCGCGUUGAGCAGGAUUUAAAUCCAUUCAAAUCUGCAAAAGUAAAGAGUUUUUUUGAACUUUUCUUUGAGGAGUCAAGUACUAACAAUGUUUGCGUACUUCCAAUAGCUAUUCCACAACUUCAAAUCAUGUAUGUCGUAUCAUUUUGGCACAAACACAACAAAUUUAAAUGAAUUUGAAAUUCAAAAAAAUAUGAAAACACGUCCAAAUUGAAAAUGCUUUUGCAUACAUGCAAUACAUACCAAAUGUGCUUAGUGUGCCAAAUUUUACAAGAUUUGGACAAAGUUUUAAAUCCAAAUGUCAGAAUGAGUUCAUUUCUCCAACAUCUCCGUGAGGUGUUUCAGAAACACCUUAGGGAGAUGUGGUGCAAUGUACAUGAAGUAAAUUCUGAAAUUUAGAUAAUGUUCUGAUUUUUUUACGUGAUGAAUGUAUCACUAAAUAUUGACACUUGCAGGAAAUCGUAAUUUUCGGACAAAUAUUUCAUAUUAUUAACAUUAUUAUACUAUUGAGUUAACUGCAAAUCAUAGUAAUCAAGGUAUAAAACAUUUAAUUUUUAUUGAAACCUAUGUGUUUGCGUUCUAAUAGGUUACAAUGGGUCCAAUGGACCUUUCUUAAAUUAAUUUCUUGUCGUAAAUGUAUUGAAAAAAGUGAUUUUUCAUUUAAUGCCGAAAUGUGCUGAAAAUCCAAAAUAUGUACGAAAUAUAGUAAAAUUGCUCUAGAAAUUCUGAAAUUCUUUGAGAAGAACAAGUAACAUGUAAGGUUAUCAAACAAAAUUCUUAUAUGUUCUAAACCUUUAUUUACAAACGCUUUGGACCCAACACUUGAAAAUUGGAUGAAACUCUAUCAGUGGCGGGAAAAGCCCGCCACAGAUGUAAGCCUGCCACCCGACACUGAUAAUUAUGGCCGGUUCGGACAUGGAUCCCCUGACGUACGUUACCCUGCAGUUUGGUCACUGGCAGGUGAGCCUCAUGCCUGACAACCCCACAUGUCAGUGACUCUAUGUCACGGGACGCUACGUCAGAGGAUCUCCUUCCGGUUCUAGGCCUAUCUGACAAGCUACUGCUCAUUUUUUUUCAAACUCUUUACAGUGACUUGUAAUCAAACUCACUUUUUUUAGUGUUUGUUGCAUUAUUAUUUUCAGUGUUUGUUGCAUUAUUAUUUUUAGUAUUUUUGCAUUAUCAACGAUUCUUGCGGGUCAUAUAGAAAUUCGAAUGGAUCUUGAAAAUACACACACACACACACAUAUUAUAGUUCAUCUCUCCAGCAUCACAUAUAGAAAUAUAUAAAAAAGGAAAAAUACAUAUGGAAUUUUAUUCCACGCUCCUGGCCGGUGAUGUUCUCCAAGGCCUUGGUACAUGUCUCCAGUAUACCGAUCAACGAUCGGAGCACUUCCACAGAGACUUGUACCGUCGGCGGCGGCGGCGGAGGCGGCAAGGGUGGCGGUGGCGUUGGCAACAAAGGUGGCGGCGACGCACGGCGUGACGGUGGGGCCAUAGGAGCUGCUGGAGGCGCCGUCGGUGGAGGAGGUGGUGGCGGUGGUGCAGGUUGCGGGGCCGGUUGACGUACCACCGGCGGAGGAGUAGGCUGGGCCGACGAUGGAGACACGGCCUUCUUUGUACGGCCGCCUCGCUUGACGCCAAACAUUGGCAGAGACGGAGGUGGUGUCGGAGUUCGACGCCGUGGUGGAGACCGGCGGCGUCCACGACCACGGCGGCCACUGCAGCGCCGCCUACUAUGGACUUCAUCUUCGUCCGAUGAAGUCAAGAAUGCCGUCCGUCGGUACGGACUCUCUCCGUCGAGCUCCCUAUUCUCCGCUUGAAUGGAGGAGCACGGGAAGGAGUCCCCAGACCACCGCGCCAUGUCGAAGGAUCUUUGGUAUCAGGGAAGAAGGCUAGAUGGAAAGGUCGAAUGAUGACACGGAAUAUAUAGGCACAUAGCUCUUUCGAGAGACUUCUGCACACCUCCGCAAGUCAAGCUCCCUAUUAAUUAUGGAAUAUUUAAGGCCAGAGGGCGUGCGGGAACACAUCAGUUUCCCAUGCAAGUCCCUGCAACUGCCCACGCACGCCGGUUUCCCAUGCAAGGCCGCCACGCACCCCUCCGCAAGUCAAACCGCUCUGGCGUAGAGUCCCCGAGCAUUCAUGCAAACCGCUUUCAAAGCCCACCAACAAACACUCAUCACCGGAAACCACUCCCCUUCCCCUUACCAUCGCUAUUUAACCCGGCGCCAUGGAACUACUUCUUUCUAUUCUUCUCCUUCUUCUACACAUCUUCACCUCUCUCUACUUCUUCUGUGCGGUUAACCGACGGGCAAUGCCAUUCCAAGGCCACACCUUCAACCCGCCGCCCUCACGGAGGAGCGGUUGUACCCACCGGGCGUGCUUGUGGAGUGUACGCUCCAAGUGGGGGCGAUGUCGCGCAGCAGGAGCCCGAUGGCGCUGGUCAGGGACUUCCUCCACACCGGUUUCUUACACCGGGAGGCCGUAGGCCCUCCAAUGUACCGCGUGGAGCACCAACACGGCACCGCCUAGUGCCGUGUAUGGCGUCGACACGGCCAUCCUAGUGCACCUCACCAACAGCCACGACGCUGAGUACCUCCUUGGCCGCGUGUACUGGUGUGGAUGCGAGUUUAUCGCAUUCACGAUGUACACCGUGUACACCAACACGGCAAACACGUUCCCCCACGCCGGCCAGAUGCACGGCCUCCCGUACGUCGUGCCGGAGGUGGCGCCUGUGGAUGGGCCUGCCGAGUCGGGCGUGGCAGCGCGGGAGGAAGCCGGCGCCCAGGAGUGAUCGGCCGCGUCGUUUUAUAUGAAUGCCGUUAAUUAUAAAGUUUUAUAUGAAUGCGUUAAUUGUUAGAAUUUGCACUUCAUGUUUUAUGACGAUGAACCGCUUUAUUGAACUGCGUGUGAUGUGAUUGCUUCCAUAAUUGUGAUUGUAAAGUUUAUUUCUGUGUAAAACAAACAAGUGUAGCCUCGGGUAGAAUUUGCUUUCUUCGAUUAGGCUAUGUAGACGCCGCUUCCCUUCGCAAGUCUCGCCGGCGAGCCCACGGAGGCGUAUCUGGCGGGCCCGUUGCCAGGGCGAGCACGGAGGCGUAUUUGGCGGGGGCGGGGCGUAUUUGGGAAAGGGAUGAGAGAGAUAGGCGACGGACCCACCUGUCACUUUUUUUCGUCGCCCCACAUGUAAGUUAAUUCGACCGACCCCACCUGUCAGGACAUGGCCCGCAUGUAAGGUAACCAGACCCGUUAAGACCUGUCUGCUUGCACUGUCUCCUCGCAGCCCCACACGCCAGAAACGCAGCUCUGGGCCCACCUGUCAGCACUCCCCACGGCCCACCCGUCAGAACCAAACGAUCACAGGGGCUUGAUCGUUAGCAGGUGCUCCGUGAGGGCAUUUGCGAGGAAUCGCGAAACGAACAAGUGUAGCAGCGAGCACUGUUUCUGGCCUCGGGUAUAACUGAGUACAGCUAUGGAAAGAGGGGCGCAGAAAUAAAAAACCCUUAAGGGAAAUAGGGCAAAGAACAAUUUGUACAAGGGUUUUUUACUUCUGUGCCCUUGAUUCCUUAGUUCUAUUCAGUUUUGCCCAAGCCUUAGAACACUGCUCGCUUCUACCCUCCUCCUUUGCGCAAAUGCUCGCUUUUACCAUCACGGAGCACCUCCUCAUGGUCAACUCGGUCAAGGCGUUAGCUACUGACGGGUGGGACCGGGCAUAAGCCUGACGGGUGGGACCAAUGCACGCUGCUGACUAUGGGCCAGGCCAGGCUUCGGCGAGCUUGACUCCGGCCACCGCGACGACGUCCGAUGCGGCGUGGGGAUCGGCGCGAGCACGAGGACAAGGACCGGGACAGGGAAGGGGACGCAAGGACCGCCGCUAGGAUGCUGUCGGUCGGCACGACGGACGCUAGGAUGCGCCGCGGACACAGCACAACACAACCAUCGAAGAAAGAACCUAGUUCAUAUAUUCCAACAAGGGCUUACAUUAACGACAUUAAUUUUGAAAAAAAAUGCCGAUCGAUCGCUCACUCCUCGGCUUCGUCUUCAGAUUCCUCCAUAGGCGGCGCAGGCCCCUCGACAACCACCUCCAAAGGCGUCUCCGCCUCCUUCAUGUAGUGUUGGUGUACACGUUGUACAACGUGAAUGCGAUGAACUCGCAUCCACACCAAUACACACGGCCAAGGAGGUAAUCGGCGUCAUGGCUGUUGGUGAGGUGCACCAGGAGGGCGGUUUUGACGCCGUGCUCGCGGAGCCUCUCCAGGCGGUACAUUGGAGGGCCACGGACAAGGAGCUAGUAGACGGUACCGAGAGCUCGGCCGGCGGCGGCCAUGGGUGUGAGCGGGCCACCACUCCGCCAUUUUCCAGCCGCCGACAUGCGUCGGUGGAAUUGUCCCAUGCAUUGAGCAUGGACGCCGCCGCUCGCUGCCGCCAAAGCGUGCCCGCAUCGAUGUGGACGUCCCGUGCUCGUCCUGCGGACGACUCCCCCUCAACGACGACGACGACGACGAUGAUGACGACGUUCGACGAUGACGAGGAUGAGGAGGAGGCCGAGUGCGAGAUCAAUCGGCGCCAUGCCGAGCUCCUGCACACGUACCAGCAACAUGUGCGGGAAGCCGACCGGCAGCACAUGGCUGUCGCGAAGGUGGCUUCCGUAGCGGAAGAUUUCUCCAACGAGUGCGGCCGGGAGGCGGCGGAGGCGAGGGAGCGGUACGAGUUUGAGCUCGCGACGCUAAACUCGGAGAGGAGCAACCUUCUCGAGGAGCGGGGGAGGAAGAACGUCCGGGAAAUCCGGGCGGAGCGCGAUGCCAUCUUGGCCACGACGACGGCGACGGCAACGACACUGCAUAAUGUUAUCCGUUAUUUAUCUCUAGCUGCAUAAUGUUGCUACGUAUCUUUAUUUUUAUUCCUAUUUUGUAAUCGACCUUGCGUACCCAUCGAUCUAUAUAUAUAUAUGGAAUGUUAUCCGUUUUUCUAUUAUAUAUAUGGGUAUGGUAACGGCAUAAGGUUGUAGUAUUUUGAAUGAAACACGUUGGUAAAGUAAGGCCGGUCACAAAUUGAUUUUGGUCUGAAUUUUUUUUUUCAAUUGGCAGAAUAGGCAAAAACAGUAGUUUAGGUGCAAAAAGGAUUCAAAUGCGUUUGGACCUGGUGCAUUCCAAGUUUUUUGGAAUUGCAUGGCAAAACCAUGACUUUCUUAUAUUGGUCCCACAUCGAUUUGUGCGAAUUUUCAUUGAAUUUUGAAUUAUGAGCCGAAAAGGCUGGAAAUUCAAAGAAUGCACGAACUAUCGUUCCUAAACGCCAGAAAAUCUGAAAUUUGGAGAGAACAUCAAGGAUGAACACUAAAUGCUAUGAAAAUCUUCUUUGAUGAAAAUCGCGAAUCUUAGUGGUGAUUGAGGUAAAGUUCCCUAGAUUUGUUUGAAUUUCAAAUUCAAAAAAAUAGGUAAACAAUUCAGAUUUGAACAAGCUUUGAGAUAAUGACAUUAAUAGGCAUAUGUGACUACUGUGCAAAGUUUGAGUUCAUUUGGAGAAAGUUUGUGAUUCAAUUCCAAAAUUUACAUCAAAUUUGUAACAUCUCCUUUAGAGAUUUAAAACAUCCCAGAGAGAUGUGUUACUUUGAACAUCAUGCAUGUGUUCACAAAUUGAUUUUGGUCUGAAUUUUUUUUUGGUGACGGGUAUUGACAAAUAAAGAGCCCACGCAGGUUUUCAGAUUUUUCCGGAUAAAAUUUCCUAUUAUUAUAUAUUUUUUCCAAUUGACAGAAUAGGCAAAAAAGUAGUUUAUGUGCAAACAGGAUUCAAAUGCGUUUGGACCCGGUGCAUUCGAAGUUUUUUGGAAUACCAUGGCACAACCAUGACUUUGUUAUAUAGGUUCCACAUCGAUCUGUGCGAAGUUUCAUUGAAUUUUGAAUUAUGAGCUGAAAAGGCUGGAAAUUCAAAGAAUGCACGAAAUAUCGUUCCUGAACUCCAGAAAAUCUAAAAUUUGGAGAGAACAUUAAGGAUGAACACUAAACGCUAUGAAAAUCUUCUGGGACAGAACUUGUGAAUCUAAGCGAUGAUUGAGGUAACCGUUCCCCCAUAUUUGUUUGAAUUUGAAAUUCAAAAAAUAGGCAAACAAUUCAGAUUUGAACAAGCUUUGAGAAAAUGACAUUAAUAGGCAUAUGUGACUAGUGUGCAAAGUUUGAGUUCAUUUGGAGAAAGUUUUGUGAUUUAAUUCCAAAAUUUAUAUUAAAUUGGCCAAAUAGUGGGUCUGGUCAGCAAAAGUCAACUUUCUCAAAACAAUUUGAAAUUUCGUCAUCUUUAAUAACUUUCCGUUCAGAUUGCAUCUGUGCUAUCAGAGAUCAAUUUGGAGGAAGUCUGAUUUCCAAGCUUCCUACAAAAUUGUCCAUUCCAGUGGGCUCAAAGGGCAAAAAGUGGCUCUUUUUCUUCCCCCCGGUGAACAAAAGCAGCUCAUCUUCCUGGCCGCUCUUUCUGCCGUCCAUCGCGGCACCGUCGCUUCUCAACUCGGUCGCUAAACCUUGCCGCCAUGACCUUGUAGACAUGCCGAAGCUAUAUCCGCAAGUCGCGCAUCCUCUCGUGCUCUAUUCUGGCCGGAACGCGAACGGCCAGAGCACGCUCGCGCGCCGCUGCUUUGCGCCAUCAUGGCCAGCGUCCUCCACGAGCCUCGCCACCUUGCCCAAGAGACCUGCAUCGGCCAAGGAGACCAGAGGUGCCUCCAAUCGCUGCGUCACCAUCUUCUUCCUCAUCUCCUACCGGUUGCUGCCGCCGAACAGAUCUCCUUCUCUGGCGACCUCCGGACUCGACCGCCGCCUCCCUCAGAUCCACCUGAUCACUCUGAACCUUCUGGUGAUUCUCAUCAAGCCUCGCGUGAUCUGAGUCAUCCCCGUGUCGCUGCUCCUCUCUGCCUGCCACCUGCCGGCGUCGAGGUUCUCGCGCCGUGCUCCUCCACCCCUUCCAAUGCCUCCGUCAGAUUUGUGAUGACUUACUCAUUCUUUUGCCCCUCUUUCCUGCCUCUCCCGUGCUCUGUAUCGCCCCGCCUCCUAGCGGAGCCCUCCGCCACCGCAGACCGCACGAGCCCGCGGCCAGCAAGAUUUCAGCAAUGAGAAGCUCCAGCGCCACCUCAGGGUGAAGCAGCCUUGCGCCUGCUAGACACCCCAUGCACCCCCUGCCUGGCCUAUGUUGCGCAGGAGAGCAACUCCGGCGACAGCAAAGCGUCGGCGAGGCAGUGGCCAGAAGCCGCCUGAUUUUUCCUUCCGAAGGUGGACCCACUUGCAAAUUAAUCAUUUCUUCUACAGUCAAACGGAUCAUUUUCCUGUUGCUUCAGCCCCACAUGUCAGUAGCUAGGUUGGCCCCACUCGGCAGGAUUUAACCUAGCCCCACCCAUCAGGAGGUAACAGUCAAAGGACUUGAAUGUUAACAUGUCCGCCGUGAGGACAUUUACGAGCAUUUGCCAAAGAACGAAGUGUAGAAACGAGCAACGUUUUAAGCCUUGGGCAAAACUAAGUACAACUAAGGAACCGAGGGCACGGAAAUAAAAAAAACCCUUAGUACAAUGUGCGAGUGUGCAUUCUUGCAGCUGUGGAGAAGAUAGAGCUGAGGGGGAAUAAGCUAGACGUGGUGAGUUUCAUAGUGUUGGCUAAGGCGUCCGAGGAGGGCUAGGUCGCAUGCUCAAGAAUUUGAGCAAAGGAGGCCUAAUCCAAUAGUGCAUGGAGGUUAGCGCUAGACAACUUCAGGAUAACGACAAUAUUCGCUAAAGUGGACUUUGUCAUAGUCGUGUUAAAUAUUGUUUGUACGUAGAGUUAAAGUUGGACGGACUACUCACAUGUAACGUGGACUCCCUUACAUAAGAAGGGAUACUAUAUAAGAAUCGAUGUAGCUCAGACAGUCAUCUCACAAUUAGUGAGGGAUGCCCGUAGUCAAAGCAUCCGGAUGUAACCGCAAGGUGAAUGCCGAAGGUGCCAAAGUCUUUUCUAGCGGGCUGGCUAGCUACCGGCACGGGAUCAGCCAAUCCCUCGCUACCAGCCUGCACGAUGUAUCCGAACGCCGCAUGUGUAUUCUUCGUAUUGAUCCUUUCUCCCAUUUAUUGGACACAGUAUUCUCAAGUCUGGGUCCAAACAUGUGAUGUGAUAAGAAGAACGGAAUUUAUAUCGGGAGAACGUUCUCCCCAGUGCUUCCUGGCGCGACGCGCUUGCGUGCGUUCGAUCGAGACGGGGAGCUCGUCCUCGUCGCGUGCUGGUCCCGCUUGAAGUCCACGUUAGCGCUAGCUUGGUGUUGCAUGGUGCAGUGGUUCAAUUGUUUUGGGAAUCACGCCCACUUCUGUUCCCCUUAACGUCUACUGUUAAUGAGCCUAUCAUUUAAUCUUUCUGAACUGCUCUCGUAUGCCCCUUUUCUCCAUUCCACCGCGCGCUUUGCUUUCUCCUAUCUUUUGCUUGCUCUCUGCUAAUCCGCUUUCGGCCUUCCGCCGCGUUCGUGUUCGUCUACGAUUGGUGUUCGGUUCCUGUCAAAUCUCGCGACUCCUAGGAAGGGAACCAUCCUCCUCUGUUUUCUUGGGUUUUGAGGUGGGAAUUAUUGGUUGGGAGUGUGUCAGGGUGUUGUUGAUCGCAUCGGGUUCGGGAUUCCAGGUGAGUUUGUCUGCGGCAUUGCUUGGAUUGCUGCCGCGAGUUCGACCACAGUUGUUUUGUGUGCGGAUUCCAAAUGAUUUGGUUGAUUUUUUCGUGUUCUCGGAUGAUUUUUGGGUUUGUGUGUGUCGGGGUUUUCAGUGGAUAGAAUAUGUUCGACAGAUUUUGGGCACGGGUGGUUCAAAAUGAAUCCGGUUGGUCGAUUUUGCUCCCCAUUUUGAAACAUUUGAACCAACCGCCCCCAUUUUUGUGUGGAUUUGGUACUUCUACCCUUCAGUGUAUUAUGGGCGCGUGUUGGGAGGUUUUGGGGGGCGGAUUCGCAAGAUGUCUCUGCAGGAUGGUGGUGUUAGAUGUUUCAGUCGAUUUUUUGGUUGCGUCUGUCCCUUCUAUUCAGUGUAUUUAUGGCAGCGUGCUGGAUGGUUUUCACUGGUGGAUUCAUGAUAUGUUUUUGCGGGAUGGGUGCUGUUAGAAUGGGGACCAGGGAUUGUCCCUUUUUGCUCAUGUUUAGAUUUUGGUUUUUGAAUUUUAAAAUAGUAGAAGAGACUUAAUUGUGGGAUUAGGGAUGUUAGAUUCAUUAGUUGGAAUGUUUUUUAAUCAGAGAUUAGGGGAGUUUGAAGAGGCUUAAUGUGCAUGUGGUUUUUACAAUAACAUGGCAAUUUGUUACCUACUGUGGUGGCAACUAUAGGGGUCCACUCAUGGCAACUUAGUGUGCAUUGGAUUUGUUUGGAUCAAAUGUGACAGAAUAUGACAACUUAUGUACCUUUUAUAUGGCAAGUUUAUGUGUGUAGGGGUGACAAUUUUACUUAUGGUCAAGAUUACUUAUGCACUUAGUAGUGGAAUUAGGGAUGUUAGAUUUUUCAAUUGUAACAUUUUGAAUCAGAUAUUUAGGUUGUUUGGUAAUGGAGACAUUGCAAUUUUAAACCAACCACAAAUGUAGGUGAUUUUGAUUCGGUCUUAUUUUUGCAGGGUAAUUUGUAGCGUGCAUGUUGUUUUUUACAUUAACAUUCGAUUUCUUACCUAGUGUGGUGGCAACUACAAGGAGCCAGUCGUGGCAACUUAGUGUGCAUUGGGUUUGAUUGGGUGAAAUAUGACAGAAUAAGGCCACUUUUAUAUGGCAAAGUUUAAUUGGCAGUUUUGGGAUGGAUUGGAAUCGAAAUUUUGUGUUUAAUUGUGUUUGUCGUAAAUUAUCACAUAUGCUUAGGUGGGAGUUUGUGGAUGGAUUGGCUCAAUUUUUGGUUAUCCUCCUUUCGUUGCAUAGUGCAAUCAUAUUUUUGUUCUUUUACAUGGCAACUUAUGUAUUCUUAGUUGGUAGUUAUAUAUGUCCAAAUAGUGAUUUUUGCACAAAUGUAGCAGUGUGGGGCUUGGAUUGGCUCAAAUAUGACAUAAUAUGGCAACUUAUUCACUUGUUAUGUGGCAAGUUCAUGUGCAAAGGGGUGGUAAUUUCCUGCAUGUUCAACUUUAGUUAGCGGGAAGUUUGGGAAUUUAUUUGGAUCAAGAUUUGGGUCAAUUUGUUUUUUGUUGUAGCACAAAUCAGAUAUGGCGUUUUAUGUCCUUGUUAGGCGGCAAUUUAUGUGCAAGUUGACGGGGGAGGGGGAUAAAUUAUUGCUUAUUUGUCAUUAUUUAGGUGAGAGUUUGGGAUGGAUUGGCUCUUUUUUUGGUUAUCUGGUCUUUCGUAGCAUAGUCCAAACAGAUGUGGUCAUUAUGUCCAAAUAGAUGUCAACUAUGUUCAAAUAGAUAUGGCAAUUAUUUCCAUUUACAUAAUGAGUUUUCUUAGGCGGGUUGUUUUAUCGAUUUAUGCCUUGCUUUCUUCAUUUUUUUUCAAAAUAGGUGCAUAUUUUUUUUUUUCAUUUUUAUUUGGUUUUUACAUCUCAGAGGGAAAUAGCGACGGUUAAGAAACGGAAGGCUACUAGUUUGGUGACUGAAGAUAGAAAACGUAAUUAUGUUCACUUUUGAUAUAUUUUUGCAUGGCUAGUUCUGCACAUUUCAUAUGGCAACUUGUAUUGGACUGCCAUUUUCUUAACUGACAUGUUUUAUCUACUUGCUGCGGUAGGUCAUGGUCGCCGCUGAAUUCAAUAUGUCAAUAAGCUUGAGGCUGCCCCAUAGUGUCUUAACCUACAUGUAUCAAUUUGAAAUGAAAUAUGAUCAAAAGUGUGCAAACAACAUGGUCUGCAGAUGAUGCCACGCACCCUUUGGUAACUCUCUGGCCACUUCAAAUAUUUUCUGGUCGAAACUACACAUGUCCAAGCAUGGCAACUCCAGUAGGCAUAGCAUGGCAACUUUUAAUAGGUAGAGCAUGACAACUUAUUAUAGCACAUUGUUCAUAUUGUUGUUUUACCUUCCAAUAUUACUUGGUGUAGUAGUGGCAGUAGUGGAUAAGAGGGAUGCAAACCAUGAAAAUUUCCAAACAAUACAUCAUUGGUUGGCGUCAAUAACGGGAAGGCCCAUGAACCAAAUAUUUUGUCCAUUCCCCCCUUCCCCCUUUUUUUUAUACUUCUUCCUGCGAGAAUAAGAGGCAUAGUCUAGUGCAAAAAUUUGCAGUUUUACAUCUAUCUAGUCAUGUGUUUGCAGCUAAUAUUUUUUAAAACAUUUUUGUACAGGGGGACACAGUAUGUUUUGUUUCUUCACGAUCAAAAUGGAGAACUACAUCAUGGCCAGAUAUAUCUGCACAUAUUAAAUACCUUUGAGUAUUUCUGUAAUGUAGGCAGCUACAUGAAUGCUUGAAAAUUGCAACGUGCUGCAAUAGUGUUUUCAAGUUCAGGUUGUAAGAUGUUUGAAAACAAUAUAUGGUUGUUUCUUGAUUUCCUUCCAUAGGCAAAAUAUUUUCAUAGACCGUGGCAGCUUUAGAUGUAUUAUCGUGGCAGUUUAUUCAUCGGUGCAGUGGCAACUUUUUGGGCACAGUAAACUAGGGAAGGAAGUGCACCUAGGAUUUCUAACCCUUCAGUUUUUUAGGCACCCAAUUAGUUUUCAUUUGGAACAUUGUAGGGACAAUUCAUGAUUUAAUAGGUUUUUCAGAUAAUUAUGCAAUUUGUCCACUUGAUAGAGAAUGGCAACUUUCAGGUAGGCACCCCGGCAGUUUUAAUGGGUGUCACCUGGUUUUUUACUCAUGACUAGGGUGGCAACUUUGUGCAGUUUUGCAUGAAAAGCAUCCCACAUUGACGAGAGUACUUUCAAACAUUACAAUCAGAUGGCAACUUGUUUUAGACAGAUCAUAAAUCUAGAUUUGCAAGACAUGACAACUUCUUUAGGGGAAAAUUGAUACAAGAUUCAUAAGAGUUCCAGAUUGCUAUUUCUAGGUUUUGAAUUUGUGAAAAACCAGUAUACGAUCAUAAGAUGCUUGGAAGUUGGAAUCAGAUCACAUACACGUACAUGAGAGAAUAAGAGAUUGCUGGCAAUUCUUCUUUGUUAUUGAACCAGUAGAAGAAAAUGACCUAGAGUUAUGGACUAAAAGAGGGAGAGGGGUAUAAGAGUUCUAGAUUGCUAUUUCUAGGUUUUGAAUUUGUGAAAAAACCGGUAUACGAUCGUAGGAUGCUUGGAAGUUGGAAUCAGAUCACAUACACGUAGAUGAGAAUAAGAGAUUGCUGACAAUUCUUCUUCAUUAUUGAACCGGUAGAAGAAAAUGACCUAGAGUUAUGGGCUAAAAGAGGGAAAGGGGUAGAUGGGCCUGACAACUUUGUUUGAUCUAGAUUAGAAUUUAGGUCGGCCUUGUUUGGACUUGACGGCUAGAAACGCGUGCACGAUCUAGUUCUGGAGUAGGGCUGGAGUAGAACCUGGCAACUUUGCCAUCUUCCGUGUCGCUGGUGUGUCGCUGGUGUGGUGGUGCCCUUCUGCACGCACGAUCUGGGCUCGUCCAGACGCCGACGGCUCACGCUGGCGCCGCAGCAUGGCGUCGCGCUGGUGCUCUUCCGACCGAACGACCUGCACUCGGUUUCGGCGCGCGGGAGAAAAUGCACUCGGUUUCGGCUCGCGCUCCCGCGCGCACGCGCCCUUGCGUGGCAACUCUGACGUGGCCGCCGACGUGCCAACCUAGCUUUGUGUUCGACGUCGCACGCUGGGACUACGGCGCGACUGUCGCGCCGUAUUCGCUCCCUGAGAAGAAAAGGCUGGCACGGAAGGAACCCUUGGUCCCUCCCUCGUUAACUCCUGCGCCUCUCGAUCGUUCCCCAGACGCCGCCGCCAGAUCCCGACGGCCUCCUCCCUACCGGCGGCCUGAUCCCACCGCUCCGAUUCUCUGUCCACCGCCUCCUCCUCCGGCUCCGGCGAUCCCCUCCCUUCCUGCCCCCUACCUCCUGGCAAGCCCCCCUGGCUGGGCACGGCGCGGCCUCCUGCCCUCGUCCUCCGACCGGGCAAGGCACGGCCUCACGCCCUCCUCCUCCGGCUGGGAACGGCGCGACCUGCCGCCUUCCUCCUCCGGCUGGGCACGGCGCGCGCGGCCUGCCGCCCUCCUCCUCCGGCAGGGCACCUCCACCCCAAGGAGCAGCGUCGCCUGCUGGGUGGGAGCCGAAGGCCGAGUGCUUCUGCUGCUAACAGUACCACCGGAUCCGGCUUCCGCAGCCUCGAUGCCGCCGGAAUCGGGCUCCCCCGACCCUGCUGUGGCCGGAUACAGGCUUCCCCGACCCCUCGCCCCCCGUCUCCGCUAGCUCUCGGAAAGUUUUCUUCUCUUUCUCUCUCUUCUUUCAUGCUCUCUCUCUCUCUAACCUGGUGGCGACCCCCUGGUCCUAAGUCCUAACUCGCACGGUGACCCUGCUUCCUCCUCGCCUCCCUGCCUCAACCUGCGCACGGUGACCCCCUGGACCCAGCCGCCAUCGGUCCUGUCAAGUUAUAUUUGUGUUGUGGAAUUUUGCUCAUAAAAUUGUAUUCUCGUUGAUAUCUCAUCGAUGUACCAUUGAUAUCUCGCCAUGUAUCAUUGAUUUUGUCCCAUGCCUUUCGAAUUUCGAACAGAUUUCAUUGAUAUCUCGUUCAUGUAUCACUGCUUUUGUCCCAUACCAUCCGAAUUUUGAACAGAUUUCAUUGAUAUGUCACUGUUUUUUGUGUAUGCCAUUGAAGUUUCAUUGAUCUAUCGUAAUGAUAUUGUCCCAUACCAUCUAAAUUUUGAACAGAUUUCAUUGAUAUGUCACUGUUUUUUGUGUAUGCCAUUGAAGUUUCAUUGAUCUAUCGUCCAGAUUUGGUUGCCAGGAAUUAUUUCAAUGGUAUAAAUAUCAUUGCAAUAUACCAUUGGAUUGGUACGAGAAAAAAAAUUCUAAACCUUAGUUUUAUCAAUACCAAUUCAUUUUCAAAUUAGUGAAGAAACUGUGUCCAUCCAACAAUGAAACCAAUGGAUAUCAUUUUAAAUUUCAUAGUUUUUCAUUGAGAUAUCAUUUGAAAUUUAUGUCUAUCAUUGAACUUUUGUCAUGGAAAUGUGCAUUAAUGGAAUUUCUGUGAAAUACCAAUGUAUUAAUGGAAAUGUGUAUUAAUGGAAUUUUAUUAACAUAUAUUAUUUAGUUGAUAUGUUGCUGAAUUUUUCAAUACCAUUGAUAUAGUACACGUCAGUUAAUAUAAGUACUAAUGAAAUUUAAGUGAAAUAUCAAUGAAGUUUAAUGAAAUAGAAACGAUAUGCACAAUUGAUAUAAAAUGAGAACCACGAGCACUGUGGUCAGGCUUGGAGGGACCCUACAUUGCUCUACUCCAAGCAGCGCACGUGGGCGGGGCCCUGCUUAGGGAAUACAAAAGAAUACAUAGUGAAUACAUGGGAGAGGGCGUUCUACUUUAUUGCGUGUCAGAGGCUGAUUGGUGGAUGGCGUGUCGGUAGGUAGCUGGCCCGCUAGAAUCGCCCCUCUCUGCCGAAGGUGCGUUCUCCUUAAUUUUCGAGAAAAAAAAACACAAGGUGAAUCGGAUGAACAAAUGGCAUGUCCCAUUUGUGUGAUUCUCUGUUUGUGUUCUUUGUAGAUCAAGACUUAAUCUUGGUGUGAUUAUCUAUGAUCUUUAUAAAGUUGAUCCCUACUAAGAGUCACAUUUUAUGUUUGCAAGCUCAACAUGUCAAGUGUCAACAUUAUCAAGUUGAUUUCCACUAAUCUUAACAUGCAAAGUGCCAUGUCAUCAAGUUGAUUUUUCUAUAAAGUUGAUCCCCUAAGAGUCAUUUAAUUAAUGUUUGCAAGCACAACAUGCAAAGUGUACACAUCAUCAAGUUGAUUUCCAAUCUUAACAUGCAAAGUGCCAUGUCAUCAAGUUGAUUUCCACUUAGAUUCAUUUAAUAAUGUUUGCAAGCUCAACAUGAAGUGUCCACAUCAUUAAAUUGAUCACUAAGCUCAACAUACAGAGUGUCCACGUCAUCAAGUUGAUUCCCACUAAAGAUCGGUUUGAUGUUCACAAGCUCAACAUGCAGAUUGUCCUCCAUGCGUGACAAAAGCAUAACUUAUUUAUUUUAUCUCAAAGCACUCUCAUCAUAAUUUUUUACCUUAGACAUCCCAAUUCAUCAAAUCAUGUCCUCUCUACUCUCAUCAUUCCAACAUUAUAAGAAAUGUACAUAUGUAAUUCAAAAGCUGAGCCAUACUAAACCACCACCGGUGUUUCUAACUUUUAAAACCAUGUCUUCUCAUGCUCACAUCUCAGACCAACUGCCGUGUGAUCAUUCAGUUGUGAACACUGAUUACAUGAAAAAUUGAAUGCCACAUUUACAAGUUAUUCUUAUCGAACUCAGAGAAACAACAACAUGUAGUUUCAAUACUCCUAUAUAGUUGAUUUUGCUUCAUUGCAAUCCAUUUUUCUUUCACGUAGGACAAAUGUAUUGUUUUUAGACCCGCAGCAACACACGGGGUAUCCACUAGUUCUAACGAUAAUUGUGCCCUUGUGGAAAGCAAUAUUUAAGUAAAAAAAAAAGAUUAUUCUAGCAACUUGAUGUGUGUCCCCAGUUUAAAGCAAUAUUAGUCCGGGGUUUAAAUAAAUUGAGACGCCAAGUUAAAAUCAUCUCACAUAGUUUUAGUAAAAAGAGCCGAAUAGUAUGUUGAAGCUGCAACUUGCAGCUCCUGCUUCCUUGGGCUGCCUCACGCAACACACGCAAGAACACAAGAUACACAGUGGUUUGCGUCGGGCUACCUUACACAACACAACUUUUGUUCCUUGUUUGUGUUCUCUCAACAAAAACAAACAUCACACGCACAUCUGGCUGAGCAAACUAACUUGUGCUAGUCUUGUGCCACUCACUGCACGCAAUUAGGAACCACACACUACGCCACUCAACCAUGACCUCUUCUUCCACACUAGGAAAUAGGAACAACAUUCAGGCCACACAUGCACAUGCAGCAGCAAGCUGGAUGGAUCAGCCGAUGGACUAGCUUGCUCGUAGCUUCACCUGGCCAGCGGCAUUGCACGGCACGACGGUAUCUCAGCAUAUACACCGCGUCACAUUGGCAACUCGGCAUCUCGCCAGCACGCUCUCUAGCCGAAAUUUUUUCAGCUCUGUACGUCUCACACUUGCAUCAUAUGGCAACCCUCCAUGCAUCUGACUACUACUCUCUCUGAUCCAUAUUAAUUAUCGAAAUAUCAUGUAUCUAGACGUUUUUUAGGCAUAGAUACAUUCAUAUUUAGACAAAUUUGAGACAAUUAAUAUGGAUCGGAGGGAGUAUUAGAAAAUCAAAAAUAAUAUGCUAACACAGUAAUUCAAUCAGUUCAAGUCCCCCAUGCUCAGGACUCAGGAGACCGAGAGUUAAGUGCAUGCACGCAUGCUACUAGCUAGUAGCAGCGAACGUCUCUGCUUGCAUAUGCAUCUCCUCGCGCGCCGAUCGAACCGAUCGAGAGUUACGUGCAUACACCGUUGUAUUUCGGUGGGGGUUGUUAGUUGAGGUUCCCGUGGAUUCUUUCGUUUAAUUCUCAAAGAAAGCGACAAUUCUAAAAAAAAAAAGGAGUAUUGCAAGAGUUUUCAAAUCGACGGGCUCCAUCGUUCUCUAUAAAUCAAGAAUCUCACAUGCAUCUCUCUUCAAUUCAUCUCCACGCCCAGUAAGAAUGGCAUUCUUGUUCUUGCCCGAGCAUCUCAUCUCCACGCUUGUGCUACUCCUAGUUCCAGCUUUGUACAUCAAGUGUAGUCGAUCAAAGAAUCCAUUGCAGCCGAGGAACUGGCCAAUAAUCGGCAUUCUUCCUUCCCUCGUUCAAAACUUCCACCGAUUCCACGACUAUGCCACUGACCUCCUAGCUUCCUCAGGGCACAGCUUCAAGUUGACCAUAGCCAGCAUGGGGUUCACUGCUACGGAAUUGGUUAGCAGUGGCGGGCCAAUUUCAACACCGGUGGCGGUGGACCGGCCCGCCACUAAGCCUGCGCCACUAGUGCUGACGAGCACCGGUGGCCGGUACGACCACUGCCACUGCUAAUACCUUUUUCCUGUGGCGGUCAAGAACCACUAGUUCUAUUUCUCUAGCGGCGGUGAAAAAUCAACGCCCCUGGUAAGAUUUAGAUGAAUUAAAAAAAAAGCAGACCCGUGCCUGCACUGCAUCGUCACUGAUGACGUUGGAGAAAAAACACAGAUUCAAUUCCGAUACAAACACACAGAUACAAAUCAGACCCAGGCCGUGUGGCUCCAACAACAAGAAUCAAUCAAAACUAUAGAAAACAUUUCAGAUCUAAGCACUAAGACCAGUUCGGAGUAAGUGUGCUUGAACACCUUUGGAUCUAGAAAAAAAAGAAUAAAAGAAGAGAGGAGUUGCAGCCGCCCUCCUCUCCAUGCCAGCGGCGGCACGGACUGGACGUGGAGGUGAAGCCGGCGAGUUGCAGCCGCCCUCCCACCUGCAAGUGGCGCCGUCCUUCUCUCCUCGCUCGUCUGCAACGGAGUUAAGAGAGGGAGGGUGUGUGAGAGGGAGAGAGAACUCACCCGGAUCCGCGGCGCCAGGACCAAGAAACGCCGGAUCCAGAGGCGGCGGGGCCGAGCGCAGCCAGACCAGGCCCCAUCCGGCCAUGGCGCAGGAGGAGGGGAGACCUCGGGAGCGCCAUAGCAGCAGCCACGCGCGUCGGCGGAGUCAGGGGUGGGUGCCUUGUCGGCGGAGUCCACCUACCGCGGGGAGUAGGGAGGAGAGCGGCGGCCGAGUGCGCCGAGGAGCUAAGGAGGAGGGCGGCGGCGUGGAUCUGCAGAGGGCAGAGGAUGAGGGAGGCCGCUGGGAGCAGAGAGAGAAAAGGGAGAGAGGCCCACGUUUGGAAAAAGAGAG